AAAUUCGUCUCUGACAUCGGAAUGCCAGAAGGGUUGUCAUCAGAAAUACAGCUGAAAGAGGUGAACGAAGAGCCCUCUCAUCUCCUCGACCUUUUGCGAAGUGCUCUCCUAGGCCGGUUCCACAUGAUUAGGAGUCAGCCCGAAAAAGAGCAGCAACCUAAGAAAAAAGGAAAGUCGUCGUGGAAAAAAGGCAAACAACGGGGCAUUUGGCAGUCUUUUCGACACAUCAAGGAGCUUAAAGCUGCCGGGAUCUAUCUCAAACCGAGUAGAACGUGUUUCUUGAGAGACGUUUCUUUCAAAUCCUACUUCUUCUUUGGCCACCUGAAACUUCCCCCAAUAACUAUUGAUGACUUCACGAAGACCAAGUUCUUGAACAUCGUAGCCUAUGAAAUGUGUCCAGGUCCAGGUGCCCCAGAUGACUAUGCGGUCACUUCUUAUAUAUGCUUCCUUGACGACCUCAUUGAUCAUGCAGACGAUGUCAAGGAGCUGAGGUCUAAGCACAUUCUCCACAACCUUCUUGGCAGCGAUGCAGAUGUGGCCGAAAUUUUCAACGAGAUUGGCAAUGGCUUGGUAGAUCCCGGAAUUUAUGAAGAUGUGAAAGCUCGUAUUCAGAAACACUACAAGAAGAGAGUGAAUACUUGGAUAGCUCAAGCCCUUCACAACCAUUUCAGGUCUCCAUGGACUGUCAUGGCUUUCAUUGCUGCUCUUUUGGUACUAUUUCUUACUGCGGUUCAGACCUACUACGUUGUUUGGUGUGUGUGAUUAGAAAAAUAAAGAUUCUUGUUUGGUGUGUGUGAUUAGACAAAUAAAGAUGCUUAUAUUGUUAAGUUGUAUCACUGGAUUUCAUGCAUGCAAUAUUAUGAGUCUUUGAAUACUCUUCAACUCUUUUAGAAAUUUUUAAUCUUCUUGGAAUCUCUUUUAAGAGAUUUAGGGCUUUUCUUUAGUUUUUUUUGUCAAAACCCCAUGCACAGAGAUUGAGUUAGAAAUGAAAAUGGAGAAAAGAAAAGUACUCGAUAGUUUUGCAUAUUACUUGAUAGAACUCGUUAAAAUUGUUUAUGUCUCUGGCACUAAAAUACACCUUGUAGCACUUAGCAAUCAAAGCCUGUUUUUCCUCCUUACUUCCAAUUUAGACAUGGAGAGGUGACACAAACUUUGGGAUAUUCAAUGAUUCAACAAAGCAUUCAUCAAAUAUUAUAUUGUUUGCUUUGAUGGAGGGGCAAAGAUGAUGAUACCAGGAGUUAGUUUCAUGAGGGAUGCGCCUAUCUUUUGAGUGGUUGGAUAUGAUGACGUUGUUGGAAAGUGUCUUAGAAAUUAUUUUUGAGUCAAUUGAAAAAUUAUAGAUAAUCUCCUAAUACAAAAUAUUAUUAUAUUUGAGUUUUCUAUUAUUAUAUAAUGGGAAUAUUAUAUUAUAAGAAUUUUUUUUUUAGGAAAAGACACAUUUGACAAUUAUACAUUUAGUUUUCUAUAUGCAAUCUUCCUAUAUAUGUAAUUAGGAAAAUAUACAUAAGAAGACAUUUAAAAAAAAAAAAUUAUCUAUCAAAUGUUUUUCUAGAAAACAUUAUAGGUGACAAAUAUAUGAAUUUUGGAUGAUCACGAGGGAUAGUCAUCGGCAGUAGACCGAAGUUUAUGAAGAUGUGAAAGCUCCUAUUCAGAAACACUACGACAAGAGACUGAAUGCUCGAGCCCUUCAGGACCAUUUCAUUACAGCUGUUUUGAUACUAUUUCUUAAUGGGGUCAGACCCACUACCGUACUACGCUCUUGACCCACAUCGAAUUAUUGCUGCUACUCAUCCAUUCCUGGAGUGCCAGCUUGCAUCUGGUUACAAAUAUAUCCUGGAAUCCAUCCCCACAUUUCCCCGUGAACUAAUCUGUUUGGUUCCGGAAACCACUAAAAAAAAUAAAAAAGGAAAAUGCUAAAAAUAUAUUUCUUUAUACUUGAUUUUGUUAAAAAAAAAAAAAAAAAUGUCAAAGAAAGUCUGAAUAUAAAUAAAAUUAUUAAAAUUUUUAUAUAUUUUUUUAAUCCUUAUAUAAAAGAGUUAAAUAAUUUAAAAAAGUUUAAGGUACUAUAUACUAUUGAUUUUAAUUUUUGAAAUUUUAAUUUUUAUUAUUUUUCCUUUUAUCUUUUCUUUCUAUUUUCUUUCUUUUAUAAUUUUCUUUAAACUUUUCGGGAACUAAAUAUAACUUAAAUAACCUAUUAAUUUGAGGUUUAUUGUUGUUGUGUUUUUUUUAUUUAAAUCUAAAUAAAAUUUAAUUUAAUUUAAUUCUACAUAUAAUUUAAUACUAUUAAGUUGUUUAUUUUUUAUUAUUUUAUUUUUAUUAAGUAUUAAGUAUGAAUAGGUGGGAGUUGCGUUGAGGUUGUGUUUUAGUUAUUUUAAAAAGCGGUGAUCCAAUUCCAUGGGAGACCUGCAAGAAAGGAGGAACGUUGGAGAGAAAGAAGGCGGUCAACCAAGUAGGAACAAUGGCGAAACUGGCCCCAAGCCUAAGGAGCAUAGGAUUGACAUUGUUGAAAUCAAUCCUACGGUGAAAAAUUGUGGAUAAAAAUUGUGCACAUCACUAAAGAAAGUGUUUUCUAACUUUUUUAAUCCAAUAUGCAUUAAAGGUGUUUCUUGAAGAGACACAUUCCAUAAUUUAACAAAUUUGAAUGUCUCAUGAAUUUGAUUUUAAAGCUAAAGAUGUCUCUUGAAGAGAUAUUUUCUACAAUUCCUAAAAAUUUUAAUUUAUACAAAAGGUGUCACUUGAAGAGACACUUACCAUAGUUCCACAAUUUCACAAAUUCCAAUAUAUAAUAAAGGUGUCUUCUUCAAGAGACACCUUCUACAAUUCCAAAAAAUUGGAUUUAUACUAAAGGUGUCUCUAGAAAAGACAUUUUCCACAAUUCCACAAAAUCCAAUAUGUAUUAAAAAUUGUGUACAUGAUUUUAAAGCUAAAGAUGUCUUUCUUCAACAUAAAUUCGAAAUUUUCUACUGUGUAUGAAAAUUGUGGAAAGUGUUUCUUCAAGAGACACUUUCAGUAUAAACUCAAUUUUUUUUUAAAUUAUGGAAGGUGUCUCUUCAAGAGACACCUUCAGUGUAGUUCCAUUUUUGAGAAUUGUGAAAGGUGUCUCUUGACACCUUCCACAAUUUUAAAAAAAUUGGGUUUAUACUAAAAGUGUCUCUUCAAGAGACACUUUCCACAACUUAACCUCUAUUGAUGGUGACCUUUUAGUAUAAAUCCAAUUUUUUGGAAUUAUAAAAGGUGUACCUUUAGUAUUGUGGACCCGCAUUUUUCACGUGCGUCCCCAUUCGGUCGGCGAGACUCUCUUUUUAUUUGUGAAAAAUUAUUUAGUUUUGGAAAAGUUGGAGCCGUCACUUAUUUUAUUUUUAUUUUAAAGGGAAAAUAAAACAAGAAAGAAAAACCCUAAAAUGUGACUCCAUAAUUUUUGGAAAAAAACAUGUCUUUGAAAAACCUGAGUCUAGGUCCGAGGAUCAGGUUACUUAUUGGGAAGGUACCUCUAGGAGGUAGCACCCUUCUAAGCCCUAAAGAGGUCUUACUAAAUUGGGGAAAUGGGGCAAUUAAUUGAUUAAUUGUAGAUACCUAAGUAAGCUAGGUGAUUUUCAGAAAGUAGCAUGCUAAAUAAGGAGAUCAAUCACAAUAAAGGAGAGUUAGGGUGCGUACCUGAACCACUUCUUAAGCGCUAUCAUAAAAUAUCAAUGGUUAAUUCAGAAAUAUGACACACGACAUGCAUUUUAUCAAGGAUGAUCAAACAAGCAUCGAGACAAUCAAGUAUGGCAUCAAACAAGGGCAAUGACAUGCAUAUUCAUGAAAUUUUGGGAACGUACCUGGAUAGCAUAUAUAACUCCUAAUGUGCUUCCUCAGGAUUAGAUAAUAAAUAAUAAAUAAUAAAUCCUAGCAUGCUUAUCUAAUUAAUUAGCAAAAAUUAUCAGAAUUGGGAAUAAUUAAUUAUCAUACAUAUCUUGUAUACAAUUCCUACAAAGAAAAAAUGUAAAUAUGAUUACGAUAAAUAGCAGGGUGGUAGCAAAAGUAAAUUUUGAAAAAAUUUUCUUAUAUAGGGGUUUCACCAAUUCCCCAAAUUAAUAUACACGAAUUUAGCCUAAAAUUGUCCCAUUUAUUUGGGACCAUAAGCUUUGAUUCGCGUUUUGUUUAAAACCAAAAUUUUUGUUGAAAAUUGAGAAGGAUGCAAACCGAUUAAGAUAUGGUUGCAUAUUAUUUUUUAAAAAGAAAAUAGAUUUUGAUUCUAAAGGCUUUAAAUGAAUAAUAAAAAAAAAUUUUAAAACGAUUUUUUUGAGAAAAAGAGUUUUGUUUUAAAAUAAAAGAAAUUAAUUUUUAAAAUAACAAAAAUAGAAAACAAAAUAUCAAUCAAAACAAAAAACAAAGAUCACGAAAUAAAGAUUUUAGAAAAUCUUGUCAAUUAAAGUGGUGAGAGUAAAGGCCAACCUUCAUGGAUUUCCAGUGGCCCUAAAAAAAAAUUUGACCAACAAUCACUAAGGCAACAAAUUUAUGACUUCCUAAUAAAACAAACUAACAAAAUUAUCAUCCAAAAACUAACAUUUAAAUUUCAAGAAACACAUGAAUAACUAGAAUUAGACUAAUUGAAAUUAAAAAUGUAAACUUUACCUCACAAGAUCGAUUAAACUAAAGAAUUAAGAUCAAUAACACAUUCAAAUUAAAAAUAAACUAGAAUUUAAAAUAAUCGGAAUUAAAAAUAUAAACUUUACCUUACAAAACCAAUUAAACUAAUAGAUUAAGAUCAAUGACUCAUUCGAAUUAAAAAUAAACUAAAAUUAAACUAAUUAGAAUUAAAAAUAUAAAUUUUAUCUCGCAAGAUCAAUUAAACUAAAGAAUUAAGAUCGAUAACACUAUUCAAAUUAAAAAUAAACUAGAAUUAAACUAAUUGAAAUUAAAAAUAUAAAUUUUACCUUACAAGACCAAUUAAACUAAAGAAUUAAGAUUAAUAACAUAUUCAAAUUAAAAAUAAACUAGGAUUAAACUAAUUGAAAUUAAAAAUAUAAAUUUUACCUCACAAGAUCAAUUAAACUAAUAGAUUUAAGAUCAAUAACUCAUUCAAAUUUAAAAAAAACUAGAAUUUAAACUAAUCGGAAUUAAAAAUAUAAACUUUACCUUACAAGUCCAAUUAAACUAAAGAAUUAAGAUCAAUAACAUAUUCAAAUUAACAAUAAACUAGGAUUAAACUAAUUGAAAUUAAAAAUAUAAAUUUUACCUCACAAGAUCAAUUAAACUAAUAGAUUUAAGAUCAAUAACUCAUUCAAAUUAAAAAAAAAACUAGAAUUUAAACUAAUCGGAAUUAAAAAUAUAAACUUUACCUUACAAGUUCAAUUAAACUAAUAGAUUUAAGAUCAAUAACUCAUUCAAAUUAAAAAUAAACUAGAAUUUAAACUAAUCGGAAUUAAAAAUAUAAACUUUACCUUAGAUCAACAACUCAUUCAAAUUAAAAAUUAAACUAGAAUUUAAACUAAUCGGAAUUAAAAAUAUAAACUUUACCUUACAAGUCCAAUUUAACUAAUAGAUUUAAGAUCAAUAACUCAUUCAAAUUAAAAAUUAAAGAUCAAUAACUCAUGCAAAUUAAAAUAAACUAUAAUUUAAACUAAUCGGAAUUAAAAAUAUAAACUUUACCUUACAAGUCCAAUUAAACUAAUAGAUUUAAGAUCAAUAACUCAUUCAAAUUAAAAAUAAACUAGAAUUUAAACUAAUCGGAAUUAAAAAUAUAAACUUUAUUUAAACUUUCAUGUAAAUUAAAAAUGAACUAGCAUAGAACUAAUGAAUUGCAAUCAUAAAAGAGAGACAUUUAAUCUAAGAAAAAUAAAAGAUCGUUCGAAAUUGAGAUUUAAAAGAAUUUAUCACAAACAAUUAAUUAAACCAAACAACUAAAACCCAAAAAAAAAGGAAAUACGGUAUCAAAAAUCGAAAACUAACCUGUAUUGUAUCGGAAAAAAUACUCUCUUGAUGUUUCAAAAUGGCAACCCAAUUAGUCUUUCAGGUCUUCUACCGCUCCCUCCUAAAAAAAUUGCGUGUGUUCCUCUCCUUUAAAAAAGAUUGCUUUUUGUAUGUGAAUUUCUGCUCCCAAAAGAAAAAAAAUCUCCCUGCCAAAGAAAAAGUCCCCCACUUGUCUUCGAUCUCUCUCCUCCAGAAAAACAAUCCCCCCUCUAAAAAUAAAACUUCUCUGAUCCAAAAAAAGGAAACCCACUUUUCUUUCUUAUUUUCUACCCUUUUAUAACCAAUUUUCCCAUGGAAAUAAUAUAUGUGCUAUCAUUCUAAAAACAAAAUCUCCUCUUUUUCAAAAUUCUGUUGAUUCUCCUUCCAAAUAGAUGGCGACCCGUUUCCUCAUGCCCAAAAAGCUAAGAAAUAUGAUUUAGAAAACUAGUAAUAAGAUAAAAUAAAAUAAAAUAAAAAUAAUAAAGAAAUUCAUAUAAGCCACACAAGUCAUGUAGGCCAUGCAAUCAUGCAAGUCAUAUAAAAAGUGGGUUUAAAAAUGCUUAAAUGGGCCUAAGGCGUUCAAGAAAGUGCCUAAGUCUAAAUUAGGGCUGCCAAGGUCAUAAUAAGGGGUUAGGCAAUCCUUCAACCAGAGUCUCCGAGGUGGUUCAAGAAAGGUAAGUAGUGUGAGUAGAUAUGGGCCACCAAUGAGCUAACUGUAAAGUAUCGAACAAGUAUCUAAUAAGACAUGUGCUAGGAGGACAAAAUUGAGGGUUUACAAAUAUGCCCCUCUUCGGUAGAGAUCACGAGUGUAAGGAAUGUGAGUAAAAAUACGAACAAAGAAUGGAACGAAGUGAACUAUAUCGAAGAACUAGAGAAUGACCAGAGAUUUUGUCCUAGCACAUGACGAGAGUAAGAUCGGAACAUGGGUUUGUGACGACAAGAAUGGAACAACUCUACGUAGGGGAAUGAUAGUGAAGAGAGAAAGGUAUGUGAUGAGUAGCACAAGAAUGAGAAAAAAAAAGAUGAAAAUGAUGACCCAAAGUCAUGGAUGAGAUGAAUAACUCUAGGUCAUGGACAAGAUGAACGACUCUGGGUCAGAAAUAAGAUGAACGACUCUGGGUCGGAAAUAGGAUGAACGACUCUGGAUCAUGAGCUCAAGGCUAUAAAUUUUAAGAAUGACUCUAGGUCAAGAUGGAGUGAAUGACUCUAGGUCGUGAGCUCCGGGCUCUAAACGGAAAAGAAACGACUCUGGGUCAUAAAUGAAAAUUGACUCUGGGUUGAGAACUCAGGGCUCUAAAUGGAUAGCCGAUCAGGAUGCUUUCCGACUCAUGGUGCCGGGUCGAGGCCACUCACAAGUGGCUAAAAUGAUGAAACGAAACAUCUCAAGGAUGUGAAGGAUGCAAACGACUCUGGGUCGUAAGCUCAGGGCUCGGGAUGCUAUGAAUGACUCUGGGUCAUGAUGCGAUGAGUAACUCAGGGUUAUGAUGAAUAGCCCAAGGCUAUGGAUGGAAUGAAUGACUCUGGGUCAUGAUGCAAUAAGCAACUCAGAGUUACGAUGAAUAGCUCAGGGCUAUGGAUGACAUGAAUGACUCUGGGUCAUGAUGCAAUGAGUAACUCGGGGUUACAAUGAAUAGCUCAGGGCUAUGAGCUCCAGGCUCUAUGACUGAUCGGCUAGAAGGAGAAUGCGAUACGCAAACUCCUGGUCAAACCACUCAUGGGCGACCAAAUGAUGAAGGCUUAGCUCAGGGUUGGAAAGACUCUGGGUCUAUAGGAAACGAUAGCUCAAGGCUACCAGGCGCAGGACCUAAGGGAAGAAAGAGAGCUCAGGGCUAUAAGACUCAGGGUCUAGAAGGAGUGGAUAGUUCAAGGCUAUGAGGCUCAGGGCCUAGAAGGAACGGAUAAAGAAGACCAACUCGAAAGUGGAUAGGAAGUAAAUGGGCUCAAAGUCGUAUACUCAAAGUGACAAGAGUCGGACUACUGAGCUCAAGAAGGGAAAUAUGACCCAGUAUCCAGGGUGCUCACACUGCUAAAACAACCAAUAAAUCAAUCAUCCGCUGAAAUCAAUAGGUCAGAAACUGAUGCAUCAUGACAAACCUCUGAAAAGUCUAAGCUGAAAGAACUCUCUGUGUCUGAAAAGCUGCCCUAUCGACGGAUCUCAAAAGGUAAAUUUCAAAGUGCAUAAAAUACUGCUCAUUCGGGUAAUCCAAUCUGCAAGGUGACAAUGAUGAAAACAAAUCUAUCCCAUGAACAUCUGGCUAAAGGACCCACCCACGUUCCUCUGGUGAAAGCCGAUGUGAUCCAUCUCUAUCUCGAAAAAUCCAUGUAAGGAGGUCCUGAUAUAAUUAAUCUCCGAAAGCUCCAAAUUAAUCUCAAUCUAAAACCAAGCUGGCCACUGUCUCGAUCUCAAGGAUACUCAAAGAAAAUGGGGAAAUAUGCCCCAGUAUAAGAUUCAGUAUCAAAAUCAUGAGGUAAACAUCCGACACUAAUCACCCAUCCUCAUACCACUGCCCAAACAAAUCUCGCAAAGGAGAGGGGAAUAUGCCCCAGUAUGGAUAUCUGAUGUCGAAGUUAUGAGAUAAACAACCAACAAUGAUCAUUCAUCUAUGUACUGCUGCCCGAACAUAAUCUCAUCAUGGAGUAUGUUCACAUCAUUUGUUUGCUAUGAAUCUAAUAUGGUUAAUGUAAACACCAACACAUGGUGGAUUGAUUCUGGAUCUACAAUCCACAUUUCAAAUUCCUUGCAGGGUAUGUAAAACCUAAGGAAGCCAGUGAAAAAUGAGCAAUUCAUCUUAUCCGGAAACAAGAUGGGCUCGCAUGUGGAAGCAAUAGGGACAUGUUAUUUAACUUUAUAUGGUGGUUUUAUUUUGGAAUUACAAAAGACCUUUUAUGUACCAAGUUUCUCACGAAACUUGAUUUUAGUUUCUAGACUUGUACCGUUUGGAUAUUCCUUUCAUUUUUCAGAAACAUCUUUCAGUUUGAUUUAUAAAUCUGAUUGUGUUGGGAAUGGUAUCUUGUCUGAUGGUCUUUAUUGUAUAUUCUUACAAAAUGAUACCGCUCAUAAUUCAUUACAUGCCCAAACUGGCAUUAAGAGAUGUGUUGUAAAAGAGGAUUCCUCUAUAUUGUGGCACCGGAGAUUAGGUCAUAUCUCCAUAGAUAGAAUCAAAAGAUUGGUGAAUGAUGGGGUACUUAGUACUCUAGAUUUUACUGACUUUGAGACUUGUGUGGACUGCAUUAAGGGUAAGCAGACCAAUAAGUCAAAGAGAGGUGCUACUAGGAGUUCCACCAUACUAAAGAUCAUACAUACUGAUAUAUGUAGUCUUGACAUGGACUCUCAUGGUCAGAAAUACUUCAUCUCUUUCAUAGAUGAUUUCUCACGAUACAUGUAUCUCUACAUACUUCAUAAUAAACAUGAAGCUUUAGAUGCCUUUAAAGUCUUCAAGGCAGAAGUAGAGAAACAAUAUGGUAAACAAAUUAAGAUUGUGAGAUCAGAUAGAGGUGGAGAAUAUUAUGGUAGAUACUUGGAAGAUGGACAAUCACCUGGGCCAUUUGUGAAGUUUCUUCCACCAUGUCUGGUUCUCCAGACCAAAAUGGUGUAGCAGAAAGAAGAAAUCGAACUUUAUUGGACAUGGUGAGGAGUAUGCUUAGUAGCUCAAAACUUCCUAAAUUCUUGUGGACUGAAGCACUUAAGACAGCUGUGUAUAUAUUAAAUCGAGUUCCAACACAGGCUGUUCUAAAAACACCAUUUGAGUUAUUGAAAGGUUGGAAACCGAGUUUGCGACAUAUGCGCGUUUGGGGAUGCUCGUCUGAAGUGAGAAUUUAUAAUCCACAAAAGAAGAAACUGGACCCAAGGACUAUUAGUGGGUAUUUCAUUGGAUAUGCUGAAAAAUCCAAGGGGUACAGAUUUUAUUGUCCAUCUCAAAACACUAGGAUUGUGGAAUCAAGAAAUGCUAAAUUUCUUGAAUAUGACUUGGUCGGUGGGAGCGAUCAAUUUAGAAACAUAGUUUCUGAUAUUGAUCAUACAGAGUCUUAACCUUCCACUUCAAGCGAUAGAUUGUUUAUUGUUCAUAACACCCCUCAAGUACAAACGGGUGUUGAACGAACAAUCGAUGAAGUUCAACCAGUCAUUGAAGUUUCCACAAGUUGUUGACAACAUUCCAAUAGACCAAGUUGAUUAGGAGUUGCCUAACACUUCUGAACAACAAGUUGAACCUCAUACUUCCUCGGAAGAUAUUGGUGCAACCUUAAGAAGGUCUGCUCGAACUAAGAGGUCAGCAAUUCCUAGUGAUUAUGUAGUGUAUCUACAAGAAUCUGAUUACAAUAUAGGAGCCAAAAAUGAUCUAGAAUCAUUUUCACAAGCCAUGAGUUGCAAAGAAUCAGAAUUGUGGUACAAUGCCAUGAAGGAUGAGAUGAGUUCCAUGAGGUGCAACGAUGUUUGGGACCUUGUUGAGUUGCCUAAUGGUGUAAAAACCAUUAAUUGUAAAUGAAUGUUGAGAGAUACAAGGCCAGACUUGUUGCAAAGGGGUUCACUAAAAAAGAAGGAAUCGAUUACACGGAAACCUUUUCUCCUGUAUCUAAAAAGGAUUCCUUGCGCAUUAUAUUGGCAUUAGUAGCCCACUUUGAUUUAGAAUUGCAACAAAUGGAUGUGAAAACAACAUUUCUUAAUGGAGAGCUAGAGGAGGAGGUUUACAUGAAACAACCUGAAGGAUUCCCCUCUAGUGAUGGUGAGCAAUUGAUUUGUAAGCUUAAGAAAUCCAUAUACGGUUUGAAACAAGCAUCUCGCCAAUGGUAUUUAAAAUUCCAUAACAUAAUUUCUUCAUUUGGUUUUGUUGAAAAUGUUAUGGAUCAAUGCAUAUACCUUAAGGUUAGUGGGAGUAAAGUUUGUUUUCUUGUUUUAUACGUGGAUGACAUCUUACUUGCAACCAAUGAUAAGGGUUUACUUCAUGAGGUGAAAAAAUUCCUCUCUAAAAAUUUUGACAUGAAGGAUAUGGGUGAGACAUCUUAUGUCAUUGGCAUUAAGAUCCAUAGAGACAGAUUUAAAGGUAUCUUAGGUUUGUCUCAAGAAACCUAUAUCAAUAAAGUUUUAGAGAGAUUUCGGAUGAAGAAUUGUUCACCUAGUGUUUCCCCUAUAGUGAAGGGUGAUAAGUUCAAUUUGAACCAAUACCCGAAAAAUGAUCUUGAGAGGGAACAGAUGAAGAACAUUCCAUAUGCUUCUGCAGUCAGAAGUUUGAUGUAUGCUUAGGUCUGCACAAGGCCUGACAUUGCAUUUGCUGUUGGAAUGUUAGGACGAUAUCAGAGUAACCUAGGUAUAGACCACUGGAAAGCUGCAAAGAAAGUGAUGAGAUAUCUUCAAGGAACCAAAGAUUACAAGCUUAUGUACAGACGAACAAGCAAUUUAAAGGUAGUUGGCUACUCAGAUUCAGACUUUGCUGGCUGUGUUGAUUCACGUAGAUUAAUAUCUGGAUACAUUUUUAUAUUGGCCGGUGGAGCUAUAUCUUGGAGGAGCGUUAAGCAGACCAUGACUGCUACUUCUACUAUGGAAGCUGAGUUCAUAUCUUGUUUUGAGGCUACUUCAAAUGGUGUAUGACUUAAGAGUUUCAUUUCUGGACUUAGAGUUAUGGAUUCAAUAUCUAGGCCAUUGAGUAUAUAUUGUGACAAUUCAGCUGCAGUCUUUAUGGCAAAGAACAAUAAAAGUGGAAGUCGAAGCAAGCACAUCGACAUUAAGUAUCUAGCCAUAAGAGAACGUGUUAAAGAAAAGAAAGUGGUCAUUGAGCACAUUAGCACUGAAUUGAUGUUUGUUGAUCCUUUGACUAAGGGCAUACCGCCGUUGAAAUUCAAGGAUCAUGUAAUGAACAUGGGACUUAGUUCCCUUAUUUAGUUUUUAUUGUACAAACUCUUAUUAUGAUGUUUUCUCAUAUUGAUGUGCACCUUUAUUUAAUUUUGAGAAAAUUCAACUUCAUUGGACCAAGAAUGAACAUAGGGUUUAUUCAUUAAGUAAUAUUAAUAUUGCCACAUAAAGUAAAAUGUUAAGAAAUGAAUGCACUGUAAUACAUGGAAGAUAACACUCGUUAUAUAAAGGACUUAUCGCCAUGAUUCAUGUAUUUGUUACUUAAUAUGGAUAAUUGAUGGAUUAAGAUAGGACAUAAGUUAAAGGUGUGGACCAAGUGGGAGAAUGUUAUCACCACCCCAUGUCGUCUCCACGUUCACCACCAUGAAAAGGUGAUUCUGAAGUGGUCAGACCCACGUCCUCCACCAUAAUCACACUUUUUCUAUUGCGUUAAAGGAGGGUGUGGCAAAUCUGCAGAGACGUGGUAUGAUGGGAAGCCAUGCAUAUAUAUUUCACAUAUGGUCCCGAACUCGUGAUCUACCAUUUUUCUUUCUUCAGUAAUACACCAUUCAUAGGAGAUCAUCAGAGUUUGGAAACCGAUUACAGCAACUUGAAUCAAUGGUUGGAGGUAAGUAGACUAUGCCUAGUCUUUUACAGAUUCAGUUCAUCUUGCAAGUAUUAAUUUUGAAUUGAAUGUAUCAUAUGAAUUUCUCACAUAUCAUACCAUUUUAGUUCAUAAAAUUAUUGAAGGAGCUUAAUUUGUCAUAAAAGGAACCAACAGAUAUUUACAUGGACGAUAAAUGAGCGAUUACAUUAUAAAAAAAAAUUCCAACUUUCCAAGAUUGAAGUCAAUACAUCAAGAUAUCAUUUUAUUUGAAAGUAUUAUAAAGAAGGAAAAACAAUUAAAAUUUGUAAAAUCUUGAGAUCAAAUUACAAAUAUUUUGAUCAAAUUUAUCCGAUUUAAAGAUUUUAGAAGGUUAAAGAUAUUAUUGAGAUAUACAAAUCAAGUUGUAGUUUUUAUAUUUGAGUAAUCAAAUCGCAAAAAAUGUCUAUAUUUUACUUUGAGCAAUUUUAUUUGAUGAAGUUUAAGUAAUUAUAAAUGAGAAAUUUUGUAAUAUUCGAAUAAGAGAUGAUAUAAUAAAUUUUUAAUUCUUUCCGCUUGUAAUCCUUUUCUAUAAUUAUUUGUAUUCCACUUUCAAUCUCAUCACUUGAACACAAAUUAGGGUUAGCCAGGAGAGAGAUUUUUUGGUAGGAUGAGUUAUUGAAUAUAAAUUGGUGAUGUGUCAGCAUCUUGGAGGGUCCAUACAUGGUUUCGAUAUCAUUAUUUACGGUUCUUUUUAAUAAGAAUAAUGUUUAAACUUUGUAGUCAUCGAUCUUGGCCUACAUGCUUACCAAAAAGUAUUGAAUUAUUGCAGCUACUCAUCAAUUCCAGGAGGGCCAGCUUAAUUAAACAACACAUCCCAACAUUUUCCAUGAAAGGACAAUAAUUGCAUUUGAUUACAUAUAUAUCCUGGAAUCCAUCUCCACAUUUUCCACAUGUACUAAUCUAUUUUAAGAGUAUGAGUCCGUUUGAUAGUGAUUUUAGGAAGCACUUUUAACUUUUUUAACACUAUAAAAUUUUUAUAUUUCAAGUAUUAAAAAAAGGUAAAAACAUUUCCUAGAAUUAUUGUCAAACACACUCUAUAUUUGCCUUCGGAAACCACAAAAAAAGGAAGGAAAAUGCUAAAAAAAUAUUUCUUUAUAUUUGAUUUUGUUACAAAAAAUGUCAAAGAAAGUCUUAAUAUAAUUAAAAUUAUUAAAUUUUUUUGUAUAUUUUUAAAAUUAUUAAUCCUUAUAAAAAAGAGUUAAAUACGUUAAAAAAGUUUAAGGUAGUAUAUAUCAUUGAUUUUAAUUUUUAAUUUUAUUAUUAUAUUUUUUUGCAUUUUUUUCCUUUUACCUUUUUUCUCUAUUUUCUUUCCCUUGUAAUUUCCUUCAAACUUUUCGGGAACCAAAUAUAGCCUAAAUAAUCUACUAAUUUGGUGUUUGUUGUUGUUGUUUUUUUUUUUUUUUUACUUAAAUCUAAAUAGAACUUAAUUUAACUUAAUUCUAAUAAGUUGUUUACUUUUUAUUAUUUUAUUUUUAUUAAGUUUUUGUAUUUUACAUUAGAGAUCUCAUUCCUUUCUUAAUUCGCCCAUUUUGGGUCUUUUCAUUUCUAAUUUUCUUUUCUUUUCAUUUUUUUGCCCUCAUUCUCAUUUCCAUUUCAUAUAACAAGUUCUCUACUUUUCUUUCUAUACAACCAUGGAUGCAAAAUGAAUCCGAUAUAAUAUUAUUGUGUAAUCCAAACUCAAAUGAUAAUACCCAGUAAUAUAAAACAAUUAUUUUAAACCUAUAACAAUACUAAAAUUUUUUUACAAAUAAUUACCCUUAUUUUCAACAUUGAUAUAUUACUAACAAGAAAUUACCUUGAUCUCAUUGGUAUGUGUUUUAGAACGUAAAAGGAAUCCUUGGGUUUACCCAAGUCCUUACAAUAAGGAAUUAAUAAAAGAAAAGGAAUAUGCCACUUUUUCCUCCAUGUUCCAAGUAAAUAUGGGAAAAGACUUAUAUAAAGAAAUUAAUACGUGUUCCAAGUAAAUUUCGGAAAAGAUUUGUAAUAAGAAAUUAAUAAAUGUUCCAAGUAAAUGUGGGAAAACACUUACAACAAGAAAUUAAUAAAUGUUCCAAGUAAAUGUGGGAAAACACUUACAACAAGAAAUUAAUAAGAGAAAAGGACCAUACCACUAUUCUAUGGGAAAAAACUUACAACAAGAAAUUAAUAAAAGGAAAGGACCAUACCACUAUUUCCUUGACAGAUGUUAGGAUGGAUUUAAGAUACAUUUAUAAUUAAUGGUGGAAAAUGUCAAGAUGCAAAAUAUCCUUUGAUCAAGGUAAGAUUGAAUAAAUCGUUUGGUAAGGGCUAGGUUUACAGUACUCAAAUAUGUUUUUUUUCAAUAGGUAUGAGAAAGACAUCAUCAAUUAACUAGUGUCAAGUAUAUAUUUUUAAGUCUUAUUAUUGUACCCCAAUCUUAUUUGUUUGUACUCUUAUACGUUAAUAUCAUUAAUAUGUAUCCUCAUUGUAAGUAAAAAAAGGGUAUUUUACUUUAGUUUUAUUUAUUUGUAUUUCAAAAUCUAAUAGAUUUCGUUAGGUUUAUAUAAGCUCUUACAAUGAGGAAUUAAUAAAAGAAAAGGAUCAUACCACUUUUUCCUUGAUGGAGGUCAGGAUAGAUUCAAGAUACAUUUAUAAUCAAACGAAAUUAUUGUGUGUUGAUGGAAAAUAUCAUGAUGUGGAAAAUGUCCUUUGAUCAAGGUGACCCUCUUGUAAUUGAUAUCGGAUUCAAUUGUUGUUUGUCAAUGGAAAUUGAAUUCCAAACCAUAUAAAAUUAAAUUAAUACAAAUGGUCCAUUUUUUUGUUUUAAUUAUUUAUAUUAUGUCAAAUAUUUCUAAUUUUAUUGUACAAAAUAAAUAAAUUAUUUUAUUCUCUAAUUAUAGAUUUAAACAUAUAAUUGAUAUCAUUCAAUCAAUUGAUACAUAAAUCAUUCUUCCAAAUUUAAACAUAAUGUAAAUGCAUACACACAAUUAAGCGGUGCAAUAUUGUUCUUAGGUUUUCACUGAAGAAUACACGUGUAUACCAAAAUACACUUCUCAUUUGGAGUGUUCUCGGGGUAAGUUUUUGUAUUUUAUAUUAGAGAUCUCAUUCAUUUCUUAAUUCGCCCUCUUUGGGUCCUUUCAUUUCUUAUUUUCUUUUCUUUUCAUUUUUUUGCUCUCAUUCUCGUUUCCAUUUCAUAUACAAGUUCUUUACUUUUCUUUCUAUACAACCAUGGAUGCAAUAUGAAUCCGAUAUAAUAUUAUUGUGUAAUCAAAACUCAAAUUAUAAUACCAAAUAAUAUAAAACAAUUAUUUUAAACCUAUAACAAUACUAACAUUUUUUUUACUAAUAAUUUCCCUUAUUUUUAACAUUGAUGUAUUACUAACAAGAAAUUACCUUGAUCUCAUUGGUUUGUUUUUUAGAAUGUAAAAGAAAUCCUCGGGUUUAUCCAAGUUCUUACAAUAAGGAAUCAAUAAAGAGAAGACCAUGCCACUUUUUCCUCCAUGUUCCAAGUAAAUAUGGGAAANNNNNNNNNNNNNNNNNNNNNNNNNNNNNNNNNNNNNNNNNNNNNNNNNNNNNNNNNNNNNNNNNNNNNNNNNNNNNNNNNNNNNNNNNNNNNNNNNNNNAAGACUUACAACAAGAAAUUAAUAAGAGAAAAGGACCAUACCACUAUUCCAUCUGUGUAUUUGUGUUCCAACUAAAAGUGGGAAAAAACUUACAACAAGAAAUUAAUAAAAGGAAAGGACCAUACCACUAUUUCCUUGACAGAUGUCAGGAUGGAUUUAAGAUACAUUUAUAAUUAAUGGUGGAAAAUGUCAAGAUGCAAAAUAUCCUUUGAUCAAGGUAAGAUUGAAUAAAUCGUUUGGUAAGGGCUAGAUUUACAGUACUCAAAUAUGUUUUUUCAAUAGGUAUGAGAAAGACAUCAUCAAUUAACUGGUGUCAAGUAUAUAUUUUUAAGUCUCAUUAUUGUACCUCAAUCUCAUUUGUUUGUACUCUUAUACCUUAAUAUCAUUAAUAUGUAUCCUCAUUGUAAGUAAAAAAAGGGUAUUUUACUUUAGUUUUAUUUAUUUGUAUUUCAAAAUCUAAAAGAUUUUGUUAGGUUUAUAUAAGCUCUUACAAUGAGGAAUUAAUAAAAGGAUCAUACCACUUUUUCCUUGAUGGAGGUCAGGAUAGAUUCAAGAUACAUUUAUAAUCAAACGAAAUUAUUGUGUGUUGAUGGAAUAUAUCAUGACGUGGAAAAUGUCCUUUGAUCAAGGUGACCCUGUCGUAAUUGAUAUCGGAUUCAAUUGUUGUCCGUCAAUGGAAAUAGAAUUCCCAACCAUAUAAGAUUAAAUUAAUAUAAAUGCUCCCUUUUUUUGUUUCAAUUUUUUAUAUUAUGUCAAAUAUUUCUAAUUUUAUUGUACAAAAUAAAUAAAUUAUUUUAUUCUCUAAUUAUAGAUUUAAACAUAUAAUUGAUAUCAUUCAAUCAAUUGAUACAUAAAUCAUUCUUCCAAAUUUAAACAUAAUGUAAAUGCAUACACACAAUUGAGCGGUGCAAUAUUGUUCCUACGUUUUCACUGAAGAAUACACGUCUAUACCAAAAUACACUUCUCAGUUGGAGUGUUCUCGGGGUAAGUUUUUGUAUUUUAUAUUAGAGAUCUCAUUCAUUUCUUAAUUCGCCCUCUUUGGGUCCUUUCAUUUCUUAUUUUCUUUUCUUUUCAUUUUUUUGCCCUCAUUCUCGUUUCCAUUUCAUAUACAAGUUCUUUACUUUUCUUUCUAUACAACCAUGGAUGCAAAAUGAAUCCGAUAUAAUAUUAUUGUGUAAUCAAAACUCAAAUUAUAAUACCAAAUAAUAUAAAACAAUUAUUUUAAACCUAUAACAAUACUAACAUUUUUUUUACUAAUAAUUUCCCUUAUUUUUAACAUUGAUGUAUUACUAACAAGAAAUUACCUUGAUCUCAUUGGUUUGUUUUUUAGAAUGUAAAAGAAAUCCUCGGGUUUAUCCAAGUUCUUACAAUAAGGAAUCAAUAAAAGAGAAGGACCAUGCCACUUUUUCCUCCAUGUUCCAAGUAAAUAUGGGAAAAGACUUAUAACAAGAAAUUAAUAAAUGUUCCAAGUAAAUGUGGGAAAAGACUUACAACAAGAAAUUAAUAAGAGAAAAGGACCAUACCACUAUUCCAUCUGUGUAUUUGUGUUCCAACUAAAAGUGGGAAAAAACUUACAACAAGAAAUUAAUAAAAGGAAAGGACCAUACCACUAUUUCCUUGACAGAUGUCAGGAUGGAUUUAAGAUACAUUUAUAAUUAAUGGUGUAAAAUGUCAAGAUGCAAAAUAUCCUUUGAUCAAGGUAAGAUUGAAUAAAUCGUUUGGUAAGGGCUAGGUUUACAGUACUCAAAUAUGUUUUUUUUCAAUAGGUAUGAGAAAGACAUCAUCAAUUAACUAGUGUCAUGUAUAUAUUUUUAAGUCUCAUUAUUGUACCCCAAUCUCAUUUGUUUGUACUCUUAUACCUUAAUAUCAUUAAUAUGUAUCCUCAUUGUAAGUAAAAAAAGGGUAUUUUACUUUAGUUUUAUUUAUUUUUAUUUCAAAAUCUAAAAGAUUUCGUUAGGUUUAUAUAAGCUCUUACAAUGAGGAAUUAAUAAAAGAAAAGGAUCAUACCACUUUUUCCUUGAUGGAGGUCAGGAUAGAUUCAAGAUACAUUUAUAAUCAAACGAAAUUAUUGUGUGUUGAUGGAAAAUAUCAUGACGUGGAAAAUGUCCUUUGAUCAAGUUGACCCUCUCGUAAUUGAUAUCGGAUUCAAUUGUUGUUUGUCAAUGGAAAUUGAAUUCCCAACCAUAUAAAAUUAAAUUAAUACAAAUGGUCCCUUUUUUUGUUUUAAUUAUUUAUAUUAUGUCAAAUAUUUCUAAUUUUAUUGUACAAAAUAAAUAAAUUAUUUUAUUCUCUAAUUAUAGAUUUAAACGUAUAAUUGAUAUCAUUCAAUCAAUUGAUACAUAAAUCAUUGUUCCAAAUUUAAACAUAAUGUAAAUGCAUACACACAAUUAAGCGGUGCAAUAUUGUUCCUAGGUUUUCAUUGAAGAAUACAAGUCUAUACCAAAAUACACUUCUCAUUUGGAGUGUUCUUGGGGUAAGUUUUUGUAUUUUAUAUUAGAGAUCUCAUUCAUUUCUUAAUUCGCCCUCUUUGGGUCCUUUCAUUUCUUAUUUUCUUUUCUUUUCAUUUUUUUUGCCCUCAUUCUCGUUUCCAUUUCAUAUACAAGUUCUUUACUUUUCUUUCUAUACAACCAUGGAUGCAAAAUGAAUCCGAUAUAAUAUUAUUGUGUAAUCAAAACUCAAAUUAUAAUACCAAAUAAUAUAAAACAAUUAUUUUAAACCUAUAACAAUACUAAAAUUUUUUUACUAAUAAUUUCCCUUAUUUUUAACAUUGAUGUAUUACUAACAAGAAAUUACCUUGAUCUCAUUGGUUUGUGUUUUAGAAUGUAAAAGAAAUCCUCGGGUUUAUCCAAGUUCUUACAAUAAGGAAUCAAUAAAAGAGAAGGACCAUGCCACUUUUUCCUCCAUGUUCCAAGUAAAUAUGGGAAAAGACUUAUAACAAGAAAUUAAUAAAUGUUCCAAGUAAAUGUGGGAAAAGACUUACAACAAGAAAUUAAUAAGAGAAAAGGACUAUACCACUAUUCCAUCUGUGUAUUUGUGUUCCAAGUAAAAAUGGGAAAAAACUUACAACAAGAAAUUAAUAAAAGGAAAGGACCAUUCCACUAUUUCCUUGACAGAUGUCAGGAUGGAUUUAAGAAAAAUUUAUAAUUAAUGGUGGAAAAUGUCAAGAUGCAAAAUAUCCUUUGAUCAAGGUAAGAUUGAAUAAAUCGUUUGGUUAGGGCUAGAUUUACAGUACUCAAAUAUGUUUUUUCAAUAGGUAUGAGAAAGACAUCAUCAAUUAACUAGUGGCAAGUAUAUAUUUUUAAGUCUCAUUAUUGUACCCCAAUCUCAUUUGUUUGUACUAUUAUAUCUUAAUAUCAUUAAUAUUUAUCCUCAUUGUAAGUAAAAAAAAAGUAUUUUACUUUAGUUUUAUUUAUUUGUAUAUCAAAAUCUAAAAGAGUUCAUUAGGUUUAUAUAAGCCCUUACAAUGAGGAAUUAAUAAAAGAAAAGCAUCAUACCAUUUUUUCCUUGAUGGAGGUUAGGAUAGAUUCAAGAUACAUUUAUAAUCAAACACAAUUAUUGUGUGUUGAUGGAAAAUAUCAUGACGUGGAAAAUGUCCUUUGAUCAAGGUUACCCUCUCGUAAUUGAUAUCGGAUUCAAUUGUUGUCCGUCAAUGGAAAUUGAAUUCCCAACCAUAUAAAAUUAAAUUAAUAAAAAUGGUCCUUUUUUUGUUUCAAUUAUUUAUAUAAUAUAAAAUAUUUCUAAUUUUCUUGCACAAAAUAAGUAAAUUAUUUUAUUCUCUAAUUAUAGAUUCAAACAUAUAAUCGAUGUCAUUCAAUCAAUUAAUACAUAAAUCCUUUUUCCAAAUUUAAACAUAAUGUAAAUGCAUACACACAAUUAAGCGGUGCAAUAUUGUUCCUAGAUUUUCACCUAAGGAUACACAUCUAUAUCAAUACACUCCCCAUUCUGAGUGCUCUUGGGUUUUGUAUUUUACAUUAGACAUCUUACUCCCUUGUUAAGUCGUCCUCUUUGGUCUUUUCAUUUCCUUUUCAUUUUUUUUUUCCCUCAUUCUCAUUUCCAUUUCAUAUAACAAGUUCUUCACUUUUCUUUCUCUACAACAAUGGAUGUAAAAUGAAUGCGAUCUAAUAUUGUUGUGCAAUCCUAACUCAAAUGAUAAUACCGACUAAUAUAAAAUAAUUAUUUUAAACCCAUAACAAUACUCAAAAUUUUCGACAAAUUAUUUCCAUUAUUUUCAACAUUGAUAUAUUACUAAUAAAUUUUAAUUUUAUCUUCCUAACACAAUCCAAAUAAUUAUAACACUUCACACAAAUAUUUAUCUUUGAUUCACAUGAAUUGAAUUUUCUCCAAUAUAAUUUCCCCUAAAAAUCAAUAAAAAAUUCAUAUCAUCAUUCAAAAAAUAAAAUAACUACAUAACUAGAAUCACUUGCAAAAAAAUAUUAUAUUAAAAGUUAGUUUGAUAGUGAUUUUAAAAAAUGUUUCUAACAUUUUUAACACUUAAAUUUUUUUAUUAAAAUAAUCAUGUUGAAAUAUUAAAAAGGUUAAAAAUGUUUACAAAAAUCACUAUUAAACAAGCUAAAAAAAUUUGUUCUACAAUGAUUUUAGGAAGCCCUUUUAGUCAUCCCAACAUUUGAAAUUUUUUAGUAGAAUAGUUGUAACCUUUCUAUCCUUCCAUUUGGUAGGAAGCGUUGGUAGUGAUUAUUAGUAUUAAGGUCGAAUGGGAAGGUGUUGUUCAUGAUGUGUGGGUCUUUUUAGAGGCAUUAAGAAGGCCAGAAUUGGGUUUUCCUCAUCCACCUAGAGGUUUGUGAAUAACAAUAUCAAACUUGUUUUUGUGAUUGAAUUUUUAUUAUCUAAUAUAUAUUUUUGUUUUUGUUUUGUUGGUAAAUAUUAUUUGGUCGAUGUUGGUUAUCCUCAAAUGAAUGGAUAUUUAGGCAGUUAUAAACGCGAGUGUUACUAUCUUCUAGAUUUUUGAUGAGGUAGUUCACUUUGAGGUAAAAAGGAAAUAUUUAAUCAUAGGCAUUCAUCAUUGAGGUGCACAAUUGAAAGAACGUUUUGUCAUUUUGAAGAAUAGAUGGAGAAUGCUACGAGAAAUGCAUAGUUUUUCUCUUGAAAAACAAGUAAAGAUUGUUAUUGCUUCCAUGACUCUUCAAAACUUCAUAAGGAUUAAUGCUAGAAUGGAUAUGGAAUGUAAACCUUAUGAUGAUGAUCAAGGGUUGCUUCCACUUAAUGAAGAAGAGAGUAGAAUAGAUUCACUUGUUGAGGAAGAUGGUUCACAUCAUGCAAGAGAGAUGGAAAAAAAAUGUGAUCGAAUUGCAAAUCUUCUUAUAUUUCAUUGAUGUUUGAUUAUGACUCUAAUAUGUAAUAAUAUAAUUUUCCCUCUAUGAAAACAUUUGUCUUCCAAUUUACUUUUAAUUAGAAAAGUUUAUGUUCUGCAAAAUAGAUUUCAUUGUUGUGAGAAACAAAAUGUUUGGAAAUUGUUUUCUAAAAUAAUUUUUAAUAACAGUUUUUGAAAACCGUUCUUUAAUAUUUUAUAAAAUAAAAGUCUAUUUAAAAACUUAAAAUAUUUUUAACUUAUUUUUAAUAAUUUUAAAUAUGUUUAAAUUUUUUUUAUGUAUAAUGUUUUAUUUUUAGAAUUCAUUUGAAUGAGAAAUAUUUCUACAUUUUCUAAUACUUGAAAAAUAAAGAAUUUUAAAUGUUAAAAAGACUAAAAACACUUUCUAAAAUCAUUGUUAAAUACACUUUUAAAAUAUGUUUGAUAGUAAUUUUAAAAAACGUUUUUGCUCUUUCUAAUAUUUGAAUGAUAUAAAUUUUUAAGUGUUAAGAAGGUUAGAAACACUUUUUAAAAUCGACAUGAAUAAAAACAACAUAAGCCAACUAAAAAGAUGUUAUAUGAAAAUACUCUAUUUUAUAUUAUUAAGAAUAGAAAACAAAAAACAAUUUUGGUUGCCAUAUGCGUUUUUAUAUUUUUUUUUUUUGAAAAACAAAAAAUUAUUCUCGAAAAAACAUAUUCCACAGUAACUCAAAUUAGUUUUCUAUGUUUAUUCCCUAUAAAAGAUAUAUAUAUUUUUUUAUGUAUAAUGCAAAAAAUAUAUAUUUAUUUUUACAUUAUUAAUUAUUGUUCAAAAACACCUAAAAUCAUUUUUAAAAAACAACCUGAUUUCAAAAUAAAUUCUUAAAAAAUUAUUUUCUAAAAAAAAAAUUAUCAAAUGCUUUUUCUGAAUCAGGAAAUUGUUUUUCGUUCUAAAAACAGAAAAAUAUUUUUAAUAACAAUUUUCAAAAGAAGACCCAAUCGAAUAAGGGUUCAAUUUAGGAAUUCCACAACUUAAAGCUCUAUUUACUGGAUGGGUGUUUUUUACUACAAUUUCAUCCGCAGCACAGAAGACGGCAGCACAAUCAAUUUGAGUAACGUUCUUAGAUGUCACCAAAUUUAUUUUGUGGGGCUGGACUUGUUCUUGCUGGAGAACCAACUUCCCUUCGGACUCCUCAAGUUGAUUUUUGAGGAAGCAAAAUUCAAGGGUGGUUCAUUAAUGCAAGAGAAGAUAAAAAAGUUGGUCACUCUUGACACCAGAAGGCCAGAUGGGUCGACAUAAAAAAGUAAUGAAUUAUUGCAUACAAGGCACGAAGACAACCUUUCAAUGCUGCUACUACUCAUCAAUUCCUGGAGGGACAACUUAAGGGGUUGAAGGGCGAUAACUGCACAUCCUGACAUUUUCCAUGAAGGUACAAUCAUUGCAUAUGUAUUUUGGAAUCCAGUCUGACAUUUUCCAUGAAAGAACAAUAAUUGCAUCUGAAUAUAAAUGUAUUUUGGAAUCCAUCCUGACAUUUUCCUCGUGAACCAACCUUUUUCAUACUAUGUUUGGCUCGGAAGUACCAAAAAAAGAUACAUUUGCCAGUGGAAAAAAAAAAAAGAUGCAUUCGUUCCAUGGAGAGAAUGUGUGGUCUGUAAAGAUUGAAGAGAUGGAUUGCAGGCGAAGACGGGGUGUUGUAGUGGCCUUGCACUUCAUAAGGAUUAAACAAUAAAUAAUGGGUGUGGAGACUUGGGUGAAAUACAAAGUAACAUGAUACUAUAAUGAUAAAAUAAUAAUAAUAAUAAUAAUAAUAAUAAUAAUAAUAAUAAUGUUAGAUGCUAAGUUAAUAAAUGAAAUAAAAUUAUAGUUUAAUUAAAUUAGCUAUAUAUUCUUAGAAACAUUAUAAAUUAGAAACUUAUUAAUUUUAAUUGAAUAAGGAAUAAAUGAAUUAAAUUAAUAUUAAUAAUUAGGAAUAAUAAUAUUAAUAAAUAAAAUUAUUAGGAUCAUCGAAUCUAUAUAAUUUUAGUUAAUUGUCUAUAGUAAGAAACUUAUUGAUUUUAGUUAAAUAAGGAAUAAAUUAAUUGAGUUAAUAUUGAUAAUUAAGAAUAAUAAUAUUAAUAAAUAAAAUUAUUAAGAUAGUGGAAUCUAUAAUUUUAGUUAAGCUUCUAUUUUUUUUUUUUCAAAUAUAUUAACUUUAGAUAAUAAGCUAUCCAUUAACCAUUUAUUAUUUAAUCAUUCAAUCCUUCAAAAUGACAUUAAUUUAACCCACUUCCUUAACCAAUUAUACAUUGAUUAAAUUCACCUUUCAAAAAUUAAAUAUACUAAAUGAUAAUAUUCAUAUUUAAUCAAUUUACCUUUUUGUAUAAAUUCUUAAAUUCAUAUUUAAUUUCAUUUUGAUUCAAAUUUAUUUCAUGUUUUAUAAUUUUAUAAGGUUGAAUUUCAAUUAUAAAAAUUAAAUUGAUUCAUAUGGUAAUAUUAAAUUAAAUAUCUUUUGAAAAAUUUAUUAUAACCAGUUAAUAUAAUACAAAUUUCAUCAAGUUUUUCUAAUUAAGGUUUUCUGAUAAUUACUUUAUAAUAAUAAAAUUAAUUCUUCUAAUACAUAUAAUAUUCAAAUUUCAAAAAUCCAAUCUCAAAUAAUUUAAUUGCUAAAUUUAUAUUUAAUUUUUGAAGUUCCAAAUUUCGAAAUGUGAAGAAUUUAAACUAUUGACCUUCCACUAGGCACUAACUUCUCAAAAGUUUCGCCUAAUUAAAGAAAAUAUCGACACGUCAAUGUUCACUAACAUCGUUCAUUUAUUUAGACCAUUCAUUUUGGUUGAUUUUGAGGAUAGUCAUCGGCAGUAGACUUGUAUCUUCUAGACCAAUUAGCAUGCCAACAGUGAUUAGGCUAAGGUGGUGAUCCAAUUCCAUGGAAGAGCAUCAAGAAAGGAGGAACGGUGGAGAGAAAGAAGGCGGCCAACCAAGCAGGAACAGUGGCCAAACUGGCCUCGAGCCUGAGGAGUAUAGGAUUGACAUUUUUGAAAUCAGUCAUAGGAAUUGGAUUGAGUCUCUCAGAACGGCAGAAGAAAGCACUCGAUCUCAGAGUCAAUGGCCAAGGAUACCAAAGGUUCCUCAGAUGCUGAGGGGGACCCAGGAUUUCAAGAAAUUCUACGAACCGGGGUUAAUUUCAAUCGGUCCUUAUCACCAUGGCAAGCCCCACCUUCACGCAGGGGAAAUAAUCAAGCGUCUAUGUGCCCGAAAAUUCCUUGCUGAUAGUGAGCAGGACAUGGACGCUUUGUACACAAAAAUUCAAAGUAAUAUCGAGGCAGUGAGGACGUGCUAUGAUAUGAUACCGACGAACAAGUAUGAUGAUGAGAAACUCGCCCGGAUGAUGCUUCUGGAUGGGUGUUUUUUACUACAAUUUUUCUGCGGGCAGGGUAAUGAAAACUUUCUUAGAUGUCACCAAUUAUUUUUUGCGGAGCUGGACUCGUUCAUGCUGGAGAACCAACUUCCUUUUAGAGUCCUCAAGUUGAUUUUUGAGGGAGCAAAUUUUAAGGGACCAGUGGAAAAGAAAAUAAAAAAAUUCGUUACUAGCACCCUAUGGCCAGAAAGGUCGACAUCAGAAACAGAGCUGGAAGAGGACGAAGAGCCCUCUCAUCUCCUCGCCCUUUUGCGAAGUACUCUCCUAGGCCGGCAACCUGAGAAAAAAGAAAAGUCGUCGUCGUGUCAAGGAGGAGAUGGGAGGUCCUGUUGCCCAUGGAAGAAAGGCCAAAAACGAGGCUUUUCAAGGUCUUUUCGAAACGUCAAGGAGCUUAAAGUUGCCGGGAUCCAUCUCCAACCGAGUGGAACGAGUUUCUUGAGAGACGUUUCUUUCAAUUCCUACUUCUUCUAUGGCUGCAUGAAUCUUCCCCCAAUAAUCGUUGAUGACUUCACGAAGCCCAAGUUCUUGAACAUUGUAGCCUAUGAAAUGUGUCCAGAUGCCCCAGAUGACUAUGCGGUCACUUCUUAUGUAUGCUUCCUUUACGAGCUCAUUGAUCAUGCAGACGAUGUCAAGGAGCUGAGAUCUAAGCACAUUCUCUACAACUGUCUUGGAAGCGAUGAAGAUGUGGCCAAAAUUUUCAACGAGAUCGGCAAUGGCUUGGUAGAUCCCGAUGCUUAUAAAGAAGUGAAAACUAGUAUUCAGAAACACUACGACAAGAGAGGGAAUACUUGGAUAGCUGAAGGCCUUCACGAGCAUUUCAGGUCUCCAUGGACUAUCAUCGCUUUCAUUGCUGCUGUUUUGAUACUACUUCUUACCGGGUUUCAGACCUACUUCGCUCUUCCCGCUAAACCCAAAUGAGUCAUGGUAAUAUAUGUUGAAGACUGAUUCAAAGUGGCUGUUGGUAUAUUCCUAUUCUUAUGGUUGAGUUAGUCAAAUAAGGAGCUUGUUGCUAAAAUCGAGUUAGUGGGUGUAGUGGGUCAAGUGUUAGUGGUGUAGUGGGGCAGAUUGUGUCCUCUUUGUUUUUUUUUAUAAAUAGACAUGUUUGCUGUAGUGGAAAAAUGACUGCAAUAAAAUAUCCAGAAGCAUUUUCUUUGGUCUGGUGAAGCUCUGUUUUUUAGAGUUAAAGAGCUCUAUUUUUUUCCUUGCUAUUGUUUUGUCUUGUUUUUGUCCAACAAUUUUUGGUAUCAGAGCAACCAGGUUCCUUCUGAACUGGGCGAAUAAUGGCAACAACCAACGGCAGUAUGGUGAGUGUGUCUCAACCAGCAAUUCCCAUUUUCAAAGGUGAGUGCUAUGAGUUUUGGAGCAUCAAAAUGAAGACUUUAUUCAAGUCUCAAGAUCUGUGGGACUUGGUUGAAAAUGGCUAUCCUUAUCCGGACGAAGAAGCUAGGUUGAAAGAAAAUACGAAGAAGAACUCCAAGGCAUUGUUCUUUAUUCAACAGGCUAUACAUGAAUCAAUCUUCUCAAAGAUUGCAGCAGCAACCACAGCAAAAGAGGCGUGGACAACCUUGAAAACUGCAUUUCAGGGUUCCUCUAAAGUGAUCACGGUGAAGCUCCAGUCCUUGCGCCGUGACUUUGAAACCUUGCACAUGAAAAAUGGAGAGUCAGUGCAAGAUUUUUUGUCAAGAGUUGCUGCUAUAGUUAAUCAAAUGAGGUCGUAUGGUGAAGAUAUUCUUGAUCAAACUGUCGUAGCAAAGGUGUUAAGGAGUUUAACGCCUAAGUUUGAUCAUGUAGUUGCAGCCAUUGAGGAGUCUAAGGAUCUGUCAACCUAUUCAUUUGAUGAGCUCAUGGGAUCCUUGCAAUCUCAUGAAGUGAGGCUGUCCAGAACAGAGGAGAAGAAUGAAGAAAAGGCAUUUUACACGAAGGGGGAGACAUCAGAUCAGAAGAAUGGAGGCAGAGAAGCUACUGGUAGAGGACGUGGCAAAGGAGGUGCUCAUGGAAGAGGUGGUCGUGGCAGAGGCCGAGGUGAUGCACAAGGUGACCAAAGGCAGUCAACUGAGAAGAGCAGAAACAAGAGUAAUAUCCAGUGCUACUACUGCAAGCGGUUUGGACAUGUUCAAGCUGAAUGUUGGAAGAAAGAAAGGCAAGAAAAACAAGCUAACUAUGUCGAGCAAGAGGAAGAUCAAGUCAAGUUGUUCAUGGCCUAUAAUGAAGAGGUAGUAUCUUCCAACAAUAUUUGGUUUUUGGAUAGUGGAUGUUCUAACCACAUGACAGGGAUAAAGUCACUCUUUAAGGAGCUGGAUGAAUCACACAAGUUGAAGGUGAAACUUGGUGAUGACAGACAAGUGCAAGUGGAAGGCAAGGGGACCGUGGCAGUAAACAAUGGUCAUGGUAAUGUAAAGCUCCUUUACAAUGUGUACUUUAUUCCUAGUUUGACUCAAAACUUGUUAAGUGUGGGGCAACUUAUGGUUAGUGGAUACUCCAUUUUGUUUGAUGGUGCUACUUGUGUGAUCAAAGAUAAAAAGUCUGAUCAAAUAAUAGUUGAUGUUCGUAUGGCCGCAAACAAGUUGUUUCCUCUUGAAGUGUCAAGUAUAGAAAAGCAUGCUCUUGUUGUUAAAGAGACUAGUGAGUCUAAUCUGUGGCACUUAAGGUAUGGUCAUCUAAAUGUCGAAGGGUUGAAGUUACUAAGUAAAAAGGAAAUGGUGUUUGGACUACCUAAAAUUGACUUGGUGAAUGUGUGUGAGGGCUGUAUUUAUGGGAAACAAAGCAAGAAACCAUUCCCUAAGGGAAGGUCAAGGAGGGCAUCUAGUUGUCUUGAGAUUAUACAUGCUGAUCUAUGUGGUCUUAUGCAAACUGCUUCAUUUGGUGGCAGUAGAUAUUUUUUGUUGUUUACAGAUGAUCAUAGCAGGAUGAGUUGGGUGUAUUUUCUUCAAUCAAAGGCAGAGACUUUUGAGACCUUCAAGAAGUUCAAAGCAUUUGUAGAGAAGCAGAAUGGCAAGUGCAUUAAGGUGUUGCGGACUGACAGAGGUGGAGAGUUCUUAUCAAAUGAUUUUAAAGUAUUUUGUGAAGAGGAAGGCUUGCAUAGAGAGCUGACUACUCCUUAUUCACCAGAGCAAAACGGUGUGGCUGAGAGGAAGAAUAGAACGGUGGUUGAGAUGGCUAGAAGCAUGAUGAAGGCCAAGAACCUUUCAAACCAUUUUUGGGCAGAAGGAGUUGCUACAGCUGUAUACUUGUUGAAUAUUUCUCCAACCAAGGCAGUGUUGAAUAGAACUCCAUAUGAAGCUUGGUAUGGGAGGAAACCUUGGGUAAGCCAUUUAAAGGUUUUUGGUAGUGUUGCCUAUACGUUGAUUGACUCACAUAACCGUAGUAAGCUUGAUGAAAAAUCAGUAAAGUGCAUCUUUAUUGGUUAUUGCUCUCAAUCAAAAGGAUAUAAGCUAUAUAACCCUGUUAGUGGUAAGAUAAUUGUUAGCAGGAAUGUGGUGUUUGAUGAAAAAGCUAGCUGGACUUGGCGUGUAAGUGAAGACGGUGCUCUUGUGGAGAUUUCAAGUGAAAGUGAAGUGGCACAGAGUGAAGAUCAGCAGCCUUCUGUUCAGAUUCCAGCAAGUCCAACUCUCUCGCAUUCACCUAGUUCCCCAAAUUUGAGUAGCAGCAGUUCUUCACAAUCUUUAGAGGAAACCCCUCUAAGGAAAUUCAGAUCUUUAAGGGACAUCUAUGAGACUACACAAGUCUUGUUUGUAGCUGAUCCAACAACCUUUGAAGAAGCAGUGGAGAAGGAAGAAUGGUGCAGUGCUAUGAAAGAAGAGAUAGCUGCCAUUGAGAAGAAUGAGACUUGGAACUGGUGGAGCUUCCUGAAGACAAGAAUGUGAUAGGUGUUAAAUGGGUUUUCAGAACCAAGUACUUAGCAGAUGGUAGUAUACAAAAGCACAAGGCACGGUUAGUGGCAAAGGGCUAUGCACAGCAACAUGGAGUUGAUUAUGAUGACACCUUCUCACCAGUUGCACGGUUUGAAACAGUAAGGACCUUAUUAGCCUUAGCUACUCAUAUGCAUUGGUGUGUUUAUCAGUUUGAUGUCAAGUCUGCUUUUCUUAAUGGAGAGCUAGUAGAGGAGGUGUAUGUAUCUCAGCCUGAAGGCUUCAUAGUUCCUGGUAAAGAAGAGCACGUGUAUAGACUAAAGAAGGCCCUUUAUGGGUUGAAACAAGCCCCACGAGCAUGGUACAGUAAGAUAGAUUCUUACUUUGUUGAGAAUGGCUUGGAAAGGAGCAAGAGUGAGCCAAAUCUUUACCUGAAAAGGCAAGGUAAAAAUGAUCUUCUUAUUAUUUGUCUUUAUGUAGAUGACAUGAUCUAUAUGGGUUCAUCCUCUUUUCUUAUUAAUGAGUUUAAAGCCUGUAUGAAGAAGAAGUUUGAGAUGUCAGACCUAGGGCUGUUGCAUUCUUUCUUGGUUUAGAGGUAAAACAAGUAGAGGAUGGAGUCUUUGUUUCACAAAGAAAGUAUGCUGUUGAUUUGCUUAAGAAGUUCAAUAUGUUAAAUUGCAAAGUAGUAGCUACUCCUAUGAAUUCAAAUGAGAAGUUGCAGGCUGAAGAUGGCACUGAAAGAGCUGAUGCUAGGAGGUUUAGAAGUCUGGUUGGAGGCCUCAUUUAUCUGACACAUACACAGCCAGAUAUAGCUUUUGCAGUUGGGGUGAUCUCCAGAUUUAUGCAUUGUCCUUCGAAGCAACAUCUUGGAGCUGCAAAGAGAUUGUUGCGAUACAUUGCUGGAACAUAUGAUUUCGGGAUAUGGUAUGGUCAUGUUCAAGAGUUCAAAUUGGUUGGCUACACUGAUAGUGAUUGGGCAGGGUGCUUAGAGGAUAGAAAAAGCACUUCAGGCUAUAUGUUUUCUCUUGGGUCAGGUGCAGUCUGUUGGAGUUCAAAGAAGCAAGCAGUGACAGCCUUGUCCUUUUCUGAAGCUGAGUAUACAGCUGCAACCUCAUCCGCAUGCCAGGCAGUGUGGUUGAGGCGAAUUCUUGCUGAUAUUAAUCAAGAACAUGAGGAGCCAACUGUAAUUUACUGUGACAACAAAGCUGCCAUAGCAAUGACCAAGAAUCCAGCCUACCAUGGAAGGACAAAACAUGUUGAUAUUCGGGUUCAUUUCAUAAGAGAUCUUGUGGUUGAAGGUAAAGUUGUUUUGCAGUAUUGUAACACAAAUGAGCAGGUAGCGGAUGUGCUGACAAAAGCUUUAUCUAGAGACAAGCAUGUCUACUUCAGAAGCAAGCUUGGAGUUUGCAACUUUGAAUCAAGGGGGAGUGUUGAAGACUGAUUCAAAGUGGCUGUUGGCAUAUUCCUAUUCUUAUGGUUGAGUUAGUCAAAUAAGGAGCUUGUUGCUAAAAUCGAGUUAGUGGGUGUAGUGGGGCAGAUUGUGUCCUCUUUGUUUUUUUUUUAUAAAUAGACAUGUUUGCUGUAGUGGAAAAAUGACUGCAAUAAAAUAUCCAGAAGCAUUUUCUUUGGUCUGGUGAAGCUCUGUUUUUUAGAGUUAAAAAGCUCUAUUUUUUUCCUUGCUAUUGUUUUGUCUUGUUUUUGUCCAACAAUAUAUAUAUAUGGGUUAAUUAUGAAUGUGAUGUGUUUUUUUCUUGUUUGGUGUGUAUGAUUCUUGUAUCACUGGAUUUCAUGGAUGCAAUAUUAUUCGUCUUUUCCUCCCAUUGAGUUUGCUAUCAUCUAUAAUAUCUGUUUCAACUCGCAAUUUCCAGCUACCUUCUUGGUAUUCUUUUUCAUAGACCAGGAUAAUAGGUUGUUAAACAUCCACAUAGAAAAUUUUCAGUCAACAAUUUGUAAUUCCGUGGAUGGGAUGGGAUUGAAUAAUAUUUUUCAAAUGAGAAAAAAGUGGAUAAAAUCAUAAUUUUUAUAUAUUUAUAAAUUGAGGGAAGAAUCUCAUAUAUGUGCUCUAAUAUUUUUUUUUUUAAUAAAAGACGGAAAUAUCAUUCUAAGCAAUUUAAUGCUUGAUUUUGGAUCAAAAGAGAUUUCAUAAAUAAAUAGUACAUUUUUAAUGAAGUCUUCCAAUCCUCGUCUAAGAAUCUUCAAGUUUUCAAUUUCUUUAAGAAAUCUUGAAUAUUCUUCAACUCUUCAAAAAAUUAUUCAAUCAAUAGUUUGUUAUUCCAUGGAUAGGAUGGGAUUGAAUAUUUUUCAAAUGAGAAAAUAGUGGAUAAAAUCAUAAUUUUUAUAUAUAUUUAUAAAUUGAGGGAAGAAUCUCAUAUAUUCUCUCUGAUAUAUAUAUAUAUAUUUUAAUGAAAGACAGAAAUAUCAUUUUAAGUAAUUUAAUGCUUGAUUUUGGAUCAAAAGAGAUUUCAUAAAUAAAUAGUACAUUUUUAAUGAAGUCUUCCAAUCUUCGUCUAAGAAUCUCUUCAAAAAAAUUUAAUAUUUUUUCAAUCUCUUUUAAGAGAGCUCUUGGACCUUAAAGAAAGAGCCCAUCGUGAUACUUUUAGGGGGUGUUUGGUAUACGGGAAUAGGGAGUGGGAAUAGACAUCUCAUUCCUUUUCUCCCUUAUUCCUAUGUUUGGAUAAAUGUUAAGAAGGCGGAAAUGAAAUAAAAAAUUAUUCCGUCAGAAAUCAAAUUCAACUUAUGAGUCGGAUUUGCAUUCAUUAAAAGUAGGUGGUAUUCUGAUUCAUUAAACCUAUUUGAUAAUAUAAAAUAACCUAAAUUACUAUUUUACCCUCUUAUCUUGUUCUUCAAACCCGAUGUUUAUCUUCUUUGCAAAGGUAGAGAUCCAUUCAUCAUCCACUUCUUAUCUUCUUUGCAAAGUUAGAGACCCACUCAUCUUCCAAUUCUCUGCAACAAGUGAUUCUUCCAAAUUGAAUCAAUUAAACCUUCCACGAUAUUUAAAAAAAAAAAAUCAAUUUCUAAUUUAUAGGGUUUUGGAUGUUCAUUUUGAUUGUUGGAUCUAGGAUUCGUCAUUGUUUGCUGUAACUAGGUUCUGAAAACUCCCUUCUACAUCUUCGAUCAGGUUUACCUUAUUUUCUCUUUCUUCUUCUACUUCUUUAUAUGUGUUUCUUCUUCUCUAUAAAUCGAUUAAAUUUUUUUUAUUAAUUUAUGUUUGGAAUCUUUGAUGUUUCUUUAUCUUGUAUUAAUGGAAACUGGAGAGAAAAAUUGAAAUGGUUGGAAAAAGAUUUUUCGAUUUCACGUGUUUACAAUAUUGAAAAUUUUUAAUGGUUAGGAAAAAAAUAAAAAGAAAAAAACAAACAAAAACAAAACUUUUGGUUUUUUUUCCCCUUUGUUUAUUAUUACCGGCAUCUUCCUUUCCUAGUUGAAAAUAGGAAAAACAUUUGCUAGCUUUGAGAAUUUAAAUAUUAUAAUAAAUAAUUUUUUUUUAAAAAUAUAAUUUUAUAACUACUUAAGCAUGACAAAUUAUUCAAAUUUUUAAUAAAAAUAAUAAUUGAAUAUUUGUGCAUUAGGGUUAUACGAUUUUUUAUGGUUAAUUUUUUAUUUAUUGAGUAUAUAUAUAUUUUUUAGUCUUAUUAUUUAAUAACAAAAAACCUCUCAAAUUUUAUUUUUUUAAAUAAAAGUAAAAAUAAAAAAAUAUUUUAAAUUAUAUGUAAGGAUAUUAUUGUAAAUUUAUUUCUUUUUCAUUUCUAUUCAUAUUAUUAUCAAACAUUGGAAUGGAAACAAAUAAUCAUUUCAAUCUUGCAUUCUUAAGUUCAUCCAAAUGCUAGAAAUGAAAUCAUCAAAUUCAUUCCAUUCCACUAAGAAAUAGGAAAGGAAACAAAAUAUUAUUUUCAUUCCCUAUUCCGACGUACCAAACACCCCCUCAAUAUUAUGUGUAUGUCAUGGAAUUUAAUUCUAAAAAUCCUUAAAAGAGUUUAAUUUACCAUAAAAGCAACCAACAGUGAUCUACAUGGACAAUAGAAAAAACAAAAAUCCAACUUUCCAUGAUUGAAGUAAUGAAUUGUACAGACUUUAUGCUGCUACUCAUCAGGAAGGCCAACUUAAUCAAAGGGCCAUAAGUACUGCACAUCCUGACAUUUUCCUCGUGAACCAAUUUUUUUUUUUUUAUGCUACGUUAUGACAUUUUCGUCGAGAACCAAUCUUUUUCGAUACUAUGUUUGGUUCAGAAAUUCUUAGAAAAAAAAAAAAAGAAAUAAAAAAGGAAAAUGCUAAAAAAAAAAAUUAUAUUUAAUUUCAACAUGAAAAAUGUGAAAGAAAGUCUCACUAUAAUUAAAAUCAUUAAAAAACUUUAUAUAAUUUUAAAUUAUUCAAUCACCACAUUAAAGAGUUAAAUAUAUGAAAAAAGUUGGAGACAAUACAUAAAACUAAUUCAAUGAUUUUAAAUUUAUUUUUUUUCUUCAUUUUUUCUUUUCUUUUGUUUUUCUUUUUCUAGUAUUUUCCUUUAAUUCUUUCAAGAAUCAAACAUAACCUAAAUAACCUACUAAUUUGGUGUUUGUUUUUGUUUUUUUUUUACUUAAAUCUAAAUAUAAUUUAAUUAUAAAUACAAUUUAAUAGUAUUAAAUAUUAAGUUAUUUAUUUUUUAUUAUUUUAUUUUUAUUAAAUAUUAAUAAGAUAAGAGUUAUGUUGAAGUUAUAUUUUGGUUAUUUUAAAAAAUUAUUUCUAACAUUAAAGCAAAAAAUAAAAUAUUUUGAUUUUUUUAUUUAGUCAAAAAGUUUAAAAAAUAAUUAAUAAGUAAAAAGAAUUUAAAAAAUUAUUUAUAGUUUGAAAGCAAAUUACAUUCAACAUUAAAUAAAAAAAUCAAACGUCACGUUAAGAUUCAAAAUGAUUAUAAAUGUGUGACACUAAGCUUAAUAUAAACUUUUGUAUAUUUCACAUUAAGACUUCUUAAUUUAUUCUCUUUAGUUAUUUCAUUUUUUUUCCUGACAUUUUUUGAGGUCUUUUUAUUCUCAUUUCUGUUUCAUAUAACAACUUCUUUAGUUUUCUUUCCAUAUAACCAUAGAGGCAAAAUGAGUGUAAUAUAAUACAAUUGUCCAAUAAUAAUAUCUAAUAAUAUAAAACAAUUAUUUUAAAUAUAUAACAAUAUUUAAAAUUUUAGACAAAAAAUAAUAAUAUAUGUAUGGUAUAGUUUAUUAUAUUUGAAAAUAAUAUUAUAUGCGUUGAUAAAAAAAUAUUAAUUUUGUAAGUGUAUAUUUAUUAUUAAAUUACAUCAAAUAUUGUCCGAUAAUAAUAUUAUGAUAUUUGAUUAUAAUAUAUUUAAUAUUAAAAUUAUGAUACAUUUAAUUCAAUUAUAUUAAAUGAUAUAAAAUAAAUAAUAAUAUAUGUAUAAUUUUUUAAUAUUUAAUUAAUAAUAUUAAAAACACUAAAAAAAAGUUCUCAUGAUAAUUUUUAUAUUUUUAGUAAUUAAUUAAAUAAAAAAAAUUAUUUAAUUAUAAAAUACCUAUAAUUAAUUUGUUCUUCAAAAUAUAUCACGGUGGAAUAUAUUUAUGAAGGGUGAGCUUGCCCUAGUGGUUGGCAAAGUUUAUUUCGAACCUUUUGUUUGAGUCCCCUCAUCUGCAACACAAAAUUAAGAUAUUUUGAUCUUUGACCGUCCCUACCUCGCGUUGCAGCCUAUUUGAGCGCGCCCCCCAACCUGCAUUGCAACCUGUUUGAUCGCCCACGACCCGCGUUACAGCCCGCAGUUGGCAGACCGUCGUUGCAGUGGGUCGACUUUCUUUGCUGAAAUUUCAUCGAAAUUUGCCAAAUUUUCAUCGAAAAAUGCCAGUAGCUGGAGAUAUUUUUUCUAUUUUGUCAAUUAAUCAGCAAAUUCUGAAAUUUCGAAACUUGCCCGUGUGUGUUUUUUUUUUUAAAAAAAAAUCACCUCAUGGAUUUUGAGCUUUUAUUUUUUCAAAUAUAUCAACUUUAGGGGCUAACCAUCAAUUAUUUAAUCAUUCAACGUACAAUAAUGAGAUUCUCAAUCCUUCGUAAUGACAUUAAUUUAAUCCACUUCUGUUGUUAAUUAUACUUCAAUUAAAUCAGCCUUUCAAAAAUUAAAUUAAAUCUAUUAAAUGAUAAUAUUCAAAUUAAUUAAUCAAUUUACCUUUUUAUAUAAAUUCUUAAAUUUAUAUAACAUAAUGUAAUCUUGAUUUCAUUUCGAAAGAAUUUUGCUUCAUGUUUUGUAAUUUUAUAAGGUUGAAUUCCAAUUAUAAUUAAAAAAUAAAUUGAUCUAUUAUAAUAUUAAAUUAAAUAUCUUUUAAAAAAUUUACUAUAACGAUUUGAUAUAAUAUGAAUCUCAAGUAUUUGUAAUUAAAGUUCUUUGAUAAUUAGCUUAUAAGAAUAUAAUUAAUUUUUAUAAUACAUGCAAUAUUCAAAUUUCAAAAAUCCAAUCUCAAAUAACUUUUAAGUUUAAUUUUUGAAAUGUGACUUGGCAAGAAUUUAAAUUAAUGACGGCUUGGCCUAAUUAAAUAAAAUAUUUACACGUGAAUGUUCACUAACAUCAUCAUGAAUGGUCUAAAUAAAUGAAUGUUCUAGACCCUUCAUUCUGGAUGCUGUUGAGGAUAGUCAUCGGCAGUAGAAACAUCUUCUGAACCGAUUAAAAUACCAACAGUCACCAUUCAUUUAUUUAGACCAUUCAUUUUGGUUGAUGUUGAGGAUAGUCAUCGGCAGUAGACCUACAUCUUCUGGACCAAUUAGCAUACCAACAGUGAUUAGGCUAAGGUGGUGAUCCAAUUCCAUGGAUGAGCAGCAAGGAAGGAGGAACGUUGGAGAGAUAGAACCAGUUGGCGGCCAACCAAGCAGGAACAGUGGCCAAACUGGCCUCGAGCCUGAGGAGCAUAGGAUUGACAUUGUUGAAAUCAGUCAUAGGGAUUGGAUUGAGUCUCUCAGAACGGCAGAAGAAAGCACUCAAUGGCGAAGGAUACCAAAGGUUCCUCAGAAGCUGAGGGGGACCCAGGAUUUCAAGAAAUUCUACGAACCGAGGGUAAUUUCAAUCGGUCCUUACCACCAUGGCGAACCCAACCUUGGCCCAGUGGAAAUGAUCAAGCUUCCAUGUGCCCAAAAAUUCCUGGCUCAUAGUAACCAGGACAUUGAAGCUUUGUACACAAAAAUUCGAAGUAAAAUCGAGGCAGUGAAAAAGUGCUAUGAUUAGAGUAGUACAGAAAAGUAUGAUGAUGAGAAACUCGCCAGGAUGAUGCUUCUGGAUGGGUGUUUUGUACUACAAUUCAUCCGCUGGAAAGGUAUGAGAAAAUUUCUUAGAAAUCACCAAAUAAAUUUUGUGAUGCAGGACUUGUUCUUGCUGGAGAACCAACUUCCCUUUGGAGUCCUCAAGUUGAUUUUUGAGGGAGCAAAUUUCCAGGGUGGUCUACCAAUGGAAAAGAAUAUAAAAAAUUUCAUCACUUACUUCGGAAUGCCAGAAGGGUUGUCAUCAGAAAUACAGCUGUAAGAGGUGAACGAAGAGCCCUCUCAUCUACUCGACCUUUUGCAAAGUGCUCUCCUAGGCCAGAGUCAGCCCGAACAAGAGCAGCAACCUGAGAAAAAAGGAAAGUCGUCGUCGUCGUCUCAAGGAGGAAAGUGGGGGUUCUGUUGCCGAUGGAAAAAAAGCAUACAACGGGGCAUUUGGCAGUCUUUUCGACACAUCAAGGAGCUUAAAGCUGCCGGGAUCUAUCUCAAACCGAGUAGAACGUGUUUCUUGAGAGACAUUUCUUUCAAAUCCUACUUCUUCUUUGGCUACCUGAAACUUCCCCCAAUAACCAUUGAUGACUUCACGAAGACCAAGUUCUUGAACAUGGUAGCCUAUGAAAUGUGUCCAGAUGCCCCAGAUGACUAUGCGGUCACUUCUUACAUAUGCUUCCUUUACGACCUCAUUGAUCAUGCAGACGAUGUCAAGGAGCUGAGAUCUAAGCACAUUCUCCACAACCUUCUUGGCAGCGAUGACGAUGUGGCCCAAAUUUUCAACGAGAUCGGCAAUGACUUGGUAGAUCCCGAUGCUUAUAAAGAUGUAAAAGAUUGUAUUCAGAAGCACUACAAGAAGAGAGUGAAUACUUGGAUAGCUCAAGCCCUUCACAACCAUUUCAGGUCUCCAUGGACUGUCAUGGCUUUCAUUGCUGCUGUUUUGAUACUAUUUCAGGUCUCCAUGGAUUAAUUAUGACUGUGAUGUGUUUUUAUCCUGUUUGGUGUGUGUGAUUAGAGAAAUAAAGAUGUGUAGAUUGUUAAGUUGUAUCACUGGAUUUCAUGCAUGCAAUAUUAUGGGUCUUUUCCAGUUUUCCUCCCCACAUGAAUUUGCUAUACAAUCUCCAGCUUGCUUUUUUCUGUUCUUUUUCAUAGAGCAGGAUCAUAGAUAACACAACAUCAACAUAGAAAAUUUUCGGUCAACAGUAUGUGAUUCCGUGGAUGGGAUGGGAUUGAAUUUGCUCACACACUUUUUUAUCUAAGGAGAAAAUUGUGGAUAAAAUCAUAAUUUUGAUAUAUUUAUAAAUUGAGGAAGGGCUAUCUCUAAUUUAUUUUUAAUAUAAAAGAUAAAAUCAUAAUACAUAACUAAGAAAGGGGAGCGAAGACAUUUUUUAUUUCAUUGUUGAACUUGUUUCAAAAAAAAAAUCCACACACAGAGAUUGAGUUAGAAAUGAAGGUAGAGAAAAGAAUGAUAGAACUCGUUAAAAUUGUUUAUAUCUCAGGCACUAAAAUACAUCUUGUAUCACUUUUUAGGGUAAAAGUGUUUUUAAAGAGCAUUGCCAAUUGGAUUUUAAAUAAUCUAGAUUGUCACUUUUUUUUUUCAAUUAUAUAUAUUAUAUCAAAUAUUUCUAUUUUUUUUGUACAAAGUAAAUAAAUUAUUUAAUAUAUUCAAACAUUGUCAUUCAAUCAAUUGAUAUAAAUCUUUCUUUUAAAGUAAACAUGAUGUAAAUAAUUACGUAUAAUCAAGCAAUCAACUAUCGUUCUUAAUUUAUUUUCUUUGGUUAUUUCAUUUUUUUUUUUUUUUUUUUGCCCUUUUAUUCUCAUUUCUGUUUCAUAUAACAUUUUCUUUACUUUUCUUUCCAUAUAAAAUGAGUGUGAUAUAAUACUAUUGUCCAAUAAUAAUAUCUAAUAAUAUAAAACAAUUAUUUUAAAUAUAUAACAACAUUUAAAAUUUUAGACAAAUAAUUUUCGUUAUUUUCAAUAUUGAUGACACUAAUAAAUUUCAAUUUUAUCUUCAUACAAGCCAAAUAACUCUUAACACUUCACACAAUUUAUCUUUCAUUCACUUGAAUUGAAUUUUUCUCCAACAUCAUUUCCACUAAAAAUCAAUUAUUGCAAAAAAAUAAAAUAAAAUGACAACUAUACACGUAGAAUCCCUUACAAGUAGAAUCACUUGCAAAAAAACACCAUGAUAAGUAAAUCUAAAUCCAAAAAAUAAUAAUCACAAAUUUUUUUAUUAAAAUAUAUUUAUGGACCCCGCAUUUCGGCUUAUACGCCUCCACUCGACGGCGAGCUCGAUUUUUAUUUGAAAAUGACUUGGAGUCGCCACUCAUUUUUGUUUUAUUUUAAAAAGGGUAAGCGAAAUAAAAAAGAAAACCCUAAGUGUGACUCCUUAUUUUGGAAAAGAUGGUUUGUGAAAAACUGGAUCGGGCUUAGGGGUCAGGUUACUUAUCAGGAAGGUACGACAUAAACCGUAGCACCCCUCAAAGUCCCUAAAGUCGGGUCUCUACUAAUACAAUGAAACUGACGUAGCAAUCGACGAGAAAGUCAAUGGAUACUCACCUCAAACACGCACAAUAGGUGAAUCGGAACAUGAAUAGAGAAUGAUCAGAAUGAAAGUGUAUGCGUACCUGGGCCACGGACCAUAAUGCGCUAUCCAAAAAUGGGAUUAGCACACAAUUAAUGAAUACGGAAUAUGGCUCAUGCAUAUUGGAGUGCAAAUCGAAGAUCAAACGAAAUACACUAAGUACGACAGUUAUCAAUCAAAAGGGAUCAAACAUCGGGCCCCCACUAAAGCCCAAUUUAUUGUUCAUGAAUUAGUCUUACAAAUUCCGUGUUUAAAAUUAUGAAGACUUCACUUCUUGCUUAUGUAGAAUCAAGAAGAUCAGAAGAUUAUUUAAUAACCGAAAUGGAAUUAAAACUAUUCGAGUGAAAACUGGAUUCUUGGAGUUUAUUUGAAAAUUAGGAUCUCAAAAAUUACUUGGAAAUUGGAGCCUGGGGAACUGAAUUUAAGAAUGGGAAUUUUGGAAGUUAAGUUUCAAAAAUUGGAAUCCUGAAGAAUUAUUUAAAGAUUGAGUUUCAAAAAUAAACAAAUAAAUAAAAUAAUAAUGAUUAAAUAAAUCAAUAUGGGAAUUAAAUAUUUUGGAAAUUGGAAUCUAAAUUUAGAAAUCGGGAUUUUGAAGAAUUGUUUGAAGAUUGAAUUUUAAAAAUAAAUAAAUAAAUAAAAUAAUGAGGAUUUAAAUAAAUUGACAUGAGAAUUAAAAUUUCGGAAAUUGGAAUUUAAUUUAGAAGCCAGAAAAUUGGAACUGUUUUAAAGAAGGAAAUUUUGAAAUGGAUAGCUGGAAUAAUAAUAGUGAUGAUAAUAAUAAUUGUUUUGAAAGCUAAAUUUUAAAUAUUAAAACUUUGGUAAUUAGAUUGAAAUUCGUAUUUUUGACAAUUAACUCUGGAAGUUGAGAAUUUAAAAAUUAUUCCAAAAUGAAGACCUUGAUAAUGAGAUUUAAGAAAUGAACCCUAGGAAAUUAAACUGCGAGAAUAUGGAUUUUGAAAGUUGAAUUUGAAGAUUUAAGUAGUAGUAGUAAUAAUAAUAAUAAUAAUAACAAUAACAGUAAUAAUAAUAUUAAACUGCGAGAAUAUGGAUUUUGAAAGUUGAAUUUGAAGAUUUAAGUAAUAAUAAUAAUAAUAAUAAUAAUAAUAAUAAUAAUAAUAAUAAUAAUAACAACAACAAUAAUAAUAAUAAUAAUAUUAAACUGCGAGAAUAUGAAUUUUGAAAGUUGAAUUUGAAGAUUAAAAUAGUAAUAAUAAUAAUAAACUACGAGAAUAUAGAUUUUGAAAGUUGAAUUAGAAGAUUUAAGUAAUAAUAAUAAUAGUAAUAAUAAUAAUAUUGAACUUGAAUAUUUAAGUAAUAAUAAUAAUAGAAAUGGGCUUAAGACAAUGGCUAGAAAUGGGCUUAGGACAAUGGCUACUCAAAUUGAGCCCUUUAAUGGGCCUAGGGUGGGAAGAUUGAAUUUGAAGAUUUAAGUAAUAACAAUAGAAAUGGGCUUAGGACAAAAUGGGCUUAGGACAAUGGCUACGACUUGAGCCCUUUAAUGGGCCUAGGGUGGAAAAAUUGAAGAUUUAAGUAAUAACAAUAGAAAUGGGCUUAUGACAAUGGCUACAAAUUGAGCCCUUUAAUGGGCGGGAAAAUUGAAGUUGAAGAUUUAAGUAAUAAUAAUAGAAAUGGGCUUAGGACAAUGGCUACAAAUUGAGCCCUCUAAUGGGCUUAAGGUGGGAAGAUUAAAUCUCAAAGAAAGAUAGUGGGCCUUGGGCAUCUUGGUGGUGCAUGGAUUCUCUAUAUUGUAGCCAUAGUUUCAAGGUGAACAAGAGGGAACGACGGCACGAACCAGCUCCAGGGGUAUAACCGAAAGUGUAGAGAUGGCGCGGAGGUUGGGGCUUGAUGAACAGCAUGGGAUAGGUUGAUGGUGAUGAGCUUGUGGUACGAGAGAUAAGAUGAGCUUGGUGAUGGAAACGAGUGAGCAUGCAACUUGGAGAGGUGAGGAGAGUAGGAUAUGCGACUUGGAGCAUUAGUGGGUAUGAUUGUGGUGUAGAGAGGGAAGAGGUGGUGGGACGAAGUGCGCAUAAGAGAUUUGACACAAAGAGGCGAUAUGGGAAGAGUGGAGAUGGGUGGUAUGAAAAGUGAGUACAUGCGGAUAUGAGUGUGAAGAGGUUGGUGAGAAGCGGAGAUGUCCAUGCAUGCUUGAAAUGGGUGACAAAAUAAUGAUAUAAGGGGUAGUGGAAGGUGAUGACGGGAAGUGGGUUCAAUGAAACUGUUAGAGAGAGAAAGGGGUGCUAUUGGUAGUGAGAAGAGUGGAAGCACGAGCGUGAGUGAUGGUGAGUUUGAGUGGGUUUGGGUGAUGAUGUAGAUAUAGAAAGUGAAUAAAUAGAAGAGGUGGGUGAAGAAUAGGGCAUGAAACGUAUGAGGUGUGUAGAUGGUAUGAAAAGGUGGACAUGGUCUCCAUGGACUAUCAUGGCUUUCAUUUCAGCUGUUUUGUAGUCCACUUUCAAUCUCAUCACUUCAACACAAAUUGGGGCCAGCCAGGAGAGAGAUUUUUUGGUAGGAUGAGUUAUUGAAUAUAAAUUGGUGACGUGUCAGCAUCUUAGAGGGUCCAUGCAUGGUUUCAAUAUCAUUAUUUACGGUUCUUUUUAAUAAGAAUAAUGUUUAAACUUUGUACUCAUCCAAAAAGUAUUGAAUUAUUGGUACUAAACCGCACAUCCCAACAUUUUCCAUGAAAGGACAAUAAUUGCAUCUAAUUACAAAUAUAUCCUGGAAUCCAUCCCAUAUUUUUCUCGUGAACUAAUCUGUUUGGUUCGGAAACCACUGAAAAAAGAGAUGGAAAAUGCUAAAAAUAUAUUUUUUUAUAUUUGAUUUUGUUACAAAAAAAAAAAAAUUAACCAUGAAAGUCUGAAUAUAAUUAAAAUUAUUUAAAUUUUGUAUAUUUUUAAAAUUAUUAAUCCUUAUGUAAAAGAGUUAAAUACUUAAAAAUAAUAUUUAUCAUUGAUUUUAACUUUAAUUUUUUUUUCCUUUUACCUUUUCUCUCUAUUUUCUUUCCCUCACAAUUUCCUUCAAAAUAUUCCCUCAAUAACCUACUAAUUUAGUGUUUGUUGUUAUACUUUUUUUUUUUUUUAAACUUAAAUUUAAAUAAAAUUUAAUUUAACUUAAUUAUAAUAAAAGAAAAGGAUCAUACCACUUUUUUUUUUUUUUUUUUUUUUUUUUUUUUUUAUGGAUGUCAAGAUGGAUUUAAGAUACAUUUAUAAUAAGAUGAAAUUAUAGUCUGUUGAUGGAAAAUAUCAUUAUAAAAAAUGUCAUUUGAUCAGUGUGACCCUCUCGUAAUUGAUAACAAAUUCAAUUAUUGUCUGUCGAUGGAAACUGAAUUUCCAACCACACAAAAUUAAAUUCAUAUAAACAAUGACUUUUCUUGUUUCAAUUAUUUAUAUUAUAUCAAAUAUUUCUAAUUUUUUUGUAUAAAUAAAUUAUUUUAUUCUCUAAUUAUAGAUUCAAACAUACAAUGUCAUCCAAUCAAUAGAUACAUAAAUCUUUUUUUCAAAUAUAAACAUAAUGCAAAUAUAUACACACAAUCAAGUGGUGCGAUAUCGUUCCUAAGUUUUUACUGAAGAAUACACGUUUAUACCUAAAUACACUUCUCAUUUGGAGUGUUCUCGGGGUAAGUUUUUGUAAUUUAUAUAAGAGAUCUCACUUAUUUCUCAAUUCGCCCUCUUUGAAUCUUUUCAUUUCGAUCUUAUUUUCUUUUCUUUUAAUCUUUUUGCCCUCAUUCUCAUUUCCAUUUCAUAUAACAAGUUCUUCACUUUUCUUUGUCUACAACCAUGGAUGUAAAAUGAGUGCGGUAUAAUAUUGUUGUGCAAUCCUAACUCAAAUGAUAAUACCAACUAAUAUAAAAUAAUUAUUUUAAACCAAUAGUCAUCGGCAGUAGACUUAUAUCUUCUGGACCAAUUAGUAUACCAACAGUGAUCAGGCUAAGGUGAUGAUCCAAUUCCAUGGAAGAGCAUCAAGAAAGGAGGAGGAACGUUGGAGAGAAAGAAGGCGGCCAACCAAGCAGGAACAGUGGCCAAACUGGCCUCGAGCCUGAGGAGCAUAUGAUUGACAGUGUUGAAAUCAGUCCUAGGGUGAAAAAUUGGAUUAAGUCUCUCAAAAACGCAGAAGAAAGCACUCAAUCUCAAAGUUCAUGGCCAAGGAUACCAAAGGUUCCUCAGUUGCUGAGGGGGACCCAUGAUUUCGAGAGAUUGUACGAACCGAGGGUAAUUUCAAUCGGUCCUUACCACCAUGGCAAACCCCACCUUCAACCAGUGGAGACGAUCAAGCUUCAAUAUGCCCAAAAAUUCCUGGCUGAUAGUGACCAGGACAUCGAAGCUUUGUACACAAAAAUUGGAAGUAAUAUCGAGGCGUUGAGGAAGUGCUAUGAUAAGAUACCGACGGAUGAUGAGAAACUCGCCUGGAUGAUGCUUCUGGAUGGGUGUUUUUUACUACAAUUCAUCCGCAGCAGAAAGGACGGCAGCACAGUCGAUUUGAGUAACGUUCUUAGAAUUCACCAAAUAAAUUUUGUGGAGCGGGACUUGUUCUUGCUGGAGAACCAACUGCCCUUUGGAGUCCUCCAGUUGAUUUUUGAGGGAGCAAAAUUCAAUGAUGGUUCAACAAUGGAACAGAUGAUAAAAAAUUUCGUCACUCGCAUCGCAAGUCUACAACCGUCAUCAGAAAAACCGCUGGAUGAGCGCUCUCAUCUCCUCGACCUUUUGCGAAGUGCUAUCCUAGGCAAGAGUGCGCCCAAACAAGAGCGGCAACCUGAUAAAAAAGGAAAGUCGUCGUCGUCUUCAGGAGGAGAUGGGCGGUUCUGUUGCCCAUGGAAAAAAGGCAAACAACGAGGCAUUCGGCAGCCUUUUCGAAACAUCAAGGAGCUUAAAGCUUCCGGGAUCCAUCUCCGACAGAGUAGAACGAGUUUCUUGACAGACAUUUCUUUCAAUUCCUACUUCUUCCGUGGCUACCUGAAUCUUCCCCCAAUAAUCGUUGAUGACUCCACGAAGUCCAGGUUCUUGAACAUUGUAGCCUAUGAAAUGUGUCCAGAUGCCCCUGAUGACUAUACGGUCACUUCUUAUUUAUGCUUCCUUCACGGGCUCAUUCAUCAUGCGGACGAUGUCAAGGAGCUGAGAUCUAGGCACAUUCUCAUCAACCAUCUUGGCAGCGAUGAAGAUGUGGCCCGACUUUUCAACGAGAUCGCCAACGACGUGGUAGAUACCGGAGUUUAUGGAGAUGUGAAAGCUCGUAUUCAGAAAGACUACGACAAGAGGGUGAAUACUUGCAUAGCAGCCAUUAACGGAUUGGCACUGCUUUUACGGCUGUACAAUUGAUACUAUUUCUUACUGGUGUCCAAACCUACUACGCUCUUCCAGGUAAUUAAUGUAUGUGUGUAUGUAUGUGAUUAAUUAUCAUUGUGAUGUGCUUUUUUUUUCUUGUUUGGUGUGUUUAUGUUUGAAAAAAAUCCAACUUUCCAUGAUUGAAGUAAAUAUAUCAAUACAAGAUAUCAUUUUAUUAGAGAGUAUUAUGUAGAAGGAAAAACAAUUAAAAUUUGUAAAAUCUCUAGAUCAAAUUACCAAUAUUUGUAUCAAACCUAUCAAGUUUAAAGAUUUUAAAAAUUAAAGGAUGUUAUUCAAGAUAUACAAAUCAAGUUUUGAGUAGUCAAAUCAUAAAAAAAGUUUGAGGUAACAUAUAAAAAUAAUUUAUUAAUUAAAAUUUUUUUUCUUUCUCUAUUUUCUUUUUCUUAUAUUUUCUUUCAAACUUUUUAGGAACCAAACAUAACCUACUAAUUUAGUGUUUUUCUUUUACUUAAAUCUAAAUAGAACUUAAUUUUACUUAAUUCUAAAUACAACUUAAUAAUAUUAAGUAUUAAGUUGUUUAUUUUUAUUAUUUCAUUUCUUUUAAGUAUUAAGCAUUAAUAGGUGGGAGUUGCAUUGAGGUUGUGUUUUGGUUAUUUUAAAAGGUUACUUCUAGCAUUAAGUAAAAAAAAUUAAAUAUUUUGACUUUUUUCAUUCAAUCAAUUUUUUUUAAAAAAAAUAAGUAAUAAGUAAAAAAUAAGUAAAUCAUCUCAAGUCUGAAAGCAAAUUAUAUUCAAUAUUAAAAGAAAAAAAAAUCAAAACAACCGUAGAACCCCAUCUAGUUGCAGCUCGUUUCUUAUCAGGUGCAGCAUUUCUGAGGUUUUAUGCGUGUCAACUCGAGAAAGGCUGGGGCGGGGACCGUUUUCUGGAAACAUCAGCUGCAUGAAACGUGUGGGGAGCAACUGACCACAGCCAUAGUGGUGGUUGGGGCUCCAGACAUGCUGAGCGGGGGAACAGGGGAGUGGAUAUUGGCUUGUGAGAGGAGAAAAAAAGAAAGAGUUGCUUAUCUUCCCACCCAUUCACCUAUCCCACAUUCUCUCACGUCCGUGCAGCCCACAUGCUCCCCUCAUGACAUUCCCUUGCUCAUCCUAUCAUGCAUUUUUCACUCCCAUGUUCAUGCCAUACUCACCGCCAUCUUUUCUCUCUCUACACCGUGUCAUGCACCCAUUUGUUUUCCUAAAAAGACCACAACCCCUGUUUUGUGCUCCAUCACAGCCCAUGCUUGUGCCACCACAUAACCCUCGUUUUCACCCCCACUUUCAUACCCAUGCAACCAAUCUUUCUCACCCUCUCAUCACCCACUGAAGUGUAUGGAAGUCGUGGUGAUUUCCCUCCAUCUCGCGUUGCCUAGGCUGUCCUCAGUCCGCGUGUUUUCCUGCGCGCUUGCUUCAGAUUAAACUUCGUUCGUCGGCUUCUUUAAAACCCUUUCAACUCGUGUUGUAGUUUAAUGGAUCAAAGCCCAAAUCAGAGAGGAAGGCAAACCUGGGUUCUUGGGUGCAAGUGUAUGCCAAAGGGGAGGUGUAGGAGGGUGAAUUUCACGAGUGGUGGUGUUCAGGAAGUGGGGUUUAUUAUUAUCAUAGGAGUGGGAGGAUAUGUGGGCAUGGAUCAACCUACAGGUAUGGGCAUAAAAGUGGGCCUGAGCAUGGGCCUGAGCCUGGGGGUGAAUGUGGGCCUGAGCAUGGGUUUGAAUAUUGAAAUGUGGCAAGUAGCCCGGAUGCAACAACCAACUUUGCCUCCUGGAGGUUAUAACCUCAUGAUGGGCUCAGGUGGUUAUACUCUUUAGCAACCAACCAUAUGGUAAUGGCUACCAUUAGGAAUGCUAUACACGUAAUGGAUGCCUAUUAUUUCAAGUGAUUCCUAUAUUCCCAAUUUACGCAAUUUAAUUCUUAAAGCCCUAAUUUCUCGAUAUUCUUUCAAAUUUCGAUUUUCACACUAAUAUAUUUGAUCACUAUUACCAUUAUUUCAUUAUUAUUUGUUUAUUUCUAAAAUUCGAUCUUUAAACACAUCUUCAAAAAUUCCAUUUUUUUAAAAUUUAAUUUCUAAUCCUGAUAAUUCCCAUACUCGCUUUAAUUUAUUUAAUCAUAAAUAUUUUAUUCAUUUAUUUUAAAACUCUAUUUUUAAUCUAUUCUUUAAAAUUCCCGAUUACCGAAUUAAAUUCCGAAAAUUCCCAUACUCACUUUAAUUUAUUUAAUCACUAAUAUUUCAAUCAUUUAUUUUAAAAUUCCAUUUUUAAUCUAUUCUUUAAAACUUCCGAUUUCAAAAAUUCCAAAAUUCACGUUUAUUUAUUUAAUCAUUAUUUUCGUUCCGUUUUAAACAAUUCAUUAAAAUUUUCGACUUCCAAUUUUAAUUCCGAAAAUUCCAAUAUUCACAUUAAUUUAUUUAAUUAUUAUUAUUUUAUUUAUUUAUUCUAAAAUUCCAUUUUUAAACAAUUCAUUAAAAUUUCCACUUUUGCUAAUUCCAAAAUUCCAACAUUCACAUUAAUCUAUUUAAUUAUUAUUAUUUUAUUUAUUUAUUCUAAAAUUUCAUUUUAAACAAUUCCAACAUUCACAUUAAUCUAUUUAAUUAUUAUUAUUUUAGUUAUUUAUUUUGAAAUUCCAUUUUAAACAAUCCUUCAAAAUUCCAAUUUCUGAACUUAAUUUCCAAUUUCCAAAAUUCUAAUUUCUUUCAAAUUUAAUAUCUAAAAUUCCAAUUCUUAAAUUUAAUUUUCAAGACUCCAAUCUUCAAAUAAUUUUCGAGACUCUAAUUUUCAAAUAAAUUUGAAAAAUCCAGUUUUCUCUCGAAUAGCUUUAAUUCCACUCCGAUUUUUAAAUAAUGUUCUAUUUCUUUUGAUUUUUUUACACAAGCAAGAAUGAUGAAUCUUCAUAAUUCCGAAAUAAUGGGAUUCGCGAGAUUAAUUCAGGCAAGAUCAAUCGGGCUUUGGUGAGGGCCCCACAUAUGUGAUUUUAUGACUGACUGAUUGAUUAAUUAAUUUAUUUACCAUGCUUGUUUGAUUUAUUCUGUUACUUGACAUGCGCAUAAUUUUAUCUAUUCGUCAUUCACUAAUCCUGUUUCAUGAUAGCGCAUUCGUGACUUGAGGACCAGGUACGCAUCCACUCAUAUUUUGUUCGUUCUUUAUACAUGCUCUGCUUCCCACGUCGUGCAUGAUUAAGGUGAGUAUUCAUUGGCUUUCUCAUUGAUUGCCGCGUUAGCUUCAUUCUAUUAGUAGAGACCCGAUUUCAGGGACUUAGAGGGGUGCUACGGUUCAUGUCAUACCUUCUCGAUAAGUAACCUGACCCCCGAACUCGAUCCGGUUUUUCGUAGAUCACCUUUUCCAAAUAAGGAGUCACACUUAGGAUUUUUCUUUCUUAUUUUGUUUACCCUUUUAAAAAUAAAACAAAAAUAAGUGGCGACUCCAAGUCAUUUUCUUAAUCAAAUAAAAUCAUUUUUCAAAUAAAAAUCGAGCUCGCCAUCGAGUGGGAAAUACAUGAGCCGAAAUGUGGGGUCCACAACAACAUAAGAUUUAAAAUUCAAAAUGAUUAUAAAUGUGUGACACUAAGCUUAAUGCACGCGUGCUAAAGGUCACUAAUGUUAUUCGUAGUUUUCCCAUGGCAAUUGGUAUGUUUCACAAUCUUUCUUGGACGUGGGAGGGGCUUGGGUUUUUGAAUGAGAAUGAAGCUUUUUGAAAGGUUUGUAAUAAUAAAAUAUAACAUCAAAAAUAAAAUGAGGUAUUUAUGUAAAAUAAAAAGAAAAUUGUCUAAAAAAAUUCAUUAAGGCUGUGUCUCUCUGGUUUAAAAAAUUUGAGGGAAAGAAAAUAGAUAAAAAAAAGUGGAAGGAAAAAAAAUGAAGGAAAAUAAAAAAUAAAUUAAAAGUCAAUAAAUUAUUUUUAUAUUCUUCUUCAAAUUUAUUUCACUUGCUCUUCUUCAUUAUAUAAAGAUUAUAUAAUUUUAAAAUGCAUAUAUUUUUAACUAAUUUGAAUUAUAUUUGAUUUUUUUUUGUAUUUUUUUUAUAGUAAAACCAAAUAUAAGAAAAUCAUUUUCCUUAAUAUUUUUUCAUUUUCUUAGUACUUUUUGAAAACCAAAUAUAACCUAAUUCUUAAUUAAUUUAAAUUAUAUUUGAUAUUAAAUAUUUAAUUAUGUAAAUAUUAAAAAUAAAUAAAAUCUAAUAAUUGUACUAAUAUUUUAUAUUUUCAUUUUCUAAUUUUUACUUUAUUUUAAUAGAUACUAAACAUGAUUUUUAAAUUUUAAAAAAUUUUUUAAUUAUAAAAAUAAGAAUGGAAAAAUAAAUAUCGGAUAGCUAAUUUUGACAGACAUGUAAUUUUGAUAGUGAGUGGUGUGAGGAGGGCUUUUUUGCCCAAAUUUUUGUGUUUUCCAAAUCUAAGCCAUUUCCUUGCCUACUUUUUUUCUCCAUGUUCCAAGUAAACAAGGGUAAAUACUUACAAUAAAAAAUUAAUGAAAGACAAAAACCAUACAACUAUUUCCUCCAUAGAUACCAACAUGGAUUCGAGAUUUAAGAUACAUUUAUAAUUAGACGAAAAAUGGCACGAUGAAAAAUAUCAUUUGAUUAAGGUAAGGUGGAAAAAUAAGGGCUACAUUUAAAGUACUCGAGUAUAUUAUAUAUGCUCCCUUUAGGGUGAUUCCCAUAUCAUUUAUAUAUUUCUUUUUAAUUCAAUUUGAAAUUUGAAUUCAAUUUUAUAUUUAUAUUGUAUAUAUUUAUAAUAAUAUAUAUUAUAUAUAAUUAUUUAUAAUAAAAUAAUAAAAAUUAUAAUAUUAAUUAAUUUAAUAGGAUUAAAAAGGACUAAUUUUUUUUAAAUUAUUAUAUAUAUAGGUCUGAAUGGAAAAAAUAUCAUCCAUUUAUUUAUACUCUUAUAUGUUGAUAUCAUUAGUUUGUACCCUCAUUCUAAACAAGGGUACCUUAUCUUGAUCUCAUGCAUUGGUUUGUGUUUUGGAAUUUGAAAGGUUUCCUUAGGUUUAUUUAAGUUUUGACAAUAAAUAAUUAGUAAAAGAAAAGGACCAUACCACUUUUUCCUCCAUAUUCCAAGUAAAUAUGGGAAAAGACUUACCACAAGAAAUUAAAGAAAGGAAAAGAACCACACCACUAUUUCCUCAAUAAAUGUCAAGAGGAUACAUUUGUAAUCAAUGUUGGGAAAUGUCAACAUGGAAAAUAUCCUUUGAUCAAUGUAAGAUGGAAAAGAUCAUUUGACAAGGGCUACAUUUACAGGACUCAAAUAUAUUUUUUUCAAUAGGUAUGAAAAAAACAUCAUCAAUCAAGUGGUGUUAAAUAUAUAUUUUUUAAUCUCAUUAUUUGUACCACAAUCCUAUUUAUUUAUACUCUUAUACCUUGAUAUUAUUAGUUUGUAUCUUCAUUCUAUCUUACCUUGAUCUCAUUAGUUUGUUUUUCAAAAUAUGAAAGGCUUCCUUAUGUUCAUCCAAGUCCUUAGACUCCUUACAAUAAGGAAUUAAUAUAUGAAAAUGAUCGUACCAUUUUUUUCUUGAUGGAUGUCAGGAUGGAUUCAAGAUACAUUUAUAAUAAGAUGUAAUUAUUAUUUAUAUAUUGAGAUUGAAUAUUAAGAUUAUUUUAAUUUUUUAAUUAUAAAAACAAGAAUUGAAAAAUUAAAAUUGGAUAGUGUCAACCCCUUAGCCUUUUGACCCAAUUUUGGAGAAAAGGGUCUCAUGGGUAGGCCUUGCACCCAUGGGAGCCUAGAUAGAGAGCAAGAAUGGCCUGGAGGUUUGGCGGUUCAAACCCCAAGAGUUAUAAUGAGAAGGCCAUGUUUGAGCCAAACGUGCACCACAUGCGAGCUAGAUGCGUACCGCGUGCACACUACAGACAAGCUAAACAGGCACCGCACGCGCACCUCGAGUGAGCCAAACAGGUACCGCGCAUACACCAGGCAUAUGUUGGCUAUGGAGUUGGUGUAGUUGGAGGGCGAGGUUUAUUUUGAAAUAUAAUUUAUAAUUAUUUAAAUGUUUCAUUAUGUCUCCUCCAGACAUCUUGAUAACGAUCCGUAUUGCUCUUUAAGGGGGAAAGGGGAUAGGUAAUUCGAGGGGGCACCAAGGGAAGGCCUUGAUCGCACCAAGGGAGCACCAUGGCACGACUCGUGGCGUGCCUAGGACACACAGAUAGACACUCAAGCACACACACAUGGGUUCCACAAUAUGUGUGGCGUGCACCCUGUGGCUGCAACAGCCCGGGGUCUGGUACAACCUACCUCCUCCCCGCACAGGCAUGAAGGGGCCUAAGCCUUGUGCAACUAGCUAACUGAGGAAGCCAUGGUUUGAUGAGGCACUAGACAGACAGUUGGCUUGUACCCAUAAUGCUUACGCACGACACAGGAGCGCAAUGCCAUAGUUCAUUGCUAUAGAGCUUGACCUGACAGUGGGAGAUAGACAUAGGCCCAUACCAUGGGCACCUUGACAUGGCAUGGACUGACACGUCAGUGUGGGGAAGACACACUGAUGCACCAAGCACCUGGUCAGUUGGUUGGUGCAUGUUGCUAGUUCAGAUGACAGCUAGCUAGUGGUAGCAAGUGUGUGAUCCGGACAAUAGUCAGUUUCAAGGGAUUGACAGAUGGUUGGUGCGAAGAGACGCCUUGGACUAAGGGAGUGUCUCCAGCUAGGUGGUUACAUGAGCAGUUCACCAGUUGGGUGGUUAUGCAAGCAGUUUAUGGGCGAUUGUGGCAGUUGCAAAACCACCAGAUUGGCUCCUUGGUUUUGAAUUUUGAAAUUUGAAAUUGUAACUUGCAGGCUGGUCAUUUAAAAAGGGGCCUCUUCCAUCUUUGAGAUAGAGGAUGAGAGCAUGGGAUAUGUCUUUGAAUGCUUAAGGGUUCUAAGCAUUGUACUCUGACUUAGACCAAGUGUUGAGACACUUUGGAAAACGAUUUUAUAUCUUGUAGUGACUGAAAUAAUACAAGUUAGGAAGGGUUCCCGUAAUUGUUGUGUCAUGUUACUUUGUUUUUCUAAGGGUUGGGAAGAAAGGUUAGCUAAGGAAAGGUCCUUAGUACUGCACACUCGAUGAAAAAAUUAAUGCAAUUAUCAGGGGUGUGAUAGAUAGCUAGUAUUUACAGGCAUAUGUAAUUUUGAUAGAGAUGAGAAGAGAAGAAUGAGUGGUAUGAGGAGUGCAUUUUUGCCCAAAUUUUUGUGUUUUAGGAAUCCAAAGCAUUUCCUUUCCCACUUUUUUCUCCAUGUUCUAGGUAAUCAUGGGAAAAAAGUUGCAAAAAAAAAUUAAUUAAAGAAAAGGAAUAUACCACUAUUUCCUUGAUAGAUAUUAGGAUGUAUUUAAGAUUUAAGAUACAUUUAUAAUCCGCAGUGGAAAAUAUCAAGAUAGAAAAUAUCAUUUGAUAAGGACUACAUUUUUAGUACUCAAAUAUACUUCUUUUUAUAGGUAUGAAUGGAUGAAAAGAUAUCAUCAAUCAAUCAAGUGGUGUCAAAUUUAUAUUUUUAAGUAUUAUUAUUUGUGCUCAAAUCCCAUUUAUUUAUACUCUUCUACCUUGAUAUUCUUAGUUUGUACCCUCAUUAUGUGGAAACAAGGGUACUUUACCUUGAUCUCAUUGGUUUUAGUUUGAAAAUUUAAAAGGUUUCCUAAGGUUUAUCUAAGUCCAUACAAUAAGGAAUUAAUAAUAAAAAAAAGGACCAUGCCACUUUUUCCUCCAUGUUCCAAGUAAAUAUGGGAAAAGACCUACAACAAGAAAUUAAUAAAAGAAAAGGACCAUACCACUAUUUCCUUAAUAGAUGUUAAGAUGGAUUCAAGAUACAUUUAUAAGUAAUGGUGAAAAAUGUCAAGAUGGAAAAUAUCCUUUGAUUAAGGUAAGAUCGAAUAAAUCCUUUGCUAAGGGCUAUAUUUAUAGUACUCAAAUAAGCUCUUUUUUGAUACGUAUGGAAAAGACAUUAUCAAUUAAUUGGUGUCAAGUAUAUAUUUUUAAGUCUCAUUAUUAAUGGACCCCAAUUCCAUUUAUUUAUACUCUUAUACCUUGAUAUCAUUAAUAUGUAUCCUCAUUAUAAGUGAAAAAGGGUACCUUACCUUAGUCUUAUUUAUUUGUAUUUCAUAAUCUAAAAGAUUUCCUUAGGUUUAUAUAAACCCUUACAAUAACGAAUUAAUAAAAGAAAAAGACCAUACCACUUUUUCCUUGAUGGAUGUCAAGAUGGAUUCAAGAUAUAUUUAUAAUUAGAUGUAAAUAUUGUCUGUUGCUGGAAAAUAUCAUUAUGGAAAAUGUCCCAUGAUCAAGAUAACCCUCUUGUAAUUGAUGUCGAAUUCAAUUAUUGUCAAUCGAUGGGAAUUGAAUUCCCAACCAUACAAAAUUAAAUUAAUAUAAAUGGUCACUUCACUUUUCUUAUUUCAAUUAUUUAUACCAUAUCAAAUACUUCUAAUUUUUUUGUACAAAAUAAAUAAAUUAUUUGUUAUCUAAUUAUAGAUUCAAAUAUACAAUUGAUGUCAUUGAAUCAAUUGAUACAUAAAUCCUUCUUCCAAAUAUUAACAUAAUGAAAAUGCAAACACACAAUCAAGUAAUGCAAUAUUGUUCCUGAGUGUUCAUAUAAGGAUACACGUGUAUAUCUAAAUACACUCCCCAUUUGGAGUGUUCUUGAGGUAAGUUUUUGUAUCUUAUAUGAAAAAUCUCACUCCCUUCUUAAUUCAAUUUCUUUGGGUCCUUUCAUUUCUCAUUUUAUUUUCUUUUAUUUUUUUUGCCCUCAUUCUCAUUUCCAUUUCAUAUAAGAAGUUCUUAACUUUGCUUUCUAUACCACCAUGGAUGCAAAAUGAAUGAGAUAUAAUAUUAUUGUGCAAACGAAACUCAAAUGAUAUAUAAUACUCAAUAAUAUAAAAUAAUUAUUUUAAACCUAUAAAAAUACUCAAAAUUUUCAAUAAAUAAUUUCCAUUAUUUUCAACGUUGAUAUAUCAUUAAUAAAUUUCAAUUUUAUCUUCCUAACACAGUCCAAAUAAUUAUAACACUUCACACAAAUAUUUAUCUUUGAUUAAUAUGAAUUGAAUUUUUCUCCAACAUAAUUUCCACUAAAAAUCAAUUAAAAUUUCAUAUAAUCGUAAAAAUAAUUAAAAUAACAACUAUAUACUUAGAAUCACUUGCAAAAUAUUAUCAUAAUAAGAGUUUGUUUGAUAGUGAUCAUAAAAGAUGCUUUUAAUAUUUUUAACAUUUAAAAUUUUUUACCAAAAGAAUUGUUUUAAGUACUAGAAAAACUAAACACGUUUUCAAAAAUCACUAUCAAACAAGUUGAAAGAACAUGUUUGAUAUUAUGAAACCCUUUUAACCUUCCCCACAUUUGAAAAUUUUUAGCCAAGUAUUUGUAACCUUUCUAACCUUCCGUUUGGUAGGAAGCGGUGGCAGUGAUUGUUAGUAUUAGUAAUAAUCACUAGACGAAGUCAUGGGCAGUAGACCAAGUCAUCCCUCUUGGUAGGAAGCGCUUUUAACACCAAGCCAUCGGCAGUAGACUUACCUCUUCUGAACCAACAUAUUAACAGUGAUUAGGCCAAAGUGGUGACCCAAUUCCAUGGAAGAGCAGCAAGAAAGGAGGAACGUUGGAGAGAUAGAACUAGAAGGCGGACAACCAAUCAGGAACAGUGGCCAAACCGGCCCCGAGCUUAGGGAGCAUAGGAUGGACAUUGUUGAAAUCAGUCCUAGGGUGAAAAAUUGGAUUGGGUCUUUCAAAAAAGCAGAAGAAAGUACUCAAUCUCAAACUCAAUGGCCAAGGAUACCAAAGGUUCCUCAGAUGCUGAGGGGGACCCAGAAUAUCAAGAAAAUCUACGAACCGAGGGUAAUUUCAAUCGGUCCUUACCACCAUGGCGAGCCCGACCUUGGCCCAGUGGAAAUGAUCAAGCCUCCAUGUGCCCAAUAAUUCCUGGCUGAUAGUAACCAGGACAUCGAAGCUUUGUACACAAAAAUUGGAAGAAAUAUCGAGGCAGUGAAAAAGUGCUAUGGUUGGAGUAGUACAAAAAAGGAUGAUGGUGAGGAACUUGCCUGGAUGAUGCUUCUGGAUGGGUGUUUUUUACUACAAUUCAUCCGCUGGAAAGGUAUGAGAAAGUUUCGUAGAAAUCACCAAAUAAAUUUUGUGGUGCAGGACUUGUUCUUGCUGGAGAACCAACUUCCCUUUGGAGUCCUCAAGUUGAUUUUUGAGGGAACAAAUUUCCAGGGUGGUCUACCAAUGGAAAAGAAUAUAAAAAUAUUCAUCACUUACUUCGGAAUGCCAGAAGGGUUGUCAUCAGAAAUACAGCUGGAAGAGGUGAACGAAGAGCCCUCUCAUCUCCUCGACCUUUUGCGAAGUGCUCUCCUAGGCCAGAGUCAACCCGAACAAGAGCAGCAACCUGAGAAAAAAGGAAAGUCGUCGUCGUCUCAAGGAGGAAAGUGGGGGGUCUGUUGCCGAUGGAAAAAAUGCAAACAACGGGGCAUUUGGCAGUUUUUUCGACACAUCAAGGAGCUUAAAGCUGCCGGGAUCUAUCUCAAACCGAGUAGAACGUGUUUCUUGAGAGACAUUUCUUUCAAAUCCUACUUCUUCUUUGGCUACCUGAAACUUCCCCCAAUAACCAUUGAUGACUUCACGAAGACCAAGUUCUUGAACAUGGUAGCCCUAUGAAAUGUGUCCAGAUGCCCCAGAUGACUAUGCGGUCACUUCUUAUAUAUGCUUCCUUUACGACCUCAUUGAUCAUGCAGACGAUGUCAAGGAGCUGAGAUCUAAGCACAUUCUCCACAACCUUCUUGGCAGCGAUGACGAUGUGGCCAAAAUUUUCAACGAGAUCAGCAAUGACUUGGUAAAUCCCGAAGCUUAUAAAGAUGUGAAAGAUUGUAUUCAGAAACACUACGACAAGAGAGUGAAUACUUGGACAGCUCAAGCCCUUCACAACCAUUUCAGGUCUCCAUGGACCAGGGUUCAAAGUCGCAGUAUCGGUCAUUGACUCGGGAGGUCCUGAGACACAUCGGUCUCGAUAUCUCGGAUCGGUAUCGGGUGAUACGCAAAAAAUUUUAAUUUAAGAGCUCAAAAUAAUUUUCAAAAAUUAUGAAAAUUAUUAAAAAAAUAAAAUACAAAUAAGAAGAGUAAAAAAAUUAAUAAAAUAAACUUCUAUUAUAUUAAAAUUAUUCAAAUUAUAAUAAAAGCAUAUUUUUGGGAUGAUUUAUAAUAAUAUUAAAAAUCUUUAAAAAUAUUUUAAUUUAAUUACUUGAUGAUAAAUAUUUCUUAUUGAAGAUGAAAAUAAUAAAAAGUAAAUUUUUUUAAUAAAAAAUUAUUUAAAUUAAAUAUUUUGAAUUUUUUUAAAAAUGUUUUCAAUUAUUAAAAAAAUAAAACCAUGAUUCAUCUUUAAAAAAAUAAAUAUAAUUUUUCUUAUAAAAUGUAUUCAUUAAUUUUAAUUUUUAUAUAAAUAUUUAUUUGAUAUAAGUCUAAUAUUUAUUAUUUAUUUUUUAUCAUUAUAAUUUUUAUCAAAUUAUUUAAAAUCCAUAUCCCAUCAAAUACUCAUAAUCUAAUUAAAAAAUAAAUACAAAUUAUUUAAACCUAAAUCCUCCAAAUAUCCAUAACCCUCCGGCGUGAAAUGGUUUUGGAAAGCGAUUUGAGAGUGAGUUAGGACAGCAUGCCUUCGGUGAAAAGCUUGGCCUCUGCCCCUCUGGAUUGUGGUGCCUCAACAGGUGAUUGUAGAAGUGGGAUGUCAGCCUACAUGAUCACCGGAGGCAAAUCCUUGCAGAAGUUCCAUAACACAGUCUGUCCCGACUGCAAACCCAUCAGGACCGUUGAUGAUAACAGCGGUGCCGAAGUCCGGCGACUCUACUCCUCAUGUCGCUCAAAUCCAUCUCCGGCGGGAACUUGGGCGAUCCGAACAAGCAGGCGUGCUUCUUCAACCUCGCCGGCGACUCCAAGAUGCAAGGUUCUAACUCUGUAUUUUUCAUUUUCGUGGGUUUUGAUCCUCUCAUCUGAUCUUCUCCACAAUUUCUACUCCAACUCGGGUAUCGGUCCGGUACCGACCAUGGUCGAGGCGGAUACGACUCGGCCGAGUCGUACCGGUCUCGACCGAGAUUUUGAACCAUGCCAUGGACUGUCAUGGCUUUCAUUGCUGCUCUUUUGAUACUAUUUCUUACUGGGUUCAGACCUACUACGCUCUUCCCGGUAAUUAAUAUAUAUAUAUACAUAUAUAUAUAUAUAUAUAUAUAUAUAUAUAUAUAUAUAUAUAUAUAUAUAUAUAUAUAUAUAUAUAUAUAUAUAUCUGGAUUAAUUAUGACUGUGAUGUGUUUUUAUCCUGUUUGGUGUGUGUGAUUAGAAACAAAGAUGUAUAGAUUGUUAAGUUGUAUCACUGGAUUUCAUGCAUGCAAUAUUAUGGGUCUUUUCCAGUUUUCCUCCCCACAUGAAUUUGCUAUACAAUUUCCAGCUUGCUUUUUUCUAUUCUUUUUCAUAGACCAGGAUAAUAGAUAACACAACAUCAACAUAGAAAAUUUUCAGUCAACAGUAUGUGAUUCCGUGGAUGGGAUGGGAUUGAAUUUGCUCACACACUUUUUUAUCUAAGGAGAAAAUUGUGGAUAAAAUCAUAAUUUUGAUAUAUUUAUAAAUUGAGGAAGGGCUCUCUCUAAUUUUUAUUUUUUAUUUUUUAUUUUUUUUAUAAAAGAUAAAAUCAUAAUACAUCACCCAAGGAAGGGGAGUGAAGGCAUUUUUUAUUUCAUCGUUGAACUUGUUUGAAAAAAAAAAAACCCCACUGUAGACCCCCCCGAGGAGCUGAGAGUUUUUUUUUUAUGAUUAUUCUUUUUGCUAUUUUUCUGACUCCUCUGAAGUGGGCUGCUCUCGGGCGGCAGAUGGGACGGGGGUAAGGAGAUGGCUUGGAGGAGAAGCUAAAAAAGAAAAGAGGAAAAGGAAAGAAAAGAAGGGGAAUCCAGAGAGAGAGGGAGAGAGCUCGGAGGGAACAACAGAGUAAGCUGAAGAGUAUUCUCAGGUAUGAAUGUAACAGGUUCAUUGUUAGAUUUAGAUCCUUGCUAUCCCUCCGCAUUUUUUUCUUGUUGAUAUUUUGGAUAUUUGUUGUUUUGCUUGGGGUGGAUUGUUGCUUGUUGAGAUAUAACCUUGAAUUCAUGCUUGCCAUCAUCCAUCUUAAUAUGCUCUGUUUCUAUUGUGAUUGCGGAAUGCCCGAGAAACCCCUCCAAUAUUUACACUUGAUGCUGUUUUUCUCACCUAAUGAGAAGAUUCACUGAUGAUUCAUGAUGUGAAGCUUCCUUUGAGAACCUUACUAUUUGUUUUCUGCUAUGCUCUGUUCCAUGUUUUUUUUUUCUUUUUUUUUCUUCUUUGUUUUGACUACUCUUUGUCCUUGGACCGUGUUCAAUGCAUAGAUGGUGGGAGAGGAGCAACUCUUGGCUUGAGGAGAGCUUCCCAGAAAAACGGGCAGAGAAAACUUUUCGGGGAUGGUCCGAAACAAAGAAGAAAGGAGAAAUGAGCUUUUCUGACGCUUAAGAGGAUUCCGAAAAUUUUUCGAGGCUGGUGCUGGUGCUGGCUGGUGCUGGUGCUGGUGCUGGCUGGUGCUGGUGCUGGUGCUGGCUGCUGGCUGGUGCUGGCUGGUGCUGGUGCUGGCUGGUGCUGGUGCUGGCUGCUGGCUGGUGUUGGCUGGCGUCGCCGCUGCCGCCGCGGGGAGGUGGUGAUCGUGCUGGAGCCAGGCGGGAGGAGGAGCUGUGGAGAAGAUGAAGUUUGGGCUUGGGCUUGAGUUGGGGUACUAGGCCCAAUUUUGUGAUGAAGCCCAGGCCCAAGUGGAAAGAUAUAAAAAAAAGAAGAGAACGAAAGAAGGUCUAAGGCUUAAGUGUUUUUGCUAUUGGCUUUGGGCUUGAUGGAAAUGGGCUCUUUUUAAUAAAAUGGACAUGGGCUUAGGCUUAUAGAUUUGGGCUUGAUGGAGAUGGGCUCUUUUUAAUAAAAUGGACGUGGGCUUUAGGCUUAUAGACUUGGGCUUAAUGAUAUGGAUAUUAUUAUUAUUAUUACUAUUAUUAUCAUGGUUAUUAUUAUUAUUAUCAUUCUUAUUAUCAUUAUUAUUAUUAUUAUUAUUAUUAUUAUUAAUUCAACUUUUAAAAUCCUAUUAUUAUUAUUACUAACCCAACUUUCAAAAAUCUCAUUACUAUUAUUAUUAUUAACCCAACUUUCAAAAUCUCAUUAUUAUCAUUAUUAUUAAUUCACACUUUCAACAUCUAUUUAUUAUUAUUAUUAUCAUCAUUAACCCAAACUUUCAAAAAUCUCAUUAUUAUCAUUAUUAUUAUUUCACACUUUCGACAUCUAUUUAUUAUUAUUAUUAUUAUUAUCAUUAAUCCAAACUCUCAAAAUCUCAUUAUUAUUAUUAUUAAUUCACACUUUCAAAAUCUUUUUAUUAUCAUUAUUAUUAAUUCAACUUUCAAAAUCCUACUAUUAUUAUUAUUAACCCAACUCUCAAAAUAUUAUUAUUAUUAUUAUCAUUAAUUCAACUUUUAAAACCUUAUUAUUAUUAUUAUUAUUAUUACUAUUAUUAUUAUUAUUAAUUUGAUUCUCAAAAUCUUAUUAUUAUUAUUAUUAUUAAUUCACAUUUUCAAAAUAUUAUUAUUAUUAUUAUUAUUAUUAUUAAUUCACACUUUCAAAAUAUCAUUAUUAUUAUUAUUAUUAUUAAUUCACGCUUUCAAAAUAUCAUUAUCAUUAUUAUUAUUAUUAUUACCUCAACUUUCAAAAUAUUAUUAUUAUUAUUAUUAUCAUUAAUUCAGACUUUUGAAAUCAUAUUAUUAUUAUUAUUAUUAAUUCAAACUCUCAAGACCUUAUUACUAUCAUUAUUAUGAAUUCAACUUUCAAAAAUCUAGGGUCUCGCAAUUCAAUUUCCUAAAGUCCGUUUCUCAUUUUCUUUAACAAAUUUCAAUUUAAUCAUCGGAGCUGUAAUCUUCAAAAUUUAAUUCCAAAUACUCCAAUUUUCAAAUAAGCUCCAAUAAUUCGAUUUUCACUCGAAUAGUUUUUAAUCACAUUUCAGUUCCUAAAUAAUCUUUGGAUCUUCUUGAUUUUACAUGAGCAAUAGCGAUUCCUUCAUAAUUCUAAAACGCGGGAUUUGUGAGUUUAGCUCAUGAAUAAUAAAUCGGGUUUUGUUGGAGGCCCUGUGUUUGACCCCUUUUGACUGUCAAUUAUCGUGCUUACUGUAUUUUGCUUGAGUUUCAUUUUGCACUCCGAUAUGUAUGAGCUAUGUUUUGUAUUCAUUAAUUGUGCACUAAUCUCGUUUCUUGAUAGCGCAUUGUGGCUCGUGGCCGAGGUACGCAUCCACUCCCUUUUCUAGUCAAUCUCUAUUGCGUGUUUUGAUUCCCAUAUUGUGCAUGAUUUAGGUGAAUAUCCACUGACUUUCUCGUUUGAUUAUCACGUCAACUUCAUUUUAUUAGUAGAGACCCGACUUUAGGGGCUUAGAGGGUUGCUACGGUCUUUAUCGUACCUUCCCGAUGAGUAACCUGACCCCCGAACCCGAUCCGGUUUUCACAGACCACCUUUUCCAAAACAAGGAGUCACACUUAGGGUUUUUCUUUCUUAUUUUGUUUACCCUUUAAAAAUAAAACAAAAAUAAGUGGCGACUCCAAGUCAUUUUUUUAAUCAACAAAUCAAUUUUUCAAAUAAAAAUCGAGCUCGCCAUUGAGUGGGAAACGCAUGAGCCGAAAUGCGGGGUUCACACCCAUGCACAGAGAUUGAGUUAGAAAUGAAAGUGGAGAAAAGAAUGAUAGAAAACAUGUCAUUCAAUCAAUUGAUAUAAAUCUUUCUUUUAAAGUAAACAUGAUGCAAAUAAUUACAUAUAAUCAAGCAAUGAACUAUCAUUAUUAAUUUAUUUUCUUCGGUCAUUUCAUUUUUUUUUUUGGCCCUUUUAUUCUCAUUUCUGUUUCAUAUAACAUUUUCUUUACUUUUCUUUCCAUAUAAAAUGAGUGUGAUAUAAUAUGAUUGUCCAAUAAUAAUAUCUAAUAAUAUAAAACAAUUAUUUUAAAUAUAUAACAACAUUUAAAAUUUUAGACAAAUAAUUUCCGUUAUUUUCAAUAUUGAUGACACUAAUAAAUUUCAAUUUUAUCAUCAUAACACUUCACACAAAUAUUUAUCUUUCAUUCACAUGUAUUGAAUUAUUCUCCAACAUCAUUUCCACUAAAAAAAUCAAUUAUUGCAAAAGAAAAUAAAUCCAAAAAAUAAUAAUCACUUGCAAAAAGACACCAUGAUAAGUAAAUCUAAAUCCAAAAAAUAAUAAUCACAAUUUUUUUAUUAAAAUAUAUUAUAUGAAAGUUUUGGGGAACAAACUAUUCUAUCAAAAAUCGAGAAUCUAAUCGAUAAUUUUGAAAUUAGACUUCAUGAUAUUUCUCACAUAAAAUAAAACAUUCUCCUAAAAUUUCAUACAAAAAAUCAAAUUUAUUUGCUUCAUCAAACAGCCUUCUGAAGAUCUAUGAUACUGAAUGCUCAGUCUUUUUUUUUUUUUUUUCCUUUUAAUUCAUUCUACACCUCUCUUUCUCUCUCCUAAUACUAGACUUUUUCUUUCUGUUUAUUAUUAUUAUUUCCCUUAGUUGAUUUUUAUCGUUUCUCAUUCAGGAUUUCACACCACUUUCAUAUCAUAAUAAAACUGUAUUUUACCAUAUUCCCAUUUUAAGCUUUUAUUUUUUCAAAUAUAUCAACUUUAGCUAAUAAUAUAAUAAUCCACUAACCUUCGUUCAAUUUACAAUAAUAAGAUUCUUAAUCCUUUGAAAUGACAUUAGUUUAAUUUACUUCUUUUAUUAAAUAUACUUCAAUUAAAUCAACCUUUUAAAAAUUAAAUCUACUAAAUGAUAAUAUUCAUAUUUAAUUAAUUUACCUUUUUAUAUAAAUUCAUAAAUUUACAUAACAUAAUUCAAUUUUAAUUUCAUUUUAUUCAAUUUUGUUUUGUGUUUUUAUAAUUUAUAAGGUUGAAUUCCCAUUAUAAUUAAAAAUUAAAUUGUUUUAUUAUAAUAUUAAAUUAAAUUAAAUAUCUUUUGAAAAAAUUAUUAUAACCAUACAACAUAAUACAAAUUUCACCAAGUUUUUCUAUCAAGGGUUUUCGGAUCAUUACCUUAUAAUAAUAAAAUUAAUUUUUACCAUAUAUGUAAUAUUUGAAUUUCAAAAAUCCAACCACAAAUAAUUUAAUAGUUAAAUUUAAAUUUAAUUUUUGAAAUUCUUAAUUUCGAAAUGUGACUUGGCAAGAAUAUAAACUUUCUAUUAGCUUUGCAAAAAUUACACACAAUUAAAUAAAACGUUGACACGUGAAUGCUUAGUAACAUCAUGGCAGUAGAUUGACAAAUAUAUGAAUUUUGGAUGAUCACGAGGGAUAGUCAUCGGUAGUAACAUCAUGGCAGUAGACUGACAAAAAGCCCAACAUUUUCCAUGAAAGGACAAUAAUUGCAUCUGAUUAUAAAUAGGGAGAAUUACCCUUAAGGGUAGGCUGGGGAAAAAAAUUACUGAAAAGGGUGGGUAGAUUUGAUAAUUCUUAUAAAGGCCUUAUAUUUUUAUUAGACCAAUUUACCCUGAUUUCUCAAGUCCAUUUACCUAUUGAAAAGUACAUCUUCUUUCUUGAUAAUCAUAAAGUAUAAGUACAAUACAAAUGCAAUAAAGUUACAAUGAAAAAAUAUUAACAUUACAAUACAUUACAAUAUACCAAAAUGACAAAUUAUUGAAUUCGUUUUUUUUACUGAACUAGUAUUUCUAGGCUAUCAUGUUAUAUUCCUAUCAUAAAGCAUCCUUGCAAGCCAAAAUUAUAAAAAGACAAUAAAAAUACAUUAUUAUAAUUUUAAUACAUAAAGUUAUUCAUGGUAAUCCAAUGAUAUAUAUAAAAAAAAUCUAUAAAAUUAAUUUUUUAUAUAAAAAUAUAAAUGUACAAUAAAAAUACACUACGAUUAUAAUAUAAAUACAAUAACAUUACGAUAAGGUAAAAUUUUGAAAAUUUCAAAUUUCUUAUGAAAUUGGGCAGUUGUCUAAUAUACAUGUCUAAUAUACAACAAAUAUUGUUCUUUAUUAUAUAAAAUAUGUUUCAAUUGAUUAUAAUUUUUAGUUUUCAAUGAAAAUCCGAAUAUGUUAAUAAAUACCCAAAUAAGCAUGAAACAACUGAGAAAUUUUUUUAUUCUGCCAUGCCAAACAAGUCUCAACAACAAAAUUAAAGUGCAAACCUUUUCAAUGGAAAUCAAUAAUAAUCAUAUCAAACAACCCACCCAGAAAAUAAAUUAAAAAUAAAAACACAUCUUCAAUAUGACCAAAAUAAUAUAAAAAAAUUCAAAAAAAAAAAUUUAAUAACAUUUUACACAAAAAAAAAAUGUAAUUUCUUUCUCAAAACCUCCUUCAAUAUUUCAGAUCUACAUUGUUAAAAUUAUUAAUAGUUCUUUCCUUCAAUCCAAAUUUUAAAUUAUUUAUUUAUUUGCAUAAACUAACGUAUUUUUUUUUUUGGCAUUUUUUUUUUAAAAAUCUUACAUUUAAUGGAUUUCUUGCUAGAUUCACACAAAAAUACAAGCUUUGUGGAGACGGUUCAGAUCAUAACCUGAAGUGCUGGAGUUUUUUCCUCUUUCCCUUUUCUUCUUCAAUACCGAUAAGCUACAGUUGGAUUAAAAGAAGAUUUUUUUUUUUAUGCAUAUUUUUUUUAAAUCUUACCUUUAAUGGAUUUCUUGCUAGAUUCACACAAAAAUACAAGCUUUGUGGAGACAGUUCAGAUCAUAACCUGAAGUGCUGGAAUUUUUUCCUCUUUUCCUUUUCUUCUUCAACAUCGAUAAACUACAGCCGGGUUAAAAGAAGAUUUUUUUUUUGUUUGCUGGCUUUUCACUUGUUAAGGGUAGUCUUGGCAUUUAAACAAAAUAAAGCCUUUGAAAGAAUUAUCAUAAUUCCACCCUACCCUUCAUAAGAAUUAUUAAAUAUACCCACCCUUUUGGAUCAUAUGUUUUCCCAGUCCACCCUUAACAGGAAUUCUCCCUUACAAAUAUAUCCUGGAAUCCAAUCCCCAUAUUUUUCCCGUGAACUAAUCUGUUUGGUUCCAGAAACCACUAAAAAAAAAAAAGGAAAAUGCUAAAAUUAUAUUUCUUUAUACUUGAUUUUGUUACAAAAAAAAAAAAAAAAAAAAAAUCAAAGAAAGUCUGAAUAUAAAUAAAAUUAUUAAAAUUUUUGUAUAUUUUUUAAAUUAUUAAUCCUUAUAUAAAAGAGUUAAAUAAUUGAAAAAAAGUUUAAGGUACUAUAUACUAUUGAUUUUAAUUUUUAAAAUUUUGAUUUUAAUUUUUAAAAGUUUAACUUUUUUUUUUUUAAUCUUUUCUUUUUAUUUUCUUUCUCCCGUGAUUUUCUUCAAACUUUUUUGGAACUAAAUAUAACCUAAACAACCUAUUAAUUUGAGGUUUGUUGUUGUUGAGUUUUUUUUUUACUUAAAUUUAAAUAAUAUUUAAUUUAAUUUAAUUCUAAAUAUAACUUAAUACUAUUAAGUUGUUUAUUUUUAUUAAAUAUUAAGUAUUAAUAGGUGGAGUUGGGUUGAGGUUGUGUUUUAGUUAUUUUAAAAAGUGGUGAUCCAAUUCCAUGGGAGAGGGGCAAGAAAGGAGGAACGUUGGAGAGAAAGAAGGCGGUCAACCAAGCUGGAACAGUGGCGAAACUGGCCCCGAGCCUAAGGAGCAUAGGAUUGACAUUGUUGAAAUCAAUCCUACGGUGAAAAAUUGGAAUCGGUUCAUCCAAAAAGCAAAAGAAAGGAUUCAAUCUCAAAGUCAAUGGCCAAGGAUACCAAAGGUUCCUCAGAUGCUGAGGGGGACCCAGGAUUUCAAGAAAUUCUACGAACCGAGGGUAAUUUCAUUGGGUCCUUACCACCAUGGCAAUCCCCACCUUCGCCCAGGGGAAAUGAUCAAGCCCCUAUUUGCCCAAAAAUUCCUGGCUGAUAGGAACCAGGACAUCGAUGCUUUGUACACAAAAAUUGAAAGUAAUAUCGAGGCAGUGAAGAAGUGCUAUGAUUGGAGUAGUACAAGCGAGUAUGAUGAUGAAGCACUCGCCUGGAUGAUGCUUCUGGAUGGGUGUUUUUUACUACAAUUCAUUUGCGGUACAGGUAUGAAAAACUUUCUUAGAUAUCACCAAAUAGGUUUUGUGGAGCUGGACUUGUUCCUGCUUGAGAACCAACUUCCUUUUGGAGUCCUCAAGUUGAUUUUUGAGGGAACAAGUUUACCAGUGGAAGAGACGAUUAAAGAAUUCGUCACUAACACCAUAAGGCCAGAAGGGUCGACAUCAGAAAUACAACUUAAAGAGGAGUACAAAGAGCCCUCUCAUCUCCUCGACCUCUUGCGAAGUGCUCGCCUAGGUAGGUAUAAAAAGAUUAGCAAGCAAGAACUAGGGAGUCAACCGGAACAAGAGCAGGAAGCUGGAAAAAAGGGAGAGUCGUCGUCGUCUCGAGGAAGAGAUGGAGGGUUCUGUUGCCCAUGGAAAAAAGGCAAACAACAAGGCAAUUGGCCGUCUUUUCGACACAUCAAGGAGCUUAAAGCUGCCGGGAUCCAUCUCCAACCGAGUGCAACGAGUUCCUUGACAGACAUUUAUUUCAAUUCCUACUUCUUCUAUGGCUACCUGAAACUUCCCCAAAUAAUCGUUGAUGACUCUACGAAGCCCAAGUUCUUGAACAUUGUAGCCUAUGAAAUGUGUCCAGAUGCCCCAGAUGACUAUGCGGUCACUUCUUAUGUAUGCUUCCUUUACGAGCUCAUUGAUCAUGCAGACGAUGUGAAGGAGCUGAGAUCUAAGCACAUUCUCUACAACUGUCUUGGCUGCGAUGAAGAUGUGGCCAAAAUUUUCAACGAGAUCGGCAAUGACUUGGUAGAUCCCGAUGCUUAUAAAGAAGUGAAAACUAGUAUUCAGAAACACUACGACAAGAGAGUGAAUAUUUGGAUAGCUAAAGGCCUUCACGAACAUUUCAGGUCUCCAUGGACUAUCAUCGCUUUCAUUGCUGCUGUUUUGAUACUACUUUUUACUGGGGUUUCGACCUACUACGCUCUUCCCGAUAAAUCUUCUUAUCGGGUUUCAGACCUACUUCGCUCUUCCCGCUAAAUCCAAGUGAGUCAUGGUAAUAUAUAUCUUCAAAUUGAUAAAUGGUAGUUUUUUCUAUUCAUUCUUUCAUUCGUUCAUGUACAGAGAAUAUAUAGAGGGUAAUCACCAUUCUAAGAAUGGGAAAGAAUGAUACAAGGAAAGAAUGAUAUAGGAAAUAACAAUUAAUAUUCUAAUAUCUCAACUUUCCUAAUAUCUCAAUAUUCUUAAUAUCUCAACUUUCCUAAUAUUUAAACAUUCCUAAUAUCUCAACACUAAAUAAUAUAAGGAAAGAAUGAUAUACGGAAAACAUUCCUAAUAUCUCAACACUUCCCCUCAAGUUGGUGCAUAGAUGUCACACAUGCCCAACUUGUCUAAAAAUUUUGAGAACACUUGACUUGAGACAACUUUGGUGAGGAUAUCGGCCAAUUGAUCUUCUGAUCGAAUCUUAGGCAAUUCCACAAUCUUAUCAUCCAAAUUUUCCUUAAUGAAGAAUCUAUCCACCUCGACAUGCUUUGUACGAUCAUGUUGUACUGGAUUAUGAGCAACGUCACAUGCGACUUUAUUGUCACAAAACAAUCGAAUUGGUCGCCUAGAUAAGUAACCUAAAUCCUGUAAGAGAAGUCUUAGCCAUAAUGCCUCACAAAGUCCUAGAGUCAUACCUCUAAAUUCUACUUCUGCACUUGAACGAGCGACGACAUUCUGCUUCUUACUUUUCCAUGUCACAAGAUUACCACCUACAAAGGUAAAGUAACCAGAUGUAGAUUGCCUAUCAUCCACUGCACCGGCCCAAUCAGCAUCAGUAUAUACUUCUAUACUCUGAUGAUUAACAUUUUUAGCGAACAAAAUUCCCUUCCCAGGAGCAUUCUUCAAAUACCUCAAAAUACGCAUAACUGCAUUCAUAUGUUGCUCUUCAGGAUUAUGCAUGUAUUGACUCACUACACUCAAUGCAUAAGCAAGAUCUAGUCUUGUAUGAGCUAAGUACAUUAAUCUCCCUACAAGUCUCUGGUAUCUUCCCUUAUCCGUUGAUACUUGAUUAGGCUCAACACACAAUUUCAGACCUUCUUCUAUUGGUGUAUUAACAGGUUGACAUCCCGACAUUCCAGUCUCCUGUAAAAGAUCUAAGGCAUACUUUCUUUGAGACAGAAAAAUUCCUUCACUUGAUCGAUAAACUUCAAUCCCAAGAAAGUAUUUCAGAGGACCUAGAUCUUUCAUUUCGAAUUCUUUAGAUAGAUAAUUUUGGAGAGCUUUUAUUUCUUUAGGAUCAUUUCCUGUAACUACCAUGUCAUCCACAUAUACGAUGAGUGCGAUAAUCUUACCAUGUUGCUUUUUCAGGAACAAAGUAUGAUCUGAAUUACUUUGAUGAUAGCCAAAAGCUCUCAUUGACUUUGUGAACCUUCCAAACCAUGCUCUCGGGGAUUGCUUCAACCCAUACAAUGACUUCUUCAAUUUGCACACCUUCUGACAUUGCUUUUCUGACACCAUGCAUCCUGGUGGAAGAUCCAUAUAUACUUCUUCAGAUAACUCGCCAUGCAGAAAGGCAUUUUUCACAUCGAAUUGUUGUAAUGGCCAAUCUAGUUUUGCAGCUAAAGACAGUAAUACUCGAACUGUGUUGAUCUUAGCUACAGGUGCAAAUGUCUCUGUGUAGUCAAUUCCAUAAGUUUGAGUGUACCCUUUUGCUACCAGUCUUGCUUUAAAUCGUUGAAUACUACCUUCUGCCUUGUACUUCACAGUAUAGAUCCAACGACACCCAACUGGCUUCUUUCCUGGUGGACAUUCUACGAGUUCCCAUGUUUCAUUCUUCUGCAAUGAUUUCAUCUUUUCAUUCAUGGCUGCUUUCCACCUUGGAACAGCUAAGGCUUCCUGCACACUGUUAGGAAUAGCUACAGUAGAUAAUUGAUUUACAAAUGACUUAUUUGAUUCAGACAAACGAUGGUUAGACACAUAGUUGCUCAUUGGAUAUUUGACUUUGGUAGACAAUUCAGGUUCAUAUGUAGGUUUAGGAAUACCUCUAUUAUGACGGUGUGGUAACUGUUUCAUGAAUGGAUCAGGUUCCAAAUUAAGAACACCUUCAACAGACGACGAUUGGUUUGGUAUUUCAGUAAAGACAUUUUCGAACCCAAAUUGUUGACCACUCAUAUCCAACUCACCCGCUUCUUGGUUCACUAGUUUAGAUUGUCCAGAUUCAUUCUCCUUAGAGAUAUGAUAAUCAUAAUCGAGAGUCUGAAUUUCCUUAUGGUACUCCCCCUGAAGUUCAGACUCAGAUGAAAAAUACAUCGAAUCUUCAUGAAACACCACAUCCAUUGUAAUAUACAUUUGUCGAGUUGGAGGAUGGUAACAUCGAUAUCCCUUUUUGUGCAAUGCAUAUCCAACAAACACACAUUGCAAUGCAUGGGAAGUUAAUUUGGUGCGUUGGUGUUUGUGUAGAUGCACAAAUGCCACACAACCAAAAACACGAGGAGGUAGAUUUGGGACAGUUGGGGCAACUACGAUAUUAGUAAGAGCUUAGAGAGGUGUUUGGAAGUUAAUUGAGUUAGAAGGUACCCGAUUAAUCAAGUAUGCGGCAGAUGUGAUUGCUUCUCCCCAAUAAGAUAUCGGUGUUUUUGCUGCUAUCAAGGAAGCACGAACAACCUCUAACAAGUGCCGAUUUUUUCAUUCAGCGACUCCAUUUUGCUGGGGUGUAUUGGAACAAGUAGUCUGAUGAAUGAUGCCAUGUCCUUCCAAAUACUUUUGAAGAUCAAAACUUUGAUAUUCUCCACCAUUAUCACUAUGCAGAACCCGAACCUUUGCAUUGUACUGAGUUUCAAUCAUUUUAUGAAAAUUUUGAAACAACAAGUUCACUUCAUCUUUGGUCUUCAUCAAGCAUAGCCAUGUCAUUCUGGUACAAUCAUCAAUAAAAGUAACAAACCAACGUGAGCCACUCAAAGUUGGGACUUUGGAUGGGCGGCCCCAAACAUUAGAAUGUAUAACCAUAAAAGGAAACGGACUUUUGUUCAAAAUUAACGGAAACGAAACACGAUGGCUUUUAGCCAAUUCACAAAUAUCACAAUGGAAACCAGAAAUAUCACUCUUUGCAAACAAACUAGGAAACAAUUUUUUUAAAUAACCAAAGGAAGCAUGUCCCAGACGUCGAUGCCACAACCAAAUUUCAGACUUUUUCUUCUCCCCCUCAGAUCCAUCUGCCAUCAAGGCUUGUUGCAACUUAUUUGAAUCCUUUGACUGCAAGUCCAAGUAAUAGAGUUUUCCCCGCUUAAUACCCCAACCAAUCGUCUGUCUUGUUUGGAUGUCCUUAAUCACACAAAAUUCAGGCCAAAAAAUGACAAUACAAGAUAAGGCUGCGGUGAUUUGAGAAACUGACAAAAGAUUGUAAUUUAAAGAUGGAACAACUAAGACAGAAUCCAAAUUCAAAGUAUCAGUAAGAGUUAAGGAUCAUUCCCCAAUGACUGGGGUUAUGUUACCUUUGGCUGUGGAAACAAUUUUUUGUGAGGAAGGUCUAAGGGGUGAAACCUGUCUAGAAUCAAAAGUCAUAUGAUCUGUAGCACCAGAAUCAAUUAUCCUUGCACUAUUAAUAACAGGUGUAAAAGUAUUUAAAAACUUACCACCAUGAUUUGUAGCGGCUACCAAUGUAGAGGCUUUCUCAGCAACAUUAGCCUCUGUUUUUAUUUCGGCAACAGUUGCAAUCGAGGUUUUCUUGGAAUCCUUCUUCCGUUGAUCAAGAUUAUUAUCAUUAAUAACAAAGUGUUGAUAGCCUAAACAUGAUCUAAAGGUCCAUAGUUCAAACCCUCGGUUCCUCAUUGUUUUCCUGGUCAUACCAAGAGUCGUUGCUUUGAAAUUGUGGCAUAUCCAGAUUGGUGGGAUCAAUCUUAUUGUAGUGAGUGCAUUUGAAGGUUGACUUAUCAACAUUAGGGCUUGUCUUAGGAUGGAUGAUCGCUGUCGGACUACCAUAGCGACAAAAUAUCUAGGAUUUCAGUUCCAUGGCUCUGAUACCAUCUUCAAAUUGAUAAAUGGUAGUUUUUUCCAUUCAUUCUUUCAUUCGUUCAUGUACAGAGAAUAUAUAGAGGGUAAUCACCAUUCUAAGAAUGAGAAGGAAUGAUACAAGGAAAGAAUGAUAUAGGAAAUAACAAUUAAUAUCCUAAUAUCUCAACUUUCCUAAUAUCUCAAUAUUCCUAAUAUUUCAAUAUUCUUAAUAUCUCAACUUUCCUAAUAUUUAAACAUUCCUAAUAUCUCAACACUAAAUAAUAUAAGGAAAGAAUGAUAUACUGAAAGCAUUCCUAAUAUCUCAACAAUAUAUAUGGGUUAAUUAUGAAUGUGAUGUGUUUUUUUCUUGUUUGGUGUGUAUGAUUGUUGUAUCACUGGAUUUCAUGGACGCAAUAUUAUUAGUCUUUUCCUCCCCAUGAGUUUGCUAUAAUCUAUAUAAUAUAUGUUUGAACUCACAAUUUCCAGCUACCUUCUUUGUAUUCUUUUUCAUAGACCAGCAUCAUAGAUAACAAACUAUCCACAUAGAAAAUUUUCAGUUAACGGUGUGUAAUUCCGUGGAUGGGAUUGAAUAUUCAACACACAAUUGUUUUUUCGAAUAAGAAAAUUAUGGAUAUAUUAAAAUCAUAAUUUUGAUAUAUCUAUAUAUAUAUAUAUAUAUAUAUAUAUAUAUAUAUAUAUAUAUUUAGAAAAGCAAUUAAAAACUGCAUUUUUUAAUGAAGUCUUCUGAUUUUUAUUGAUUUUUUUUUUUCAAAUUUCCAACUUUUUUAAGAAAUCUUCUAAUACUCUUGAAUUCUUCAAGAGAUUUUUAAUCUUCUAUCUCUUUAAGGCUCUAGGACAUUUCUUUAUAAAAAUACGUACAUUCAUUUGGAGAUCAACUAGGGCUCCAUUAGACCCUAUGUUGGUCUAAAUAUUCAUUUUGCGAACCUUGGGAAUGGAUUUGAGGCAUUUGCCUACCUUGAAAUGUGAUUUACAAUCCCCACACAUUAUCCUUAAGAAAAAUAUAUACAUUCUUCACAAAAAUACAUACACUUUUUUGGAGGCUAACCUUGAUCCCAUUAGAUUCUAUUUAGAUCUAAAUAUUUAUUUGGGGAUCUUUGGAAUGAAGUUAAGUCAUUUUUCUAUCUUGAAAUGUGAUUUAGAACCCCAUGUACAUCUUUAAGAAAAAUAAGUAUAUUCCUCACAAAAAUACGUAUGUUUUUUUAAAAGCCAAUCGUGACCUCAUAGGCCUUAUUUGAGUCUAAACAUUCAUUUGGGGAACCUUGGGAAUGGAUUUAAGCUCUUCGUCCACCCUAAAAUGUGAUUUGCAAUCGCACGUAUAUCUUUAAGAAAAAUAUAUACUUCUUUUAAAAAAAAAGUGUGUACAUUCUUCACAAAUAUAUAUAUAUAUAUAUAUAUAUAUAUAUAUAUAUAUAUAUAUAUAUAUAUAUAUAUAUUUGAUAGCCAACCAAGGCUCCAAUAAUCCCUGAUAAAAAUAUAUGUAUUUUUUAAAAUGAUGUAUGUAGUUUAACAAAUAUAAGAAAAAUUAAUUAAGGGGAAAUUAAUGUAAAAUAUUAAAUACAAUUUUUUUUUUUAUGAAAAAUAUAUUUUCUUUUAUAUUUUAUGUUAAUAAAAAAUUAAAGGUUUUAACAAAGCAAAAGGUUAGAACCAGAAAUUAAGUUAAAACCAUAAGAAAAAAAAAAAUAAAAGCACCAUCACUUACUAAUAUUUGAUUUGAAAAAAUAAAAAUAAAAAUAAUAAAAAUAAUAAAAUAGUGUUACAAAGAUAUUCUUACUUUCACAUGUAAUAAGAUUUAAAAAAUAAAUAAAUAUUUUAUUUGACAUUAAUAUAAAAAAUCUUAUAUCAUAAACCUCUAAAUAAUAAAAUAAAUUUUCUAAAUUUAAACCUUAAACCAUUAAAUGUAUUAUUAUAAUUAAUAUUUAAAAUCAUCAAGUAUAUUACUUUUGGGAUAAUAUUUUCAUUUUUGUUCAUUAUAUAUUUAUGUUUUUAUUUAAUUUCUUAUUAUUAGCUAUUUAUUAUAUAUUAUUAUUUUAAGUUUAAUAUAUCCAAAAAAUAAUUAAAAUCAAUAAAUACGGAGAGUGAAAAAAUUUGAAAUUAAAGAGGUUUUAUAAGAGAAUACAUGAGCAUAUUAAGAGAAAUGGUAAAAGAAAGAAAGAAAAAUAACAAUAUUUUUAAAUGUGAUAGGUGGCAAUUGAUAGGAUGGUUAAGGAUGGUAAUGAGACAGGUUUUUUCGGAUACUCGUCCUGUCCAGGCCCUAAUGGGACGGAUUUGAAAUUUAAAUAAACGGGUUUGAGAUAUUUUUAAAGCUUGAGAUAAGUUUGGGGCAAGUUCGGGUAUUAUCUUGUCCCAUCCCGUCACACCUUGAUUAUAUAUAAAAUUAAUUUUAAAAAUUAAAUUAAAUUAAUUUUUAUUUUCUUAUUUUUAAUAUAUAGAUAAUAAUAAUAAUAAAUUUUCAAUAAAUAAGUUUUAAAAAAAUUAUAAUAAUUCAAUUAUUUAUAAAAUAUAUUUAUUUUAAUGUUUUUUAGAAAUUAAAAUAAUUUUUUUAAAAGAAUUAAAAUUUUUUCAAAAAAGGGUUAAAUGGGUAAGGCGGAACGGGUAUGAGAAUUUCUCAUACCCGCCCGCAUUAUUUAAUUUUUUUAAUGGGACAACGAUGAAAGUUAUUUUGAAUAAACGAGACAAGGUUGGGAUGAGAGCUACUCAUCUUAAACAUGCCUUGUUGCCUUUCCUAGUGAAAGAGGAAAAAAAAAAAAAAAAACAAAAGCCAAAAAACAAAAAAAGGAAAAAAGUAGGAACAUGUUUUUUUCCCAAAUAGAAAACGUAAAAGUAAAGUCCAACAAUUUUUUUUUUUUUGGUUAUAUAUAUAGCAUGGUGGGGAGGGUAUAUUCCAUAUUACAUGAGACUUCCAUGGCGGGGAAGGUAUAUUUCAUAUCACAAACUUACUCAAUUGUGUUUUUCCUUUUAGGAUAUGGAAGGGCUUUCCUUAUGCCCAAGAAAUGCAUAGAUUCAAUUGAAGAAAUUGAGGAAUAUGGUUGUUCUUUUUUUUUUUUUUUUUUUUUUUUUUUUUUUUUUUUCUUUUUUUCCUUUUUUCCUUUUUUAAAAAAAGAUGAGCCAAGGUGGAACUCAGGUGGAACACAUUGGUUCCAGUCAUUUUCUUGGGCAAAGAUAUGUCCAGGAUAUGGGAAAGGGGCAUUAAAUUAAAUAUCUUUUGAAAAGUUUAUUAUAAUCAUUUCACACAAUAUAAAUUUCACUAAAUUUUUCGAACUAAGGUUCUCUGAUAAUUACUUUAUAAUAAUAAAAUUAAUUCUUACAUUACAUGUAAUAUUCAAAUUUAAAAAAUCCAAUCUCAAAUAAUUUAAUAGCUAAAUUUAAAUUUAAUUUUUGAAACUCCAAGUUUCGAAAUGUGACUUGGCAAGAAUUUAAAGUACUGAUUUUCGACUAACUUUUCACAAAUUUUGCCUAAUUAAAUAAAAUAUUAGCAUGUGAAUGUUCACUAACAUCACGUAAUUCAUUGAUUUAGAGGAUUCAAUUUGGUUGAUGUUGAGGAUAGUCAUCGGCAGUAGACUAACAUCUUCUCGACCAAUUAACAUACCAACAGUGAUUAGGCCAAAUGUGGUGAUCGAAUUCCAUGGAAAAGCAGCAAAAAGGGAGGUGCGUUGGAGAGAAGGAAGGCGGUCAACCAAGCAGGAACAGUGGAGAAAUUGGCCUCGAGCCUAAGGAGCAUAGGAAUGAAAUUAAUGAAAUCAGUCCUAGGAUGAAAAUUUGGAUUGGGUCUGUCCAAAAAGCAGAAGAAAAGACGAAACCUCACUAUCAAUGGCCAAGGAUACCGAAGGUUCCUCUGAUGCUGAGGGGGACCUGGGAUUUCGAGAAAUUCUAUGAACCAAGGGUAAUAUCAUUCGGUCCUUACCACCAUGGCAAGCCCCAACUUCACCCAGUGGAAAUGAUCAAGCCUCUUAUGUGCCAAAAAAUUCCUGGAUGACAGUAACCAGGACAUCGAAGCUUUGUACACAAAAAAUGGAAGGAAAAUCAAGGAAGUGAGGAACUGCUAUGAUUGGAGUGGUACAAACGAGUAUGAUGAUGAGGCACUCGCCUGGAUGAUGCUUCUGGAUGGGUGUUUUUUACUAUAUUUCAUUCACUGUGUAGUGAGAAGAAAUCAGAGUAAGUUGCAUGGUUUGAAUGUUAAAGAUUAUAUGAUUACUUUUGUGCACCAGGACUUGUUCUUGCUUGAGAACCAACUUCCCUUUGGAGUCCUCAAGUUGAUUUUUGAGGAAUCAGAAUUCAAUAUUGAUGGUUCACCAAUGCAAGAGAUGAUAAAAAAAUUCGUCAUUGACACCGGUAGGCCAGAAGGGUCGACAUCAGAAAUACAGAUGGAAGAGCCCUCUCAUCUCCUCGACCUCUUGCGAAGUGCUCUCCUAGGCGGGUCUAAAAAGAGUAGCAAGCAAGAAGCUCAGGGGUUCUGUUGCCCAUGGAAAAAAGGCAAACAACAGGGCAAUCGGCUGUCUUUUUGACACAUCAAGGAGCUUAAAGCUACCGGGAUCUAUCUCAAACCGAGUAGAACGAGUUCCUUGACAGACAUUUCUUUCAAUUCCAACUUCUUCUAUGGUUACAAGGAACUUCCCCCAAUAAUCAUUGAUGGCUCCACGAAGCCCACGUUCUUGAACAUGGUAGCCUAUGAAAUGAGUCCAGAUGGUCCAGAUGGCCCAGGUGGCUAUGCGGUCAGUUCUUAUAUAUGCUUCCUUGACAACCUCAUUGAUCAUGCAGACGAUGUCAAGGAGCUGAGAUCUAAGCACAUUCUCUACAACUAUCUUGGCAGCGAUAUAGAUGUGGCCCAAAUUUUCAACGAGAUUGCCAAUGACUUGGUAGACACCGAAGCUUAUGAAAGUGUGAAAGCCCGUAUUCAGGAACACUACGGCAAGAGCGUGAAUACUUGGAUAGCUGAAGCCCUUCACAACCAUUUCAGCUCUCCAUGGAUUCUCAUGGCUUUCAUUGCUGCUGUUUUGAUACUACUAGUUCCUAUGCAUUUGAUUUCAGAAUUUAAAUUGUUUUUUUCUUUUUACUUUUUCAUGAAUUAUUAUAAACUUUUGAUCGAAUAGAAAAAACCAAAAUAUUUGACUUUUUCUAAAUGGAAAAAGUAACAUAUUGGUUUUUCUUUACUAUUUUAAUGUUUGAUAGAUGAUCUGCACCCAUCGAGUUAAUCAAUUCAAAAAGUGUUGUUCAACAGUGUUGGAAAAUCAUCUAAUCCUGUCUCCUUGUAGAACAACUUGAACAAAAAUUUAUUGCUUACAGUUAGCAACCAUUGUGGGGCAUCCUGGCUGCCCAAACACACAUUUUCUGUUGGAAUGUGAUGCAUCAGAGACAACACUUCUUUAAUUCCUUCCCAAUCAUGGGAGUCUCUAAUAAAAUUAGGAUUCCGAAGCUCUGCAUCCUCGUCCUGUACAGAAUGGUCUGCCACACAUGCCUCCUCAUUCACCAGAAUUAUAAACUAAUUUAGGAACCUCAUCUUAAGAGAUCCACCCAUAGACCAAACAUCUUAACCAUAAAUCACAUUUGAGUCCUUUCUAUGAUUUUAUUGGAAACUUUAUAGCCUCAACAACACAUAACCAUUUGUAAAUCAAGCCCUUCACUAUUGCCCCAGUCAACAUCUUAUUCAGCCUCAACAUUAUGCUAAUAGCACCUUCAACUACAAUUUCGACAAUGCCACUCCUUACUGGUGUGGUUGUAGUCUUUUGUGCACAUGACCAGUUGUAACUUUUCUCUAACUACUGAGCAUUUCUAUCACAAAGGAUUUAUUGAUUUAACAUCCUGUUGAAAAAACUUCUCCUUCAGUCGAGGUAUGCAUAGAUCAUACAUAAUCCCACAUUCCACAAACACCUUUCCACUUCAUUCCUUCCAUUCUAAUAUUAAUGCACAAAGAAGUUGCAUGCAGAACAGAGAAUCUAAAUGUCAGAGGGUCUACCUGAUCAUCAACCUUCAUAUGCUUUUAGAACAGAUUGGCAUCAGGGCAUUCUCUAGUCAAUGGUCGUAAGCCCCUACCAUAGCACAAAGUAUUUUUAAGCGGCAAGGUACUCAAGAGAAAGUAAAGAAAAAGAAAAGGAGAAAAGAAAAAGGACAGAACAAUAGGUUCCUUAUUAUUUGUACACUUCCAUUAUUAUAUAUCACAAUGUUGCUUGGUGUUUAGCAAUAGUAUUCCCACCAGCAUCUUGAGUCUGCCAGGGAGAAAUAAACGUACUCGGGUCUAGAACUUACAAAGCUCCCAACUUGCUAGUGGAAACUGGUAUAGAACCAACCAAAUUAUUUCUGUAUCCUAUGAAGAUUUGAAAAUUAUAUAAUCUUCCUAUGUCAGAAGGGAUGACACCAUUGUGAUUGUUGUCAACAAUGCCCAGCAUCAGCAAGCCAGUGCAGUUACAAAUGCUUUCAGGAAUGACACCUUCCAAAAAGUUAAGUCCAGAACCUAGAAAUGCAAGAUUUCCAAGGAAUGUUGAACAAUUCUACAUGGAAUGGUACAACACUAGUUGCUUCAUAGUGCCAAGAUUAUGGGGGAUGCCCUCAUUGGAGCCAACUAUUGGAACAAAUUAGCAUGCUAUUGACAACUACUCCACUGUGUUGCCUGCAAAUUAAAUUUUCCAUUGGUGGUCUUCUUCCACAUAUCUGGUGCCACACAGCUCUUGAUAUAGCAAGGAUUGCUCUAGACUUGAUGAGUACCUCAAAAAAUGCCAAGGAAAGUACAGUGAUUAAUCUAACAUGCUUUAAGUCAGAGGCUCUUCCUCCCAUCCAUGACCAGGGAGUCUCUUUGAUUUCAACCUUUUUAACACUCAAUAUUAGUUUUCAAUAUUUGUUUCAUCUUAUAGUAUAGAGUUACUGAAACAGAGUAACUUGCUUCAAACAUAUUCUUAAGAGACUCACAGGCGAAGACGGCACAAACCUAGAUUACCUCAAAGUGUUGGAUCCCUGCCUGUAUGCAAACACCCCUUCAUAAUAUAAGAUCUAUCCAACUAAGCACCAAAAAUCCAUAUUCCUAUACAUGACCAAAAUAGUAAAGCUAAUCCAUACAUUUUUAGGCACAUAUAUCAGGUAAAUAAGAACUAAGAAUCAAAAGAAUAAACCUAAACUAGAUGAUUCAACAGGACGUAAUUCAGAAGUGAUAUUUCACGAAAUGUGAUUUAGAGAAUUAAUACCCUGAAGGUGGUAGGCCAAACUUAGGUUCUGCAUAAAGGGAUACACCAAAAGACAUUCUGUUGGUCUUGUGUCUGGAAAGCUGCAUCUCCACCAGGACUUUCAUAAUCUAUUAAUUGUUUCACUGCAACUUUGGUGUUAUUUGCAAGCACUCCCUUAUGAACUUUUCCAAAGCAUCCCUGUCCAUGAACAUUUUUCUCACUAAAAUUGUCUAUAGCUAGCUGUAACUCCCUCCAUGCAAAUCUUCUCAAUUGGCCAAAUGCAAUUCUUUGGUCAACUUCACCUGAAAACAGAUGGAAAGAUGUCUAGAAAGAAAAUUUCCAAGAGAAUCAAAUUUUGCAUCAAAUCCUUAAAAUCUGUCCAAGUAUUUAAAAGAGAUAAAAGCAUAGUUCUUUUCAAUACAGAACUAUGGCAUGAUCUGUAAAUCUCUUCAAACUUUUUGUACUUGUAGGCAUCCCAAGAUAACAUCCAAUUGAGAACAAGCCUUUGAAAAUCUAACAAAAACUUGCUUUGAUGCUAUUAUCACCUAAAAAAGAAGAAGAAGAAAGCAUUGUAGCCAUUGCACAGAACCAGUCCCAUUCAUAAGGGUGGACGGGUGACACACCCAACCUUCACCAUUUUUUGCAUGAUUUGGUCAUACAUAAAGCAAUCAAUAUAUACUUGGUUAAACAUCAAGCUUAAUUUUAGCCUAAUCAAUUGACUAAAGCUGCAAUUACACUUAAGUUUAAACUACCAAAAGUUCACCCAUUUUCACAACAUUAAAAUUAAGCUAAAAUUACAGUGAAAGUGAUAGAACUUCAAGCCAAAAUUUAGGUGGAGAAAUGAAUUUAAUUUGUCUCAAGAGCUGAAUUACAAUGAAGUCAAUAAAUAAUAUUAUCUUCUUCGGUUCAUGAACACCAAACUGAAAUUACAACAAAAUUGAAAUCAACAUUUUGCAUCAAAUUAACCUAAUUUCACUCAUCUUUUAUCUUAAACUAAAAUACAUCUUGUAGCACUCAGUGAUCAAAGCCUGUUUUUCUUCCCCCUUACUUCCUGUUUAGACAUGGAGAGGUGAAACAAACUUUGAGAUAUUCAAUGAUUCAACAAAGCUUUAAUCAAAUACUAAACUGCUUGCUUUGAUGGAAGAGUUAGUUUCAUGAGGGAUGUGCCCAUCUUCCUUGAAGCUUGUACCUAUGCACUUACGAUUGGUAAAAGCCAGGCACCAUAAACAUAAGAGUUUUUGAAUUUUUAAGGGAAAAUCAUGCUUUCAAACACUAAUAAAAAAAGUACAUCUGUUCCUAGGGGAACUAGAACCCCUAUAUCCCCAAUCAUGAUCUAUAUAUUCCUUUGGGAACCCUCAAUAAGUGAUUACAGGUCCUCCUUAUUCCCAAAAUGAACUUUGGAACCUCAAGUACAUCCUUAAAAAAAAUAAGUACAUCUGUUUCUAAGGAAACCGAGACUCCUAUCCCCCUUAUAAUGGUCUAUCUAUUCCUUUGAGGACUCUCGAGAAUUGAUUAUAGGUCAUCCCCAUACCAAAACGGACUUUGGAACCCCAAAUACAUCUUUAAGAAAAAUAAGUACAUUUGUUUUUAGGGGAACCAAGACCCCUAUCUCUUUUAUCCUGGUCUAUAUAUUCCUUUGGGAGCCUUCUAGAAGUGAUUGGAAGCCCUCCCCUUCCCCAAAAUGGAAUUUGGAAUUUUAAGUACAUCAUUAAAACAAAUAAGUACAUCCUUAAGAAAAUUAAGUACAUCUAUUCCUAGGCAAACUAGGGUCCUAUCUCCCUUAUCAUGCUCUAUAUAUUCCUUUGGGUACUCUUUGGAAGUGAUCGGAGGUUCUCCCUAUCCUUAAAAUGGAAUUUGGAACCCCAAGUACAUCCUUAAGAAAAAUAAGUACAUUUGUUCCUAUGGGAAUCGAGACCCCUAUCUCUUUUAUCAUGGUCUAUAUAUUCCUUUGAGGACCCUUAGGAAUUGAUUGGAGGUCCUUCCUAUCCUUGAAAUGAACUUUGGAACCCUAAGUACAUCCUUAAGAAAAGUAAGUACCUCUAUUCCUAGGAAAAUCAAGACCUUUGUCUCAUUUAUCAUGGUUUCCAUAGAUUUCUUUGGGGACCCUUGGGAACUAAUUGGAGGUCCUCUCCAUUCUUGAAACGGACUUUAGAACCCCAGAUAUAUCCUUAAGAAAAAUAAGUACAUUUAUUCCUAAGAGAAUUGAGAUUCUUAUCUCCCUCAUCAUGGUUCAUAUAUUCUUUUAAUGACCCUCUAGAAGUGAUUUGAAGUCGUCUCUCACCCUGAAAUGGAUUUUGGAACCCUAAGUACACCCUUAAAAAAAAUAAGUACAUCCUUAAGGUUAAGGAAAUGCAUAUUGUUAGGAUAUGUAGAUGGAGUGAAAAUGUACAAGUUAUGGUGCUUAGAUUCAAAAUUCUCUAAUUUAUAAUUAACAGGGAUGUGGCUUUUAACGAGUAUGAAAUGUUGAGUCCAAGAAAGGAGCAACUUCAUGUAGAAAACAACCCUAGUAUGAGAGAAAAUGUGGAGUUUGUGCCUAACAUAGAAAAAACGAUUUCAAAAAAGCCAAAUGAGGAAGAAGUGCAACAUCUUGAUGAUAAAGAAAAGACAUCACAAUAGCAACAAUAUUAUUUGGCUAGAGAUAGAACGAGGAGGCAAAUUAAACCACCACAAAGGUAUGCUUAUGUAGAUUUGGUUACUUAUGCACUUGGUGUGGCAAAGAACAUUGAAAAAGAGGAAUUUCAAACUUAUCACUAGUAGAGAGUCUACACAAUAGAUUGUUGCCAUGAAUGAGGAAAUUGAAUCUCUUCAAAAGAAUCAUACUUGGAAACUAGUUGAGAAGCCUAAAAAUCAAAAGAUUGUUGGUUGCAAAUAGGUCUUCAAAAGAAAUUAAGGGAAGGAAUUUCAAGAGUAAGGAUGACAAGUUUAAAGCAUGCUUAGUGGCAAAGGGUUACACACAAAAGAAAGGAGUGGACUUCAAUAAAGUUGUCUCCAGUUGUGAAGCAUAGCUCAAUCAAAGUGUUACUUGCUAUGGUUGCUUUAUUUAAUUUAGAUUUAGAGCAACUUUAUGUCAUGACUGUUUUUCUACAUGGUAAGUUGGAAGAAUAGAUUUAUAUGAAUUAACCCGAGGAAUUCAUUAUUUCAAAAAAGACCAUGUUUGUUUGUUGAAGAAAUCUCUUUAUGGCUUGAAGCAAUCUCUUAAGCAAUGGUAUAAAAGGUUUGAUACUUUUAUUAUUGGCAAUGGCAACCAUAAGAGUGAGUAUGAUAAUUAUGUUUAUCACAAGGAAUUGUUUGAUGGUUCUUUCAUUUAUUUAUUGUUAUAUGUUAAUGACAUGUUAAUUUCCUGCAAGAAUAUGUUUGAUAUUAACAAGUUGAAAACUCAACUCUAAGGAGAGUUUGAAAUGAAAGACCUUAGAGUUGUGAAGAAAAUAUUAGGUAUGGAUAUUCAUAGAGACCAAAAAGUAGGGGAAUUGUACUUUUCACAAAAAAGUACAUUGAGAAAGUGUUAAAAUGCUUUGGAAUGCAAGGGUCAAAACCUAUGAAUACUCCAUUAGCAACUCCAAACUUUCAAGUGCUUUUGUUGGGAACCCUAUAUUACUUCGUUCCCAUGCCCUAGAUCUCAUAGGGUGCAUGCAUUUAUCCCUAGACAUCUCUAAACCUACUGUAGCGAAAAACUAAGUAUUCAAAAACCAAUAUUGAUACCAUAGAAAUCUUAGAUCUAGAGAAAAAAAAUCACAUACCUUUGAUUCAAAUGUUCUUGAAUUGAUUCCUAUUGAUGUAGAUAAGUCCAAAGUCAUAAUGGAUCUUGUAACACCAUGAUCUUCCGCCCGAUAACUCUUUAUUGUGUCUAGGCACUGAAAUGGUUGACAUCUUAAGGGUGGAGGUUAGACUUCUCUCUUUGGACUAUAUGGAGAAAAUGGCAAGACAUGGAAACCCUAACCCUUAACGGGUAUUUAUAGGCUUCUUAGUAAGCUUAAGUGACUUAAGCCCACCCAAAAAGGUUGCUAAUUAAUUAAUUAGUUAACAAUACAAGAUCCUAAUUAACCAAUUAGCUUAGUUAAGAGAUAUCACUAACUUAUCACCAUGCAACCUUGCAUAAUCACUAAAAUAUCCUUAUGCACAAAAAUGAACUAAAAACCUUUCCAACCCUCAUAAACUAUACCAUCAAGGAAUAUGAGCUCAAAGUAGGGACCACUAGGACCCAUAGGAGUACUAGCUCCCUUAGAAUAAAAUUCUAAAAUUGACUCAACAUCUCACUAUAGAAAGUCAACUGCACUCUAGUACCUUAUGUGUAUUACAACGAGACACCAAGUGCUCGGGUUCGUGACCUACAAUCUACUACAUGCAAACUCUCCAUGAACUGGUGUUUGUAGUCUAACAAAGUAGUGCUAUCACUUAUUAAGAUUAUCUCUCAAAUCCUUAAGUUAUAGAUUCCAUUUUUUUUAUGUGAUCAAAUGACAUACUCUAGCUCAAAGAAGGAUUUGUCAAAUUCCACUAAAUGAAUUAUUGUGGCCACAUAUUUCAUGAUUACAUAUCCUUUAGAUCACCCAAGGAGACGCGCUGUCUCAAUCCCAUGAGAUAUCAUGGUGCCUCUAUUGAGAAUACUUGUUGCCACCAACCUCCAUCAACAAUGACCCAAUCCAUGGGGAUAUGUGACCACUUUAGGGUCUCAUCCAUAAGUUAAAGUCUCUUAUUGAUUUCAACAUAUGCUUAAUAUUCUCUCAAGGUUGAGAGUCCAUGUAGUAUAGUCACUUAGUUAAUCAUAAAAUUUGAUAGUCUUGCAUCAUGAUUCAUCGUAGGUCCUAUCCAGUGUGCACCACAUAUACUAGCGUACUCACCAUAGGAAUCCCAUCCUAACGACCUAGAUAAGCAAUCCCUCCGAUUAGGAGGUGGUGCACUAUAGUCUCUACUAGAUUGUCCAAAUCCAUGAACCAAUUGUGGACAACUUAUCUAUUUAUAAGAAACCCAUGACUUGUAACUUUUGUGCAACUCCUAAUAUACCAAAGUCAUGUACAAUGUAAGAGACAUGUGUUGAAUGUUCAAAUCAAUAUUAAUACACCAAAAGGAUAGCAAGAGGAUGGUUAAGUCUGACUUUGUUACAUUAUGUUAUGCUUUUAAGGGCUCAAUCCCAACAACUUUAUCACCAUAGAUCAAAGAAGAAAUGGAGCACAUGUCACAUGUUCCUUAUGCUAGUGUAGUUGGGAACAUUAUGUAUGUCAUGGUUUGCACUAGGCUAGACAUUUCACAUGUAGUUAGUGUGGUGAGUAGAUAUAUGGAUCACUCUCGAAAGAUCCAUUGGCAAGCAGUGAACAAAUAUUUCGAUAUUUGAGAGAAACAUCACAUGUUGGCUUAACAUAUGAUAAAAGUAGUGACAUCUCUGAGAAAAUUGUUGGUUAUGUUGAUUCUAAUUAUGCUAGAGAUUUGGGGAAAAGAAGAUCUCAAACAAUUUGUGGUAGUGUUAUUAGUUGGAAAGAACCUUUGCAAUUUAUAGUUGCUUUAUCAACCACUGAAGUAGAAUACAUGGCGGUCAUAGAAGCGGUGAAAGAAGUUAUUUGCCUUAAGGGCUUGGUUGGAGAUUUAAGCUUACAAUAGGAGUUGAUUGUUGUGUAUUAUGAUAGCCAAAGUACCAUACAUUUGACUAAAAAUCAAAUGUUCCAUAAGAGGAGCAAACAUAUUGAUGUCAAUGCAUUUUAUUAUGGAUGUGAUCGCAAAGGGUGCUAUUGCAAUGAAAAAAAAAUCCCUAUAGUGGAGAAUCUUGCAGAUAUGAUGACUAAGUUCGUUUUUACAGUUAAAUUCAGGUAUUACUUGGACUUAAUUGAUGUUAAUAGUAUCUAAAGACUCCUUUAGGGUGUGGGAGUGAAGAAACAUGGAAGACUUUCGAGUUUGUUUGAAUCUUGAGAAUUUGAGCCAAGGUGGAGAUUAUUGAAAAGUGUCUCAGAUUCUAUUUUUGAGUCAAUUGGAAAGUUAUAGAUAGUUUCCUAAUAAAAAAAUAUUCUUGUAAGUGGGUUUCCUAUUAUUAUAGAGGAAAUAUUCUUUUAGGAAAAAACAUUUUUGAUAAUUAUACACUUAGUUUCCUAUAUAGAAUCUUUCUAUGUAAUUAGAGAAAUAUGUAUAAAAAGAUAUUUUGACCAAAAUAGUGGAAGUUUUUUUUUUGGGUAUAAUUGGGACUUUGGGAUUUGAAAGCUCUAAGAUUGUAAUAUCCUUCAAUAAUAAUGGAAAUUAUUUUUUAUCUUCACCUGUGGAUGUAGGUUUGAGGUCGAACCACAUAAAUUGUUAUGUACUUUGUGUGUUUUGUUUUUGUUAGGAAUUUGAGGCUAAUCCAAACUAUGGUAAUCACCUUGGGGGGGGGGGGGGGGGGAUAAAUAGGGUGAUGGUCUCUUUUUCACAAAUUUAAACUAUGCAAAAAUAAGAGUCAAUUAUAUGCAAAUAUAUAAUAAACAAAAUAAACACAAUUGCAUAUAAUUUAAAAGAGUUAGGGAAGAGAGAGUGCAAACAUGAGAGUUUAUAGUGGUUCGGUACUUCCUUGCCUACAUCCACUCUCCUCAACCUCCUAAUCGAGUGAGGGUUCCACUAUCUUGAAGCUUCAACCAAGUUUCCAAUCUCUUUACAAUUGGAUUAUGGUUCCAAUUCACCCUCUUGGACUUUUGGCUCCAAGCACCCUUUACACUUCUUCAAGAGAUAUCCCUCUCUUGAAUAACCUCUCAAGUGAUACCCCUCACUUGAGAAAAUCCCUCACAAAGAUAUACAAAUAAUGAUCUCACAAAAAUCCUAGUAAUAGAACUUUAGGCUCAAAGAUACAAGAAAAACUAGGAUUGAAUGGUGCACUAAAGAUAUGCAAGUUAUGAAACAAUGGUGCACUCAAAAACACUCUUCCAAGGCUCAAAUAUAAUCAAGAAUGAUUUGGAAAGGUUAAGCUCUUGAAACAAUGAAGAUUGGAGCCUUUUUAUAGAAGAGAAAAUCCAAACUAGCCGUUUGGGGGUUCGUCCGGUCGAGCUAUGGGUCGACUGGUUGACUAGCCAUUAGCAUUAAAUGCUUGGCAGGUGACCGUUGGGCCUUAGCCGGACCUCGACCGGGAAGAGAGUUACCUUGAUCGGGAAAAGAAGGCCACUAGGAGAGAGAGAAACUUUUGGCCUCCCUCGACCGGUACUCGACCGGACGAGCACAACUGGUUGACCGGUUCCUCGACCAGUUGAACUGGUUGAGCCAUUUUUUGGCUCAACACCCAACCCUUUUCAACUUAAAACCUCUUAACACAAGUUUGAAAAUUAUUUAACACAAGGUUUUAGUUGAAAACAUGAAAUCAUCCAAUUUUAAAGAUAUUUAAAACAAUAUUACUCUUGGAUGAUUUUGGUGCAUAAAUAAAGAAUGAAAUGCAUGAAAGUCCUAGUGCACCAACAACCUUACAAAGAGAUCUUAAGAAGUUUUGGUCUUGAAAAACUCUUCUCUUUGAGGUGGUCUUCUUCUUCGUGAUUUCUCCUUGGCUUGAUUUGUCUUUGGAUUGACACUUUGGAAGUCGUCUUGCCUAAUCACACUUGAAAUAUAAUCAUUAGUUCUAAACCUUGUUUUGUUAUCAUCAAAAUCAAGAUUAACCAAACCUUGGUUUCACAGUUUUCAUUUUUUUUUUCUCCCUAUUAUUAUUACUAUUAUUAUUAUAUAUACACCCAUGUGACUUGCAUGGUGGAAAGAGAAUAUUUCAUAUUCCAGGCAAGAAGCAAAGGUUACUCAAUUGUGUUUUUCCUUUUAGAAUGCAGAAGGGGUUUCCUUAUACUGAAGAAAUGCAUAGAUUCAAUUGAAAAAAUUGAGAAAUAUGGUUGUUCUUUUUCUUUUUCUUUUUCUAAAUCAUAGAUGAGCCAAGAUGAAACCCAUGUGGAACACAUUGGUUCCAGGCAUUUUCUUGGACAAAGAUAUGUCCAAAAUAUGGGAAAAUGACAUUUUAAAAUUAAAAAUGAUUUUAAAUUUUAAAUUUCUUUUUUUAUAUGUUUAAAAGCUUUUCAACUAGUAGAUUCGAAUUAUAACUUCCAAUUUAAUCGAAGAUUAAAAAUUACAAUAAUGAGAUUCUCAAUUCUUCAAAAUGAAAUUAAUUUAAUCCAUUUCCUUUGUAAAUUAUACCUCAAUUCAAUCAACCUUUCAAAAAUUAAAUUUACUUAAUGAUAAUAUUCAUAUUUAAUCAAUUUACCUUUUUGUGUAAAUUCCUAAAUUUAUAUAACAUAAUUUAAUCUUAAUUUUAUUUUGAUUCAAUUUUGUUUCACGUUUUAUAAUUUUAUAAGGUUGAAUUCUAAUAAUAAUUAAAAAUUAAAUUGAUUUGUUAUAAUAUUAAAUUAAAUAUCUUUUGAAAAUUUUAUUAUAACUAUUUGACAUAAUACAAAUUUCACCAAAAUUUUUAAUUAACUUUCUCUAAUGAUUACUUUAUAAUAAUAAAAUUAAUUAUUACAAUACAUGUAAUAUUCAAAUUUCAAAAAUUCAAGCUCAAAUAAUUUAAAUUUAAUUUUGAAGUUCCUAAUUUCCAAAUGUGACUCUCGACAAGAAUUUAAACUAACUUUCGACUAUUUUUUCACAAAUUUCACCUAAUUAAAUAAUAUAUUGACACGUGAAUGUUCACUAACGACACGUGAUCACGAUUCAUUUUGGUUGAUGUUCAGGAUGGUCAUCGGCAGUAGACUAACAUCUUCUGGACCAAUUAACAUACCAGCAGUGAUUAGGCCAAGGUGGUGAUCCAAUUCCAUGGAAGGGCAGCAAGAAAGGAGGAACGUUGGAGAGAAAGAAGGCGGCCAACCAAGCAGGAACAGUGGUCAAACUGGCCCCGAGUCGAAGGAGCGUAGGAUUGACAUUGUUGAAAUCAGUCAUAAGGUGAAAAAUUGGAUUGAGUCUCUCAAAAAAUGCAGAAGAAAAGACUCAAUCUCAAAGUCAAUGGCCAAGGACACCAAAGGUUCCUCACAUGCUGAGGGGGACCCAGGAUUUCAACAAAUCUACGAACCGAGGGUAAUUUCAAUCAGCCCUUACCACCAUGGCAAGCCCCACCUUCACCCAGGGGAAAUGAUCAAGCCUCUAUGUGCCCCAAACUUCCUGGAUGAUAGUAAGCAGGACAUCGAAGCUUUGUACACAAAAUUGAAAGUAAUAUGAGGCAGUGAAAAAGUGCUAUGAUUGGAGUAGUACAAACGAGUAUGAUGAUGAGGCGCUCGCCUGGAUGAUGCUUCUGGAUGGGUGUUUUUUACUACAGUUCAUCCGCAGCAAAGAAUACGACAGUAAAGUCGAUAUGAGUAACGUUCAUAGAAAUCACCAAAUAAAUUUUGUGGUGCAGGACUUGUUCUUGCUGGAGAACCAACUUCCCUGUGGAAUCCUCAAGUUGAUUUUUGAGGGAGCAAAAUUCAAUGAUGGUUCACCAAUGAAAAAAAAGAUAAAAAAAAUUCGUCACUAACACCGCAAGGCCAGAAGGGACAUCAGAAAAAGAGGUGGAAGAGUUGGACGAAGAGCCCUCUCAUCUCCUCGACCUUUUGCGAAGUGCUCUCCUAGGCGGGUCUAAAUAGAUUAGAAAGCAAGAAGCUCAGGGGUUCUGUUGCCCCGAUUGGCCGUCUUUUCGACACAUCAAGGAGCUUAAAGCUGCCGGGAUCCAUCUCAAACGGAGUAGAACCAGUUUCUUGAGAGACGUUUCUUUCAAUUCCUACUUCUUCUAUGGCUGCCUGAAUCUUCCCCCAAUAAUCGUUGAUGACUUCACGAAGCCCAUGUUCUUGAACAUUGUAGCCUACGAAAUGUGUCCAGAUGCCCCAGAUGACUAUGCGGUCACUUCUUAUAUAUGCUUCCUUUACGACAUCAUUGAUCAUGCAGACGAUGUCAAGGAGCUGAGAUCUAAGCACAUUCUCUCCAACCUUCUUGGCAGCGAUGAAAAUGUGGCCUAACUUUUCAACGAGAUCGGCAAUGACUUGGUAGAUCCCAAAGCUUAUCAAGAUGUGAAAGAUCGUAUUCAGGAACACUACAACAAGAGAAUGAAUACUUGGAUAGCUUAAGCCCUUCACGACCAUUUCAGUACUCCAUGGACUAUCAUCGCUUUCAUUGCUGCUGUUUUGAUACUAUUUCUUACUGGGGUUCAGACCUACUACGCAAUUCCCGGUAAUUAAUAUAUAUAUAUAUAUUGGGUUAAUUAUGUCUGUUGUGUGUUUUUUUCUUGUUUGGUGUGUAUGAUUAGAGAAAUAAAGAUGUAUAGAUUGUUAAGUUGUAUGACUGGAUUUCAUGGAUGCAAUAUUAUUAGUCUUUUCCUUCCCAUGAGUUUGCUAUCUAUAAUAUCUGUUUGAACUCACAAUUUCCAGCUACCUUCUUUGUAUUCUUUUUCAUAGACCAGGAUCAUACAUAACACAACCACAUAGAAAAUUUUGCGAUUGAAUAUUGCACACAAUUUUUUUUUGAACGAGAAAAUUGUGGAUAAAAUCAUAAUUUUCAUAUAUUUAUAGAUUGAGGGAACAAUCUUAAUUAUGCCCUUUGAUUUUUUAUUUUUUAUUUAUAAAAGAUAAAAAUAUCUUUUUAGGCAAUUUAAAUGCUUAAUUUUGAAUCAAACGAGAUUUCAUUAAUAAAUAUGACAUUUUUAAAUGAAGUCUUCCAAUCUUCAUUGAAAGAAUCUUCAAGUUUUCAACUUCUUUAAGAAAUCUUCAAAUACUUUUCAACUCUUCAAGAUAUUUUUAAUCUUCUUGAAUUCUUUUUAAGAGCUCUAGGGCUUUUCUUUAGUCUUCUGCCAAAAUACAUCACUGAAUGAAGGAGAGAACAAAGGCAUUUUUCAUUCAUCACUGAACUUGUUUGAAAAGAAAAACACACACACACAGAUGGAGUUAGAAAUGAAAGUGGAGAAAAGCACUCGACAGUUUUGCAUACUGCAUGAUAGAACUCGUUGAAAUUGUUUAUAUCCCUGGCACUAAAAUACAUCUUGUAGCACUUAGUGAUCAAAGCCUGUUUUUCCUCCUCACUUCCUGUUCAGACAUGGAGAAGUGAAACAAACUUUGAGAUAUUCAUUGAUUCAACAAAGCUUUAAUCAAAUACUAAACUGCUUGCUUUGAUGGAAGGGCAGAGAUGAUGGUACCAGGAAUUAGUUUCAUGAGAGAUGCGCCCAUCUUCCUCCAAGCUUGUACCUAUGCGCUUGCGAUUGGUAAAAGCCAGGCACCAUAAACAUAAGAGUUUUUGAAUUUUUAUGGGAAAAUCAUGCUUUCAUACACUAAUUAAUAAUAAUAAAAAAAUUCUCCAUAUUUAAAAAAAAUAUAUAUAUAUCAAGACCACUGUAGUUUUCCUUUUAAAACUUUUUUAAUUUCAAUUUUUUAAUGUUUUAUCUUUUCAUAUUUAUUGGUUUCAAUCAUUAUAUUGAACACAUUAAACACAAAAUGAUAACAUUAUUGAGAACAAAUAAAAUAUAACCUAAAAUACAAUAGACAAACAAUUGAAGUUUCUUAGUAAUAUCUAAUUUAUAAUUUUCAAGAAUAGAAGAGCGAGUAUAUGAAUACUCUUGAGAAAAAAAUUAUUAUUUUAUUAAAAAAAACAAGUACUUUUAUUGUUCUUUAUGAUUAAAAAAUAAUAUUUUAUUUUCCUCCAUUUUUUUUAAUAUAAUCUAUUAAAUUAUAUUUGUUGUUGUCAAAUUUCUUUGUAUUAUUAUUAUUUUAAAAUUUGCAAGUCAUGCAAAUUUGUCAUAAUCUCAUAACAAUAAUUAACAUACAUGUUAGAUAUAAUUUCUAAGUUUUUUAUGUUCGAUAUAGAAAUUUUUUUAUGUUGCAUAAUAUAUUUUUAUUUAAUAUAAUAAAUUUAGAAGUAAUAUAUUAAUAAAGUUGAUCAUACACCUUCAUGAAAUAAAAUAUUCAAAGAAUAUUAAAAUUUAGAUGAUCCUGUCACUAUAUCCAAUUAUGUAGGAAAAAUGUGUACAAUCUUCAUCAAAAUAUAUAGGUACAUUCUUUUAGGGGGAAUCGGGACACUCACACUUGUUAUGUCCUAAAUAGUCAUUUGGGAGACCUCGAGGAAUGAUUUAUGACCUUACCCCAACUAGAAAUCAAAUUUUGAACCUUAUACACAUCUAAAAGAAAACUACAUACAUUCUUUUUAGGGUGAAUUGGGACCCCAACCACUCUUAUUACAUCCUAAAUAGUCAUUUGGGGGACCUCGAGAAGCGAUUUGAUUCCCCCACCCCAAAAUUAAAUUUGGAACCCCAUAUAUAUCCUUAAUAUAUGUAUACACACACACACACACAUAAUUAAAAAAAUACGUAUAUGUUUUAUAAAAAUAUAUGCAUUUUUUGAAGGGUGAACCGGGACCCCAAUCACACUUACUAUGUCCUAAAUAGUAAUUUAGGGACCUCGAGGAGUCAUUUGUAACCUUCUCUCACCUCGAAAUCAGAUUUGGAAUGUCACAUAUAUUCUUCACAAAAAUACAUACAUUUUUUUAGAGUGAAUCCCAAUCACCCUUAUUAUGACCUAUAUAUUCCUUUAGGGACCAUCAGGAAGUGAUUUGAGGUAUUCCCCCACCCCAAAAAGGAUAUUGCAACCCCAUAUACAUCCUUAAGAAAAAUAAGUACAUUUGUUCCUAAGGGAACUAGGACUCCUAUGUCCCUUAUCAAUGUCUAUAUAUUCUUUUGAAAACCCUCGAGAACUGAUUGAAGGUCCACCCCAUCCCCGAAACGGACUUUGGAACCUUAAGUACAUCCUUAAUAAAAAUAAGUACAUAUGCUCCUAGGGAUAUUGAGACCCUUAUCUCCAUUAUCAUGGUCUAUAUAUUCUUUUAGGGACCUUUGGAAAGUGAUUGGAUAUCUCAUAAACUCGUAUACCUCUUAAGAAAAAGAGGUGUUACAUAGUCUAUAGGACAUAUCCCCAAAAGAAUAUGAGAAAAGAUGAAAAACCUUUCCACGAUCUCACUUAGUCCUUCAAAGUUUGAUAUCUUUUUUCCAUCUUUCCAUUUUGCAAUGGAGACUCUAGUGCACAUAACUAGGAAAUAAUCUCAUGCUCCAACAAAGAGAAUCAAACUUACUAGACAUAUCACCCUGAUAUAAUCAAAGUGCCUUGAUAUCCGACUCCACCUUAAAUUCAAUGAAUUUAUCCCAGUUAUCAAAUUCUUAUACACAUAUUCAAACCUAGACUAAUCAUCACUAAAAAGUGAUGAAGUACACAUACCCUCCCCAUGCAUGAAUACUAAAAGAUCCAUGCAUGUUAGUAUGCACUAACUCCAAACAUUCCUUGGCUCUAAUCCUCUUGGCCAUUUUACCAUCUAUAUAAAAUUCACAAACUAGAAGAUCCUUUGAAUAAAAAAGUCCAAACCUAACUAGUCUUUAAAUCCUACUCAAAUUGAUAUGACCUAGGUCUUUAUACCAAAUGUUUGAUUAGUGCUAAGUUCAAUCUUAAGAUCUAACUAUUCUCAUCAUUUGCCAAAAUGAUAAUGAAAUACAUAUAAAAAAAAAAAAAUUGGAAGAUAUUACAUUCCACUGACCUGCACAACUAACUUUGCAAUUGAAGUUAAGGUAAAUAUAAUCUCAUCAUUUAACCUUCUCACUUGUUGAAUAUCCUGUAAAGACUACAUAUUGUAGGCAUAUAAUCUAUUCACCAUAAAUGGUAAAAUCCACCACUAAAUAUUCAACAAUGAGAAAAUGAUGCAUAUUUUUUUUUCUUUUAGGUAAACUAAGCAUUUCUUUUCUAGUGUCCUAAAAGAAUACAAAGGAAUCACCUGCCCUUGAACUUGCUUUCUUAUUUCUUCUCUUGAAUUUUCUUUAUUUGGUAUUGUUGUUCUUCUUCUUGGCUAAAAAAAAUGUAAAGAACCUUUUACUUCCAUAUGAACACCCUUAUAAUCUUUAAGAUUCCCCUAAACCAUCCCAAGGGAAACUAACAAUGUCUCUAAGAUUAUAUGAACUCUACUGUUUAUAAUAGUCCUAAGGACAACUUGUUAAAGUUGACCUGCCUUUAUCACCAAAUAGCCUUUGCAAACUAGAAAGAGAACAUCAAAGUCCUUGGUAAUAGAUAUGUGUUGCUAUUGCAACACAUUAUCCAAAGAUCUAAGUACGAGACACUUGGUCUUUUGAUCCAUCUAGCACCACCUUUAAUAUACCUACUUUUUCCUUUUUUACUAGGUUGGUUCAAAAGAAAUAGCUUGUUUUGCCUAAACUAGUUUUUAUGCAAUUAGUUACUAUAUCCAAAUUAGUUCAAAUGAUUAGUUGGGUUUGGUCUAUUGUGAGAAAGAUAGUGAUAAUAAAACCAACAUGAUAUCUUAACAAAGAUUAUAACCAUGCAUAUGACAUAAUUGAGCAUUCAAGGCAAUUGGUAAUUAAUUUAGCAAAAAUGUAGUGCUCUCAAACUACAUGUCAUUUCGCAAGGUAUCUUAGUGUCAUAAGAAUCAAGCUUACAAUGGGGAGGUCAUGAUUUUAUUACUAGUUAGAGACCUUCUCAAAUUGACCUCUUUGUCUUAACCAUGAAGGUAUCUAAAGGCAAGAUUAACAUACAUUUUUAUUUGGCUCAUGAACUAUGCAAAUGGGACCACAGUGCAGGCGUUUCAACAACUUCAAAUCCACUGAUAAGUGUAUAACCAUUGUCCUUGAACUAUCAGUGUCACCAAGUAAGGAACCCCACCAGUGGGAUGGUUUCUCCCACUACAGACAUGUCUAGUCUCAUCCUAAUGGAGAGUUCUUAUCCUUUGAUUCUUAAGACCUAACCUACCGUGGGGGUGGUGAUGAGCCCAAAUCUAGAUGGGCUCGAUAAUGGAGGCAUGGGCUUUCCUAAGGCCCUCUCCCACUUAAUUUUUUGAGAUAGAUGACCAUUUUAAAACAUUGUAAUUCCCUUGAUGAAUAAAUUAUCUACUUUGAGAAUUUUCAAAAAUAUUUAUUUCCUAAUUGGAAACUUAGUGUAAUAGGAGAAUAAAUUCUCCUUCUCUUACACAAAUCCAAUUAAUAAAUAUUUUAUUUAGGAAAUGUCUCAAAGAAAUUUAUUUCCAUCAAAUUACUAAGCCUUUUGAUAAUGAUUUUUUAAUGAAAAAUUAUCUUUAAUGAAAAUUUCCAAAAUGUUUAUUUUCCAAAUUGGAACUCUAGUGUAAUGAGGAAAUUACCAAUUUAUGAGAUUUUGAAAAUCUUAAGAGCACCUUAUCCAGGAAAUCAACUUUUGCUUCUCAUAUUCAAAAAUACUUAUAAGAUUUACUUAUUUCUUUUGCUUCUCAUAUUAAAAAAUCCUUAUAAGAUUUACUUAUUUCUUACACCUUUCCAACUUAAUAAAUAUUUCCAUGACAAUUUUAUAAUAAUUUAUUCCAUUAAAUAAUACCAAAAAUAGAACCUUUUAGUAAUUCCUUAAAGGAUAAACUAUUCUCUAUGAAAAACUCCUAAAAAUGCCUAUUUUCAAAAAAGGAAUUAAAUAAUUCAUUUUGGAAAGUAUUUUCAAAAUAUUUUAUAUCUCCAUUGAAUUACUAAAACUUUCCAAAAAUUAUUUUGAUAACCCUUCCUAUCAUAAAUUAUCCAUCAUGAGCUAAGACUCCUCUGCUAGAAAAAUUACUCUCUCAAUCCUUAUUCUUGAAUGAUCCAUAUCCAAACUGAAUGGUUUCCUUAUUUUAUUUUAUUUUUAGGGGGGAGAGCUUGGAGGAUCAUUAUAGAUGUAGUUCUCCUUCUCUCGAGAUGGGGGGUUGGGAAGCCUAGAGGACCACCUAUAUAAAACCAAGUAGAUAGUUCCAAAAAGAAUAACAUUAUUCUUAGCAACAACCAGUUUAAACAAAUAAUCUUUGGAAAAUAUCUUCUCAUGAAAAUUUACUAAGAAUACCAAAAUACUUAUUCAAAAUUAACACUUAUUUUGGUAACCUUCUUAAUUAUAAAUUAUCUAUCAUGAAUUUUCAAAAUUAACUUAUUCUCUUUAACUAAAAAACUUAUGCAAAAAGGAAAAAUAUUAUUUUAUAAAGAUUUGGAACAUCAAGAGCUUUUUCUUAAAAUAUUAUUUUUAGAGAUCUCAAAGAUUUGAGAAGAUUUUAAAUAAAAUUAAAAUCUAUAAGAAUUAAUUUUAAAAAGAAAAGAAAACUUUUAACCCUUUUUCAACUUAUCUUUUCUUAAAAUAAAAUUUCUCAACCAUUCACAUUCUAAUUUAAAUAAGUUUUCCAAUUUUGAAAAAUCCAUGAAAAUUUUUAUUCAAUUGAGAAUAUCAAAAUAAUUUAAUGUCGCAUAUGCAAUAAAUAAAGAGCAUAUAUAAACAAGGAAAUAAAUAAGCAAAAUUUCCCCAUGGCCUUUAGGGAUCCUACUGCGUAGUCUAGUAAUACAUUUCAAUAAAAUCCAAAUCACCAAUAUUAUCAAAUCAAACCUACAACAAAUAAAGGGUUAGAAAAAAGGAAAAACCCUUCAUCAGUAUGCCAAAAGUGCCAAUCUAUUGUCACUUGUGCUCGAGCGCCCAAAAAUUUGAAGAAAAUGUUAGAUACAACUUGCAUUGUGAUUACUACUCAAAAAAUACUCUUUUAUAGGUUGAAACUAACUGUUUUAAACACUUUUGAGUGGUAGUUAAUACCUUUUAACUCAAUUGGCACAUUAAGUAACCUAGCAAGGGUUACUAAUCAGUUUUGGCAAGUUUUGGUGUUUUUGGUAGCUAUUUGAUCAUUGAAACAAGCCAAGAAUGAGGGAGAAUUUUGUGAAAUCCAUGGCAAUGCAAGUUGAAGCUCAAAUACAUGAAGAAUCCGAGCUUUGGAGCACUUCAUAGCCCUUUGCCAAGCUUGGCAAUAGGUUGCCAAGCCAAUCAGAGAUGCAAGGAAGAAAACUAGAGGAAAAGUCCAACAACCAGCAUUUUCGCAUAGCAUGCGAAAUAAAGAGGAAGAGCAGCUGCAGGAAUGAGAGCAGGAUUGAGUGAAAGACAAUUUCGCACACCAUGCGAAACCACAAGAAGCAGCCAAAGAAUUUCGCACACCAUGUGAAAUUUCGCAUGGUAUGCGAAAUCCUCUUGUGUACCGACUCCGUUAGAUUUUUAUCUCCAGAUAUUUUGUAUAAUUUCCUAUUUUCUCCUUGUAAUCAAGCUAGAUAUUUUCAUGUAUAUCUUUUCUAGACAUGAAAGAAAUUCAUUCAUGAAACACUUGUAAAAUUCCCGUAGAAGAAAUAUAUAGAGAUUUUGCUCUGUCUUUCCUUCUCAUUUUGUUUUCACUUUUCUUUCUAGCCAAACAACCUCUGAGGAUGAUUUCUCAGGGGAUGAGUGGCUAGGUUUUACAUUUCUUGGAGUGAUGGAAACUAGGUGAAGGACCCGAAUGCAAAGAUGGGAGUUGUCCUUGCUUUAAAUGAAAGUAGUUGUUAACGUGAGGAAAAGAUCCAAAAUCUCCCUUUUUGCCUAAGGAACCCGAUCCUAGUGACCUAAAGCUCCAAGAGACCUUUUCUUUGUAGUUAACUUCACUAAUUAUUUUUGCUUAACUUAAAAUCAAUCUUUGCAACCAAAAUUCCAUUUUCUUUAAAAACUAAUUUUCAUAAGGAAAAACACCAUUUUAUUUCCUUCACUAAUGUGAACUGUAUGAUGAAAACCCAUCCCUAUGGAUGAUCCUAGAGCCACUAGACUAAGUUAGCUAUGCUAUCCUAGUGUGAGGUGAUUUAGGUUUGAUAAAUUUUGUUGAUAACACCUGCCUGAGCCAGAAUCAAAUGGCAUGACUGUAAUGAAGACGAAUCAAGUAUGCAUACUUGAAAGAAGACAAGCAGUGCCAUGUUGUUAUAUCUUCAGCUCUUACCAUUCAUUAGGAGGAUUGUCUACUUGAAGUCCUUAGAAGAUGUAGGAAGGAAAUAGGGUGGCAAAUUUCUGAUUUGAAAGGGAUCAACCCUUUAGUCUGCACCCAUCAUAUUUACAUGGAGGAUGAAGCUAAGCCAGUUUGUCAACCUCAGAGAAGGUUGAAUCCUCACAUGCAAAAGGUGGUGCAAACUAAAGUUCUUAAGCUACUUCAGGCCGGUAUUAUCUACCCCAUAUCAGAUAGCCCAUGGGUGAGUCCUACUCAAGUUGUGCCAAAGAAGUCUGGGAUCACGGUGGUGCAAAAUGAUAAGGGAGAAAAUGUCUCUACACGCCUCACUACAUGUUGGAGGGUGUGUAUCGAUUACAGGAGAUUGAAUGCGGUGACAAGGAAUGACCAUUUCCCGUUGCCCUUUAUUGAUCAAGUGCUUGAGAGGGUCUCUGGGCAUCCUUUUUAUUGUUUCUUGGAUGGCUACUCCGGGUACUUUCAGAUAGAAAUUGAUGUUGAAUACUAGGAGAAGACCACUUUCAUAUGCCCAUUUAGAACCUAUGCAUACAGGAGAAUGCCUUUCGGCUUAUGCAAUGCACCCGCAACUGUCUAAAGAUGCAUGUUAAGCAUUUUUAGUGAUAUAGUGGAGCGUAUUAUGGAAGUCUUUAUGGAUGAUAUCACCAUAUAUGGAAGUGCAUUUGAUGAAUGCUUGAUCAACUUAGAAGUUGUUCUGAACCGAUGCAUUGAGAAAGACUUAGUGCUUAACUGGGAGAAGUGUCAUUUCAUGGUACAACAAGGGAUUGUCCUUGGACACAUCAUCUCCAAGCAAGGCAUUGAAGUAGACAAAGCAAAUGUUAAACUCAUUGUUAAGUUACCAUCCCCAACAAAUGUCAAAGGAGUAAGGUAAUUCCUUGGCCAUGUCAGGUUCUAUAGGAGGUUUAUAAAGGAUUUCUCUAAGCUUGCAAGGCCUCUUUGUGAACUAUUGGUGAAGGAUGCUAAAUUCAUAUGGGAUGAUAGAUGCCAAAGGAGUUUUGAAGAAUUGAAGCUAUUUCUGACAACCGCACCAAUAGUGAGGGCUCCCAACUGGCAACUGCCCUUUGAGGUAAUGUGUGAUGCCAGUGACUUUGCUAUAGGAGUUGUUCUUGGCCAAAGAGAAUAUGGAAAGCCCUAUGUGAUCUACCAUGCGAGCAACACAUUGAAUGAGGCGCAAAGAAACUACACAACCACUGAGAAAGAAUUGUUAUAUGUGGUUUUUGCCUUAGAUAAGUUUCGUGCUUACUUGGUGGGGUCUUUCAUUGUGGUUUUCACUUAUCACUCUGCUUUGAAGUAUCUGUUGACUAAGCAAGAUGCGCAAGCAAGGCUGAUUAGAUGGAUUUUCUUGCUUUAAGAGUUCAAUCUCUAAAUCAAAGACAAGAAAUGAGUGGAGAAUGUGGUAGCAGACCACCUUUCAAGGCUAGCUAUAGCACAUAAUACCCAUGGUUUGCCCAUUAAUGAUGAUUUUCCAAAGGAGUCUCUCAUGUUGGUGGAAGUUGCCCCUUGGUAUGCUCACAUUGCGAACUACCUAGUCAUAGGAGAAGUUCCAAGUGAAUGGAAAACACAAGAUAAGAAACAUUUCUUUGCAAAAAUUCACGCCUAUUAUUGGGAAGAGCCAUUUCUAUUCAAGUAUUGUGUGGAUCAGGUAAUAAGGAAGUGCGUUCCUGAAGAAGAGCAACAGGGGAUCCUCAGCCAUUGCCAUGAAAAUGCAUGUGGAGGCCACUUUGCUUCUUAGAAGACAGCCAUGAGGGUGUUGCAAUCGGGUUUCUAUUGGCCAUCACUUUUCAAAGAUGCCCACACCAUGUGCAAGAGUUGUGAUCGAUGCCAGAGGCUUAGGAAAUUGACACGCAGGAACAUGAUGCCUUUGAACCCCAUUUUGAUAGUUGAUCUUUUUUAUGUUUGGGGCAUUGACUUCAUGGGACCUUUCCCUAUGUCUUUUAGCUACUCUUACAUCUUGGUAAGAGUAGAUUAUGUUUCUAAGUGGGUUGAGGCAAUCCCAUGUAAACACAAUGACCAUAAAAUGGUUCUCAAGUUUCUCAAGGAGAACAUCUUCUCAAGAUUUGGGGUGCCCAAAGCCAUAAUUAGUGAUGGGGGUACUCAUUUUUACAACAAGCCUUUUGAAACUCUCUUGGCCAAGUAUGGGGUGAAGCAUAAGGUAGCUACACCUUACCACCCUCAAACUAGUGGGCAAGUUGAGUUAGCGAACCGGGAUAUUAAAAACAUAUUGAUGAAGGUGGUGAACACAAAUAGAAAAGAUUGGCCAGUCAAGCUCCUUGAUUCACUAUGGGCAUAUAGAACAGCUUAUAAGACCAUUCUUGGAAUGUCUCUGAUUCGUGCCCAGUAGGGUAUUUUAAUCAAAAAUAUUUAUAAAUCCUAUGACCUUAUACUAGCGUAGCAAAGCUACUAUAGUACAACAGCUCUAGGGUCGAACUCUGGGAUGGGUUUUCAUUCUACCAGUGAUAGACUCAAGAUUAGAAAUUGAAUCUGAUGAUUUCCUUUGUCAAAAACUUAAAGUUUAAAAGAAAAUAAAAUUUGUUUUGAAAGUGGUGUUUGAAACUAAACUAACAUAGAACUAGGUAAAAAUGGAAGAAAGAAAGUCUCCCGGAGCUAGAGGUUGCUAGGAUCAAGUUCAGAAUGCAAAGUGGGAAAUUCCGGAUUUUUCUCCUCGUAUUAGGGACAACUGAUUACUACUCAAAAAGUGCUAUUUGAUAGCUUAUAAUUAAUCCUUUUAAACACUUUUGAGUAGUAGUUUAGGCCUUUUAACUCAAUUGGCAUGUUAAGGAUCCUUUAAAGCAAUUUUAAUCACUUUGUGCAAGUUUUGGUGUUUUUGUUAGUAUUUUGAUCACCAAAGCAAGUCAAGACUGAGGAGAGCUAUGAGGAAUCUUGGGCAAAGCUUAGAAGUCAUUUUCCAAGAGUGAAUCCGGAUUGCAAGGAGAAAAAGCAAAGAGAAUCUACCAUAGAGCAUAUUCUUGAUGACAGUCACAGAGGCCACUUUUGGAGCACUUUCUGAAGUCCAAAUAAUGCAUGCUAUAUACCAUUUCAAAGCUCAGGAAGUCAACAAUCUAAUGCUUCAAACGGUGUGCAAUUCGGAGUUGAAACGAAGAAGUUGCAGCCAUUACAAGCCAAUCACUCCGAGUUGAAGGAAGCAUUUUGCAAAGUGCUGCGAAAUCACCCUUUUGUUGCGAAGUGAUUUCGCAGCAUUUUUGUACAGUAAGUUGUUUCUCCUUCUGAUGAUGCACGAUUUAUGCCGCGAGAAGGAAGCUAGGAACCUCAAGGUGGAAGCCAACUUCGCAGCCCUGUGAAGAUAGCUUGGUGUUGCGAAAAUAUUUCGCAGCCCUCUUGAGUGUCUGCGAAAUCUCGCAGACACCAUUUUUCUCCUGCGAAAUGGUUCCUGAAGCCUCCCGAUAUUUGCUACCGACAUUGGGAGAUAUUUUCCAUUAGAUUUUUGUUGUCUAAAUCCCAAAAUACUCCUUGUAAACCUCCAAUUACAAGAUUCCUUAGCUUUUAAGUUAGUAAAAAGACUAAAUAUCUUUGUAACAAUUAGUUUUAUAUUAUGUUCAUAUAUAUACCUCUCGGGAGCCUGUUCUCGGAGAGGAGUUCCUUCUGAAAAAGUUUGGGUAAGCAAGUAAAGUCUAUUUUCUUUCUACUGCCUUACCUUAUCACUUUGUAUUUUCAUUUCAUUUCUAAGUUAUGAAUUCUCUGAGGAGUUUUCCCCAGAGAAUGAGUAACUAAACCUCUAGUUCCUUGGAGCUAAGGUUGCCGGGGAAGGUUCCAAGUGCAAGAAUGCAAAGCUUUGUGGUUUUAGCUUUUAAUGAAGAGGAAGUGAAAUCCUUUAAUGAUUUCUAUGUUUUUAGUUAACUUAAAACACCUUAGAGUCACCUGGGCCAACACUUGGUAAGGCAAGUGAUUUCCAACCAUGGAAAUGCACUAGUUUACCUCUUGCGAGCCUCUGGGAGGUGAUUUCAAGGUAGGAUUUUCUGGAAUUACCAACACUUGGUAAGCUUUUGGACUCCUAGGAGACAUCCAUUAGUUAUCUCUUGCGAGUUUGUGAAGGGAAGUCCAAGGUUAAAGAUCAUCUUGAAUGGUAAGUGCUCGUGAGAGGCAUGAACCAUUGCAAGUUGCAUCAGUGAGAGAAUUAAAGUGAAAUCUAAUUGAAGGAAUCUCUGUACAACACCGGUUAGAGAAUUGACUAUAUGUUGAAUCUCUAACGCGAGGAAAUGAACCAUCUGACCGGAGCUAUGUCUUUUGCAUGAGGAAUCACCCCAGUGAACCUAACUCUCCAGGGAAUGCUUUUCUUCCUAAAUUAUUCCAAACUUCUGUUAUGUUAGUUAGUUUAAGUAUAAACAUUUACCAAUCAAAGUUUGUGUUUUACUUCUUAAGCUAACCGUGAAAUGAAACAAGACCAAUUCACUUGGAAUUGGUAUCAUUGAUAGCUUGCUAAUCCUUCCCAGUGAACGAUCCUAGAGCCGCUAUACUAUAGUAGCUUUUUCUUUGCUACCCUAGUAUAUGGUGUAAUAGGUAUAAAUUUUGUUGAUUACUCCCUCAUCCAAGGAGCACCAGCUGGACAUGAAUCAGCUGAGACACCAAUUGGGCACGAAUCAAAUGGCGCCGUUGCCGGGGAAGAUGUCAAGUUUAUAUUGAUACCAUUUUUGAGCACUUGUGAUUUUCAUCACAAGCUGGUAACGUUUCUUUCACUUUACUAAUUUUCAUUCUUUCUUUAUGUAUUCAUAAUCUAAGUUUAUCUUAUUAAAUUUAGCCUAGUUUAAUUUUGCUGUUGUAGCCUUGUUUCUCUUGUUGUCCUCUGUUUUUUUUUUAAGUUGUAGAUAGAUACUAGUUGUGUAUGCCCAAGUGGAUACGAGACAGUGGAGGAAGGCUUGUUAAGUGUGAUACACCUCAGAGGGGAGAAUUUGAAGUAAUCUUGAAUAUCAUGGAAGCUACACCUGAAGAUCAGCAUAGUCACCAAGGUCGUCAAGACAAUCUCAAUGAAUUCAGAUCAAUGAGGGACCGUAUGCAUCCACCUCGUAUGAGUGCACCAUCAUGCAUAGUGCCCCCUACAGAGCAGCUAGUGAUCAGACCGUAUCUUGUUCCACUUCUACCAACUUUCCAUGGGAUGGAAAGUGAGAAUCCGUAUGCACACAUCAAGGAAUUUGAAGAUGUUUGUAAUACAUUCCAAGAGGGAGGAGCUUCAAUUGAUUUGAUGAGGCUUAAGUUAUUUCCUUUUACUUUAAAGGAUAAGGCCAAAAUUUGGCUUAAUUCUUUAAGGCCAAGGAGUAUCCGCUCUUGGACUGAUUUACAAGCUGAAUUCCUCAAGAAAUUUUUUCCUACUCAUAGAACAAAUGGCUUGAAAAGGCAAAUUUCAAACUUCUCAGCUAAAGAGAAUGAGAAAUUCUAUGAGUAUUGGGAGAGAUACAUGGAAGCUAUAAAUGCUUGUCCUCACCAUGACUUUGAUACUUGGCUAUUGGUGAGCUAUUUUUAUGAUGGUAUGUCUUCCUCAAUGAAGCAACUCCUCGAGACAAUGUGUGGAGGAGAUUUCAUGAGCAAAAAUCCAGAGGAAGCUAUGGAUUUCUUGAGCUAUGUAGCUGAUGUUUCAAGGGGAUGGGAUGAACCAACUAAAGGAGAAGUGGGAAAGAUGAAGUCUCAGUUGAAUGCUUACAAUGCAAAGGCUGGGAUGUAUACUUUAAAAGAAGAUGAUGACAUGAAAGCAAAGUUGGCAACUAUGACAAGAAGAUUGGAGGAGCUGGAACUGAAAAGAAUACAUGAAGUGCAAGCUGUUGCUGAAGCACCAGUGCAAGUGAAGCUGUGUCCUAAUUGUCAAUCAUUUGAACAUUUGGUGGAGGAAUGCCCUGCAAUUUCAACUGAAAGGGAGAUGUUUAGAGAUCAAGCAAAUGUUGUUGGACAAUUCAGGCCCAAUAACAAUGCGCCAUAUGGAAAUACCUACAACUCAAGUUGGAGGAAUCAUCCAAAUUUCUCAUGGAAGGCCAGAGCAACUCAAUACCAACAGCCGGAUCCACCAUCUCAACAAUCUUCAAGUAUUGAACAAGCAAUAGCCAAUCUCAGCAAGGUAAUGGGAGAUUUUAUUGAAAAGCAAGAAGCCACUAAUGCUCGAGUCGAUCAAAGAAUUGAUAGAAUGGAGAGUAUGUUGAAUAAAAGGAUGGAUGGAAUGCAAAAUGAUAUGAACCAAAAGUUUGACAACAUCCAGUAUUCAAUUUCAAGGCUUACAAAUUUGAAUACACUGCAAGAAAAGGGAAGAUUUCCUUCUCAACCUCACCAAAAUCCCAAGGGUGUCCAUGAAGUGGAAAGCCAAGAGGGAGAGUCAUCACAGAUGAAAGAUGUCAAAGCCUUGAUCACUCUAAGGAGUGGUAAGAAAAUUGAGCAGCCAAUACCCAAGCCACAUGUUGAGAAAGAAGAAGAGAUAAAGAAAGGGAAUGAAAUGGAAGAUAAAGAGUGUGAGAUCAGUGAAGAAAAGAAGGACUCUGAUUCAACAAUGAAAGCAAUUCCAGAGAAAGAGCUUCUGAAGGAAGAAAUGCUGAAGAAAUCAACUUCUCCACCUUUUCCCCAAGCAUUACAUGGGAAAAAGAGGAUUAGAAAUGCAGCUGAAAUCCUUGAAGUCUUGAGGCAAGUGAAAGUUAAUAUUCCACUGCUGGAUAUGAUUAAACAAGUUCCAACAUAUGCAAAAUUCCUAAAGGAUUUAUGUACUAUCAAAAGAGGGUUAACUGUAAACAAGAAAGCCUUCUUGACUGAGCAAGUAAGUGCAAUCUUACAGUGUAAGUCUCCUUUGAAGUACAAAGACCCUGGAAGUCCUACCAUUUCAGUCAUGAUUGGAGGAAAGGUAGUGGAGAAAGCCCUGUUAGAUUUGGGAGCAAGUGUGAAUUUGCUUCCAUAUUCCGUCUACAAGCAAUUGGGACUUGGAGAGUUGAAGCCAACAGCAAUCACUCUAUCUCUGGCAGAUAGAUCGGUGAAAAUUCCAAGAGGGGUAAUUGAGGAUGUAUUGGUUCAAGUGGAUAAUUUCUACUAUCCAGUAGAUUUUAUUGUUCUUGAUACAGAUCCUACUGUAAAGGAAGCUAAUUUAGUUCCUAUCAUCCUUGGAAGGCCAUUUCUUGCAACUUCAAAUGCAAUCAUCAACUGUAGAAAUGGGCUUAUGCAACUCACUUUUGGUAACAUGACACUGGAUCUCAAUAUUUUCUACAUGUCUAAAAAGCAAAUCACUCCGGAGGAAGAAGAAGGUCCAGAAGAGCUAUGUAUAAUUGAUACUUUGGUGGAGGAGCACUGCAAUCAACAUAUGCAAGAAAAGUUGAAUGAAAGUCUUGAGGAUAUUGAGGAAGGUUUUUCUGAAUCUCCUAUUGGGCUUGCUACUCUACAAAGUUGGAGAAAGAUAGAAGGAAUUCUACCUUUGUUCAAUAAGGAAGAGGAGGCAGCUGUUGAAAAAGAAAUUCCAAAACUCAAUCUGAAGCCUUUACCUGUGGAGCUGAAAUAUACAUAUCUUGAAGAAAAUAAUCAAUGUCCUGUUGUGAUAUCCUCAUCUCUGACCAGUCAACAAGAGAAUUGUUUAAUGGAAGUUCUCAAGAGGUGUAAGAAGGCAAUAGGAUGGCAAAUAUCUGACUUGAAAGGCAUUAGUCCUUUAGUUUGUACUCAUCAUAUAUAUAUGGAGGAGGAAGCAAAGCCAAUUCGUCAAUUUCAAAGAAGGUUGAAUCCUCAUCUACAAGAGGUGGUGCGAGCUGAAGUGCUGAAGCUACUUCAAGCAGGAAUCAUUUACCCUAUAUCUGAUAGCCCUUGGGUGAGUCCUACUCAAGUGGUACCAAAGAAGUCAGGGAUCACAGUGAUUCAAAAUGAAAAAGGGGAAGAAAUUACUACACGCCUCACUUCAGGUUGGAGGGUGUGUAUUGAUUAUAGAAAGCUGAAUGCUGUCACUAGGAAAGAUCAUUUUCCAUUGCCAUUUAUUGAUCAAGUGCUGGAGAGAGUCUCUGGACAUCCAUUCUAUUGUUUCUUGGAUGGGUAUUCAGGGUAUUUUCAGAUUGAAAUUGAUUUGGCAGAUCAAGUAAAGACCACUUUUACAUGUCCAUUUGGAACAUAUGCUUAUAGAAGAAUGCCUUUUGGUUUAUGCAAUGCACCUGCUACAUUUCAAAGAUGUAUGUUGAGUAUUUUCAGUGAUAUGGUGGAGCGAAUUAUGGAGGUUUUCAUGGAUGACAUCACCGUAUAUGGAGGUACAUUUGAGUAAUGCUUGGUUAAUUUGGAAGCAGUUCUUCAUAGAUGCAUUGAAAAAGAUCUGGUGCUCAACUGGGAGAAAUGCCAUUUUAUGGUACGUCAAGGAAUUGUCCUUGGCCAUAUCAUCUCUGAAAAAGGCAUUGAAGUUGAUAAAGCAAAGGUGGAGCUUAUUGUCAAAUUACCAUCUCCAACAACUGUAAAAGGAGUAAGGCAGUUCCUUGGCCAUGCAGGGUUCUAUAGGAGGUUUAUAAAAGGUUUUUCAAGUCUUUCAAAACCUCUUUGUGAGCUGUUAGCUAAGGAUGCUAAGUUUAUAUGGGAUGAAAGGUGUCAGAAUAGCUUUGAUCAACUGAAGAAAUUUUUAACAACUACUCCAAUAGUGAGAGCCCUUAACUGGCAAUUACCUUUUGAACUGAUGUGUGAUGCCAGUGACUUUGCUAUAGGAGCUGUGCUUGGCCAAAGAGAAGAUGGGAAGCCCUAUGUGAUUUACUAUGCAAGUAAAACACUGAAUGAAGCUCAAAGGAACUACACAACUACAGAGAAAGAAUUGUUAGCUGUGGUAUUUGCUUUGGACAAAUUUCGUGCUUAUUUAGUGGGGUCUUUCAUCAUUGUCUUCACUGACCAUUCAGCCUUGAAGUAUUUAUUGACAAAGCAAGAUGCAAAAGCAAGGUUGAUUAGAUGGAUUCUUCUGUUACAAGAAUUCGAUCUUCAAAUCAAAGAUAAGAAAGGAGUGGAGAAUGUAGUAGCUGACCACUUGUCAAGGUUAGUUAUAGCACAUAAUUCCCAUCCCUUGCCUAUCAAUGAUGAUUUUCCUGAAGAAUCACUCAUGUUUCUAGUGAAAACUCCUUGGUAUGCUCAUAUUGCCAAUUAUUUAGUAACUGGUGAAAUUCCAAGUGAGUGGAAUGCACAGGACAGGAAGCACUUCUUUGCCAAAAUUCAUUCUUAUUAUUGGGAAGAGCCCUUUCUCUUUAAGUAUUGUGCAGAUCAGAUUAUUAGGAAGUGUGUCCCCGAAGAUGAGCAGCAAGGGAUUCUAUCUCAUUGUCAUGAGAAUGCAUGUGGAGGCCACUUUGCCUCUCAGAAAACAGCCAUGAAGGUAUUGCAAUCAGGGUUUACUUGGCCAUCUCUUUUCAAAGAUGCCCACAUCAUGUGAAGAAAUUGUGAUAGAUGCCAAAGGCUUGGAAAGCUAACAAAAAGAAAUCAAAUGCCUAUGAACCCCAUUCUGAUAGUAGAGUUAUUUGAAGUAUGGGGCAUUGACUUCAUGGGACCUUUCCCAAUGUCUUUUGGUAAUCCAUAUAUCUUGGUGGGGGUAGAUUAUGUUUCUAAAUGGGUUGAGGCAAUCCCCUGUAAACAAAAUGAUCACAGGGUGGUUCUCAAGUUUCUUAAAGAGAACAUUUUCUCAAGAUUUGGGGUGCCCAAGGCCAUAAUCAGUGAUGGAGGUGCUCAUUUUUGCAACAAACCUUUUGAAGCUCUGUUAUCCAAGUAUGGAGUGAAGCAUAAGGUGGCUACACCUUAUCAUCCUCAGACUUCCGGGCAAGUUGAGCUAGCUAAUAGGGAAAUAAAGAACAUCUUGAUGAAAGUGGUGAAUUCCAACAGAAAAGAUUGGUCUAUUAGGCUUCAUGAUUCAUUGUGGGCAUAUAGAACAGCUUAUAAGACUAUUCUUGGGAUGUCUCCCUAUCGUCUUGUCUAUGGCAAAGCAUGUCAUCUCCCUGUGGAAGUUGAAUACAAAGCUUGGUGGGCAAUAAAGAAGCUGAACAUGGACUUGAUCAAGGCAGGAGAAAAGAGAUUUCUAGACCUUAAUGAGAUGGAGGAAUUAAGAAAUAAUGCUUAUAUCAAUUCCAAAGUUGUAAAACAGAGGAUGAAGAAAUGGCAUGACCAACUCAUCUCUAACAAGGAAUUUCAGGAAGGGCAAAGAGUUUUGAUGUAUGACACAAGACUCCAUAUCUUUCCUGGGAAGCACAAAUCGAGGUGGAUAGGCCCGUUUGUUAUUCACCGAGUAUGGUCCAAUGGAGUGGUGGAAUUAUUGAAUUCCAAUGGCAAGGAUAGCUUUAAAGUCAAUGGAUAUCGUCUCAAGCCAUUCAUGGAGCCAUUCAAAUCAGAAAAGGAGGCAAUCAACCUCCUUGAGCCUCAAAAAGUCUAAGCAAAGAAGGGUUUGCUAGACGUGGUUUUACCACAGUCCAAAAUUUUUGUAAAUUUUGUAAAUUUUCAAGUUGUUUCCAUAUUUUUGAUCUUAGUUUUUGAUCUUAAAUCAUGUUUUUAGGUGUGUUUUAAUUGUUUUGAAUGAUCCCAGGUGGAAGAAAUUUCAAGGAGAUUGAAAGAAAAAAAAAUCGGGUCGAAAUCAGAGCCAAAACAGAGGAAAAACAGAGGAAAAACAGGGGAAAAACAGAGCUCUGCGAAAUUUCGCAGAGUGAAGGAAACCUCUGCGAAAUCAGCACUAUGCUGCAAAUCCAUUCCGCAGCACUGUAGAAGUCUCUGCGAGGGUAUUUCGCAGCUACGAAAGCAAAUUUGGCACACGAGUGCCACUUCGCAGUACAGUAGCAUCCAUUUGGUAGCUGCGAAACACAUUGCGAAAUGGAAAAGCGUGAUUUCGCACCAAAAGUCCCAUUCCGCAGGGUAUUUCGCAAUUGCGAAAGUGGUUUUGGCACACGAGUGCCACUCCGCAGCACAGUAACAUCAAUUUCGCAGCUGCGAAACUCACUGCGAAGUUGCUGCGAAAAUGGCAUUUUGCUGCGAAAUUGGCGUUUUGUUGCGAAACUCAAACUGACACUUAGGCUUCCGUUUUUCCUAUUUAUACCGGUCAUUUGAGCUGCGAAAAGGGUUUCAAAAAUCAGAGCACCAUUCUCGCAGCCUCUUCGUCUUCUUCAGUGAGCCUCGCCGUCCAAACCCCCGGUCAUCCUCUCAGAUCAUCUACGUCAGCCAAAGUUCGGUAGCCUAAAAUGGCGCGAACACGAGGGGCUAAGUCUUCUUCUCCUUCGAACCGCAAGAAGAGUCUGCGAAAGGAGCCAAGUCCAGGUUCUGUUCCAGAACCUGCUCCAGAGCCCUCGCCGUCGAGACCAAUUCCUCCUCCGGUGAAGCCCGUGCCACCAAAGCCGCCGGCAAGACGAUAUCUAACCAGGUCAGGAGGUAGGCCAUUACAGAAGAGACCCAGGGUGGAGAGCUCAGAACCCAUCGAUUUGACUGAGCAAUCUCCAGAGCCUUCACCAAUCCCAUCACCGGUUCAAACUCCAGUGCCAUCUCCGGUUCCCUCGCCAAGUCCCCUGCCAGUUCCAUCGCCGGUACCAUCUCCAACGCCGCAAGAAAAAUCUCAGGAGCCCCAAGCGCCACUUCCCGAACCCCAAAUUCAAGCUGAAACAGCUCUGGAAGAAGUAAUUAGGAGGCCAAUGCUACCUCAGCCCCCAAUUGAAGGAAACUUGGAUUGUCGAACUCGAGCAUUCCAUUCCGAGCUUUGUUUCGACUUAGCAGCAUUCAGAGUGAGGCCGGAGCUUGCCCAAUCAUUCCAGCUGCUGAGGAGGUAUCAUAUGGAGCAUCUGCUAGCUCCAAGAGACUUUUUCUAUCCCCGAAUAGCCACGGAUUUCUACCAAUCCAUGACAACCAAAGAGGUCAGGAAUCCAACCUUGAUUCAUUUUACUAUCGAUGGGAGACAUGGUAUAUUGGGAGCACGACAUAUUGCUGAAGCCCUGCAAAUUCCCUUUGAGCCAACCCAAUUCGAUAAUUUUAGAGCUUGGGCAAAUCCUACUGAGCUAGAGAUGGUUCGCACCCUUUCUAAAGGAGCUGCAAAUCGAUCACAUCUGCUGAGGGGGGAGCUUCCUCCAGUUAUGUUUUUGAUUGAUGCCUUUUUGAGGCAUAAUAUCUAUCCAUUGCAGCAUUGGACCCAAAGAAGGGGAGUCCUCCUGGAAGCUCUUUACAAGAUGUCAGAAGGAUUUUUCUUUGGGCCUCAUCAUCUGAUCAUGGCAGCCCUUCUCUAUUUUGAAGAGAAGGUGGACAGAAAGAAGCUUCAAAGAGCUGAUUGCAUUCCCCUCCUCUUCCCAAGGCUGCUAUGCAAAAUUUUGGAGCAUAUGGGAUAUCCCUUUGAGCCUCAGCUGGAGAGAAAGCGAAUAUGCCGUGAGCCAUUCACUCUUGAUAAAUGGAACAAUAUGACGACCUACAAAAUUGAUCAGCCUGGGCAGCCUCAGCCAGCUGCAAGGAGAGCAUCCCCAAGACAUAUACCCGAAGGUAUAACAGUUGCUGCUCUUGCCAUUCCUAGAGCUCCUCCAGCUGCACCUGCUUCAUCUCAGCCAUCCACAUCAGCUGAGCCGAGGAUGGCUAUUCCUAUAUCUGAAUAUCGAGAGUUGUGCCGUGCAUUGGAGACUCUUACAGCUUCUCAGAGCAGUCUUGCUCAAGAGAUGGCAGCCAUCAGAGCAUGCCAAGAGAAGAUGUUAGCCACUCAGGCUCAACAAGCUGCCAUCUUAAGGCAGCUCUAAGUCCAUUUCGAUCUGCCACAAGCUGUAGAGCCCUCCACUGAUACUCCAGCAGAGCCACACUCUCAGCCUUCAGAAUCUCAUCCUCCAGAGCCAGAAGCCCCAGCUGAUCUACUAAAAAGGCAGCAGAUCCAUCUGCCUAAUUCUAGCCACAACCCCACUCAUCAGACUACUAUCUAUCUAAUAUUUCUAUGUAUUUCGUUUUUUUUAGUUGAAAAGAAGUCCCAGUAUUUUGGUACUAUAUAUGGGAUUCCUUGUGUUACUUGUCCUUGGCACUAUACUCGAAUGAAUUGAAAGUAAUACAAGUUGAAUAUUUCUUGUUUAAAGUUAGCAUUAAGUUAUUCUUAUUUCCUUUUCUCACAUAUUCUAUUCUUUUUGAAACAUGUGGUUUUCCCCAAUCAAUAUUCGAAUUUGAUAUCAGCAAGGAGGUACCACUUCCUCCCUUUAAUUACAGUCACUCAUAUCACAUUGAGGACAAUGCUCAGUUCGGUUGGGGGGAAUGAGGAAGGAAGUAUGCUAAAUCUUUUUGGUAUUGCAAGUAUAUUGGUUAAUUAGUUGUAGUUUUUGCUUUUUACUCUUGUUACUCUAUUCUCCAUGAAUUUUGAGGAAAAAUUUUCAAAUUAAACCAAGAGAAAUUGAACUGUUGUUUUUCACUUGACUUAGAGUAUGGAUUAUGCUUACUAAAGUGGUUCAAUUGUUGAAGCUUCUAUUGAAAUUGAAUUGAGUUCUUCCACUUUAAGCUAUCCACACAAUGUGCACAUUAGAUUCCGAUUAUAAGAUGAAAAGCUAUUUCCCUCCUGACUUAGGAUAAUUUUGGGACUUGGUAUAUUUGACCUCAUUUGAUAAAAAUUGAAACACCCUGCAAAAGGCCAAAGAGCCUUUGAAAUAAAGAAAGUUGUUUGCUUGCCUUGAAACCCGAGUAAGGUCUGAGGGGUAUAUGGUGAAAAUCUUUAAAGCCUGGUGCCCUAAGCCUUAAUUGGUUGGGAGUCACCGACCUCAAUGCUCAUUAUAAGGGUGAAUAGGUAAAGUUAGCAUAUGGUAGAUGCUUGGGUAUUAGAAAUUCAUUCUUAAAAGUCCGGGGAAAAAUCCGAGGAGUUAGUGGUUGAAAGAUCCUUAAAGCUUGGUGCCCUAAACCUUAAUUGGUUGGGAGUCAUCGAUGGACCCCCAUUACAUGGACAAGUCAGAAAGAGUACCCCAUAAAGCUACCUUGAAAAAAAAAAAAAAAAAAAAAAAAAGGUGUGUUCUUUUCUUAUUGAUUAUGGUCAGAUUAUUGCUAAAGUGUUAAAAAGAGAUAGGUUGGGGGGUGAGAUUAGUAGCAUAUUAUUCUCGGAAGCUAAGGAACUAAUACACAUAGAUUUGUGUGGAAGAUUAAAGUUUGAUUCUUAGGAAGUGGAAAUGAUUUUAAAACUUCAGUUUGCAUAAUGCACUCCCUUGAUUGAUAGUGUUUAGCAUAGUUUGUUAUGACUCUUGUUGAGAUUUGGGUUUGUAUUUCUUUAAUGCUUCAUGUGAGAAUUAGAUCAUCAUGCCACUUGAGAAUUAUUUUCUUUCAGCAUGAUGUUGUAAAUUUUAGAUUAGUUUGCUAUUUAUUUUCAUUUUUCUCUCCUAUAUUGCUAAGGGACUAGCAAUAUGUCGGUUGGGGGGAGUGAUUACUACUCAAAAAGUGCUAUUUGAUAGCCUAUAAUUAAUCCUUUUAAACACUUUUGAGUAGUAGUUUAGGCCUUUUAACUCAAUUGGCAUGUUAAGGAUCCUUUAAAGCAAUUUUAAUCACUUUGUGCAAGUUUUGGUGUUUUUGUUAGUAUUUUGAUCACCAAAGCAAGUCAAGACUGAGGAGAGCUAUGAGGAAUCUUGGGCAAAGCUUAGAAGUCAUUUUCCAAGAGUGAAUCCGGAUUGUAAGGAGAAAAAGCAAAGAGAAUCUGCCAUAGAGCAUAUUCUUGAUGACAGUCACAGAGGCCACUUUUGGAGCACUUUCUGAAGUCCAAAUGAUGCAUGCUAUAUACCAUUUCAAAGCUCAGGAAGUCAACAAUCCAAUGCUUCAAACGGUGUGCAAUUCGGAGUUGAAACGAAGAAGUUGCAGCCAUUACAAGCCAAUCACUCAGAGCUGAAGGAAGCAUUUUGCAAAGUGCUGCGAAAUCACCCUUUUGUUGCGAAGUGAUUUCGCAGCAUUUUUGUACAGUAAGUUGUUUCUCCUUCUGACGAUGCACGAUUUAUGCCGCGAGAAGGAAGCUAGGAACCUCAAGGUGGAAGCCAACUUCGCAGCCCUGUGAAGAUAGCUUGGUGUUGCGAAAAUAUUUCGCAGCCCUCUUGAGUGUCUGCGAAAUCUCGCAGACACCAUUUUUCUCCUGUGAAAUGGUUCCUGAAGCCUCCCGAUAUUUGCUACCGACAUUGGGAGAUAUUUUCCAUUAGAUUUUUGUUGUCUAAAUCCCAAAAUACUCCUUGUAAACCUCCAAUUACAAGAUUCCUUAGCUUUUAAGUUAGUAAAAAGACUAAAUAUCUUUGUAACAAUUAGUUUUAUAUUAUGUUCAUAUAUAUACCUCUCGGGAGCCUGUUCUCGGAGAGGAGUUCCUUCUGAAAAAGUUUGGGUAAGCAAGUAAAGUCUAUUUUCUUUCUACUGCCUUACCUUAUCACUUUGUAUUUUCAUUUCAUUUCUAAGUUAUGAAUUCUCUGAGGAGUUUUCCCCAGAGAAUGAGUAACUAAACCUCUAGUUCCUUGGAGCUAAGGUUGCCGGGGAAGGUUCCAAGUGCACGAAUGCAAAGCUUUGUGGUUUUAGCUUUUAAUGAAGAGGAAGUGAAAUCCUUUAAUGAUUUCUAUGUUUUUAGUUAACUUAAAACACCUUAGAGUCACCUGGGCCAACACUUGGUAAGGCAAGUGAUUUCCAACCAUGGAAAUGCACUAGUUUACCUCUUGCGAGCCUCUGGGAGGUGAUUUCAAGGUAGGAUUUUCUGGAAUUACCAACACUUGGUAAGCUUUUGGACUCCUAGGAGACAUCCAUUAGUUAUCUCUUGCGAGUUUGUGAAGGGAAGUCCAAGAUUAAAGAUCAUCUUGAAUGGUAAGUGCUCGUGAGAGGCAUGAACCAUUGCAAGUUGCAUCAGUGAGAGAAUUAAAGUGAAAUCUAAUUGAAGGAGUCUCUGUACAACACCGGUUAGAGAAUUGACUAUAUGUUGAAUCUCUAACGCGAGGAAAUGAACCAUCUGACCGGAGCUAUGUCUUUUGCAUGAGGAAUCACCCCAGUGAACCUAACUCUCCAGGGAAUGCUUUUCUUCCUAAAUUAUUCCAAACUUCUGUUAUGUUAGUUAGUUUAAGUAUAAACCUUUACCAAUCAAAGUUUGUGUUUUACUUCUUAAGCUAACCGUGAAAUGAAACAAGACCAAUUCACUUGGAAUUGGUAUCAUUGAUAGCUUGCUAAUCCUUCCCAGUGAACGAUCCUAGAGCCGCUAUACUAUAGUAGCUUUUUCUUUGCUACCCUAGUAUAUGGUGUAAUAGGUAUAAAUUUUGUUGAUUACUCCCUCAUCCAAGGAGCACCAGCUGGACAUGAAUCAGUUGAGACACCAAUUGGGCACGAAUCAACAACAACAUAAAGGAUGGUUGUUUCUUGAACCGGUAUAGAUUUAACAAUGAAGAUUUAAUCCAUAAAAAGUCAAUAGAAAUGGUAGUCAAGUUCCAUUAAUGGCUUUAGACACUAUGGGUCUUCACCUUGAGCCACUUUCCAAUGGCUCGUACAUGAUAACUAAUGGUCUUAUGUGGAUCUAGCAAUAAGUAUCCACAGAGACCUAAAAGCUUAUCAUGUAUUGGCCAUUCAAAGUGAUUCAAAGGGAUUUAAAGCAAAACUUUAGAUUUUAAAAACCAUUUAUGAACUCCAACUACCUGUAUUUAAAGCACUAGAAUUUUCCACUUUUGCAUCUGGACUUUUCACCUAGCUUCCUUCACUCCAAGAAACUAAAGGUUUAGCCUCUCAUCCUCUGGGAAAACAUCCUCAGAGGUUGUUUGGCUUCCAAGAAAAAGAAAAUACAAUAAAAAAGAGAAGGUAAAAGCAGAGCAAAGCUCUGUAUUUUUCUUCAUUUCAAAACUAUACAAAAGAUGUGUCGUCCUCCUUCCCCUGAGAACAGGCUCCCAAGAGAUAUUUAUAUAGAAAAUUACAAAACAAAAUAUCUUUUGGAUAUUCAUCCUUUUUCCAAACUUAAUAACUAAGGAAUCCUAUAAUUGGUGGAUUACAAGGAGAGUUUGGGAAUUUAGACAUCAAAUAUCUAAAGCAAAAUAUCUCACAAUGUCGGUCGCAAAGAUGGGAAGCUUUAGGAGAAAACCACGGCACUGCAAGAUGGCCGCAAAACUCUCCGGGUAAGCGUUAUCCUCGGAUCCGAAUAUGUAUAUCCGGAUAGUUGAAACGCCUUCUCUCCCAUCCGGAUAUGUCUACCGAAUAUGAGACAUCCGGAGAAGGUAGAACUUCGAUCGGACUGUGAUACAUCCGGGUAAGUGCUAUUAGAAAAGAGGAUCCGGAUAUGUCUGCUAGAGGAAGUUGAAACGCCUCUUUUCCCAUCCGGCUCCUGAAUUCCGGAUGUCAUCCGGAAUGAUGGCGGCGCUGGAUGUAAGUGGCAGUAGCCGGAUUCCGGAUGUGAUACAUCCUGGUGGUAAGUGGCGGUAGCCGGAUGGAAUUCUUACCCGGAUGGAAUGAGCUGGAUCCCAUACUCCUUGUAUUCUGGAUUUGCUUAAGGAUUCCAAAGAACUCUCCUCAAUCUCAUAUUGCUUUGGUGAUAAAAAAGCUAUCAAAACACCAAAACUUAACACAAUUUGAUUAGAAUUGAUUGCAAGGGUCCUUAACAUGCCAAAUGGGUUAAAAGGUAAUAACUACUACUCAAAAGUGUUUAAAAGAGUUAAUUACCAGUUAUGAAAUAACACUUUUUGAGUAGUAAUCACUCCCCCCAACCGACAUAUUGCUAGUCCCUUAGCAAUGAAGGAGAGAAAAAUAAAAAUAAACAAUACUAUAAUUUACAACAUCAUGCUGAUCAAAAAACAAUUUCCAAGUGGCAUGAUGAUCUAACUCUCACAUGGAACAUUAAAGAAAUAAAACUCAAACUUCAACAAGAGUUAUCAAAUAACUUGUCUAAUCACUAUUCUUAAAGAGAAGACAUUAUGCAAACUUAAGCUUUAAAAUCAUUUCCACUUCCAUAGGAUCAAACCUUACUCUUCCACAAAAAUCUAAGUGUUAUUUAUUAGCUUCUGAAUAUAGUAUGUUGAACUAAUCUCUCCCCCAAACCUAGUUCUUUUUCAAAGCUUCGCAAACUGGUCAACCUCCAAUAGGCUAAGAACGCACCUCUUUUUUUCACAAUUUUUUUCUUGUAGGAGUACAAGGCUAAAGGUAUUUUUUUUCUAAAUUGUCCAUGUAACGGGGGUCCAUCGAUGACUCCCAACCAAUUAAGGCUUAGGGCAUCAAGUUUUAAGGAUCUUUCAACUACUAACUCCUUGGAUUUUACCCCGGACUUUUAAGAAUGAAUUUUUAAUACCCAAGCACCUACAGUAUGUUAAACUCCACCUAUCCACCCUUGUAACGAGCAUUGAGGUCGGUGACUCCCAACCAAUGAAGGCUUAGGGCACCAGGUUUUAAAGAUUUUCACCAUAUACCCCUUAGACCUUGCUCGGGUUUCAAGGCAAGUAAACAUUUUUUCUUUCUUUUUUUUUUUUUUUCAAAGACUCAUUGGCCUUUUAUAAGGUGUCCCAACACUAUUAAAUGAGGUCAAAGGUACCAAGUCUAAAUUUUCCUAAGUUAAGAGGGAAAUAGUUUUUCAUCUUAUACUCGGAACCUAUUGUGCACAGUGUGUGAAUAGCUUAAAGUGGAAGAACUGAGGUUGAAUUCACUAAAAGUUUCAACAAUUCAUCAACUUUAGUAAGCAUAAUACAAAAUCUAAGUCAAGUAAAAAGACAAAAAUUCAAUUUCUCCCAUUUCAUUUUGAAAAUUUUUCCUUAAUAACCAUGGAGAGUAGAAAAAAACUUUAAAAAUUUUAAAAAUUAAGCAAAAAACAACUAAAUUACCAAAAUACUUAGCAUUAUUAACAAAAACUUCCUUCCUCAACUCUCCUCCCAACCAAGCUGAACAUUGUCCUCAAUGUGACAACAACGAUUGAACAAUAGGGAGGAAGUGGUGCCUCCUGAGUGGUAUGAAGUUCAAGUAGAAUAGGAGAACCCACAUGUUUCAAAAAACAAUAAAAGAUAUGAGUAGAGGAAUUAAAAAAAUAUAAUGCUAAGUGCUCACAAAUGAUAGAGAUUUGUAUUACUUGAUGGCAACACAAUUUUAUAUAAAAAACAAGCAAUACAACCAAUCCCACUAUAUAAUACCAAAAAUAUGGGAUUUCAUAAAGGAAAUACAUAAAGUAAAGUAUGUAAAUGAUCAGAAAUAGGGAGGAUGAUGAUGGUAAGCUGAUGGCUCAGGUAGAUGUCUCUGCAUCUUCAGUAGCCGGCUCAGGAGGGGCAUGGGGCUCCGUGGCCUCUGAGUGGGGCACUGCAGUGGUAGGGGUAAGAUGCUCAGUAGCUGAUGGAAGACCCAGAUGGUGCUGAAGCUGCCUCAGGAUGGCAGUGUGUUGAGUCUAGGUGGUCAAAAUCUGCUCCUAGUGAGCACGAAUAGCUGACAUCUCUUGAGCAAGGCUACUCUGAGUCGCAGUCAGUGUCUGCAAUGUGUGGCAUAGAUCUCUAUACUCUGAAACGGGUAUGGUCAUCCUAGGCUCGGCUGAAGUAGAGGGCUCUGAUGCAGUUGGAAUAACUAGAGGGGUACUAUGGGUGGCAGGAAAAGCAAAGGGUAUACCCUCAGGUAUGGGCUCUGGAGAUGCUCUCCUGGCAGCUGGUAUCUCAGCUGGCUGUGGGUCCUCUGGCUGCUGUGGCUGUGGAAGCUCUGGAUGCUCUGCUCUAUAUGCUGUCAUAUUGGUCCACUUGUCGAGAGUGAAUACCUCUUGGCAUAUACGUCUGCGCUCCAGCUGAGGGUCUGAUGGAUACCCCAGAUGCUCCAAAAUUUGACAUAGCAAUUGUGGGAAAAGAAGUGGAAUAGCAUCUGCUCUUAGCAGCUUCUUCCUAUGCACCUUCUCUUCAAAGUAGAGAAGGGCAGCCAUAAUCAGAUGGUGAGGGCCAAAGAAAUAUCCCUCUGAUAUCCUAAACAGGGCCUCUAGCAGAACUCCUCUCCUCUGCACCCAAUGCUGAAGUGGAUAAAUGUUGUGGCGCAGGAGUGCAUCAAUGAAGAACAUGCUCGGAGGAAGUUCCUUCCUCAACAGAUAUGGAUUUGUGGAUGUUCCUCUGGACAAAAUAUGAACCAUUUCAAGCUGGGAAGGAUUAGUCCAUACUCGGUAAUCCUUUAGACGGGCUGGCUCAUAUGGAAUAUGCAGGGCCUUUGCUAUGUGGCGAGCUCCUAAAAUACCAUGACGUCAUUCAAUGGUGAAGUGGAUAAGAGUAGGAUCUUUGAUCUGAUUAAUAGUCAUGGACUGAUAGAAGUCCAUUGCUACUCGGGGAUAGAAAAAAUCCCUGGGGGUCAGCAAUUGCUCCAUGUGAAAUCUGUGUAGUAGAUGGAAUGAGUCUGCGAGCUUCGGCUGAAACCUGAAGGUGGCUGUGUCAAAACACAGCUCAGAGUGAAAUGGUCGAGCCCGACAAUCUAAAUUCCCCUCAAUGGGCGGCUGAGCGACCAUCGGACGCUUGAUCAGCACCUCAGGAGCUAUCCCUGAGGGAAUUUGAGACUUUGCAAAUGGCGGUUGCGACGGCUGAGGCUCCACUGGAUUCUCUGAAGAUAGCGCCGGAGACAGCUCUGUAGAUGGGUCCGGAGAGGGCUCUGGAGAGGAGUCCAGAGACUGCUCCGUUAAGUCUAUUGGCUCUGAAUCUACUACCCUAGCUUUCUUUUGUGGGGGAUGCCCCCUUGACCUGGUCUGAUAACGCUUCACCUAAGGACUCAACGGCGCGGGUUCCGCCGGAGGUGGUGCGGCUACUUAUCGCGGAGGCUCUGAUGUGGAGCCUUGAACAGGCGCCUCUCGCUCGACUCUCUUGCGGCCGGACGAAAAUGAUGACUUUGCUCCUCUGGUUCGCGCCAUGGCGGACCGAAGAGAAUGGUCAGAGGUGAUGGCCGGUGGCUCGCUCGGCUUCGGGCUCAGGUGAGAGAGCGAACGAACGGUUGCUCUGGUGUUUUUUCUUUCUGAAACCUUUUGGCAGCUCAAAUGACCGGUUUUUAUAAAAAAUAAAGGAAUAUAAAGGGUCAUUUUGAUUUUCGCAGAGGAAGGCUGAUUUCGCAGCAAAAGGUUGUUUUCGCAACAAAAGGCCAUUUUCGUAGCCCAUUUCGCAGCUGCGAAAUGGGGGGAACUAUGCUGCGAAAUGGCACUCGUGUGCUUAAGUGUGGUUUCGCAGCUGCGAAAAUUUUCGCAGAGAGGGGCUUGAGGCUGCGAAAUGAUUUCGCAGCAAAAUAGCGAUUUUGCAGCGAAGUGGCGAUUUCGCAGAGGCUUUUUUUAGGCUGCGAAAUCUCGCAGACCCUUGUUUUUCCCCUGUUUUACACUCUUUCUUGCUCCAAACGACUUUCCUUCAAUUUCUUUGCAAUGACUCCUGAUUUUGAUCAUCCAAAAACCUAUAUUACAUCAAAACAAAUUAGAAUGAAAUUAAGGUCAAAAAUAAAAAUCAAAACAUGCAUAUACACAAGAAAAAACACUAGAUUAAACUAAAAUCAACGCAAAAGGAAACAAAAAGAGGGUGAACUUUUUAGUCUUUGAAGAGACUAAAUUCAACCACGAACUGAGUGUUUUCAUGUUAGAGGUGGAUCAAGGAGGAUGAAUUCCUCCUUGUCUCGGGAAAAUGAUUCCAUAUAGGGCUUGAGACGAUGCCCAUUCACUUUGAAAGUUCGAGUGCUCUUGAAGUUGAGUAGUUCCACUACUCCAUUUGAUUGCACGUCAUGAAUUAUAAAAGGACCCGUCCACCUUGAUUUCAAUUUUCCCGGAAAAAGAUGAAGUUUAGAGUCAUAAAGCAAGACUCUUUGUCCCUUAGUAAAAUUCUUCUGAUUUACCAACUGAUCAUGCCAUUUCUUCAGCCUCUCUUUUGCAAUUUUUGAAUUGAGGUAAGCAUCAUUCCUCAUUUCCUCCAAUUCGUUCAAAUCCAAACAUCUCUUUAACCCGGCUCUUGUCAAAUCCAUGUUGAGCUUCUUGAUUUCCCACCAUGCUUUAUAUUCAACCUCCACUGGGAGAUGGCAUGCUUUGCCAUAAACAAGGCGAUAAGGAGACAUUCCAAGAAUGGUCUUAUAAGCGGUCCUAUAAGCCCAUAAUGAAUCCAGGAGCUUAAUAGACCAAUCCUUCCUAUUCACAUUCACCACCUUCAUCAAUAUAUUCUUGAUCUCCCGGUUGGCUAACUCAACUUGGCCACUUGUUUGAGGGUGAUAAGGUGUAGCUACCUUGUGCUUGACCCCAUAUUUGGCUAGAAGAGUCUUAAAAGGCUUGUUGCAAAAGUGGUUUCCUCCAUCACUGAUAAUGGCCUUAGGCACUCCAAACCUUGAAAAGAUGUUCUCCUUGAGAAAUUUGAGAACCACCUUAUGAUCAUUGCUCCUACAUGGGACUGCUUCUACCCACUUAGAGACAUAAUCCACUCCCACCAAAAUGUAGGAGUGUCCAAAUGACAUUGGAAAUGGUCCCAUGAAGUCUAUCCCCCAAACAUCAAAGACAUCCACUAUCAAGAUGGGGUUCAAGGGCAUCAUAUUUCGGCGUGUUAGCUUCCCAAGCCUUUGACACCGAUCACAUCCCUUGCACAUAGAGUGGGCAUCCUUGAAAAGAGAGGGCCAUCAAAAACCUGAUUGGACCACUCUCAUGGCUGUUUUCUAGGAAGCAAAAUGACCUCCACAUGCACUAUCAUGACAAUGGGAUAGAAUUCCUGAUUGCUCUGGUUCAGGAACACAUUUCCUUAUGAUUUGAUCCGCACAAUAUUUGAAGAGAAAAGGCUCCUCCCAAUAAUAGGCAUGGAUCUUAGCAAAGAAAUGCUUCUUGUCUUGGGCACUUCACUCACUUGGAACUUUUCCAGUAACCAAGUAAUUUGCAAUGUGAGAAUACCAUGGAGCUACCUCUAUUGACAUGAGAGACUCCUCAGGGAAGUCAUCAUUAAUAGGUAGGCCAUGUGAGUCAUGUGCUAUCACAAGUCUUGACAAGUGGUCAGCUACCACAUUUUCUACUCCCUUUUUAUCCCGGAUUUGGAGAUUGAAUUCUUGAAGCAAAAGGAUCCAUCUUAUCAAUCUUGCCUUGGCAUCUUGCUUGGUUAGCAAGUACUUCAAAGCAGAAUGGUCAGUGAACACCACUAUACAGGACCCUACUAAAUAGGCACGAAACUUAUCCAAGGCAAAAACUACUGCCAACAACUCCUUCUCAGUAGUUGUGUAGUUCCUUUGAGCCUCAUUCAAAGUUUUGCUUGCAUAAUAAAUCACAUAGGGCUUUCCAUCUUCUCUUUGCCCCAAAACAGCCCCCAUAGCAAGAUCACUUGCAUCACACAUUACCUCAAAAGGUAAUUUCCAAUUUGAGGCUCUCACUAUUGGUGCAGUUGUGAGGAAUUGCUUCAGUUCCUCAAAACUCUUCUGACAUUUCUCAUCCCACACAAACUUGGCAUCCUUUACCAAGAGUUCACAAAGAGGUUUUGAGAUUUUUGAGAAAUCCUUAAUGAACCUCCUAUAGAACCCGGCAUGUCCUAGGAAUUGCCUAAUUCCUUUAACAUUUGUGGGAGGUGGCAACUUAACAAUUAGCUCCACCUUUGCCUUAUCUACCUCAAUGCCAUUCUUGGAGAUUAUAUGUCCUAAGACAAUUCCUUGUUGUACCAUAAAAUAGCACUUCUCCCAAUUUAGCACUAGGUCUUUCUCAAUACAUCUUUGGAGAACAGCUUCUAAAUGCAACAAACACUCCUUAUAAGAACCUCCAUAUACAGUGAUGUCAUCCAUGAAGACUUCCAUGAUGCGCUCCACCAUAUCACUGAAGAUGCUUAGCAUACAUCUUUGGAAAGUUGCAGGUGCAUUACAUAGACCAAAGGGCAUCCUCCUAUAGGUAAAAGUACCAAAGGGGCAAGUGAAGGUUGUCUUUUCUUGAUCUUCCAAAUCAAUCUCUAUUUGGAAGUACCCCGAGUAACCAUCCAAAAAACAGUAGAAAGGAUGCCCUGAGACUCUUUCAAGGACUUGGUCCAUGAAAGGCAAUGGGAAAUGGUCUUUCCCAGUCACUGAAUUCAACCUCCUGUAGUCUAUACACACCCUCCAUCCUGAGGUAAGACGUGUAGAGACUUCCUCCCCUUUCUCAUUUUGGAUCACAGUAAUUCCAGAUUUCUUUGGGACUACUUGGGUUGGGCUCACCCACAAGCUAUCUGAAAUGGGAUAUAUGAUCCCUGCUUGAAGUAGCUUCAGAACUUCACCCCUUACCACCUCUUGCAUGUGAGGAUUCAACCUCCUCUGGGGCUGCCUCACUGGUUUAGCAUCUUCCUCCAUGAAGAUAUGGUGGGUGCAUACCAAAGGGCUAAUCCCUUUCAAAUCAGAAAUGUGUCAUCCAAUGGCCUUUUGCAUUUUUUGAGGACUCCCAAAAGACUAUCCUCUUGAUCACUUGUGAGAGUUGAAGAAACCACCAUUGGACAUUUCUCAUCUUCCUCCAAAUAUGCAUACUUCAAAUCAACAGGAAGUGGCUUCAAAACUAGUUUUGGAGGGUCCUCCCUAGCUGCUCCUUGUGAGUCCUCCUUAUUGAACAAGGGUAAGAUCUCUUCCCUUCUCCUCCAAGGAGACAUGACGACUAACACAUCAGAGGGUUCAGGUAACCCUUCUUCAAGCACUCCAAGGCUUUCAUUCAAGCUCUUUUCUAAAUUCUUGUCACAAUGCUCUUCAACCAAAGUGUUGAUCAAGUACGCCUCCUCCAAUCCUUCCUCCUCUUCGGGGUGAAGAUGCCUCUUGCAUAGGUGGAAUAUGUUUAGUUCCAAGGUCAUGUUUCCAAAUGUGAACUGCAUCACCCCAUUCCUACAAUUGAUGAUGGCAUUGGAGGUAGCUAGGAAAGGUCUCCCUAGGAUGAUUGGCACAUGAUUUGUUUCCUUAAUAGUGAGAUCAGUAUCAAGCACCACAAAAUCCACGGGAUAGUAGAAUUUGUCCACUUGAACUAAAACAUCCUCUAUCACUCCCCUUGGGAUUUUGACUGACCUAUCAACUAAGGAGAGAGUGACGGUUGUGGGCUUCAAUUCUCCAAGUCCCAGUUGCUUAUACACAGAGUAUGGGAGCAAAUUCACACUUGCCCCCAAGUCUAGUAAAGCCUUCUCCACAUGUGUCCCUCCAAUGUUGACUGAAAUGGUGGGACACCCCGGAUCUUUGUACUUAACUGGAGACUUACACUGAAUGAUGGCACUUACUUGCUCAGUGAGGAAUGCCUUCUUUGUCACAAUUAACCCUCUCUUGACCGUGCACAAGUCCUUUAAAAUUUUUGCAUAUGUGAGGACUUGCUUGAUCAUAUCAAGGAAGGGUAUAUUCACCUUCACUUGUCUCAAAAUUUCAAGAAUUUCUGAUGAAUUCUUGAUUCCCUUCUUUCCAUGUAAAGCUUGAGGAAAAGGGGGAGGCAUAUGUUUCUUCAUCAUAUCCUCUUUAAUCACUAUCCUUGGCUCAUCUUCAAUGCUUGAAUCAGAUGCAUUUUUCUUCCCACUCUUCUCUUCUUGGUUAUUGCUCUCUUUAACCAAGGUUCUCCUUGACAUGAGUUCUUCAUCUUGCCUCACCUUAGGCAAGGGUUGGUCAACCUCCUUCCCACUCCUCAAGGUGAUCACAGCUUUAACCUCCCUCAACUUUGAAGACUCCCCAUCUUGGGUUUCAACUUCAUGAACACCCUUUGGAUUUUGGCUUGGUUGAGAGGGAAACUUUCCUUUCUCAAUCACUGUGUUGAGGUUGGUAAGCGUAGAGAUGGAGUAUUGAAUAUUAUCCAUCUUCUGAGAUAGAUCAUUUUGCAUCCCAUCCAUUCUCUUAAUUUGAGAACUUUCAACAUUUUCAAUCUUUUGGUGCAAUUGGGAGUUGAUUGCCUUUUGUUCACCCACAAAGUCACCCAUGACUUUACUUAGGUUCACAAUGGCUUGCUCCACUGAAGAGGUUUGUUGAGGUGCUUGGGUUUGGGCUUGUGGUUGGUAUGGAGGUGGCCUUGGUUUCCAAGAAAAAUUUGGAUGGUUUCUCCAGCUUGAAUUAUAGGUGUUUCCAUAAGGUGCAUUGUUGUUGGGCCUAAAUUGCCCCACAACAUUGGCUUGAUCACCUAACAUUUCCCUAACAGCUGGGAUGGUUGGGCACUCAUCUACCACAUGAUCACAUGAUUGGCAAAUGGUGCAUGGCAUGACAUGGGCUUGUGUCUCGGAAAUGGCUUAGACUUCAUGCAUUUUUUUCAACUCAAGUUCUUCCAACCUCCUUGCCAUUGUUGCUACCUUAGCUUUCAUGUCCAUGUCUUCACUUAACAUGUACAUUCCAACCUUUGGAUUUACAGGAGCUUUCAUCCUUCCCAUUUCUCUUGAGUUGGGUUCAUCCCAUCCUCUUGAUACCUCAGAUACAUAACUUAGAAAGUCCAUGGCUUCUUCCGGAUUCUUACUCAUAAAAUCUCCCCCACACAUGGUUUCAAAAAUUUGCUUCAUGCAGGAAGACAUCUCAUCAUAAAAAUAGCUCACCAAGAGCCAUGUAUCAAAGCCAUGAUGAGGACAAGCAUUGAUGGCCUCCAUAUACCUUUCCCAACAUUCAUAGAACUUCUCAUUUUCUUUUGCAGAAAAAUUUGAGAUUUGUCUCUUCAACCUAUUGGUCCUAUGAGUGGGGAAAAAUUUCUUCAAAAAUUCGGCCUGAAGAUCAACCCAAUUCCUUAUGCUCCUUGGCCUUAAAGAGUUAAGCCAUAUUUUUGCCUUGUCCUUCAAAGUAAAAGGGAAUAGCUUGAGUCUCAUCAAGUCUAUUGAAGCUCCUCCCCCUCCAAAAGUAUUGCACACCUCCUCAAACUCCUUGAUGUGGGCAUAUGGGUUCUCACUCUCCAUUCCAUGGAAAUUUGGUAGGAGGGGCACAAUAUGAGGCCUUAUAAUCAGCUGCUCAAGAGGAGGUACGAUGCAUGAGGGUGCACUCAUCCUUGGUGGGUGCAUUCUAUCCCUCAUGGAUAGAUAUGCAUUUGGAUUAUCCCCUUGAACGUGUUGAGAAUUCUGAUCCUAUUGUGGAGGGUCCAUGAUGUUUACACAGAUAUCCAACUCUGUGUCUUGAGGAUUCUCAAUCCUUACUAGUCUUCCCUCUUGGUUCCGAAUCCAAUAGGGCAUGCACAAGUUACAACUUCCCUGAAAACAAAACAAAGACAACAAAAACAAAAGAAAACUAGAAGAAAAUUAAGGUUAGAAAGAAAAUGAAAGUAAACUUAACAAAAGGAAUUCUACAAUAAAAAAAAAAUGAAGUUAGUGAAAAAGGAAUUCACCAAACUUGUGAUGGAAAUCACAAGUAGCCUCUAAAAAGUUGUAUCACUAUAUCGUGGCACCAUCCCCGGCAACGGCGCCAUUUUGAUUGUGCCCAGUAGGGUAUUUUAAUCAAAAAUAUUUAUAAAUCCUAUGACCUUAUACUAGCGUAGCAAAGCUACUAUAGUAUAGCAUCUAUAGGGUCGAACUCUGGGAUGGGUUUUCAUUCUACCAGUGAUAAACUCAAGAUUAGAAAUUGAAUCUGAUGAUUUCCUUUGUCAAAAACUUAAAGUUUAAAAGAAAAUAAAAUUUGUUUUGAAAGUGGUGUUUGAAACUAAACUAACAUAGAACUAGGUAAAAAUGGAAGAAAGAAAGUCUCCCGGAGCUAGAGGUUGCUAGAAUCAAGUUCAGAAUGCAAAGUGGGAAAUUCCGGAUUUUUCUCCUCGUAUUAGGGACAACAACAUAAAGGAUGGUUGUUUCCCGAACCGGUAUAGAUUUAACAAUGAAGAUUUAAUCCAUAAAAAGUCAAUAGAAAUGGUAGUCAAGUUCCAUUAAUGGCUUUAGACACUAUGGGUCUUCACCUUGAGCCGCUUUCCAAUGGCUCGUACAUGAUAACUAAUGGUCUUAUGUGGAUCUAGCAAUAAGUAUCCACAGAGACCUAAAAGCUUAUCAUGUAUUGGCCAUUCAAAGUGAUUCAAAGGGACUUAAAGCAAAACUUUAGAUUUUAAAAACCAUUUGUGAACUCCAACUACCUGUAUUUAAAGCACUAGAAUUUUCCACUUUUGCAUCUGGACUUUUCACCUAGCUUCUCUCACUCCAAGAAACUAAAGGUUUAGCCUCUCAUCCUCUGGGAAAACAUCCUCAGAGGUUGUUUGGCUUCCAAGAAAAAGAAAAUACAAUAAAAAAGAGAAGGUAAAAGCAGAGCAAAGCUCUGUAUUUUUCUUCAUUUCAAAACUAUACAAAAGAUGCGUCGUCCUCCCUCCCCUGAGAACAGGCUCCCAAGAGAUAUUUAUAUAGAAAAUUACAAAACAAAAUAUCUUUUGGAUAUUCAUCCUUUUUCCAAACUUAAUAACUAAGGAAUCCUGUAAUUGGUGGAUUACAAGGAGAGUUUGGGGAUUUAGACAUCAAAUAUCUAAAGCAAAAUAUCUCACAAUGUCGGUCGCAAAGAUGGGAAGCUUCAGGAGAAAACCACGGCACUGCAAGAUGGCUGCAAAACUCUCCGGGUAAGCGCUAUCCUCGGAUCUGGAUAUGUAUAUCCGGAUAGUUGAAACACCUCCUCUCCCAUCCGGAUAUGUUUACCGAAUGUGAGACAUCCGGAGAAGGUAGAACUUCGGUCGGACUGUGAUACAUCCGGGUAAGCGCUAUUAGAAAAGAGGAUCCGGAUAUGUCUGCUAGAGGAAGUUGAAACGCCUCUUUCCCCAUCCGGCAUGAUGACGGCGUUGGAUGUAAGUGGCGGUAGCCGGAUUCCGGAUGUGAUACAUCCUGGUGGUAAGUGGCGGCAGCCGGAUGGAAUUCUUACCUGGAUGGAAUGAGCUGGAUCCCAUACUCCUUGUAUUCUGGAUUUGCUUAAGGAUUCCAAAGAACUCUCCUCAAUCUCAGAUUGCUUUGGUGAUAAAAAAGCUAUCAAAACACCAAAACUUAACACAAUUUGAUUAGAAUUGAUUGCAAGGUCCUUAACAUGCCAAUUGGGUUAAAAGGUAAUAACUACUACUCAAAAGUGUUUAAAAGAGUUAAUUACCAGUUAUGAAAUAGCACUUUUUGAGUAGUAAUCAGUCUCUUUAUCGCUUAGUCUAUGGCAAAGCAUGCCAUCUCCCUAUGGAAUUGGAAUACAAAGCUUGGUGGGCAAUCAAGAAACUCAACAUGGAUUUGAGCAGAGUUGGGUUGAAGAGGUUCUUAGACCUCAAUGAGAUAGAGAAAUUGAGAAAUGAUGCCUACAUCAAUUCAAAAAUUGCAAAAGAGAAAUUGAAAAGGUGGCAUGAUUAGUUGAUUUCCCGUAAGGAUUUUCGAAAGGGACAAAGAGUCUUGCUCUAUGACUCUAAGCUCCACAUCUUUCCGGGUAAGCUGAAAUCAAGGUGGAUAGGUCCUUUUACCAUUCACCAAGUGCAUUCAAAUGGAGUAGUGGAACUACUCAACUCCAACAGCACCAGAAGCUUCAAAGUGAAUGGCCACCGUCUCAAGCCCUUUGUGGAGCAUUUUUCUCGCGACAAGGAGGAAUUCAUCCUCCUUGAUCCACAUCAAGCUUGACAAGACCAAUCCUUUUGAUGGACUUAGUCUUUCUAAAGACUAUCGAGUCUAUAUCUUUUUGUUUUAUUUUUUAUUUGAGAGUUUUCCUGUAUUAUUACUUAUUUUUAUUUUUAUUUCUCGUUUUUAUUUUAUCUUGGUUUGAUUUAACUUAGGUUUUUGAUGAUCAAUUGUAGGGGGACUUCAAAUAGAGGAAAAACCAAGUAAAUUCGCACACACUGCGAAAUUUUCAUAGGGCAUGCGAAAUUCAUGAAUCAUUUUGCAUGGGGUGCGAAAAUAAAAACACCUUGCGAACUCAUUUUGCACACUUCGUGAAAUUUUCAUAGAGCAUGCGAAAAAUUUCGCACACCUAACACCAUUUGGCACACUGUACGAAAACCUAAGGGGUUUGCGAAGUAAUUUCGCACCCCAUAUGCCAUUUCGCAUGCUGUGCAAAACUCAAGGGACGCUGUGCAAAAAUGAAAAGUCCCUACCAUUCCUUUUUAAACCCCUGAGCCCUAAUUUCUCCAUUUCGCAAACACCAAACACCCUAUGAAUUCCUCAUUUUCCUCUGCCACCUUGCGACCUCAUCCAUAUCCAUUCAAUAUCCUGCCCCGUGCACAUCACUUUGAAGACUCACACUCCAAGCCAUAUUGGAGCACGGACCCGAGGAGCUCUUCCCGCCCCUUCACCGAGUCGCACUUUGAGACAAAUGGCCUCCACUGCUCAGGUAUCUAGUGAUUCUCCAUCUCAGGCCAUGGAGGCCCCGCGGAUUCCACCUUCUGAGGGUGGAGCGCCCACUAGUCCUUCAUUUUCGGCUCCUCAGCGCAGAUAUGAGAUGAAGAGACCACCUACUACACCAGGGGCGACUAUUUUACGCCCUGAGAGUUCAGUACGACGCCCUCCUACCAAGAGGGCUAGGACUUUAGGCUCAGACGAGUCAUCCAAAGCUCCACAGCCUGAGCCUCCGGUAGCUACACAUGCUAGAGCUCCUGCAGAUUCUGAGCUCCUUUUUGACAUGUCACUAGAGUCUAUUAUCAGACGCCCGAUGGUCACAACACCGCCCAUUGAGGGUAACUCAAAUUGUAGAGCGAGACCGUUCCACUCGGAGUUAUAUUUUGAUCAAGAGGUCACGCAACAGUAGCCUGAGCUCUGAGACUCAUAUGGCCUACUACAAAGGUACCAUCUUGAGCACCUUAUGACUCCUCGUGAGUUCUUUUAUCCUAAAGUAGCACUAGACUUUUACCAAUCCAUGACUACUCGUGGCGUCUCAAGUCCUACCGUGAUACACUUCACCAUUGAUGGACGUCAUGGUGUCCUCGAGGCCAGACAUAUUACAGAGGCUCUAUAGAUUCCUUUCGAGCCAGUGGAUCCGUUUGUUUUCUGCCAGUGGUCCCCAAUAUCUCAAAGGGACAUGGUCCGUAUUUGAUCCAGAAAGACCUCUUCAGAUUCAAUCCUUCUACGAAAGGAGCUUCCACCUGGGAUGCUCCUCAUAGAUGUGGUGCUAUGCUCCAACCUCUUUCCCUUACAGCAUUCGGUAUAGAGGUAAGGAGAUAUUUUGGACACUUUAUUUCGUAUAUCAGAGGGCUUCUACUUUGGCCCGCACCACUUGAUCAUGGCCUUUCUUGCCCACUUUGAGGAGAAGGUCCAUAGGUGAUUCGUGCCCAGCUGGUGUACCUUGAUUUUGGUCCUCAGACGGGAGUAAUCAACAAAAUUUAUAACCUAUUAUACCAUGUACUAGGAUAGCCUCAGCUAGCAUAGCAUAGUGCCUCUAGGAUCGUUCACUGGGAUGGGUUUUCACUUUACAAUUGAUAUUAGUUCAAAGCUGAAUUUGUGCUUUUUCAUUUCAAGGUUAGCUCUAAAAGAAAACAUAAAGAUGUUUGAAAAGGUUGGUUUUUAAGUGAAACAAAAAAUAAAGUAACGGGAAUUACUUACUAAGAAAAGCGUUUCUUGGAGUUUUAGGAUCACUGGGGUCAGGCUCCUCAUGCAAAAACAGAGCUCCUGUCACUUGAGUCUUUUCCUCGUGUUGGGGAUUUAACAUAUAGUUAUUUCCCGAACUGGUGUGGUACAGAUGCUUCCCUUUAAUGGGUUCAAACACUAAAUCCCUCUCACUGAUACAUCUUGCAAUGGUUCAUACCUCUCACCUAGCAUUGGCCAUUCAAGAUGAUCCUUAACUUUGGAUUACCCGUCAAAAGCUCGCAAGAGAUAACUAAUGGAUGUCUCCUUAGAGUCCAAAAGCUUACCAAGUGUUGGCUAUUCUAGAAAAUCCUACCUUUAAACCACCUCCCAAAGGCUCGCAAGAGGUAAACUAGUGCAUCUCAAUGGACGGAGAUCACUUGCCUUACCAAGUGUUGGCCCCGGUGAUUUCAAGGCGUUUUAAGUUAACUAAAAAGAUAAAAACCAUUAACGGGUUACACUUUCUCUUCAUUAGUAGCUGAAACAACAAAACUUCCAAUUUUUGCAUUUGGAAACUUACCCGGCUUUCUUCACUCCAAGAGACAAAAAGCUUAGCCACUCAUCCUCUGAGGAAACAUCCUUAGAGUUUGAUUUGUUAGAAAUAAAAAUAACGAGAAAACAAAAAUAUGAAGGAAAAACAGAGCAAGUGCUCUGUAGAAUAUUUUUCUUACUAUCGUCGAUUACAUAUCUGAUAUAUGAUUCCUCUUCUCUUUACAUUGGUUCAAAGAUAUAUAUAGAGAAGAUAUUUUCUAAGAAAUAUCCCAAUAAUAUCUUCGACUGAUUACAAGGAGAAAAUAGAAAUUUACACAAAAUAUCUUGAGAAAAAAUCUAACUUAGUCGGUGGCAAAUAUCUAAGUUUACACAGGUGGAUUUCACAAGUUUGAAUUGUCCAUUUUGCAAGUUGAAUUUGUGAUUUCACAACUUGGAGGUGAUUCCGCAACUUGGAGAUGAUUUGCAACUUGUUUCGUAGCUUGGAGGUGAUUUCGCAACGUGGUUCGCAGCUGCGAAGAUGGAGUUUCAACUUGCGAAGUGGCACACGUGUGCUUGGAGGUGGUUUCGCAGCUGUGAAACACCUUACUAAAUUUCGCAAGUAGAUUUUAUUUCGCAGCUCAUUUCGCAGCUGCGAAAUGGGCUUUGGGCUGUGAAAUUUUCGCAUAGCUUGAUGCAGUUGUCUUCAAACGGCCAUAACUUCUUCAUUUCAACUCCAAUUGACACAUCGUUUGAAGUGUUGGACUCCUGACUUCCUGAGCUUCGAAAAGACAUAUAGUAUGAAUGAAAUGGACUCCAGGAAGUACUCGAAAUGUGUCCAACAGUUGCUGUCCUCUUAAAUUUCUUCAUGUUAGAUUUCUCUCAUUUUCCUCCUUGCAUUCUUGAUUGACUUUGGCAAAGGACUACGAAGCUCCAAAGCUUGGAUUCUUCAUGUAAAUGAGCUUCCAUUUUCUUUGCCAUGGAUUAUAUAAAGCUCUCCCUCAUCUUAGAUUGCUUUGGUGAUCAAAAAGCUAUCAAAAACACCAAAACUUAACACAAUUUGAUUAGAAAUGAUUGCAAGGGUCCUUAACAUGCCAGUUGAGUCAAAAGGUAAUAACUACUACUCAAAAGUGUUUAAAAGAGUUAAUUACAAGCUAUAAAAUAACACUUUUUGAGUAGUAAUCAAUAGGAAGAAGCUUCAGAGGGCGGACACCAUUCCAUUACUAUUCCUAAGGUUGUUGUGCCAGAUAUUGGAGUAUAUGGGCUUUCCUACUAAGCCUCGGCUCAAGCGUCGUCGCCUUUGUCGAGAGCGAUUCACUCUCGACAAAUGAAAUUAGUUGGCGGGAUAUUCUGCACCUCCAGGAGCCCGUCCCAUGGUAUCACCUCCAGUGCCCCCAUAGCCAGAGCAGGGCAAGCUUCUGGCAGAGACUACACCACCAGUGCCCACACCUGAGGCUAUUUCUGCUACUCCCCCUAUGACUCCUACUGUUCCAUCACCAGUCACUCCUACUACAUCCAAGCCUUCCAUCACCAUAUCGGCUUCGAAAUUUCACACCCUUGUGCAUACCUUUUAGACACUGACCACCACACAUGCGGCUCUCUUCCAGUAGAUGGCUGACAUGCGUGCACAUCAGGACCAACAGACUGCUAUACUUCGCCAGAUUCAGCAGCACCUCAGACUUCUACCUCUACCUCAGCCUGAUCUUCUUGCAUCAUCAAAGCCUUUAGCUCCAACUGAGGACACUACCACGGUAGAGGUCCAGAUCCCACCACCUCAAGAGCCCACCACAAAUGCCAUUGCUUCACAUGAUCCUCAGGAUAACCCUCAGACAGUUAACACAAUCACAGCUACACCUGAGAAUGCAUCAUCUCCACCUGAGGCUCCCACUACUUGAUCAUAGGACAUCUCUUUAUCUUAUUGUAUUUACAUAUUAUAUUAGUGGAGAUUUGUCAUUGUUUUGAUGCUUUAUAUUCUGAGACUGGAUGUAUUACCUGAUCAUAUCUCAUAUUGUACUUUCUCAUAUUAGUAUAUAGACAUCAUAUUUUUUAUAUUACUUGGCAUUUUUCUAUUUCCUCUACUCAUUACCUUUUUGUUUUCUGACUCAUGUGGUUUCUCUUAUACAACUUAGACUUCAUUUCACUCAGGAGGUACCACUUUCUCCCUUUAUUUUCAAUUGCUCUUGACACAUUGAGGACAAUGUUGAUCUUGGUUGGGGGAAGAGUUGAGGAAGGAAGUUUUGUUAAUAAUGCUAGGUUAAUUUGUUAAUUUAGUUACUUUUUGCUUAAUUUUAAAAGUUUUUUUACCCUACUCUCCAUGGUUAUUAAGGAAAAAUUCUCAAAAUGAAAUGGGAGAAAUUGAGUUCUUGCAUUUUUACUUGAAUCUUAGAGUUUGUAUUAUGCUUAUUGAAGUUGAUGAAUUAUUGAAAAUCCUAUUGAAUUCAACCUUAUUUCUUCCACUUUAAUCUUACCACACAUUGUGCACAUUAGGUUCCAAUUAUAAGAUGAAAAACUAUCUCACCCCCUGAACUUAGGAAAAUUUUGACUUGGUACCUUUGACCUAAUUUUAAUAGUGUUGGGACACCUUAUAAAAGGCCAAUGAGCCUUAAAAAAAAGAAGAAGAAGAACAAAGUGUUUCACUUGCCUUGAAACCCGAGCAAGGUCCAAGGGGUAUAUAGCGAAAAUCUUUAAAACCCGGUGCCCUAAGCCUUGAUUGGUUGGGAGUCACCGACCUCAAUGCUCGUUACAAGGGUGAAUAGGUGGAGUUUAACAUAUUGUAGGUGCUUAGGUAUUGAAUUUCAAUCUCAAAAGUCCGGGAAAAAAUCUGAGGAGUUAGUGGUCAAAAGAUCCUUAAAGCUUGAUGCCCUAAACUUUGAUUGGUUGGGAGUCAAUGAUAGAUCCCCGUUACAUGGACACUUUAGAAAACAAUUCCUUCAGCAUUGCACUCCUACAAGAAAAAAAUGUGAAAUAAAAGAGGUGCGUUCUUAGCCUAUUGGAGGUUGGUCAGUUUGCUAAAGUUUGAGAAAGAACUAGGUUGGGAGGAGAGAAUAGUUCGACAUACUAUAAUCGGAAACUAAUAAGCUUAACACUUAGAUUUUUGUGUGAGAGUAAGAAUUAGACCUUUGGGAGUGGAAAUUCUUUUGAUGCUUAAAUUUGCAUAAUGCCUACUCUUUAUAAAUUGUGAUUAGGCAAGAAAUUUGAUGACUCUUGUUGAAGGUUGGGUUUUGCCUCUUUGAUAUUCCAUGAGAGAGUAUAAUUCGCAUCAUGCCACUUAAAUUUUUUUUAGAGUAAUCAGCAUGAUAUUGUAAAUUAUUUCACUGUCUAUUUUUCUUUAUCUCUCCUUCAUUGCUAAGGGACUACCAAUGUGUCGGUUGGGGGGAGUGAUUACUACUCAAAAAGUACUCUUUUAUAGCUUGAAACUAACUGUUUUAAACACUUUUGAGUAGUAGUUAAUACAUUUUAACUCAAUUGGCACAUUAAGGAACCUAGCAAGGGUUACUAAUCAGUUUUGACAAGUUUUGGUGUUUUUGGUAGCUAUUUGAUCAUUGAAACAAGCCAAGAAUGAGGGAGAAUUUUGUGAAAUCCAUGGCAAUGCAAGUUGAAGCUCAAAUACAUGAAGAGUCCGAGCUUUGAAACAUUUCAUAGCCCUUUGCCAAGCUUGGCAAUAGGUUGCCAAGCCAAUCAGAGAUGCAAGGAAGAAAACUAAAGGAAAAAGUCCAACAACCAGCAUUUUAGCAUGGCUAUGCGAAAAUUUCGCAUAGCAUGCGAAAUCAAGAGAAAGAGCAGCUGCAGGACUGAGUGAAAGACAAUUUCGCACACCAUGCAAAACCACAAAAAGCAGCCAAAGAAUUUCGUACACCAUGAGAAAUUUCACAUGGUAUGCGAAAUCCUCUUGUGCACCAACUCCGUUAGAUUUUUAUUUCCAGAUAUUUUGUAUAAUUUCCUGUUUUCUCCUUAUAAUCAAGCUAGAUAUUUUCAUAUAUAUCUUUUCUAGUCAUGAAAGAAAUUUAUUCAUGAAACACUUGUAAAAUUCCCGUAGAAGAAAUAUAUAGAGCUUUUGCUCUGCCUUUCCUUCUCAUUUUGUUUUCACUUUUCUUUUUAGCCAAAUAACCUCUGAGGAUGAUUUCUCAGGGGAUGAGUGGCUAGGUUUUAUGUUUCUUGGAGUGAUGGAAGCUAGGUGAAGGACCUGAAUGCAAAGAUGGGAGUUGUCCUUGCUUUAAAUGAAAGUAGUUGUUAACCAUUAAUGGUUUUUAUUUUAAGGUUUAGCUUUAAAUCCCUUAAAAUCACCUUGAAUGGCCAAUACUUGGUAAGCUUUUCAGAUUCUAUGGAUGCUUAUUGCUAGAUCCAUGGAUGUCCAUUAGUUAUCAUUUACGAGCCAUUGGAAGGUGGUUCAAGGUGAGGGUCUUUAGUGUUUGAAGCCAUUAAUGGGAAGCAAUUACCAUUUUUCAUGAAUCCUUUCGAUCAAAUCUUAAUUGCUAAAAAACAAAACCGGUUCGGGAGAUAACCAUCCUUUAUGUUAUUGUCCCCAACGCGAGGAGAAGAUCCAGAAUCUCCCCCUUUGCCUGAGAAACCCGAUCCUAGUGACCUAAAGCUCCAAGAGACCUUUUCUUUAUAGUUAACUUCACUUAUUAUUUUUGCUUAACUUAAAAUCAAUCUUUGCAACCACAAUUCCAUUUUCUUUAAAAGCUAAUUUUCAUAAGGAAAAACACCAUUUUAUUUCCUUCACUAAAAUCAACUGUACGAUGAAAACCCAUCCCUGUGGAUGAUCCUAAAGCCACUAUACUAUGUUAGUUAUGCUACUCUAGUGUAAGGUGAUUUAGGUUUUAUAAUUUUUUUGUUGAUAACACCCGUCUGGGCCAGAAUCAAAUGGCACGACUGCAAUGGGGACAAAUCACAUUGCUGAAAGAAGUGCUUGAGCCGCUCAAGCGUAAACAUUACUUGAGCCACUCAAGCACUAACAUUGUUUGAGCAUUGCAUUUCUUACCUACACUCUCGAGGUUGCUUCUGCACUUUUUUCAACUACCUUAAGCUUUAAAAUCUUGCCUUUUUUUGGUUGAGGAAUAUCCAUUGAACCGCUAUGAUUGGCGAAAUGCUUCCAUGCUCUCUUUGGGUUACAAGAUUGAUUAAAAACCAAAAUUUUACAUAAUCACAAGUCAUAUACUCCUCAAAAUGAGAGUUUAUAGUCAAUCUAGCCAAAAGGAAAAAAACUUUUAUAUCCAAAAAGAAAAUCCUAUGCUCUUAAUCACAAAGCUUACAACCUAAACUAGAAAACAAUAGAUUAAACCAAUAACAAUCAACUAAUCUGAACAUAAUAAUGAUAUUCAUUCAUCCAUUUAGGCCAUGGGAUGAAUAACCAAACUUAAAAAAAAAAAACAAAAAAAAAAACCAUGAGCACCCUCUAGAAUAGAUCUAGCUAACAAGAACAUAACCUGAGGCUCUAAUACCAAUUACCAGGAAUACUAGAUUUCUCUAUUCCCUGUCCCUGGAUCUAGUAGGGUGCAUGCAUCUAUGCUAAGCACCUCUAAAUCUAUUACAAUGGAAACAUAUGGCUACAAAACCAUAUAAAGAUAAAAAUCUAGAGAAAACAAAGCUCAUACCGAAUCUAGAUGUUCCUAGAUCAAUUCCAGAUGGUGAAGAACAUGCUUAAAGGUCUCAUACACUCAAGAUCUUCCACCUGAUGACUCGAACCACAAUCUUGGUACUCCAAAGUGUGGGCUUUGGAAGAGAUGAAGAUAUGACUCUCUCUAUCUUUCUUUAGAGAUGAAAGAUGGAUCUCAUCAAAAAGUGGUGGAAACAUUAACCCCUAAGGGGGUAUUUAUAGGGUUCCCCUACUAAGCUUAAGUGACUUAAGCUCACCAAAGCUUGGGUCACUUAAUCUAACCUAAAACUAGUUCUAAUUGAUUAAUUAACCACAUAGAGUCAUCUAAUUAAUCAAUUAGCCCAAUCUAGAGACCUUGUUCACUAUCUCCUGUGCAACCAUGAAUCAUUACCAAAACAACCUUAUACACAAAAGUGAAUAUUGGCUCUCUUAGAAUUCAAUUCUAAAAUUGAUUCAACAUUCCACUAAAGAUAAUCAAUUGCACUCCAGUACCCUAUGUAAAUAACAACAAAAUGAAGUUUGAGUUCAUGACCUACUAUCCAUUACAUGCAGACUCCCCAUGAAUCGGUAUUUGUAAUUUAACAAGGUAGUAGUAUCACUUAUCAAGAUUACCUCUCCAAUCCUUGAGUUAAAAAUCUCAUUUGGAUCACCCAAGAAGACACAUUGUCUCCAUGAGAUGUCAUGAUGUCUCUAUUGAGAAUACUUGUUGUCACCAGCCUCCAUCAAUAGUGACCCAAUCCAUAAAGAUAUAUAACCACUUUAGGAUCUCACCCACCCACAUGUCCAAUCCUCAUGUUGAUUUUGAGACAGGCUCAAUAUGCUCUCAAGUUUGCAAGUCAAUCCAAUAUAGUAGUUUGUUGAAUCAUGACAAUUAAUAGUCUUGUGUCAUGAUUCAUCAUAGCUCUUUUCUAGUAGGCAUGACAUACACUAGUGCAAACAUCAUAGGAAACUCAUCCCAACAAUCAAGACAAGUAAUCCAUUCCAUUAGGAGAUGGUGUACUACAAUCUCUAAUGGAUUGCACAAAUCUAUGAACCAAUUAUGGACAACUUAUAUAUCUACUUACAAGAAACCCUUGACUUGUAUCUUUUGUGCAACUCCUAAGGCACUCAAGUCAUGUACAAUUUAAGAGAUAUAAACUAAAUGCUCAAAUCAAUGUCAAUACACCAAAGGGAUAACGAUGGGAUAGUCAAGUCUAAUUUUGUUACAUCAUGUCUUACUUUUAGGAUCUCAAUCCCAACAGUAUCACAUGGUAGUAGAAGAUAUAUGUUGAACUUUAUUGAUUAUUACUCUAGAAAGGUCUGGGUAUAUAUAUUCAAACACAAGAAUGAUGUCUUUGGGUAGUUCAAACAAUGGAAAGCUAUGUUCAAGAAGCAAACUAGAAAAUAAAUCAAGCACUUGAGAAUUGACAAUGGUAUGAAAUUUAUAUGGGAAGAGUUUAAUGAGUUUUGCAAGAAUGAAAGUAUUGUGAGACAUUACAUAGUUAGGCAUACUCCACAUAAAAAUGGUGUUGCAAAACAAAUGAAUGGAACUCUUUUAGAGAAAGCAUGAUGCACGCUUUCAAAUGCAGUGUUGUCAAAUGGAAUUUUAGGCUGAAGUGAUAAAUUCUACUUGUUAUCUUGUGAAUAGAUCUCCUUCAAUUCCUAUUAAUUAUAGGACUCCUGAAAAGAGAUGGUCUGGUUCUCUUUCUAAUUAUGGUAAUUUAAGAUUUUUUUUUUUCUUGUCCUACUUAUACUCAUGUAAAUGAAGGUAAGUUGGAACCAAGGAGAAGGAAGUGCAUAUUGUUAGGAUAUGCAGAUGAAGUGAAAGGGUACAAGUUAUGGUGACUAGAGUCAAAAUUCUCUAAAUUUAUAAUUAACAGGGAUGAGACUUUUAAUGAGUUUGAAAUGUUGUAUCCUAGGAAUGAGUAACUUGAUGUAGGAAACAACCCUAGUAUGAGAGAAAAUGUGGAGUUUGUGUCUAAAGCUUUAGAAACCAUAGAAAAAAAAAAUUAAAUAAGGCCAAAAGAGGAAGAAAUGCAACAUCUUAAUGAUAAAGAAAACGCACCAUAAGAGCAACAAUAUUAUUUAGCCAAAGAUAGAACAAAGAGGCAAAUUAAACCACCACAAAGGCAUGCUUAUGUAGAUUUGGUUGUUUAUGCACUUAGUAUGGUAAAGAACAUUAUUGAAAAUGAGGAACCACACACUUAUCAUGAAGUCAUCACUAGUAGAUGGUCUACACAAUGGAAUGUUGCUAUGAAUUAGGAGAUUAAAUCUCUUCAAAAGAACUAUACUUAACAACUAGUUGAGAAACCUAAAAACUCAAAAGAUUGUUGGUUGCAAAUGAUUCUUCAAAGAAAUGAAGGAAUUUCGGGAGUGGAGGAUGCUAGGUUCAAAGCACACUUAGUGGCAAAGGGUCACACACAAAAGGAGGGGGUGGGUUUCAAUGAAGUGUUUUCCCUAGUUGUGAAGCAUAACUCAAUUGGAGUGUUACUUGUUAUGGUUGUUUUAUUUAAUUUAGAAUUGGAGCAACUUGAUGUCAAGACUACUUUUUUACAUGAUAAGUUAGAAGAACAAAUUUAUAUGCAUCAACCUAAGGGAUUCAUUAUUUCGAGAAAAGAAAACCAUGUUUGUUUGCCGAAGAAAUCUCUUUAUGGUUUGAAGCAAUCUCCUAGGCAAUGGUAUAAAAGGUUUGAUACUUUUAUUAUUUGUAAUGGCCACCACAAGAGUGAGUAUGAUAAUUGUGUUCAUCAUAAGGAAUUGUUUGAUUAUUCUUUCAUUUAUUUAUUGUUAUAUGUUGAUGAUAUGUUAAUUUUCUACAAGAAUAUGUGAUAACCCGACUCUUGGUAGCUUGGCAUGUAAGGGUAUCAACAAAAUUUACACCUAAGGUCCUUACACUAAAGUAGCAAAGCUACUAUAGCAUAGUGGCUCUAGGAUCGAACACUGGGAAGGGUUUUUACUUUAACUGGUGAAGUUCGGAGGAUGGAGUGAACUUUUCUUAAUAAAAAUUAGGUUAAGAUGAAAACAUAAAAAGAUGAAGGCGUUGUAAACUAAACUAACAUGAAAAUAGGUUAAAAGAUGGAAAAAGAAGUUUCUCAAAGCUUUGGAUAGCCAUGCUUAACUCACUGUGUAAAAAUGGAGAUUUUGGGACUCUUCACCUCGAGUUGGGGAAGCAACUAAGGUGAUGCUUACUUCCCGAACCGGUAUGAGUUUAACAACUGAGUUUUAGUCCUUGAAAACUUACAAAAAGGGUAGCUGAACCUCAUAAAUGCUCUUUUAUUAGUAUAGGUCAUCUCCUCGACUUGCAAUACAAUGGCUCGUAGGAGAUAAUUAAUGAACGUCAGUGGAUCUAACAAUAAGAAUCCACUGAGACCAAAAGGUUAUCAAGUAUUGGCCAUUCAAAGCAAGUUAGAGGGAUUAAAAGCUUUACUUUGAAUGAAAACAUUUAUGACGCUUAGCUACUUACAUUUAUGGCUUGGAAAUCUUCAUCGUGACACGGGAGCUUCACAUGGCAUCCAUUACUUCAAGAAACUAAAAGGAUUUAGCCUUUCAUCCUUGGGGAUUUCAUCCUCCAAGGAUGUUUGGCUACUAAGAAAAUGAGAAAGAAAAGAGAAAAGAAGCGUAUGAACAGAAGUGCUCUUAUAACUUAUAAAGUUACAGGUUACAAGAUGAUCGUGUCUGAGGCUCUUCACCUCUAUUUAAAGACAAUAAAAAGCUAAAUUACAAGAGCUAUUACAAAAGCAACCUUUUCAUUGGUUGAUUACAAGGGUAAAAUAGAUUUUUACAAAGCUAAAAGUCAAGCAAAAUAUCUUGGAGAACCGGCAGUGGAAUAUCAUCAACAGCGUCUCAAAACAGGGGAUUUCAAAGGCAUUUCGCAAAGGGGGGGAGGGGGAGGGGAAGAUGAAAGGUCCAAAUUUUGCAAGGUGCCUAAAUCCAGCUUGCGAAAUUUCGCAAGGUGGUUUCUUCAUGGUGCGAAAUGGCCAAAUUUCGCACCAUGAGGAAAAUCCCCUUGCGAAAUUUUGGCAAGGCGAAAUUCACCUUGCGAAAUGGUGUUCCCAUUGCUUGUGCUCGUGUUUCCACUUGAAAUUCAAGCCUGUAAACGUCCAAAAUCCUUGCUUAACUCACCCAAGUAGCUCCUCCAUCAAUUGGUAUGCUUGAAUUGGUUCAUAAGCUGAUGAAAAACAUGUAAACUUGCCACUAAAAAUGGUUAGAACUAAUUACUAAGGAGCUUAAUGAAUUAAUUGGGUUAAAUGAAUAUGAUUACUACACAAAGGUGCUUAAAACCCUUAUAAUUAGGUCUACAAAAUAGCACUUUUUGGUAGUAAUCACACCCCCCAACCGACUCAUUGCUAGUCCCUUAGCAAUGGAGGAGAUAAAAACUAAGCAAACAUAAUAAUAUACAUAAAAGAGGUCAUGCAAAUCACUCCAAAAAAUAAUUGAGUGGCAUGACUGAUAUCAAAACACAUCUCACAUGGUGAACUAAAGAUAUGAAGAUUCAAAAUGCAAUAGGAGUUGUCAAAGCUAAAACUUAAACAAAAAGUACAAAGAGUGGAGAUUAUGCAAUUAAGUAUCAAAAGAAUCUCUACUCUCAAGGUUCCGAAUCAAACUCUUCCAUAAUGAGCUAAGUGUUAAUGAGAUUAGCUUCCAGAUAUAGUAUGUACAACUAUCCUCUCCCCCCAACCUAAGCUUUUCUCGAACUUUGGCAAAAUUAACCAACUCUUAAUAGGUUAGGAACGCACCUUCUUAUUCACAAUUCUUUUUAUUCACUAAACUUAACCAAUUCACCUAUGUAGCAAGCAGAGGAUCGAUGACUCCCAACCAAUCAGGGUUUAGGGCAUCGGGUUUUAAAGGCUUUCGCCACCCAUUCGGAUCAUGCUUAGGUUUCAAGGAAAGAAUAGAAGCUUAUUCUCUUUUUUUUUUUUUUUUUUUUUUUUUUUUAAGACUCAUUGGUCUUUUUGAGGUGUCCCAACACUAUUAAAAAGAGGUUAAGUAAUGAACCAAGUCAAAAUUUUCCUAAGCUUAAAGGGUGAGAAAGUUUUACAUCAUAUAUCCGAGAUCUAAUGUGCACGGUGUGUGUAAAGCUUGAAAUGGAAGAAAAAAGUUCGAAAUCAAAGAGGGUUUCAAUAGAUUAUCAACUUUGAAAGCAUAAAACAAACUCUAAGACUUAAGUAAUUAAGUUAAAACUCGACUUAUCCUAUUUUAUUUUGAGAAAUUAUCUUUAACAACCAUAGAGAAUGAAACAAAAAUUUUUGAAAAAGGUCAAAAACUACUAAAUCAACAAAAUAACUAACUAAAAUAGGAAAUACUUACUUCCUCAACUCUCCCCCCAACCGAGAUGAACAUUGUCCCCAAUGUUUCUAUCGAAAAAGACGAGGAAGGAAUGAUAUACCUUAUGGUGAUGUGGUAUUCAAGGCGUGUGAGUGCAUCCACAUGAUUCAAAAACCAUAAGAAACGUGAGAGAGGAAAUAAGAUACAAAAAAUGAUGCUUAUAUAAACUGAGAGAGUUGAGUACAAGAUAUAAGCAUGAGGUACAUACAAUCUCAGAAUAUAAAACAUGUAUCAUAUACAAAAUGGAGAUAGAAAUAUCCAAUCAUGGAUGUGGCUCCUGAGGUGGAGGAGGUGAUAUGCCCAGGUGAUGGUGGAUCUGAGAGAGCAUGGCGGAGUGCUGGUCCAGGAUAGCUGUAUGCUGAGCCUGAAUAGAUGUAUGCUGAGCCUGAUGUGUCUGUAUGGUAUCCAUCUGUCGUCUGAUGGCCUGCAUCUCACGGACUAAGGUGGCCUGAGAGGUGCUCAAUGAGUGAAAGGACGACAUGAGAGCUCUGAACUCUGUAGCGGAGACAGCAAUGGAUGGCCCGGCUGAAGACUCAGCAUAGGCUGGAGCAGGAGUGACUGGUGGUGUGGGAGUAUCAGUAGUGCAAGUCACUAGAGCAGGUACUGAAGAAGAAGGCUCUGUGGUAUGUGGGUCCUGCUCUGGUGAUGUCUGUGCUGUAGGUGCUGAGGUUGCUGGAGAAUCGGGAGGCGCUGGAGAAGCUGGAGGCGCGGGAGCUAAUGGUCUAGGGAUACCCUAGUCCAUGGGUGAGAGGUCUAAGAAAUGGGUCCAACUCUCACUGGUAAAGAGCUCUCGACAAUGAUGACGACGCUCUAGAUGGGGCUGAGAAGGGUAUCCCAUAUCCUCUAAGACCUGAGAGAUCAGCCUUGGAAAUAAGAGUGGAAUAGUACCAGCUCUGUGUAGGCGCUUCCUAUGCACCUUCUCCUCAAAAUAGGUAAGAGUAGCCAUGACUAGAUGGUGGGGUCCAAAGUAGAAUCCCUCAGAGAUGCGGUAAAGCGCAUCUAAGAUAGCACCUCUCCUCUGGACGACAUGCUGGAGGGGAAAAAGAUUGGUGCGGAGCACCAAAUCGAUAAGUAACAUCUGUGGAGGAAGCUCCCUCCUCAAAAUGGUCCUACCAGUGACUCUACCUCCUGAUAAGGUAGACACCAUGUCGGGCUCUGAAUACUGAGACCAAUGCCGGAAGGAACCAAGGUCCUCAAGGAUAGGCGGAAAAUGCAUAGCGGCGGCUAUAUCUCGGGCCUCUAAAAUACCAUGCUGGCCAUCAAUAAAAAAAUGAAUGGCUAUGGGGUCCGGACGCCUCUAGUAGUCAUAGUCUGGUAGAAAUCUAAGACUACCCUAGGGUAAUAGAAGGACCUAGGAGUCAUAAAUGGCUCGAUGUGGUACCUCUACAGAAGGCGGUAUGACUCCUCUAGCUCUGGUAAUAGGCGGAGAGUCUCAUGCUCCAUACAGAUCUCGUAGUGAAAUGGCCUAUCUCUGAUAUCCGUGUUGCCUGGGAGGGGUGGCCCUACUAUCAUAGGCCGCUUGAGGACCUCUGCUAGGUGUGAAGGGCCUGGGAUAGUAGAUAUUGGAGGUGAUGGAGGGGCUCUGGAGGACUCGCCUGGUCCUGAAAUCCUAGUCCUCUUAGGUGAAAGACUGCUCACAAGGGGUGGCAUUGGUGCCCUGGAAGACCCAGAUGAUCGUCUGGUCCCGUACCCGUGCUGAGUAGAGGGAACUGGGGUCUGGGCAGGCUGAGAUGGUGUAGAACGACCACCUCUCUGUGAGUGGGCCCCACGCUGACUAGCUGAAGAGGAUGCCCCCCGUGUCUGUGCCAUGGUAUAAAUACUGAAAUAAGACUGAAAAGCACGAAAAAUAGAGCAUCCCUGAUUACUACCAAAAAGUGCUAUUUUGUAGACCUAAUCAUAAUGGUUUUAAGCACCUUUGAGUAGUAAUCAUAUUCAUUUAACCCAAUUAAUUCAUUAAGGUCCUUAGUAAUUGGUUCUAACCAUUUUGUGGUAAGUUUUGGUGCUUUUUGAUAGCUUUUUGCUCACCAAAGCAAUCCAAGAAUGAGGGAGAGCUGUAUAUAGUUCAUGGCAAAGCUUUUGAAAGCUCAAAUUCAUGAAGAAACCAAGCUUUGGAGCUCAAUAACCCUUUUCCAAAGUCGUUCAAAGUAUGCAAGGAAAGAACAAACGGAGAGAGGAAAACAGAGUAAGGAAAAUAGGGGACAGCAACUGCAGCCUUCCUUCGCACUUUUAGAGCACUUUCCGAAGUUCAUUUUCUACAUGCUAUAUACCAUUUCAAAGCUCAGGAAGUCAAGAAUCUAAAGCUUCAAACCGUGUACGAUUUGGAGCUGAAAUGAGGAAGAUAUGGCCUUAGGAAGACAACUGCAUCAAGCUAAAGGACAAUUUCGCACCUUGCGAAAUUGGAACUCCAACGUGCGAAAUUUAAAGUGGAUGGCAGCUGUGUAGUUGCGGUGAAGCCCAGCAUGCGAAGUUGAUUUUGCAACUUGUGGACUUGGAUCUCAACAUGAGAAAGUGAAUUCUAAGUUGCGAAAUCAACUUGCGAAAUUUUCGCAAGUCACCAUGCAACGUGCGAAACUGGGAUAUUUAUGCCGACUCUUUUUCUUCUGAUAUUUUUGUGUCUAAAUUUCCAUUUUCUCCUUGUAUUCAGCCACUCAUGUAAUUCCUUAGCUAUGAAGUAUCCAAGGAAGGGUAAAUUACCUUCCUAUAUAAACUCUCUUGUAAACACUGAAAAAAGGACUCUCGGGGAGCUUUUUCCAAGAGACCAACUUAUGUAAAUUUUACACUUAGUGAAAUACAGAGAUCUCUUUUGCUUUCUUUUUCUCUCUACUAUUUUCUUUUUCUUGGAAGCCAAACAGCCUCUGAGGAUGUUUUCCCAGGGGAUGAGAGGCUAAACUUAUAGUUUCUUGGAGUGAAGGAAGCUAGGUGAAAAGUCCAGAUGAAAAGGUGGAAAGCUUCCGUGCAUUAAAUUCAGGUAGUUGGAGUUCAUAAAUGGCUUCUAAAUCCAAAGUUUUGCUUUAAAUCCCUUAGAAUCACUUUGAACGGCCAAUACAUGGUAAGCUUCAGGUCUCUGUGGAUGCUUAUUGCUAGAUCCAUAUCAGUCCAUUAGUUAUCAUGUACGAGCCAUUGGAAAGUGGUUCAAGGUGAAGACCCAUAGUGUCUUAAGCCAUUAAUGGACCUUGACUAUCAUUUCUAUUGACUUUUUAUAGAUUAAAUCUUCAUUGUUAAACCUAUACCGGUUCGGGAAAUAACUAUAGGUUAAAUCCCCAAUGCGAGGAGAAAAAUCCGGAAUUUCCACUUUGCAUUCUGAACUUGAUCCUAGCAACCCUUAGCUCCGGGAGACUUUCUUUCUUCCAUUUUUACUUAGUUCUAUGUUAGUUUAAUUUCAGUCACCACUUGCAAAACAAAUUUUAUUUUCUUUUAAACUUCAAGUUUAUGAUAAAGGAAAUCAUCAGACUCAAUUUCUAAUCUAGAGUCUGUCACUGAUAGAGUGAAAACCCAUCCCUGAGUUCGACCCUAGAGCUGCUAUACUAUAGUAGCUUUGCUACGCCAGUAUAAGGUCAUAGGAUUUAUAAAUAUUUUUUUAUUAAAAGACCCGACGGGGUAUGAAUAAAUCCCAGGGGUAAAGUGUCAAAAAUAUAGUUGAAAUGGUAACCAGUGCAAAAUUUGCAAGGCAUGAAUAGUGGUUGCUAAAUUUGGCAACGGGCACUAUUCACGCAACACUAAUCACAGGCACUAUUCAUCUUCUUUUCCAAUGCUUACUUUGAAUUUGAGUUUUCAUUUUUAACGGUUUAAAGUUCAGAAAAAGGGUAUGGUUUUAAUGGAAACAUGAUUCUAAAUGCAAUGGAGUAAGUUUGGGAGCCUAAAACACAUUGCAAGAUAGAGAUUUUUGCAAAAAUGGUGGCCGGCCAUGUGGGUCUUUGAUUUGAAAAAAUGGAUUUUUGAAAUGGUUUUAAUGGAUGAAAAUGCAUGUUUAUGGUCCCUUAAACAUUGAAAUGACAUAAACAAGCAAUUUAAGGAGCCAAAAAUGGAGAAAAAUGAAAAAUUAUUCACCUUGGAACAAUGAAGCACGCGGCCUAGAGAGGAAAUGCAAGGGGAAUAGUGUUUUAUGCAUGAAAAAUGAAGUUGAGAAGGCUUUAAAAAGGGUUUUUGGCCAUGAAUUUUUUUUUGAAAAUUUGUCUAAGUACGGGGAUGAACUGAGGAGUGUUAAAACUACAAAAUUGAAGUUUGAAAAUGAAUUUAAAAAGAAUCAAAUCCUUGGUAAGCAUGAAGAAAAAAUUUCGCAAGGUGAAAAUUCACCUUGCCAAAUUUUCGCACUGGCUACUCCCCUUAAAAACCAAUUCCGAGAGGUUGUAAAUUGCAUCUUGCCAAAAUGUGCAUUUCGCAAGGUGAAAAUUGACUUGCGAAAAUUUUCGCACUGGUUACUCCUUGCGAAAGUGCAAUCCCAGCGAAAGUGCAAUCCCGAGAGGUCGUAAAUUGCAUCUUGCCAAAAUGUGCAUUUUGCAAGGUGAAAUUCACCUUGCCAAAUUUUCGCAACUCACUUUUUGAGUUGCGAAAUGGGCUUUUAAGCUUGGACUUAGAUAUAUUUCUCCCCUAUUUCACCUUUCUCUCCACAUUUAUGAGCUUGUGAGCUUUUGUACCUGCUAUUGGACAUCAAAGCUCCAUUAAAAACAUUAAAAAAUCAAAAUCAAAACUAAGAAACCUAAACAAAAUAUGUGCAAAAGUAUUAAAAAUGCAAAGUAAACAAGAAUGUAAUACUAAAAUUAAAACAAAAAGAGAUGAGCACUUAACUUUUCAUGCUAAGCUCAUCAACUUACCACACUUUCUCAAGGAUGUGAUGGGUCAUGGAGGAUGAGUACCUCCUUGUCACGGGAAAAUGGCUCGAUGUAGGGUUUGAGUCUUUGCCCAUUUACCUUGAAGAUCUUUGCACUUUUUGAAUUGAGUAACUCAAUUACUCCAUGUGAGUGUACUUGGUGGAUGACAAAAGGCCCUACCCACCUUGAUUUGAGCUUUCCCGGAAAUAUGUGAAGCUUAGAGUCAUAUAGCAAGACUCUUUGUCCCUUGAAAAAUUCUUUCUUGGUCACCAACUGAUCAUGCCAUCUCUUUAGCUUUUCCUUAGCUAUUUUUGAGUUGAGAUAGGCAUCAUUUCUCAAUUCCUCAAGCUCAUUCAAAUCCAAACUCCUCUUUAGCCUAGCCUUUGUUAAAUCCAUGUUGAGCUUUUUAAUGGCCCACCAUGCCUUGAACUCAAUCUCAACGGGAAGAUGGCAAGCUUUGCCAUAAACAAGACAGUACGGUGACAUCCCAAGGAUAGUCUUAUAAGUCGUCCUAUACGCCCAUAGGGAAUCAAGGAGCUUAAACAAACCAAUCUUUCUUAUUGGUGUUCACCACCUUCAUCAAGAUGUUCUUAAUUUCCCGGUUGGCUAGCUCUACUUGGCCACUCGUCUGAGGAUGAUAAGGUGUAGCUACCUUAUGCUUAAUUCCGUACUUGGCCAAAAGAGCUUCAAAGGGCUUGUUGCACAAGUGAGUGCCUCCAUCACUGAUGAUUGCUUUAGGCACUCCAAACCUCGAGAAGAUGUUUUCUUUUAGGAACUUGAGAACCACUUUGUGAUCAUUGGUUCCACAGGGUAUAGCUUCAACCCACUUUGAAACAUAAUCAACUCCUACCAAGAUGUAGGAGUGGCCAAAAGACAUAGGGAAAGGUCCCAUGAAGUCUAUGCCCCAAACAUAAAAAAGAUCCACUAUCAAGAUGGGGUUCAAAGGCAUCAUGUUUCUCCUUGAAAGCUUGCCUAGUCUUUGGCACUUAUCACAUCCUUUACUUACCUCAUGGGCAUCCUUAAAAAGUGAGGGCCACCAAAAGCCCGAUUGAAGAACUCUCAUUGCCGUCUUUUGAGAGGCAAAGUGGCCUCCACAUGCAUUCCCAUGGCAAUGAGAUAGGAUCCCAUGCUUCUCUUUUUCAGGCACACACUUCCUUAUAAUUUGGUCUGCACAAUACUUGAAGAGAAAAGGCUCCUCCCAAUAAUAUGCAUGGACCUUGGCAAAGAAAUUCUUCUUGUCCUGAGAGCUCCAUUCACUUGGUAUUUCUCCCGUGACCAAGUAAUUGGCAAUGUGUGCAAACCAUGGCACUUCCUCCACAAGCAUCAAGGAUUCCUCAGGGAAAUCAUCAUUUAUGGGAAGUCCAUGGGUGUCAUGAGCGAUGUUGAGCCUUAACAAGUGGUCAGCUACCACAUUCUCAAUACCUUUCUUAUCUCUGAUCUGGAGGUUGAACUCUUGAAGCAAAAGUAUCCACCUAAUCAACCUAGCCUUGGCAUCUUGCUUGGUUAGCAAAUACUUCAAAGCUGAAUGAUCCGUGAAUACCACAAUGGAAGACCCUAUCAAAUAAGCUCUGAACUUAUCCAAAGCAUACACCACAGCAAGUAAUUCCUUCUCAGUGGUGGUGUAAUUCCUUUGAGCAUCAUUCAAAGACUUGCUUGCAUAGUAGAUCACAUAAGGUUUACCAUCUUCUCUUUGUCCCAAAACAGCCCCAAUGGCAUAAUCACUUGAGUCACACAUCACUUCAAAUGGCAACUCCCAAUUUGGUGCUCUCAUAAUGGGCGCUGAUGUCAAGAAUUGCUUAAGAAGCUCAAAACUCCUUUGACAUUUAUCAUCCCACUCAAACUUGGCAUCCUUCACCAAUAAUUCACAAAGAGGUUUGGCAAUCUUGGAAAAAUCCUUUAUAAACCUCCUAUAGAACCCGGCAUGCCCAAGGAAUUGCCUUAUUCCUUUUACAUUGGUGGGAGGUGGCAACUUCACAAUUAGUUCCGCCUUAGCUCUAUCUACCUCUAUACCCUUCUUUGAGAUUACGUGCCCAAGAACAAUACCUUGAUUUACCAUAAAAUGGCACUUCUCCCAAUUGAGUACUAGGUCUUUCUCUAUGCAUCUUUUCAAAACAUCUUCAAGAUGUGACAAACAAUCCUCAAAAGAAGUCCCAUACACAGUUAUGUCAUCCAUGAAGACUUCCAUGAUUCGUUCAACCAUGUCACUGAAGAUGCUAAGCAUGCAUCUUUUGAAGGUAGCAGGAGCGUUGCAUAAUCCAAAAGGCAUCCGCCUAUAAGCAUAGGUGUCGAAUGGACAAGUGAAGGUAGUCUUCUCCUGGUCCUCCACAUCAAUCUCUAUUUGAAAAUACCCGGAAUACCCAUCCAAGAAGCAAUAAAAAGGAUGCCCAGAUACUCUCUCAAGGACUUGAUCCAUGAAAGGUAAAGGGAAGUGAUCCUUUCUCGUUACUGUGUUCAACUUCCUGUAGUCAAUGCACACCCUCCAACCAGUUGUGAGGUGUGUGGACACUUCAUCUCCAUUUUCCCCCUUGACUACGGUUAUCCCGGACUUCUUUGGAACAACUUGGGUUGGACUCACCCAAGUGCUAUCUGAAAUGGGGUAAAUGAUGCCCGCUUGAAGAAGCUUCAACACUUCAGCCCUUACUACCUCUUGCAUAUGAGGAUUCAAUCUCCUCUGUGGCUGACGAGUUGGCUUAGCUCCCUCCUCCAUAUAAAUAUGGUGCGUGCAAAUCAAUGGGCUUAUCCCCUUCAAAUCAGAAAUUUGCCAUCCGAUGGCCUUCUUGUGCUUUCUAAGGAUUCUUAGAAGAUUGUCCUCUUGUGAAACGGUUAAAGAAGAAGAAAUUACCACUGGGGCUUUAUUGCCUUCCUCCAAGUAAGCAUACUUCAACUCGGCAGGAAGGGUCUUCAAUUCAAGCUUAAGGAUUGCAUCCUUAGCUUCUUUCAUCUCUUCCUCAUCCUUGAACAAAGGGAGGAUCACUGGCUUUUGUCUCCAGUUUGACAUAACAGCAUUCAUUCCCAUGGGUUCAGCUAACCCAUCAUUAAGAUCUUCAUGGAUUUCAUCUGGAUUCUCUUCAAACUAAUCAAGCAUACUCUGAUUACAAUGCUCCUCCACCAGGGUAUCUAUCAUACACACUUCUUCUAGGCCCUCAUCUUCUUCAGGAUGGAUGUGCUUUUGACAUAGAUGGAAGAUGUUGAGUUCCAAUGUCAUAUUCCCAAAAGUGAGUUGCAUGACCCCGUUCCUACAAUUGAUGAUUGCAUUGGAUGUUGCAAGGAAUGGUCUUCCAAGGAUGAUUGGAACAUAGUUGAUCCCUUUGACAAUGGGAUCCGUAUCAAGCACCACAAAAUCUACUGGAUAGUAGAAUUUGUCAACUUGAACCAAUACAUCCUCUAUUACCCCCCUGGGGAUUUUCACUGAUCGGUCAGCUAAGGAUAGGGUGAUCGAUGUUGGCUUGAGUUCUCCCAACCCCAGGUCCUUGUAUAUAGAGUAUGGAAGCAAGUUAACACUUGCCCCCAAAUCAAGCAAUGCCUUCUCCACUUGGGUUCCUCCAAUAUUGACUGAGAUUGUAGGACACCCCGGAUCUUUGUAUUUGAUUGGAGAGUUGCAUUAGAUUAUAGCACUCACUUGCUCGGUUAGGAAGGCUUGCUUUGUAACAUUGAGUCCUCUUUUCACAGUGCACAAGUCCUUCAAAAACUUUGCAUAUGUGGGUACUUGCUUGAUCAUAUCAAGUAAAGGAAUAUUCACCUUCACUUGUCUUAGCACAUCAAGAAUCUCAGAAGCAUUCUUGAUUGGUUUCUUCCCACGCAAGGCUUGAGGAAAUGGAGGAGGCAUGUGCUUCUUCAUCAUGCCUUCCUUUAAAAGAAUUUGAGGUUCCUCAUCCAUGCUAGGAAUGAUGCUUUCUUUCAUCUGAACUUCCUUACCCUUUUGUUCUUUCUUCUUUUCUUCUUUUCUAUCAGCCUUGUCUUCGUUGGCUUUCCUCUGAUCAUGCUCCGGCUGAUGCACUUCCUUACCACUUCUCAAAGUGAUAAUAGCUUGCACGUCCCUCACCUUUGAAGAAUCCUCAUCUUUAGAUUCCACUUCAUGUAUCCCCUUAGGAUUUUGGUGAGGCUGAGAGGGAAACUUCCCUUUCUCAUUGACAGUGUUCAAAUUUGUAAGCCUUGAGAUGGAAUAUUGGAUGUUGUCAAUUUUCUGAGACAACUCAUUAUGCAUCCCAUCUAUCUUCUUGUUCAAUGUACUCUCUACGUUGUCAAUCUUCUGAUUUAGUUGAGAGUUGAUGGAUUUUUGGUCACUCACAAAGUCACCCAUAACCUUGCUAAGGCUUAUGAGUGCUUGCUCAACUGAGGAUUGACCUUGACUCUGUUGGCUUGAUUGGGCUGGUGACUGAUAUGGGUUUGGCCUUGGCUUCCAUGCAAAUUUUGGGUGGUUCCUCCAGCUAGAGUUGUACGUGUUGCCAUAGGGAGCAUUUGAAUUUGGCUUCCAUUGGCCAAUCAGGUUAGCUUGUUCCUCGAACAUUUCUCUUGCUGCUGGAAUGGUGGGACAUUCUUCCACCAUAUGUUCAAAUGACUAACAGAUGGAGCAAGGAUUGGCUUGUUGUUGAGGUUCUGAAAUAGCUUGGACUUCGUGAACUUUUCUCAACUCCAUUUCCUCCAUUUUUCUAGCCAUGGCAGCUACCUUGGCUUUCAUCUCCAUGUCUUCACUCAGAUUGUACAUCCCCCCUCUUGACAUUUGCUGAACUGGCCUCUUCCCCAUUUCUCUGUUAUUGGGCUCAUCCCAUCCACGGGAAACCUCUGAGACAUAACUUAGGAAAUCCAUAGCCUCCUCAGGGUUCUUGCUCAUGAAAUCACCCCCACACAUUGUCUCCAAUAUCUGCUUCAUUGAAGAUGACAUGCCAUCAUAAAAAUAGCUCACCAACAGCCAUGUAUCAAAGCCGUGGUGAGGACAUGCAUUGAUGGCCUCCAUAUACCUCUCCCAGUAUUCAUAAAAUUUUUCAUUCUCACGUGCUGAGAAGUUGGAGAUUUGUCUCUUCAAUCCAUUUGUUCUAUGAGUAGGGAAAAACUUCUUCAAAAAAUCAGCUUGAAGUUCUGUCCAUGUUCUUAUGCUUCUCGGCCUCAAGGAAUUGAGCCAUAUCUGGGCUUUGUCCUUUAAUGUGAAUGGAAAGAGCUUCAACCUCAUAAGCUCAAUAGCUGUUCCCCCUUCUUGAAAAGUAUUGCACACAUCUUCGAAUUCCUUUAUGUGCGCAUAUGGAUUUUCACUUUCCAUCCCAUGGAAAGUAGGAAGCAGAGGCACGAUGUGUGGCCUGAUAAUCAAUUGCUUUGUAGGAGGAAUGAUGCAAGAUGGUGCACUCAUCCUCGGAGGGUGCAUCCUGUCCCUCAUGGACCUAUACAAGUUCGGAUCAUUCUACUGCCCGUGUUGUGAAUGUUGAUCCUCUGGCUGAUUCUCCAUGACUUCCAAAAUAAUCUCUAAUUCAGUAGCUCGUGGAGUCUCUAUCCGCACUAACCUUCCCUCUUGGUCUCUAAUCCAAUAGGGCAUGCACGGAUUCAGCUGGAACAAAACAAAUAAACAAAACAAAGAAAAAGAAAAAAAAAACAGAGCAUGCGGAAGGAAAAACAAAGUAUGAAAAAUAAACUAAAAAUGAAAGUUAAAAGCUAAAAGAAACUUAUCUAAACUAAGUUAAAAAUGUUCUAAAACUAAAAUAAAAAGUUAGUAAAUGAAAAAUGAGAUAGAAUUCACCUCACUCAUGAGAAGUCUCACAAGUUACCUCCGGCUGAUCUAUUCACAGUGAAGUAGCACCCCUCCUCGGCAACGGCGCUAUUUGAUAACCCGACUCUUGGUAGCUUGGCAUGUAAGGGUAUCAACAAAAUUUAUACCUAAGGUCCUUACACUAAAGUAGCAAAGCUAUUAUAGCAUAGUGGCUCUAGGAUCGAACACUGGGAAGGGUUUUUACUUUAACUGGUGAAGUUCGGAGGAUGGAGUGAACUUUUCUUAAUAAAAAUUAGGUUAAGAUGAAAACAUAAAAAGAUGAAGGCGUUGUAAACUAAACUAACAUGAAACUAGGUUAAAAGAUGGAAAAAGAAGUUUCUCAGAGCUUUGGAUAGCCAUGCUUAACUCAUUGUGUAAAAAUGGAGAUUUUGGGACUCUUCACCUUGAGUUGGGGAAGCAACUAAGGUGAUGCUUACUUCCCGAACCGGUAUGAGUUUAACAACUGAGUUUUAGUCCUUGAAAACUUACAAAAAGGGUAGCUGAACCUCAUAAAUGCUCUUUUAUUGGUAUAGGUCAUCUCCUCGACUUGCAAUACAAUGGCUUGUAGGAGAUAAUUAAUGAACGUCAGUGGAUCUAACAAUAAGAAUCCACUGAGACCAAAAGGUUAUCAAGUAUUGGCCAUUCAAAGCAAGUCAGAGGGAUUAAAAGCUUUACUUUGAAUGAAACAUUUAUGACGCUCAGCUACUUACAUUUAUGGCUUGGAAAUCUCCAUCCUGACACGGGAGCUUCACAUGGCAUCCAUUACUUCAAGAAACUAAAAGGUUUUAGCCUUUCAUCCUUGGGGAUUUCAUCCUCCAAGGAUGUUUGGCUACUAAGAAAAUGAGAAAGAAAAGAGAAAAGAAGCGUAUGAACAAAAGUGCUCUUAUAACUUAUAAAGUUACAGGUUACAAGAUGAUCGUGUCUGAGGCUCUUCACCUCUAUUUAAAGACAAUAAAAAGCUAAAUUACAAGAGCUAUUACAAAAACAACCUUUUCAUUGGUUGAUUACAAGGGUAAAAUAGGUAUUUACAAAGCUAAAAGUCAAGCAAAAUAUCUUGGAGAACCGACAGUGGAAUAUCAUCAACAGCGUCUCAAAACAAGGGAUUUCAAAGGCAUUUCGCAAAGGGGGGGAAGAUGAAAGGUCCAAAUUUCGCAAGGUGCCUAAGUCCACCUUGCGAAAUUUCGCAAGGUAGUUCUUCAUGGUGCGAAAUGGCCAAAUUUCGCACCAUGAGGAAAAUCCCCUUGCGAAAUUUUGGCAAGGCGAAAUUCACCUUGCGAAAUGGUGUUCCCAUUGCUUGUGCUCGUGUUUCCACUUGAAAUUCAAGCCUGUAAACGUCCAAAAUCCUUGCUUGACUCGCCCAAGUAGCUCCUCCAUCAAUUGGUAUGCUUGAAUUGGUUCAUAAGCUGAUGAAAAACAUGUAAACUUGCCACUAAAAAUGGUUAGAACUAAUUACUAAGCAGCUUAAUGAAUUAAUUGGGUUAAAUGAAUGUGAUUACUACACAAAGGUGCUUAAAACCCUUAUAAUUAGGUCUACAAAAUAGCACUUUUCGGUAGUAAUCAAUAUGUCUGAGAUUAACAAGUUGAAAACUCAACUUCAAGGAGAGUUUGAAAUAAAAGACCUUGGAGUUGGGAAGAAAAUAUUAGGUAUGAAGAUUCAUAGAGACCGAGAAGUAUGGCAAUUGUACUUAUCAUAGAAAAAGUAUAUUGAGAUAGUGUUGGAACAGUUUGGAAUGCAAGGGUAAAAACCAAUGAGUACUCAACCAGCAACUCACUUCAAACUUUCAAGUUCUUUAUUACCAUAGACCAAAGAAGAAAUGGAGUACAUGUCACAUGUUCCAUAUGCUAGUGCAAUUGAUAGCAUUAUGUAUGUCAUGGUUUGCACUAGGCCAAACAUUUCACAUGUAGUUAGUGUGGUAAGUAGAUAUAUGGAUCACCUUAGAAAGAUCCAUUGGGAAGCAAUGAAUGGAUACCUUGGUACUUGAGAGGAACAUCACAUAUUGACUUAGUAUAUGAUAAAAGUAGUGACAUCUCUGAGGAAAUCGGUGGUUAUGUUGAUUCUGAUUAUUCUAGAGAUUUGGAUAGAAGAAGAUUUUUAAUAGGGUAUGUAUUCACUUUAUGUGGUAGUGUUAGUAGUUGUAAAGCAACUUUGUAAUCUACAAUUGUUUUAUCAACCACUAACGUAGAAUACAUGGUGGUCACAGAAGCAGUGAAAGAAAUUAUUUGCCUUAAGGGUUUGGUUGGUGAUUUAAGCUUACAAUAGGAGUUGAUUGUUAUGUAUUGUGAUAACCAAAGUACCAUAUUUGACUAAAAAUCAAAUGUUCCAUGAGAUGAGCAACCAUAUUGAUGUCAAUGCAUUUUAUUAUGGAUGUGAUCGCAUAGGGUGCUAUUAUAGUGAAAAAAAAAUCCUUAUAGUGGAUAAUCUCAUAGAUAUGAUGACUAAGUCCAUUUCUAUAGUUAAGUUUAUGCAUUGCUUAGACUUGGUGUUAAUAGUAUCUAAAGGCCCUUUUCAGGUGUGAGGUCGAAGUAACAUGGAAGACUUUUGAGUUUUUUUUUUUUUUUUUUUUUUUUUAAUCUUGAGAAUUUGAGCCAAGGUGGAGAUUGUUGAAAAAUAUUUCAAAUUCUAUUUUUGAGUCAAUUGGACAAUUGUAGAUAGUUUUCUAAUAGAAAAUAUUCUUGUAAGUGAGUUUCCUAUUAUUAUAAAAGAAAUAUUCUUUUAGUAAAAGACAUCUUUGACAAUUAUACACUUAGUGUUUUAUAUGGAAUAUUUCUAUGUAAUUAGGAAAAUAUAUGUAUAGGAAGAGAUUUUGACCAAAAUAGUGGAAGUCUCUUUUUAGGUGUAAUUGGGACUUUGGGAUUUGAAAGCUCUAAGGUUGUAAUCUCCUUCAACAAUAGUGGAAAUUCUUCUUUGUCAUCACCUAUGGAUGUAGGCUUGAGGCUAAACCACAUAAAUUGUUAUGUACUUUGUGUGUUUUGUUUUCAUUUUCUUAUUCUUUUAUCCCUAUUAUUAUUCUUUGUCAUGAUUUUUCCCAAUAGAAGUAUAUAUAUACCAUGAGACUUGCAUGGUGGGAAGGGUAUAUUUCAUAUUAGUGACAAGAAGCAGAGCUUACUCAAUUGUGCUUUUUCUUUCAGAAUAUGGAAGGGGUUUCCUUAUGCUCAAGAAAUGCAUAGAUUCAAUUGAAUAAAUUGAGGAAUGCUUUACUCAAUUGUGUUUUUCCUUUCAGAAUAUGGAAUGGGUUUCUUUAUGCUCAAGAAAUGCAUAGAUUCAAUUGAAUAAAUUGAGAAAUGCUUACUCAAUUGUAUUUUUCCUUUCAAAAUAUGGAAGGUGUUUCCUUAUGCCCAAGAAAUGCAUAGAUUCAAUUGAAUAAAUUGAGGAAUAUGAUUGUUCUUUUUCUUUUUCUUUUUAUUUUUUAAAUAAUAGAUGAGCCAAGAUGGAACUUACGUGGAACACAUUGAUUCCAGUCAUUUUCUUGGACAAAGAUAUGCCCAAAAUAUGGGAAAAAGGCAUUUUAAAAUUAAAAAUGAUUUUAAAUUUAAGAGUUUCUUUUUUAUAUGUUUAAAAACUUUUUAAUGGGUAGAUUUGAAUUGUAACUUGCAAUUUAAUCUAAAGAACAUUCGAAAAUUAAAAAUUACAAUAAUGAGAUUCUCAAUCCUUCAAAAUGAAAUUAAUUUAAUCCUCUUUCUUUGUAAAUUAUCCCUCAAUUAAAUCAAUCUUUUAAAAAUUGAAUCUACUAAAUGAUAAUAUUCAUAUUUAAUCAAUUUAUUGUUGGAAUUUAUAUAGGUGAAUGGAAAUUAGGACUUCUUUUUUUUUUUCCCCCUUGGAAAACAUGCUAUUUCUUAACAGACACAACUUGUUUUAAAGAAUAUGUCUUGUAUUUAAAAGACAUCUUAAGAUACAAUCCUUCAAAGGAUACUAGACACAUCUUUUCUAAUAAGUCACCUUCAAAUCUUUAAAUAGGGACCCCACAUAGCAUUUUCAUUCAUUCAUCCAUUCUCUCCACUCUUUCUCAUUUCUUGUCAUUCAAGUUCUCUUUAACUUCUAGUCUAGUCAUUUAUCUUUUCUACCAAAUAUUUGGUAUACAAGAGAGUACAAAUCACCAAGUGAUUCAUUGUUUCUUGUGAUUUGAAGUACUACUAUCACAAGAAAGUGAUCGUUGUAUCCUGGGAGACGAUUGUCAAUAAACCGUAAGCACCUAAGCGGGACAAAUUCGUCUUAAGAACACAGAGUCAAACUCUUGUUUCGAUCAACCUUAUUUGUAAGUUCCAAUUUUCUAAUUACUUCAUUUUAUUUGAAUAUUUAUUACACACACUUAUUAUCCAUAUAUUUUGAGUGAUAUGGAUAACAUUUAUCUUUUUGUAUAAAUUCCUAAAUUUAUAUAACAUAAUUUAAACUUAAUUUCAUUUUGAUUCAAUUUUGUUUCAUGUUUUAUAAUUCUAUAAGGUUGAAUUUAGGGAUGGCAAUGGGCGGGUUUUUUCGGGUACCCACCCCGUCCCGCCCCUAAUGAGACGGGGUUUAAAUUUAAUAAACGGGUUUGGGACGGGUAUGAGAUUUUUUUUUAAACCCGGGGCGGGUUCGGGUAUUGCUCCAUCCCACCCCGCCCCACCCCGUUUACAUAUAAAAUUAAUUUUAAUUCAACGAGCUUAAUUCCACCCAAGAAUCCCUCUUCCCAAACCCAGAAACCCCACCAUUUUUCCUUCACGAAAGCUCUCAAAACUCCACCUAAUCAGAUCUGUUCAAGAACAAUUUGAUCACCAGCCUCUUACUCGGUCAACACCCAGAUGGGAAAACAUGCUUUCCACUGCAGCAAGCUUGUACCCUCUCUAUGUCACUGCUGGAGGGGUUGUUGCAUGUGUGAAGCCAUCUGUUUUUGCUUGGUUUGUGGCGAGAGGCCCAGCUUCUUAUAGCUUAUCACUUGGGUUAAUCAUGUUGUCCAUGGGUAUCACAUUGAAGCUCAGGGACUUCUUCAAUUUAUUGAUCCAGAGGCCUUUUUCUGUGAGUUUUUUAUGGUUUGGAGUUUUUGGGUGUUUUGGUAUUUGAUUGUUUUUGAGACAUGGNNNNNNNNNNNNNNNNNNNNNNNNNNNNNNNNNNNNNNNNNNNNNNNNNNNNNNNNNNNNNNNNNNNNNNNNNNNNNNNNNNNNNNNNNNNNNNNNNNNNGUUGAAUUCCAAUCAUAAUUAAAAAUUAAAUUGAUUUGUUAUAAUAUUAAAUAAGAUAUCUUUUGAAAAAAUUAUUAUAAUCAUUUAACAUAAUACAAAUUUCACCAAGUUUUUCUAACUAUGGUUCUCUAAUAAUUACCUUGUAAUAAUAAAAUUAAUUCUAACAAUAUAUGUCAUAAUCAAAUUUCAAAAAUCCAAUCUCAAAUAAUUUAAUAGCUGAGUUUAAAUUUAAUUUUUGAAAUUCUUAAUUUCCAAAUGUGACUUGACAAGAAUUUAAACUAUUGACUUUCGACUAAGGUUUUACACAUUUUGCCUAAUUAAAUAAAAUAUUGACACGUGAAUGUUCACUAACAUCACGUGAUUCAUUGAUUUAGACGAUUCAUUUUGGUUGAUGUUGAGGAUAGUCAUCGGCAGUAGACUAACAUCUUCUGGACCAAUUAACAUACCAGUAGUGAUUAGGCCAAGGUGGUGAUCCAAUUCCAUGGAAGAGCAGCAAGAAAGGAGGAACGUUGGAGAGAUAGAACCAGAAGGCGGCCAACCAAGCAGGAACAGUGGCCAAACUGGCCUCGAGCCUGAGGAGCAUAGGAUUGACAUUGUUGAAAUCAGUCAUAGGGAUUGGAUUGAGUCUCUCAGAACGGCAGAAGAAAGAACUCAAUCUCAAAGUCAAUGGCCAAGGAUACCAAAGGUUCCUCAGAUGCUGAGGGGGACCCAGGAUUUCAAGAAAUUCUACGAACCGAGGGUAAUUUCGAUCGGUCCUUACCACCAUGGCAGGCCCCACCUUUACCCAGGGGAAAUGAUCAAGCCUCUAUGCGCCCGAAACUUCCUGGCUGAUAGUAAGCAGGACAUCGAAGCUUUGUACACAAAAAUUGUAAGUAAUAUCGAGGCAGUGGAAAAGUGCUAUGAUUGGAGUAGUACAAAAAAGUAUGAUGAUGAGAAACUCGCCAGGAUGAUGCUUCUGGAUGGGUGUUUUUUACUAUAUUUCAUCUGCAGGGAAGGUAUGAUAAACGUUCUUAAAGUUCACGAAAUAGAUUUUGUGGAGCAGGACUUGUUCUUGCUGGAGAACCAACUUCCCUUUGGAGUCCUCAAGUUGAUUUUUGAGGGAGCAAAUUUCAAGGUUGAUCUACCAAUGGAAAAGAAUAUAAUAAAAUUCGUCACUGUCAUCGGAAUGCCAGAAGGGUUGUCAUCAGAAAUACAGCUGAAAGAGGUGAACUAAGAGCCCUCUCAUCUCCUCGACCUUUUGCGAAGUGCUCUCCUAGGCAGGUUCCACAUGAUUAGGAGUCAGCCCGAAAAAGAGCAGCAACCUAAGAAAAAAGGAAAGUCGUCGUCGUCGUCUCAAGGAGGAAAGUGGGGGCUCCGUUGGCCAUGGAAAAAAGGCAAACAACGGGGCAUUAGGAAGUCUUUUCGACACAUCAAGGAGCUUAAAGCUGCCGGCAUCUACCUCAAACCGAGUAGAACGUGUUUCUUGAGAGACGUUUCUUUCAAAUCCUACUUCUUCUUUGGCUACCUGAAACUUCCCCCAAUAACCAUUGAUGACUUCACGAAGACCAAGUUCUUGAACAUGGUAGCCUAUGAAAUGUAUCCAGAUGCCCCAGAUGACUAUGCGGUCACUUCUUAUGUAUGCUUCCUUUACGACUUCAUUGAUGAUGCAGACGAUGUCAAGCAGCUGAGAUCUAAGCACAUUCUCCACAACCUUCUUGGCAGCGAUGAAGAUGUGGCCCACAUUUUCAACGAGAUCGGCAAUGGCUUGGUAGAUCCCGAAAUUUAUGGAGAUGUGAAAGCUCGUAUUCAGAAACACUACGACAAGAGAGUGAAUACUUGGAUAGCUGAAGCCCUUCACGGCCAUUUCAGGUCUCCCUGGACUUUCAUGGCUCUCAUUGCAGCUGUUUUAAUACUAAUUCUUACUGGGGUUCAGACCAACUACGCUCAUCCCGAUAACUAUAUAAAAUAUUUAUAUAUAUCGUCAAUUAUAAUUGGGAUUUGUUUUUUUCUUGUUCGGCAUGUUUGUGAUUAGACAAAUAAAGAUGUAUAAAUUAUUAAGUUGUAUCACUGGAUUUCAUGCAUGCAAUAUUAUGAGUCUUUUCCUCUCCACAUGAAUUUGCUAUAAUCUAUAAUGUCUGUUUGAAUUCAUAAUUUCCAGCUUGCUUUUUUCCGUUCUUUUUCAUAGACCAGGAUCAUACAUAACACAACAUUCACAUAGAAAAUUUUCGGUCAACAAUAUGUGAUUCCGUGGAUGGGAUGGGAUUGGAUUUACUCACACACUUUUUUAUCAAAGGAGAAAAUUAUGGAUAAAAUUAUAAUUUUGAUAUAUUUAUAAAUUGAGGGCUCUCUAAUUUUUAUUUUUUAUUUUUUAUAAAAGACAAAAAUAUCCAUUUUUAGGUAAUUUAAUGUUUAAUUUUGGAUUAAAAAAAUUUCAUAAAUAAAUACUACAUUUUUUAAUGAAGUCUUCCGAGCUUCAUUGAAAAAAUCUUCAAAUUUUCAACUUCUUUGAGAAAUCUUCGAAUACUCUCCAACUCUUCCAUAAAUUUUUUAUCUUCUUGGAAUCUCUUUUAAGAGCUUUAGGGCUUUUCUUUAGUUUUGAAAAAAAAACACACACACACAGAUUGAGUUAGAAAUGAAAGUGGAGAAAAGAAAAGUACUCGACAGUUUUGCAUACUGCUUGAUAGAACUCGUUAAAAUUGUUUAUAUCUCUGGCACUAAAAUACAUCUUGUAGCACUUAGUGAUCAAAGCCUGUUUUUCCUCCUUACUUCCAAUUUAGACAUGGAGAGGUGACACAAACUUUGAGAUAUUCAAUGAUUCAACAAAGCAUUCAUCAAAUAUUAUACUGUUUGCUUUGAUGGAGGGGCAAAGAAGAUGAUACCAGAAGUUAGCUUCAUGAGGGAUGCGCCUACCUUUUGAAUGGUUGGAUAUGAUGAUAUUGUUGGAAAGUGUCUCAAAAAUUAUUUUUGAGUCAAUUGUAAAAUUAUAGAUAAUCUCCUAAUACAAAAUAUUAUUGUAUUUAAGUUUCCUAUUAUUAUAGUGGGAAUAUUAUAUUAUAAAAUUUUUUUUUUUUUUUUUUUUAGGGAAAGAUAUCUUUGAAAAUUAAUAUACAUUUAGUUUUCUGUAUGCAAUCUUCCUAUAUAUGUAAUUAGGAAAAAAUACAUAGGAAGACAUUUUGAUCAGAAUAGUAGAAGUCUUUUUUUUUUUUUCGGUGUAAUUGAGACUUUGGGAUUUGAGAGUUAUAUGAUUGUAAUCUCCUUUAAUAAUAGUGAAAGUUCUUCUUUGUCUUCAUGGGUAGAUGUAAGUUUGAGGUCGAACCACGUAAAUCAUUGUGUACUUUGUGUGUUUUAUUUUCAUUUUUUUUCCUAAUAUUUUUUCUUUGUCAUGUUUUUUCACUAUAAAUUGGUAUAAGAGCAUAGGUUCUUAGACAUGGAAUGAUAAUAGAGUUUGAGGUUGAGAAGUUUGAUGGAAGAAAUAAUUGAAGUUUGUGGCGCGUUAAGAUGCUAGCCUUAUUAGUUCGACAAGGAUUGUCCAAAGCACUGAAAGGUGGAGAGACUCUACCAACAACAAUGUCUAAUGAAUAAGAGGAUGAACUUAUGGAGAAAGCGCACAAUGCUAUUCUAUUAUGCUUCGAUAAUGGGGUAUUUCGUGAGGUUGCAAAAGAGGAUACGACUACUGAGUUAUGGUUGAAGUUAAAAAGUUUGUGUAUGGCGAAGUCUCUUAUAAAUCACUUGUAUUUAAAAAAGCGAUCAUUUACUCUCUAAAUGACCCUUAAUUGUUAGGUUAUUUAAAUUGUGUUUUCUAAAAGUUUCAUGGUAUAAAUGGUAAACUUUUACAAAGUGAAAAGUAGCGAUGAUGUUUGUUAAAAAAAUGAUUUAAUUAACUUGGUAGUUUAUGAUGUUCACUAAUUUUGUUUUCAAACAUACACCAUAUUUUAUUAAUUACAUAAAAUUUGCUUAAGCUUGAAUAAGAACAGCCCCUUUUAAUCACUACUUUAAAAUUAAUGAAAUCAAAGUUCUUAAUUAAGAAAUAAUUGAUCUUAAUUUAUUUCUAUAAUUAUGAAAGAUUAGGGUGACCCCAAUCACAUUAAGUACUUUUUCAAAUGCAUUAUGAUAAGUGAUAACCACUAUGGAGGCAAUAAUUUAAUUAAUUUAUUUGUAUGCCCUAUCAUGCAAAAUGAGAGUGACCCUAAUUAAUAUAUGUAUAUAAAUGGGCACUUGAUCAAUUGAGAAAUAUCUAUUGAAAUAACUUCUUUUUUUUCCAAAAAAUUAUUUUUUAUUUUUAUUUUUUAUUGGGUAGGUAGACUUAAAGGGUCAGUAACCAAAUGGGUUGGCAAAAAAAUUUAAAAUUUAGUUAAAUGUAUAUUUCAGUUAAUUAAUUAUCUUAUAGCUGUCCAAUUAAUUCAUUAUUGAUUAAUUAUAUUAAACAUAAAUAAAAGUCACUUUCUUAAAGUGGAGAGUCCAACAUGCAUGAACGCCUUUUUUUAUUUUCUAAUUUUAUUGUUUAUUUUUGGAUAGAAAGAUAGCUUUUGACUGUUGCUCUUUCUUUUAUUGUUAUUAUUGUUAUUAUUAUUAUUAUUAUUAUUAUUAUUAUUUUGGCUCAGAUGCAGUGGGCUAAGACAAAUCUCCAUUCAAAAUUGAACAAAAUCCUCCAUUUCAACAUUUUCUUAAGCCCUUUAUUCAUUUUCAUUUUUUUUUCUCUAUAAUUUAUAACAUGCUAUAUAUAAUUAUAAUCGAUUUUUUUUUGGGUUAAAAUAUGACAAAAUUUCUAGAUCCCUUUUAAGUUAGUUAAUGAAAACUUCGUAGAAAGACAAAUAUACUCAGUGUCAUGAAAAUCAUUUUUUAACUUAUUUGAGAAAUUGUUUUAUAUUUAAUAAAAAAAUCUUUUCUAAUUUACUUGAGAAUUUAUUUGAGGAUUUAUUUAAUAUUUAAAGUGUGUUUGAUAAUAUUUUUACUUAAAAUAUUAUUAAUAAAAGUGUUUUUUUUAUUAAAGUGUUUUUUAGAAUAAUCACUUAUCAAAUGUUUCUUCAAAAUACAUUAAGUAAUUUUUCAAUAUUGCAAAUGAUUUUUCAAAAUUUUGAAAAUAUUUCCUAAAUUUUACCACAUAUCUAUUUUUAAAAAAAUAUUUUUUAGACUAAAACCAUUUUCUAAAAUCAUUAUCAAACGAUUAACUUCCACAUCAACAAAAAUUACCCAUUAACAUCAUACUUUAAACUUUGACUUUAAUUACUUAAUACACUCAAAAAUAAGAAGUUAUCUAAAUAUAAAACAAAAUUAAAAAAUUAUUAAAUUUCAACCACCCUACAUACUAUCAAACCAAAGUGGACACAAAAAUUUUGCUCACACUUUUAUCAUAUCAUGGAAUUAAAUUUAUAAGCUAUGGAUGUGAAAUAUGGGUCUACCAUGGUAUAAAUUAUAAAAAUAUUAAAAAAAAAAUUAGGGUAGGGGUGAAGCCCAAUUCAAAUUGAAGUACAAAAAUAUCAUACAUGGUGAGACAACUACAAUUCACAGCUAAGAUCCAUUUAUUUGUCUUGUAUGGAAGGUUAAGGGUCACUAUCUUUCUGGUCACCCAAUGGAUAUAUAGACCAUCACAGCUAAGGUCCCAGCCCCACCAAUCCACCAUGGACAACAUUCUCUUAUCAUAGUACUGUUUGAAUGCCUAGAUCACAUGCCAUUGUAUGCCUUGAUAGAUAAAAGAAAAUUUAUGAUAAUUUGUAUAAGAAACUUAAAUUUAUUAUUUUUAUUUUUAUUUUUACUAUUUACUAGUAUUACUAUUAUUUAGGUUCAGGUGUAAAUAGAUCUUUGAUUUUAUAAAAAAAUUAUUGAACGUUAUUUUAUCAUGUAAUUUAGUUUUAGAAAGCAAUUCGAAAACAUUAAGAUUUUUCUUGGUUAAACAUCUAUAUUGGCUAGAUAGUGAUUAUAAUGUUUACAAUAAUAUUUAUUAUAAGUUUAAUGCUAUGACAUGGAAUCGUAUUGUGCAUGGCAGGUUAUUUAACCUUGAUGUUACUAAUUUAGACUAAUAAAUAAAUAAAAGAUUGGUUAAUAUUGGUCUUAAUAUUAUUUAAAUUGAAAAUUAUUUAAUUUGUUUAUAUCAAUAAAGGUAUCUUUGAUUGCUUAAUCUCAAAUCCUCAUUUCAAUCACUAAUUUUGGGUUAUGUGAAUAUCAAAUUAAUGUAUUUUUGUAUUUUAUCGAUCUUCUAACUAACGUACUUAGCAUAUGUGUUUAAUAAUGUAAAUCAUAAAUAACUUGGUUUAUGAGAUAGACAUUUUGAUAUUGAUGUGUUAAUUAAAAAGUCAAACAACAAGUAUCUCUUUGUCGUGUUGUCUCUCAUGGAAAUGACCCUAACAUUAUCUUUAAGCUAGGUUUAUUUCUAAGCUCAUCAAGCAUUAUUAUUUGUUUAAUUAUUCCCUUUAAUAUGAAAUAAAUAAAUGAAGAUUGAAUCCAUUAAUAUAUUUUUUAUCACUUGAUUAUUAAUUGAUUGAGACACUUAAACCAAUCUUACUAUGCCCAAUAGUAAGAGAAUUGAUUUCAUAAAGAUACACUAAAUUUUUAUUAAAACUUCACACUUAGCUCUUUAUUUAAGUUGACGUAUUAGUGUUAUUAGGAGACGAAAAAUAUUAACCUAUCUUAAAUAAGGAAGUGAUGACUUGAAAAUGAAGUAAAACAACUAAAAAAUAAGCAUACAUACUUCGAUUUUAUAAUAUUUUUAACACAUGGCACAUGAAUCUUAGGAUAACGAUGUAUUGUAUUUAUGUAAAUUAUAUUAAGGCUUUAGCCCUAAUUGACCCAGUACUCGUUAUUUGUAUAAUAUAUACAGGACAAUGUGAAUUUUUAGAGAAUCAAAUAACAAAUUAAAUGUCGAGUUAUUAAUCAUUUGAGUCAUACACAAAUAAGUAUAUAAAUUUUUUUGCCAAAGCAUGCAUUACCAUGCAAGAAAUACCUAGUUUGCUUACCCUAAAAAGGGGUCAAAUUUGUUAAUUGAGAAUGAGAUCUCUUUUACAAAGACUCAACACGUAUAAUCAUGGCUCUUGGGAAAACAUUGAAUCUAUGGUAUUAAUUGGUAAUGUUCCCAAUUAAUACCAAUUGGAAUAACACUUUAAAAUAGUACGAAGAAAAGGAAAAACCCUAUUUAAAAUAUUGCAUGGUACCCACCAAUACCAACUAGAUUCUUUAUCAAAAUUAUUACCACCUAACUCAAAUUCAUACACUAAAUUUUCUGAUAAUAUUCUUUGUCUAUGUAAAUAAAAAUGUUAUAUCUAUAAUUAAUUUUUAAGUAAAAGUAUGGACUUUUCAACAAGAUGUAUGUAUAUUUAUUGUAUCAUACAUCAAGAUUGAAGAUAGUCUUCAAUCAUUGCAUAAAAAAGUUUAAUUAUUAUUAGAAAUGGAUCCAUGAAUGAGCAAAAUAACUUGAAAUAACCUUACACAAUGUAAAAUAUUUAAAAGAAUAAAUUAAUAAAUAAUAAUCCAAGUGUUUAACGAUUAGGGUUUUGACGAUAUGUUAAAUCAUCGCUUAUUUUUAGAGAUUAAAUAGAAUGUGUUUGAGAGUGUUUUUACUCGAAGUAUUUUUAAUGGAAGUUUUUCCUCAUAAAGUGUUUUUAGGAGAAUAACGUAUCAAUUAUUUCUAAACAAACACUAAAAGUAUUUCCUUAAUCUUGUCAACCAACUAAUAUUUUUUCAAAAACACUUUUUGUAAAAACCCACACCCUACCGUGUGUAGAUAUUGUCCGCUUUGUCUCUAAAAAGGUUUUUAUAACUUUAAAACACGUUUACAGGGUUAAGAAGAGCUUAUACUCAUAUGGUAUAAGAAACUUUUUUUUCUAUUUGAUGUGAGAUAUCACAAACAUCCUCUUAUGCAGACAUGUUCUCGUUGUAUCUCUUGGGAUUGUGGGGUCAAAUAGAUAGACACCCCUCAUAGGGUUAGACUAACUUCCACACUAUGGUUAGAAAUUAUCUCUAAUACCAUUUGUAAUAACCUACAUCCAACCAUAUAGAUAUUGUUAAUGACAUAUACCCAAUUAUAUAGAUAUUAUCCGUUUUGGGCUCAAAAGAUCCUUAUAACUUUAAAAUACGUCUACAAAAUUAUAAAGAACUCAUACUCAUAUAGUGUCAAAAAUUUUCAAAAUCACUAUUAAACAUACUCUUGAUUUAAAACUCGGAUAUUUAUACCUCACAAUUAAGUGAUUCAUUUACCAUUUCUUCCAUCAUGAGUCUAUUUCACUAUCCAUUGAUCCCUUGUUUAUUGACAAAAUAUUAUUUUCUAACCAUUUUUAUCCCUUGACACUAUCUUCGACUAUUUCUUUUUUUAUUAAAAUUGAUUAGAUAUAUAUAUAUAUAUAUAUAAUAUUGUUUGUCGAAUUUCCAAGGAAAUUAGGUUGAUUUGCCAUUCGAAUUAGUCAAAGGUAAUGUUUUAAGGGAACAUCCCACAUCAAUAAGAAAAAAGAUUUACUGUCUUCUGGCAGAUUUACUCUUAUAUUAGCUGUUAAUUUUCUUUAAAAAUUAUUAAAUUAUCUUAAUACUUAAGCAAUGAUUAUAAAUUGGGUAGUCAUAUUUGGAUUAGUCUUACACAUCACCUCAUAAAGAGUGUAUGACUUUGUAUUUAAGCCAAUCUAUAAGUUUGAAGCCGGCCUAUUAUUUUAAUUUCUUUAGGUUGAACUUAAUUCAACUUAAAUAAUUACCACUUGCACCUCCACCCCAAUAGGAAAACUCCCCCCAAAAAAAAAAAAGAAAAAAAAAAGGGUUUUUCUACUUAGAAUUAGGAAAUCACUACUUUUUCUUACCUUAAUUUUCUAUUUAAAAAUGGGAAAUGAUAAUAAUUUUAUCAUAACAACACUACUUUGAUAACAAACUAAAGCCCUAUUUGGCCAUAUUUUCUCAAACUUUGUUUUAAAAACUAAUUUUAAAUUAAAGAAUAGAAAACGGUUUUUAAAAAUAAAUUUUUGGUCAAGGGGGCCAUAUUUUCCUUUCGUUUUUAAAAAACUGAUAAAAACAAUUUCUACUUUUUCCUAAAAAUUAUUCUAUAUUUCACUUUAUUUUUAAAAAUUAUUUCCCAAAAAUAAAUAGUAUUAGAAAAUUUUAAAAACGGGUUUCUAUUUUUAAAAACAAAAAACUGUUUUUAAAUCAUUAUACCAAACAGACUCUAAGUUUUAAAGAAUUUAAACAAAAAAUGAAUAAUAAAAUUUGAUCACUCAACGAUUCUCCAUCGAAGUCAUUAACUCUUUUCCUCUAAUUCCCCUCAUUUAAACUUACUUCCAAUAUUAAUCACAACAAAUAAGUAAAAUUUAAUAGUUCUAAACAAAUUUUAAGUUUCGUAUUACUUCAACUUAAAUAGUUAAGAACAAAUUAAACAAAAUUUGUAUCAAGUUAAUUUAAACUAUUAAGUAUUAAUUUAAUCUAUGCCUACAAUAAGAGACAUAUUUGAACUUAAAUCCUAAAAAUUAAAAAAAGAAAAAUAAAUAAAGACUAACAAUGUUGACCAUGAUUUUUAAGUGGUUUUAUCAUCAUUAUGAGAAGUUUGUAAAUGAUAUCAUUUUUUUUCUUUAAAUUUGAAAGUUUGUGAAAAAUGUUUAGGAUGUUUGUUUCCAGUGAUGAAUUCAGAGACGUAGAGAACUCCAAAAUGUGGGUCAAAUAAUUCAAAAUCAAAUUGAUGAUAAAGAUAUGGGCAAAUAAUCCAAAAUGUGGGAAGACAAUGAUGAUGAUGGCUGCCUAAUACAUACUUAAUCAUCAAGAUUUUGGGCAAAAAUCUCAAUUGGUGGGCCCAAUCAUAAAAUGGCUUUUCACUUUUUGUUUGUUUAUUUAUUGGGUGUCAUUCAAAUAAAAGAAUGCUCUACAAGGUGCCACUUUGUGUUUUGGGUCUAAUUGGGCCCAAAAAUUAAGAUAUGGUCCAUAUAUAUUCCAUAUUUAAUAGAAAAGAUAUGAGAUAUUAACUAACCAAUAUACCCUUAAAAUUUCCGGCUCAGAUUGUUGUAAAUUAAUGGGUUUGACAGGUGGUAAACUUGAAAUGCCAUGUCACUUGACUGAAAAAUCUGAAAUAAAGGGCAUAAGGGUCACCACCCUCCUACCCCUUUCUCUCCCUUCGUAAACAACAUGCUCACAGACGAUGUCAACUGUGAUUGUCCUCCUAUUGGUUUCUUCAGCAGUUGAGGAUUGUGAGCAACUUAGAAAAGCCUUUGCAUGUAUUUUAUCAUCAUCAUUCCCAAAUCCAAAUGACGGUGAGUCUGAAUUAUUUUCUCACAUUUUGAUUUGAUCAUGUUGGUUCCUUUGAUGAUGUGGUGGAUGUUUGUUUAUUGGGUUAGUACAAGGUUUGAGGAAAGACAUUUGUUUUGAUCUCGUGUUGGGGUGUUUAAAAAAAUUUUGAACUUAAUAACAUAGUGUUUUUGGGUGCAGGGUAGGGGAUAAAUGAGGCUUUGAUCAUAUCCAUCUUGGCUCAUAGGAAUGUAGAACAACCUAAGUAAAUUCAAGAAACUUACAGUGAAUAUUAUGGAAAAGAUCUCCUCAAAAAUGGCAUUUCACAAGUCUUAAAAUUUUUCACUUUAGAAUCUGCUUGUUAGGUUUAUAGUCCAGAGAAGAAAUGGGUAUCGUCUAGACGGUGAGCUUUGGGGAUGAGCUAGCCCACUUAUGAUGAAUAAGAAACUAAAUUGGGUUUCAUUUUUCCCCUUUUCACUUAGCUAUGACAUUGGAAUGUGGUUAACUCGCCCAUAUGCACUCGUUAAGUUGUAGCUAGAUCGAAUUCCUGCAACUGUACAAGGCAUUUACACAAAGUGUGUAAGGCUAAUGUACUAAAUAUACAAGGGUGUGUAUUUUAAGGGGUUUUAAGUGAUUUUAAUGAACUUACUCAUUUACUUUUUCCAAUCAUGGGGACAUUCCUAACACAUAUUGCUUGACAACACACUAAUUGUAUGCAUUUUAUUUGAUGUUUAUCAUGUUAAUUCAUUCUAUUAGCUCCCAUACUAAUGAUGAAUAUGAACCGAAAUGAGGGUAAACUUUUUCCUCCUUUUCCCUAAUCCAUGAGAAUGAAAACAUUGUUUACACACCCAUAUGUACUCGUUCGUUCGUACCUAUUUUGGAUUUCGUUAUUGUACAAGGCAUUUACACUAAGUGUACAAUGCAAAUGUGUUAAUUAUACAAGUGUGUACAAGACUUUCUAUCUUGAAAGAUUUCAACUGCUUUUGAAAAAAUUGCUUGCUCAUUUCUUUUUUCUAAGGGGUACAUUCCUCAUAGUCAUUGCUCAUAGGAUAUAUGUUUGAUAAUUUUUGUCAAAAGGAACAACAUAGCAUACUUAUUUUUAUCAGAAUUUGCACUUUAGAUAUUGGUAGUUAAGACCUUAGAAUCGGCAUUCAUGAUGAGAAAAUUAACAUGAAAAUAUCAUUAUGACACAUUAUCAAACAUAUAUCCUACAUCCACCAUUACUAUAAAAAGAAACAUUAAUAUUUUGUCUGUAACCUGAAAAACAACAUAGAGUCUAGCUGAGGGUUCUCUUCCUCUUAUGCCUCCAUUUUUCUGGAAACAAAAUCAACUCAGAAGAUAAGACUUAAGUUCAAAAUAUAUAAUUUCUUAGUUAUCUCAGCAACAAAUAGAUCUAGUAUUAUUGAUUUCUGCAAAGAACCCAAUAGAUCUAGUAAAGCCAGAAUCCCAAUUAGGAUAUCCCCACCAAAUAAUAGUACAGAAAGCAAGAUUCAAUUUUAAAAACGGGUUUCUGUUUUUAAAAACAAAAACCUAUUUUUAAAUCAUUAUACCAAACAGACCCUAAGUUUUAAAGAAUUUAAACAAAAAAUUAAUAAUAAAACUUGAUCGCUCAAUUAAUUUCCAUCGAAGUCAUUAACUUUUUUUCCUUAGUUCCCCUCAUUUAAACUUACUUCCAAUAUUAAUCACGACAAGUAAGUAAAAUUUAAUAGUUCUAAACAAAUUUAAAGUUUCAUAUUACUUCAACUUAAAUAGUUAAGAACAAAUUAAACAAAAUUUGUAUCAAGUUAAUUUAAACCAUUAAGUAUUAAUUUAAUCUAUGCCAACAAUAAGAGACAUAUUUGAUCUUAAAUCCUAAAAAAAUAAAAAAAAUAAAUAAAGACUAACAAUGUUGACCAUGAUUUUUAAGUUGUUUUAUCAUCAUUAUGAGAGACAUGGACCCCAAUGGGAGUCACUUGAUGGAGCCAUUGACAAAGUGAUCAAUUAUUACUUGAUUAAGAAGAAAGUUUGUAAAUGAUAUCAUUUUUUUUCUUUAAAUUUGAAAGUUUGUGAAAAAUGUUUAGGAUGCUUGUUUCCAGUGAUGAAUUCAGAGACGUAGAGAACUCCAGAAUGUGGGUCAAAUAAUUCAAAAUCAAAUUGAUGAUAAAGAUAUGGGCAAAUAAUCCAAAAUGUGGGAAGACAAUGAUGAUGAUGGCUGCCUGAUACAUACUUAAUCAUCAAGAAUUUGGGCAAAAGUCUCAAUUGGUGGGCCCAAUCAUAAAAUGGCUUUUCACUUUUUGUUUAUUUAUUUAUUGGGUGUCAUUCAAAUAAAAGAAUGCUCUACAAGGUGCCACUUGGGCUAAUUCAAAAGGGUUCAUUUCAUUCUCAUUAUGAUAGCGCUAAUUCAAAAGGGUUCAUUUCAUUCUCAUUAUGAUAGCUUAGACUCCAGUAUGGGAAAAAGCAUGAGAUUUAAAAACAAUUUCCAUGAAAAAUAUGGUUAAGUGGAAAAAAAAAAAAAAAAAAGGGAUGGAUAAAUAAUUAGGGUUUUUAAAUUAGCAAAAUAAUUUUUUUUUAAUGUUAAGGAAUUUAUUUAUAAAUCAAGAUAAAUUUGCCUUACGGAGAGUCUGUGCAGUGUUUUUAGUUCAUAAAGUGUUUUUAAAAAUAAAUUAGGUUUUUUACAAAAUUAAAAAAAAAAACAUUUUUUUAAAAUUAGAAAAAUCACUUAUAAUAUUUUUUUUUAAAAACACUUGAUUUUCCUAAAAACACUAUCAACACUGUCAAUGGCACUCAAAAGUCACAGGUUUAUACCACUUCCCCAAAAUAAUUUUUAUAUAAUUAAUAUUUGUAUACAUGUUAGAAUUUUGUUUUAAAAUUUUAAAAUAAAUAAAUAAAAUUUAAAAGAAAAGAAAUUUAAUCUGCAUUUUUAUAGUAAUUACCACAAGUUCCUCCUCCGACCCCAUUGAUCCCACACAUGUUCCUGAUUUUAUUUUCUCAAGAAACAAACAGAACACAAGAAAAUUGCAACCAACCCUCUCUCAACUUCUUAAUGACCAAAAGAAGUAACCCUUUUGUGGGCUGUUUAGGCUCUACCAAUACAUUUAUCUGAAAACUUUCAACCAAAUCAAAACUCUGGAGCAUUGUACUACAAGAUUAUGGAGUGACCUAAAAAGAAAAAAUGAAAAGAAAAGAAACUCUGAAGCGCAAGAGAAGCUUCAACAGACUCCCAAAAUGCAAUAAGCAACAAGAAAAUAACUUCUACUCUAUGAGUUUAGAGCUAAGCAUAAGAAAUUAGAGAACAAAACGGAAUUGGUUAAUAAAUUUCAAGCAACAGAGUUCAACCAUGGGCAGAAAAAAGAGGGUGUAAGAAAUGGAAGCCAUUGGAUUCCGCGUAAAAUAGCACCUGCUGCUCUUGAAUUGGUUCGUCAAACAAGUAUAUAAGAGAGUUGAAACUGUCAGAAAAAUCAUUGAAGAUGGAGAAAUCCUCCUCAACAAUCACAAGGACACCCAUUAUGUCAAGAGUAAGAUAAUUACAGGAAUCAUACAAUACUGAAGAAUUGCAGAAACUUGGAUUAUAAAAUGACCACUUGAAACUGGAAAUCCUAUGAAGGGCCACAGCAAGUUGCUAUCAAAGGGGAGGGGAGAGCACCCUAUUCCUCGAGUAACCCAAUAUUUCAUUAACAAGAGAGGCCUUUCUCCUCUUCCCAGAUCAAGAACCAGACUAUGAUUAAAAAGGAUUACAGUUUAGUGUUCGAGUUUCACCCGCUAUAUAUACUUUCAAACCAUUAGAAAACUGAAGGAGAUUGUCGUAUGUUUUGUAUAGCAGACUCACCUCCUCAACAGCUGUUUCUCUAAGAUGGAAAUUCCAAGUUGACAAGCUGCUACUUAUGAAGUACCAUUAUCACAGUGCUGAGUGAAGCUUCCAUCCUUUUGCCCAGAAACUUAUUUUUGGUAAUGAUGUUCUGUACUGUGAUGUGGUCAUUUUCUAAGAUUGGCAACUAGUUAAUGUCGUAAAGACUAUAGAAAAGUUCUAAUUCCAAAUGUAUUUUUGCAUCUAAAAAUUUAGUACAAGAACUGCCUGUCAAUCAAGUAAUAAUUUCAUACUUGAGCAUCUAUAAAUUUUAAUCUCUUGGCCGAGUAUUCAAAACCAAAUAUUAGUCUUCAUGGCCUCAGCACUUGGCUUCCAGACAGAAUGUCUGCCAAUUUCACCUUUCCCAGUCACAAUAAUUAGAUGAAUUCCAUCAUCCAUGAUGUUAACUAAAAGACCCACAUAUCCAAUUUACCCUCCAAAUAAUUGACCUGGAAAAUAAGGAGAAGAAAAAAAGUGUCAUUUGAAAUGGAAACAGAUAAACGAUGUAGAGUAGCAAAGUAUAAGAAGCUCAUGCUUCUGAAUUCUCACAGGAAAAAGUAGUAUUUGUUUUGGCUUCCUUUUUCUUUUCCUUUUUUAGUGCAUUUAGUAGUUCUUCUUUCAAUAGUUCCUCUCAGGUUUGUCCACUGACCAAUCACUGCCAUGAGAACACAGUAUGAAGAGGCAACGCUGUUGCCUUUCUAAAUCGUGUAACAUUCAGUAUGGCUGCUGGCAAGCUGCAAGAUCUAAAACCUAUUUCCAUAAGCGGAUUCAAGUUGAGUUAGCAUGCUCGGAUCAAUUCUUGGGUCUUUUAGGCAAAAAUACACUAUAUUGGGAGCAGUCACAACAAUCUGAAUAUGGAUAUUUAUAUCAUGUUGUCAGCUUCUAGAACAUUACAGUUAUAGCAUACCGCAGUUGACCAUCAUAAUUGAAGUUGAAAAUCCACCAAACAAUACCUUAAGAAAAAAAACUUCGAGUGUUUAUCCAUCCAUCCAUGAUUGACUCUCCAAAUGUUUAGAUCUGUUUUUAUCCACUAGGUUUGUCAUCACAAGUGCAUGAAUGAACAAUUGCAAGACAUAUGAAGACGUUGAAUCUUUAUGCAUAAUAAUGCUGAUGAUUCCCUUCAUUUCCAGCAGCAAAUACUUAAAAAGCCCAGAAGAGAAACAAAAACUAAACUGAGCCAGAAUUUUUGGUCCAAAAUCAUCCCUAUGAAAAUACUAGCUAGUGCUCAACCUUUCUUAUAAUGAGAUUCUGCAGAACAUAAGAGGUCUGCCCUGUUUGGCAAAGACAAGUAUGAAUCAAUUUUCAGUUAUCGGCAUGAUAAAAUGCAUUAAGCAGCCAUGGUUAGCAGGAGCAGCUCAGAGUCAUUUGUAUUGCACAGACUUAAGAAGAUUUGGUCCAAGCUGAAGAGGCAUUGAGAUAUGGAAAAUAGUAAUUCGAUGGUUCUAAGAGGGUUCCCCAGUACAUCAUUGAAGAAAAGAGACUGAAAAAUUGGCAUUCUUAAAAUUGCCAUGUUUCCAGUUGGCAGAGUAAACCUUGCACCUGAGGCAACCCUGAUAUUUAGUGCAUAAGCUUAAUGGACUCAAAAACUCACAUUUCCAGACGAUCAAGUGAGGAGACCCGCAUAGCCAUCCGUCUAUGUAGAGACUUUGCAUUCUUCAAGCUCCAUGAUGAGGCCCAUAAAGGUAGAACAUGUUCCAUCUUAGAGACCUCUUGUGGGGAUAGAACUGGAAACAAAUAGAAUUGUAAGAAUUCAAAAAACAUAAAUCCUGGUUCAAGAUACAAGAUUAUGGAUAUAUGUUUGGCUAAAGCAAUAAAGUUAAAGAGCUGCCUCCAUGUGGAAGCCCAGAUGGAGACAAAUAUGCAUACUUCCAAAAGUUGAGAUGUUUAAGGUUAGGAAGCAGUUUUUGCCGGUUAAGAAUUAUUAGACCAAGCCUCUUCCCUAGUACCAGUAAAACAUUUCAUAGAACCAGUAAAUGAUUUGACCCCUUAUGAAGUGGACAAACCAUGUUCAGUCCUGGUCUUUUCUGGCAGUGGUGUUUCAGUUUCUUCGAAUAGUUAAGCGUAGAAUGUUAAUUCACACGAAUGUUAAUUCAAUUUUUUCCUCUGCCCUAGUUGAUGAGGAAAUUGCAGCGUUUGCAAAAAGAAUUUAGGAAAUUCUUUAAAAAUAGAAAGAAGAAAAACUUUUAAGUAUAAAGAAGAUCUCAAAAGAUCUAAAGGAUCUCCACCUUGGGCUUGUGCUUAAGCUCCUAAAGAUUCUAAAGUUUAUUUUUUUGCAACAAACAUUGAGUAAUGCUAUCUAUAAAUCCGAGUUCAUACAUGAGCAUCAACGGUAGAUGCUUAUAACAUUGUAGACAAAUUGCUACAAAAUUGGGUUUUGUCUUAGAUCGCCAAAACAGGAGACUACUAGGACUCUGUGUGCAUGAAUAAUAUCGUAGGCAAUCCUAUUCCAGAUUAAUUUGUAACUUGAGUCCCGUAAGUAUGACUAGUUCACCAAAAUACAUUCACUUAAAGUUUAAAGUGGCUGCAGCCUACGUGAACACUGAAACACCUAUCCUAUUCUGUCCUUGAACACACGUUAGGGACAGUGAGUAAUCUAGAGAUCCAGUUUUUGUGCAUGGAAAAUAAAAAUGUUUUUUGUAAAUUCUAAAAUUGGUUAAUCAAGGCUACAAUUGAAGAAGACCAGAAUUUGAUAUCCACUUGGUGGCUUAGUGGAUCAAGAAGGAAAUUACACUUUGUCCAAUCAAGAUAGAGAUUUGAUUGGUUAAGUGAAAAAGUUGCACCUAGAUUGAUCAAGUGUUGGUUCACCAAGCUUAUAAAUUCAACCAAUUUAUUGAAGUGUUAUAAUUGGGUUUGAACUCUCUUAAAGAGUUCUGGACUCCAUAAAUAUUGUUAAAGUAUAUUAUGUUAUGGGCUUUAGGCCCAGUUAGGUUAUAGUACACUUUACUUGUACCGCACACUUGUACCGCACACAUAUGCCUCCUAUAUAAAGGCGCUGAUGUAUAUUCUUUAAUCAAGAAAUAGAAUACAAUUAUUCUAUAUUUCAAACAUGGUAUCAGAGCCACUGCUCUGACCUUUUCUUAGCAGUCUUGUCUUCAUUAGUGUGACUUCCUUUAAACGCUUCCGCCAUCACAACUGCCGCCGCAGCCUCUUGCCGUUGAACCUCCGAUGUCAUCCAGCCGUCGUCCUUGGGUUCUGGACCUGUAGCCGCCGUCGUUAAGGAGUUUCACACUGCACAGACCACUGCUCUUUACAUCACCGCUGCGAAUAUUGCUCCGAUUUCAUUUUUGAAGGUACCACUGAGAUCGUCCAGCGCCGAUCUACACAUUCGUGGAACCCUUGCCACCAUCGGAGACCGCACGCGCCCCCACGCACCGCUCAAAGAUUCUGCGACGCUGAUCACGCGCCUCCACGCGCUCUCACGAGCCAGGCCUGGUCUGCUGACAUCAUCAUCUCUGCCACGUCAGCCAUAGCUGUGUCAGCAUCCACUGAUCUGCUGACGUCAUCUCCACGUCAUCUUCAGCCGUUGACCGUUGACUUUGACCGUUAACUUUUCCAGUUGACUUUUUUUCCGACCAGGUUCUCCUUACCCAGUUUUUCAUGUAGAUUUCAUUUCUGCAGUCGGUUUUUGCAUAUUGUGUCUCUAAAUGGAUAAAAAAGAUGUUUUUCUUCCUCACCCCAUCAAUUCUGUAUUGAAGGGGAAUAAAAAUUACUUAUCCUGGUCUCAAGCUAUGCGCAGUUUUCUUAAGAGUCGCAUGCUCUGGCAUUAUUGUACUGGUGCAAUGACUAUUCCUGUCAAGGGAGCAAGUGAAGAAGAUGUUGUCUUUCUUAGUCGCAUGAUUGAAUGGGAUAGUCACAACCACAUGAUCCUCACAUGGAUCCAGAACACUUCCAUUCCCUCUAUUUCCAAUCUAUUGGGCAGCUUUGACGAUGCAAAAUCUGCAUGGGAUAUGUUGACCAAAAGGUACUCCACUACUCAUGGAUCCAUGAAAUAUCAGUUAGUGGUUGAAUUGCAUCAACUCAGGCAAGAACCGGGGCAAUCCAUCAAUGACUAUUAUGAUCAGCUUCGCUUCAUUUGGGACCAAAUUGACCUUUCUGAUCCAACUUGGGCAUGCUCAAAAGAUGCUCAGCAAUAUGCUUCCAUCAGAGAUGAAUUUCGCCUCUAUGAAUUCUUGAUGUCACUUCACAAGGAUUUUGAGCCCAUUCGUGGUCAGCUGCUAAAUCGCAGUCCUGCUCCCUCUCUUGAUACUGCUGUGAAUGAGUUGGUUAGAGAAGAAGCUCGUCUUGCAACCCUUCAAGCCCAGAAUAAGCUCAAUGUUUUGGCUAUUGCUCCAUCUACUCCACUCAUAGAGCAACCUCAGCAAUUAGGUGAUUUUUCUGGCUCUAGCAAUUGUCGCAAGCAAACCAACAAGAAGUUCUGCAACUAUUGCAAGCGUCCUGGGCACACCAUUGAGACUUGUUACCGUCGUAACAAAUCUACUGCUGCUGUUGCUAAUACUAAGCCUACUCCGCCAACGGCUUCCACCUCAGUUGAGUCCUAGUCUUCUGGAUCUACUAUCAAUCUCUCCUCCACUGAACUACAGGAGAUCAUAGCUCAGGCUGUUCGUAUGGCUGGUAAUGCAUCUCUUUCCACUGCUUUAUCUGUUCUACCUGGUAAGUCUCAAACUUGGCUUUUUGAUUCUGCCUGCUGCAAUCACAUGACACCUCACUCAUCCCUAUUCUCCAACCUUGACCCUGCACCACAUCCUCUAAAUAUUCAUAUAGCUGAUGGUUCCACCAUGCAUGGAAAUAGUCUAGGUUUUGUUUCAACCUCUAAUCUUUCUGUUCCUGGAGUCUUCCACGUACCUGCCCUAUCCUAUAAUUUGUGCUCUGUGGGACAAUUAGCUGAACUAGGUUAUCGCUUUAUUUUUUACUAUUCUGGGUGUAUUGUGCAGGAUCCGAGGACGGGGCAGGAGCUUGGGACCGGUCCUAGAGUUGGGCGUAUGUUUCCCAUGAACAAUCUUCAUCUUCCACCUGUUGCUCCUGUUUCUGUUGUUGCUGCAACGGCUGCAAUUUCUUCCUUACCUUUUCUUGCACUUUGGCAUUCUUGUCUUGGUCAUGCACCAUAUUCUCGGGUACAACAGUUAGUGUCUAGGGGUCUAUUGGGUUCUGUGUCUAAAGACAAUUUUGAUUGCACUUCAUGUCAGUUAGGAAAACAGCCAGCUUUGCCUUUUAAUAACAGUGAAUCCAUUUCUAAUAGUAUUUUUGAGUUAAUUCAUUCUGAUGUUUGGGGACCUUCUCCUGUUGCUAGUAUUGGUGGAUCUCGAUAUUUUGUUGUUUUUAUUGAUGAUUAUUCUCGUUAUAGUUGGAUUUUUCCUAUGAAAUCUCGUUCCGAAAUUUUAUCAAUAUAUAGCAACUUUGCAAAAAUUGUUGAAACUCAAUUCUCCAAACGUAUCAAAACCUUUCGAUCUGAUAAUGCUCUUGAAUAUACUCAAUAUGCAUUUCAAGCUCUGUUACAUUCCUAUGGCACUAUACAUCAUCUAACUUGUCCAGGUACCUCUCAGCAAAAUGGUCGAGCCGAAAGAAAACUUCGUCAUAUUCUUAACACUGUUUGUGCUCUACUUCUUUCUGCCAAAGUUCCUGCCCCAUUUUGGGGUGAAGCUAGUCUUCAUGCUGUUCAUGCAAUUAACCGCAUUCCAAGUGCUGUCAUCCAUAAUCAGACUCCGUAUGAGCGUCUCUUUGGGUCACCCCCUAACUAUCAUCACCUUCGUUCCUUUGGAUCUGCUUGUUUCGUUCUUCUUCAGCCUCAUGAGCACAACAAACUUGAGCCUCGAUCUAGACUCUGUUGUUUCCUUGGUUAUAGCGAAACUCAAAAGGGGUAUAGGUGUUAUGAUCCUGUCUCUCAUCGUCUUCGUGUUUCUCGUCAUGUUGUCUUUUGGGAACACCGAUUGUUUGUUGAACUCUCUCACUUUUGUUCUUCCUUGACUAACUCCUCUGUUUUAGAAAUCUUUCCAGAUGAGUCUCUUAUUCCUUCUACAAAUACUUUUGAUCCUCCUUUGGACUUCUCUCUAGAUAUCUUUGAUGCUUCUCCUAGACAAGUUGCAGAUGAACAGAUUAAUGACGAGCUACCCCACUUUGAGCCUAGGUCCCCUGCUCCUGCUCUACCUGAAGAUCCUCCACAAGACAUUCCACCUCGCCACUCAACCCGGGUAAGAUCCAUUCCUCCACACCUCCUUGACUAUCAUUGUUACACUGCCCUUGCUACACUUCACGAGCCUCAAACCUAUCGUGAGGCCUCUACUGACCCUUUAUGGCAGAUUGCAAUGAAAGAGGAACUUGAUGCAUUAACCAAAAACCAUACUUGGGACCUGGUUACUCUCCCUCCUGGACAGUGUGUGGUUGGUUGUAAGUGGAUCUAUAAGAUCAAGACUCACUCUGAUGGAUCCGUUGAGCGCUACAAGGCUCGUCUUGUUGCCAAAGGUUUUACACAGGAGUAUGUGAUUGAUUAUGAAGAGACGUUUGCUCCAGUUGCUCGUAUCUCAUCUGUUCGUGCUCUCUUAGUUGUUGCUGCUGCUCGUAAAUGGGAUCUUUUUCAGAUGGAUGUUAAAAAUGCCUUCCUUAAUGGGGAUCUGAGUGAAGAAGUCUAUAUGCAACCUCCUCCUGGUUUCUCUGUUGAAUCAAACAAGGUUUGUCAUCUUCGACGUGCACUUUAUGGUCUCAAACAAGCCCCACGAGCUUGGUUUGCCAAGUUCAGCUCCACUAUUUUUCGCUUGGGUUACACUGCCAGUCCAUAUGAUUCUGCCUUAUUUCUUCGUCGUACUGAUAAAGGCACUAUUUUGCUUCUUCUAUAUGUGGAUGAUAUGAUCAUAACUGGUGAUGACCUUAGUGGCAUUCAAGAACUCAAGGAUUUUCUCAGUCAGCAGUUUGACAUGAAAGAUCUUGGACAUCUCAGCUAUCUCUUGGGUCUUGAAAUUACUCAUUCCACAGAUGGUCUUUAUAUUACUCAAGCCAAGUAUGCUUCUGACCUGUUGUCUCAAGCUGGACUCACUGAUAGCAAAACUGUUGACACUCCAGUUGAACUUAAUGCGCAUCUGACACCCUCGGGGGGGAAACCAUUGUCUAAUCCUUCUCUUUACAGACGAUUGGUUGGCAGCUUAGUUUAUCUCACAGUUACUCGUCCAGACAUCUCCUAUGCUGUUCAUCAGGUGAGCCAGUAUUUGUCUACACCACGAUCAACUCACUAUGCUACUGUUCUGCGUAUUCUUCGAUACCUGAAGGGUACCCUUUUUCAUGGCCUUUUCUACUCAACUCAGUCUCCUCUUGUACUCCGUGCAUUCUCAGAUGUUGAUUGGGCAGGAGAUCCUACUGAUCGCAGGUCCACUACAGGUUAUUGCUUCCUCCUUGGUUCUUCUUUGAUUUCUUGGCGAAGUAAGAAACAAACUUUUGUGGCCCGUUCCAGUACUGAAGCAGAAUAUCGUGCCCUUGCUGAUACCACUUCUGAGCUCCUUUGGCUAAGAUGGCUUCUUAAAGAUUUGGGUGUGUCCACCUCCUCUGCUACUCCUCUUUAUUGUGACAACCAGAGUGCUAUUCAUAUUGCUCACAAUGAUGUCUUUCAUGAACGGACUAAACACAUCGAGAUUGAUUGUCAUUUUAUCCAUUAUCAUCUUGUCCAUGGUGCUCUUAAGCUUUUCUCCGUCUCCUCUAAAGAUCAACUUGCAGAUAUCUUCACCAAGUCUCUUCCUAAGAGACGCACUCGUGAUUUAGUUGACAACCUCAAGUUGGUCUCACAUCCACCUUGAAGUUGAGGGGGGCUGUUAAAGUAUAUUAUGUUAUGGGCUUUAGGCCCAGUUAGGUUAUAAUACACUUUACUUGUACCGCACACUUGUGCCGCACACUUGUACCGCACACAUAUGCCUCCUAUAUAAAGGCGCUGAUGUAUAUUCUUUAAUCAAGAAAUAGAAUACAAUUAUUCUAUAUUUCAAACAAAUAUAAUUUUUUUUAUAGGCAACAAGAACAACAAAGUACACACUAAGUGUCAAAGGACAGGUACGAAGAAGACAGAGGAAGGAACAAAAAUCAAUACCCUUUCUCCUCCAUACUCAGAACUAAUCAAGUUCACAAAGCCUAUCAAGGACAUGAGAUUAACAUCAACAUAUAAUUUAGCCCAUUCAGCAAAAGUAUAUUCAUAAAUGAUAGUUUAAUUGCUUAUUCUGUCUUUUCUGAAUCUUCAAAGGUCUUUUAGUUUCUUUCCAUCCAAAGCAUCCAGAAUAGAACAUGGAGCUGCCCUCCAUGUUUUUUUCUGCUUCUUGCCCAGAAAGGAGCCAUGUUAGCUUAACAAAGCUUCCCUCACCAAGGAAUGGAACACCUAAACCACACUAAAAAUAGAAAAAAUCAACUACCACAGAAUACUAGCCAUCGAGCAUUGAAGGAGCAAAUGAUUAGUCGACUACUUGUCCUUUUUACACAUGUAGCACCUAUUCUGAAUACUCCAUCCCCUCUUUUUAAGUUGCUCAAUUGUCAAAAUUCUGCUCCAUGAAGCUUCCCAAGCCAAAAAAACUCACAUUCAUGGGGAUCCAGGCAUUCCAAACACAGGUUGCAGGGCAAUGCUCCCUUCUACCCUAUAGACUAAAGAGAGGUAGAAGGAUUUAACAGAGAACUUGCCACCUUUGGAUUCCUUUUACUCCAAACUAUCAUCCUCCUCUCUCCUAACUGAGCAAGUUUGGAGUUUUUGGAAAAAGUUUGUCCCUACUUUAAGCUCCCAAUCACAAAAUUGUCUAGAAAACCAAGGGCUCCACCAACCACUUUUGCCAUAUCGCUCCCAUACAUCCACAACCUAAUGUAUCUUUGUCUGUGGCAAAAGAGAACAAUGAUGAAAAAAAACCUUCUAGAGAUGAGUCACCAUAUCAUCUAUCUUUUCAAAACUUGACCCUUCUACCAUUGCCAAUAAAGAACUGAUCUCUGUCCCAUUAUUUUUUGAUCGCUUUCCACUCACUCACCCCAUAACCUUGAGCACCAUCCCCCUUCUUCUCUAAACUUUUGAGAAAUAACUUGCUUCUAAAAGAAUCCCUCUGAAUCACAAAUGUCCAAUACUACUUGUUGAGAAGAGCCUCAUUUAGAACAUAGAGGUUUUUGAUACCUAGGUCUCUUCUCUCUUUGUCUAAGCAAACUAUAGGCCACUUAAGAAGAGGGUUAUUUUAUAAAUAUUUAACUUAAGAAGGUUAUUUUAUACAAUCAUUCUAUUGCAUAUUGAUUGGAAAAAUCCCUCGUAACUUGCCCUUUCACAUUCCUCGAGUGUGACUUGCAAGUUGUGCUUCCAAUGACUUCUAGAAAGAGUUUUUAAUAUCUGCUAAAAGACAAACAAGGAGUUGUCCACAGCACGACAUGAAUGUGCAAGCAUCGAGUAAGGAUUGGGUGCUGUGAUCCAGGACUGGAUGGUGUGGAUGCCUCAUCUAUAUUUUUGUACUCUAGCUUUGACUUCUAUAGGAUUAGUUUCAAAUGGUUUACUGUCCAACCACGUAAUAAUUUGAAGAGUUCUUCACAUACACAGAAUGCCUUCUCUAUAUAUACUUUUCCUGAUUUAUUUAUUUAUUUAUUUAUAUUUUUAUUUUUAUAGGUGUAUGCUUUCCUGCUUGUUGUGUCAAUCAGAUUGAACGUGUUAGAUUAAUUAAAAUUAAUUCCACUAAUUUUGAAUUGAUUCAUUUAAAUUUUUUUAAAAGUAGACCAAUUCAACAACACUCCACCCACCAUCCCCCCAUCCCACGGUACACACAACCGAAAGGUCUAUCUAGGCUACCAAGAGUGUACUCAUAAGCGCAUACACAAAAUUAUAAAUGAAUUGCAGUAAUAUUCACAAGUCAACACUUUCAUCCAUGAAUUUUCAGUUUCAAUAUGUUGUGAAUAAGCACAAAUUUGAGCAUCAGAAAUUGAACACUACAACAAAAAUAAUUUAUGGUGUCACUAUUUAUGGUGUCACUUUUCAAAUAAUGACACCAUAUGACAUAAAAUUCAUAAAGGUGACACAUCAUAUAAAAAAUUUUAAUUAGGAUAGAUGAUAUUAAUUUUAAGUUUAGUGUCAGUUUUAAAAAAGUGACACCAUAUAAAAUAAAAAUUUUAAAAUAUUAUAACUAAAUGGGCCCACAUUGAGAAUAAUGAUAAUAUCUAAAAAAAACUCAUUGUUUCCACAUUCCCACAAUCCAAAAAAAUCUCAUUCCAUAACUCAUAACCAUAACUUUCUUCUAUCUCUCUUCUCACACCCAUAGUUCACACACAACUGCUCUUCUCUACUUCGUGGACUCUUAGGUAACGCAAAAUCUCUUAGAUAUAUCAUUUUCUUUUUUUUUUUUAUUAAUGCCAAAAUCUUUAUUAGCACAACUGAUUUACAUUCAUUGAUUUGGUAUAUUUGUAAUGUAGAUUGUGUAAAUAAUGUUUUUUUUAUUGAGUUGCAGGAAAGUAAAAAUUAGGUUUAACAUUCCACCAUAUCUUUUGUUUCAUUGUUAAAUCCAUAAACCCCAAAACGAAUGAAAAUAAGAUAAAUGAAUGAUUUUUUAAUAUCUUUGAUACUCAAAAUGAGGGAUAAAUAUUUUACAGUAUGAAAUUUUCUUUUGAUCUUACAAGAAAUUUCUUUUGGUGAGAUUUUCUGUUUGUUUUCUAGGAAUAUUAUAGUAUAUUGUGAUGAGGAUAUGUAUCGGUGAUAUUUGAAAAAUAAUUUUUUAGAAAAUUAUUCUCAAUAUUGUCAUCUCCCACAAAAGGAAAAAUGAAAUAGUUUCCAUAUCAUGUUAGAGUUGAUUUAGAAUGUUGGAAUUAACAAUGAGAAAUUAAUUUUAUUUUCUAUUUAUUAAUGUAAAUGAAUUGUUUUUUAAACUUUAAAUAGGAAUGAAAAUUUUUAUAAUUAUAAAAAUGAUCAAAUCUCAUAUUUUGAUUUUUUUUUUUAAUUCUUUUACAUGGUAUUAUGGUUAAUAUCUCAUCUUGUUCUAUUCAUAUUUUUUUUUAAUUCUUAAAAUAUGUUUUUUGUUUUUUAUUUUUACUUUCUUUUCUUAUUGUUUUUAUAUGCGUUCACCAAAAUUUAGAGUAAUUUGAGAUUGAUGAUGAAAUUUCCCUUUCAAGGUUAAAAAAUUUCUAUAAAAUCCUUUUAUUACAUAAAUUUUCCUUCCCUAAAACUUUUUUUUUUUGAAAAAGAUAUUUUAUAAUUUUCUUUUGAUUUUCUAUGAAAUUUCCUUUAAUUUGUUUAUUUUCUAAGAAUAUUAUAAUAUGUUGUGAUGAAGAUAUUGGUUGGUAAUAUUUGGAAAAUAAUUUUUGAGAAAAUUAUUCUCAAUAUUGUCAUCUCCCUCAAAAGGAUUCUAAAAAUUUGUUUUAUUUUUGUCUUCUUUUCUUAUUGUUUUUUUAUGCAUUGACCAAAUUUUGGAGUAAUUUGAGAUUGAUGAUGAAAUUUUCCUUUCAAGGUUAGGAAAUUUCUAUAAAAUCCUUUUAUUACAAAAAAUUUUCCAAUCAUUUCCAUAAAACUCUUCAUUUUCUUCAUUUUUCUUUUUUCUGAAAAAGAUAUUUGAUAAUUUAUUGAUCUAAAGAAUAUCAAAAGUAAAAUUUAAAAUAUUGAAUAUCUUUUCCUUUGAUGUUUUUAAUCUUUUAUUAUUUUUAUUUGAACAUAUUUUUCAUAUCCAAAUUUUUUAUUAAUUAUUUUAAUUAGAAAAAAUAAAUAUUAAUUGGAGUUAUGACUGAAAAAUUAAUAAUUUUUAUGAAAGUUUCUUUAAUUCUUUCUCAUACUAAUUUUUCUCUUAACAUUUUUUUAAUAAUGAAUUAGGUUUUUUGUCUUAUAUACAGAAUCUUCAAGCUUGUUAUAAUAUCAUGUCCUCUCAUAUUAGUAGUUGAAAACAUUUUUAUAUUUUGUUGCUAAAAUUUUAUUUUAUAUAAUUGAGAUGAAAUUUAAUGGACAUUGUUAUUUCACAAAAUGAACAUUAAAAAAAAUAUUGAAAUUAAAAAAAUCCUUCCAAGAAAUAAAAAAAAUAUAUAAAAAGAAUUAAAUGUUAAAAAUGAUUUUUAAAAGCGCAAUGAAUUAUAAAAAAUUAAAAUUAAAAAGUGCAUAUUUUAAGUGGAAGAUUACUAUUUUCUAAAAUUUUAGAUUUAUUUUUUGAUUUUCUAGUUUUGCUUUAUUUUUUAUUUUCUUGAAUUGUUUUUAUUUGAGUUCAAAUGUGAUUGCUUUGUUAUGAGAUUCAUUAAAGAGAUAAUUGUUGAUUCUACAAUUAUUGUAUUAAAGUUUUUACUCAUUUAAUGAAUUGUACUUAGUUUCAUACUUCCAAUUAUUAUGAUAUUAAUGUUAUUCUCAUUUGAUUUUAGUUUUAUGAUAUAAAAAAAAAAAAAAACAUAUUCUCAGGUAGAAUUUGAUGAAAUUAGAGGAGAAUUAACUUCUUUUGUGUUAUAACUAAUCAUGAAUCAUAUUGAUAAAUCAUGAUUAUGCAUGGUGAGUCCCUUAGUUGUUAUAUGAAUUUUCCAUUGGUAUUGUAUAACAUUACUUAUUCUUUACAAACUAUUUUUAUAUCAAAAUGGGAAAAAGAAAAAAGAAAACAUUAGUACUUAGAUUCGUUUAUUUUUUAUAACAUCAAUUAAUUUUUAUUUUCAAUAAAAUUCUAAAUCUCAUUAAACUAUGAAAUGCAGGUAUACACUCUUGGGAAGACAUUAUGAAGAAUAAAAAGAAAGGAGAAAGAAACAACAACAUUUUGGGUUUUUAGAUGUGACUCUUAUGUCAUACAUUAUAGGACAUCAAUGUUACUUUAUUUGGUAUUGAGAAUUUUGGGUUUUUGGAUGCAACUCUUGUGUCAUUUUAUGAUUAGCCGGUUUUAUGCAUAUGAAAUGCAGGUAUACAUGAAUGUUGGAAUGCUUAACAUUUCUAAAUCAUAUUUUAAUAUGUAUUCACUUUUCUUUUUUAGUUUUGAUGGGUUUGAUGUACUAUCAUUUUGUAAACAUUUGAUAUACAAAUAUCACUGGAUGAUGUAAUGUAUUAUAGGUUAAUCCAUAAGCAUUACGAAAAUAUAAGUUAAAUGUGAUAUGAUUAUUAUAUUUAUGGACAAAAUAUAUACAAGUUGAUCUUAUUUGUUAAUAAGCAUUACAAAAAUCAACAGACUAAUUAAUAAAAAACAACCAUAUCUUUCAUAAUCAUUUACAAUGAUGUGACACCAUAACUCAAAGGUGAUGCAUUUAACGUGACACCGUAACUAAAAGGUGAUGCAUUUAAUAUGACACCUUAUAUAUCUCAUGCAACUCUAUAUCAAAUUAAGUAUAACUAAAAAUAUAUGGUGUCGCUUCUGAAUAUGUCACCAUUAAUCUCCUUUGGUGUCGCUUCCAAAUACGUCACCAAUUGGUACCCUCUAUGGUGUCAGUGGAUAAGGUGACGCUAUGUUGUAGUGACACCCUAUGUUUAUAGUGACUCAUUAUAAAUGUCACCAUAUCUCUUUUUUCUUGUAGUGGAAUCAGAACUUACCAUACAUAUGAAACAUGGUGACCAAAUAGCUACAGAGUUUCCCAUUGUAAUGCAAGCAAGAAGCAUUCCGAAAGCCAUGACAACCAUUGUCUCUACUGUCUCCUGGCUUCCUUCCUAUCAAAGUAUAAAACAAUUUGAUGGUUGAAACUAGUUGCUUAAUCAUAAGUUCAUAUGAUUUCCAUCCAGCUCAGAAUACUUAUAGUCAUACCUCAGCAGAUAUACCUGCAGCGUUUAUGUUGUGUCAAUGCAGCUGUAGUUGCUCCGCCUGCAACACCAGCUAAUUUUGAAGAGUGUAAAAUUGGAUUUUGAUUAGAAACACCAACACAAUGUGCAUUAUUCUUAUUCAACAGAAAUUUUUUUCAAUUCCACUGACAAUAUUGACUACCAAACAAAUGUUAAGAUCACAAACAGUAUUAACAUAUUAACCUGUCAUGUUCACCAAAAUAGUAGCACUUACCAAUAGAUCUUAGUAGCUUUUCAUUUUGUAAUAAUGAAUUGGAGUAUACAGAACCUUAAUGAACAAUCUUGAUAGGCUCCCUAAGCAAACUAUGAACACAAAUGCUGAAGGGAACAAAGGAGAAACAAGAUCCAUUAACAUUCCUGCAACCAACACAGAAGCCUCUCAUAUCAUUUUAAGACACAGAAUGAAAAUGAUAACAAAAUUAUAACCAACUAUAUGGCAACCAUAUUUAAAUUAAAUUAAGUUCCAAGUUCAUGGGGAAUCCAAUACUGUACACUGAUAUGGUAGUCCUCUUACUAGUUAACAUACGGUAUUAUAGCGUUGAUUAUUUGGGGGAGCAAAAGCCUAACUCCAAUCACUUUAUUACAAAUUGAUGAAUACCAAUCCAGAAGUUAGGAGACAUUACACAACAAACUAGUAGCUAAAUUGGUACUUAGUGGCCCCAACCAUAAACAAUGCUCUCCUUAACCAUGUGAAACAAAGAGAAAAUUAAGGGAAAAUAUCCAGGCCAAAUGAGAAAACAGACAUGGGAGAAACCACGGAGGAGAAACAAAACUGCAAGUGCAUACAAUUAGUCUAGUUGAAAAACCAAGAGAAAAUUGAAAUAAUUUUUGUCAGAAGGAUUAACAUAGCAUACUUCUUUUUAUCAGAAUUUGCACUAUAGAUAUUGGUAGUUAAGACCUGAGAAUAAAAAAUUAACAUGAAAAUAAUGAUAAAAUAAUAAUAAUAAUAAUAAUAAUAAUAAUAAUAAUAAUAAUAAUAAUGAUGGUGAUGAUGAUGAUGAUGGUGUUAGAUGUUAAGUUAAUAAAUGAAAUAAAAUAUAAUUAAUGAAAUAAAAUUAUAGUUUAAUUAAAUAAACUAUAUAUUCUUAGAAACAUUAUAAAUUAGAAACUUAUUAAUUUUACUUAAAUAAGGAAUAAAUGAAUUAAAUUAAUAUUAAUAAUUAGGAAUAAAUUUUUUAAUAAAUAAUAUGAUUAGGAUUGUAGAAUCUAUAUAAUUUUAGUUAAUUGUCUAUAGUAAGAAACUCAUUGAUUUUAGUUAAAUAAGGAAUAAAUUAAUUGAAUUAACAUUGAUAAUUAAGAAUAAUAAUAUUAAUAAUUAAAAUUAUUAAGAUUGUGGAAUCUAUAAUUUUAGUUAAGCUUCUAUUUUUUUUUUUCAAAUAUAUUAACUUUAGAUAAUAAGCUAUCUACUAACCAUUUAUUAUUUAAUCAUUCAACUUACAAUAAUGAGAUUCUCAAUCCUUCAAAAUGACAUUAAUUUAACCCACUUCCUUAAUCAAUUAUACCUCGAUUAAAUUAACCUUUCAAAAAUUAAAUCUACUAAAUGAUAAUAUUCAUAUUUAAUCAAUUUAUCCAUUUUUGUAUAAAUUCUUAAAUUCAUAUUUAAUUUCAUUUCGAUUCAAUUUUAUUUCAUGUUUUAUAAUUUUAUAAGGGUUAUAAAAAUUAAAUUGAAUCAUACCGUAACAUUAGAUUAAAUAUCUUUUGAAAAAUUUAUUAUAACCGUUUGAUAUAAUACAAAUUUCAUCAAGUUUUUCUAAUUAAGGUUUUCUGAUAAUUACCUUAUAAUAAUAAAAGUAAUUCUUGUAAUACAUAUAAUAUUAAAAUUUCAAAAAUCCAAUCUCAAAUAAUUUAAUUGCUAAAUUUAUAUUUAAUUUUUGAAGUUCCUAAUUUCGAAAUGUGACUUGGCAAGAAUUUAAACUAUUAACCUUCCACUAAGUCACUAACUUCUCAAAAGUUUCGCCUAAUUAAAUAAAAUAUCGACACGUCAAGGUUCACUAACAUCUUUCAUUUAUUUAGACCAUUCAUUUUGGUUGAUUUUGAGGAUAGUCAUCGGCAGUAGACAUACAUCUUCUAGACCAAUUAGCAUACCAACAGUGAUUAGGCUAAGGUGGUGAUCCAAUUCCAUGGAAGUGCAGCAAGAAAGGAGGAACUUUGGAGAGAUAGAACCAGAAGGCGGCCAACCAAGCAAGAACAGUGGCCAAAUUGGCCUUAAGCUUGAGGAGCAUAGGAUUGACAAUGUUGAAAUCAAUCUUAGGGAUAGGAUUGAGUCUCUCAGAAUGACAGGAGAAAACACUCAAUGGCUAGGGAUACCAAAGGUUCCUCAGAUGCUGAGGGGGACCCAGGAUUUCAAGAAAUUCUACGAACCGAGGGUAAUUUCAAUCAGUCCUUACCACCAUGGCGAGCCCGACCUUGGCCGAGUGGAAAUGAUCAAGCCUCCAUGUUGUCACGGACUUAGUCGUUUCCUAAGCUCGUGUGGCACUUAGACAAGUCAAGACCCUUGAUCUUGUUAAGUCAACCUUACUCCCAAUACUUAGCUUGCUAGGUUAAGACGCUUAUGACUCGGAAGCUUUAGAAGGCGUAGUAGGCAACUCUUAAAGAAUGGAAGCUUUAUUGCUUUCAAAGGAAGCUAUACAAGGCUUGGAAGGUCACUUGCUUGGUUGGUUAGGUUCUUGGGUGGUGCCUUGGCCAAAUGAGGCCCUCACCUAUUUAUAGGCACCAUUGAAACUCUCUGGAACCUUGGAGGGUUCCUUACAAAUCAAGAAGAUUCUAGAACACCCUACAUAAUUCUAUGUACAAACUUAUGUACAAGAAUAUACAAGAGAUUCCUAGAAUUCUCUAGAAAACCUUGAACUCCUCUCAUGCCUUUCACCAUAGUGUAGAGAUGUGUGGACAUCUCUAGGCAUCUUUAGAACCUUCCAUACUCUUCCCACAAAUGGCUUAGUGUGGAUGACUCCAGGAGUCUCUAGAAGCUUCCUAUAUAAACCCAUGGGGAGGCUCAUUUGAGGCAUCCUGUGAUAAUGUGCCCAAAAAUUCCUAGCUGAUAGUAACCAGGACAUCGAAGCUUUGUACACAAAAAUUCGAAGUAAUAUCGAGGCAGUGAAAAAGUGCUAUGAUUGGAGUAGUACAAAAAAUUAUGAUGAUGAGAUACUUGCCAGGAUGAUGCUUCUGGAUGGGUGUUUUUUACUACAAUUCAUCCGCUGGAGAGGUAUGAUAAACAUUCUUGAAGUACACGAAAUAGAUUGUGUGGUGCAAGACUUGUUCUUGCUAGAGAACCAACUUCCCUAUGGAGUCCUCAAGUUGAUUUUUGAGGGAGCAAAUUUCAAGGUUGGUCUACUAAUGGAAAAGAAUAUAAUAGAAUUCGUCACUGAGAUCGGAAUGCUAGAAGGGUUGUCUUCAGAAAUACAACUGAAAGAGGUGAAUGAAGAGCCCUCUUAUCUCCUCGACCUUUUGCGAAGUGCUCUCCUAGGCAGGUUUCAAAUGAUUAGGAGUUAGCCCGAAAAAGAGCAGCAACCUAAGAAAAAAGGAAAGUCGUUGUCGUCUCAAGGAGGAAAGGGGGGCUCUGUCGUCCAUGGAAAAAAGGUAAACAACGGGGCAUUAAGCAGUCUUUUCAACACAUCAAGGAGCUUAAAGCUGCCGGGAUCUAUCUCAAACCAAGUAGAAUGUGUUUCUUGAGAGGCAUUUCUUUCAAAUCCUACAUCUUCUGUGGCUACCUGAAACUUCCCCCAAUAACCAUUGAUGACUUCACGAAGACCAAGUUCUUGAACAUGGUAGCCUAUGAAAUGUGUCAAGAUGCUCCAGAUGACUAUGCGGUCGCUUCUUAUAUAGGCUUCCUUGACGACCUCAUUGAUCAUGCAGACGAUGUAAAGAAGCUGAGAUCUAAGCACAUUCUCCACAAGCUUCUUGGCAGCGAUGAAGAUGUGGCCCAAAUUUUCAAUGAGAUCAACAAUGGCUUGGUAGAUCCCGGAAUUUAUGAUGAUGUGAAAGAUUGUAUUCAGAAACACUAUGACAAGAGAGUGAAUACUUGGAUAGUUGAAGCCCUUCACAACCAUUUCAAGUCUCCAUGGACUUUCAUGGCUCUCAUUGCAGCUAUUUUAAUACUAAUUCUUACUGGGGUUCAAACCUACUACGCUCAUCCCGGUAAAUAUAUAAUAUAUAUAUAUAUAUAUAUAUAUAUAUAUAUAUAUAUAUAUAUAUAUAUAUAUAUAUAUAUAUAUAUAUAUAUAUAUAUAUCGUCAAUUAUGAUUGGGAUAUGUUUUUUUCUUGUUUAGCAUGUUUGUGAUUAGAGAAAUAAAGAUGUAUAGAUUGUUAAGUUGUAUCACUAGAUUUCAUGCAUGCAAUAUUAUGGGUCUUUUCUAGUUUUCCUCCCCACAUGAAUUUGCUAUAAUCUAUAAUGUUUGUUUGAAUUCACAAUUUCCAGCUUGCUUUUUUUCGUUGGUUUUCAUAGACCAUGAUCAUAGAUAACACAACAACCACAGAAAAUUUUCAGUCAACAGUACGUGAUUCUAUGAAUGGGAUGGGGUUGAAUUUGCUCACACACUUUUUUAUCUAAGGAGAAAAUUGUGGAUAAAAUCAUAAUUUUGAUAUAUUUAGGCUAUGUUUGGAUUCCGAAAAAUGCUAAGGAAAAGAAAAAAAAUUACGUGGAAAAUUAUUUUCUUUAGUUUGGGUGACAUGAAAUAUACGAUGGAAAAAAAUAUUAAAGAAAAUAUCAUAAUAUUUCUUUUACUAUUUUCCUUAAAAAAUAAUGAGGAAAAAAAAGGAGGAAAAUAAGAGGAAAAAAGAAGGGAAAAGUUUGGGGAAAUUUUAUCAGUUUCAUCAGGAAACUCAUUUUCUCGCUAUUUCACUUUCUAGGUCUCUCCGAUUUCCUGGAAACUGACGUUUCGUGGUUCAAAACGUAGAUGCAAGUGUCGGAAUACCCGUCGGUAUUGACGGUUCUGAUCCGUGAAAUCCUGCCGGUGAUGAAGUUCGGGGAGGUGGUUUGCAGUGGCGACGCGCCGGAGAGUUGCGUCGUAUGUCUGUACGACUUCGAGGUAGGAGAAGAGAUCAGGCGGUUGACCAAUUGUAAAAACAUUUUCCACCGGAGCUGUUUGGACCGUUGGAUGGACCACGAUCAGAAGACCUGUCCACUUUGUAGGACCCCAUUUGUGCCUGAUGAGAUGCAAGAUGAGUUCAAUCAACGGCUCUGGGUUGCCUCUGGGAUCACUGAUUUUUACAGUGAAUACGGUACCGUUUCAGGCUUGUAGGUUGGAGAUUUUUCAUGGGUUUUAUUUCAUUUUUUAAAUUUUGGUAUGGUGAGGGUGAAAGGGUUGAAUUGUAUAUACAUGAAGAAAAAAAAAUGCCACGUACCCAUUAAAAAGGGGUAAGUUUUCAAUAGUUAUUGAACGAUGGGCUCCCACAAAAUGCGUUCUUCUAUAAUUAUUUUUUAGAAAAUAAGAGUACAAAAUUUAUUUUAUUAUUCAAUAAAUUGAUAAUCAUUUAAUAUAAAUUAUUGAUUUUGUUUUUCUUCUAUUUUUUCUUGACUUUUUUUUGUGGUUAACCAAACAAAAAAAAUGAAUUCUUUUUAUUUUCCCUUGAAUUUUUCAUGGAUAACUAGACAAGUGAAAAAUUUUAUAUUCCUUUCAUUCCAUUUUUCCUCCUAAUUUUCUUUCUCUUGCAUUUUCUAGGACCAAACAUAGCCUUAUAAAUUGAGGAAGGGCUCUCUAAUUUAUUUAUUUUUAUAAAAGAUAAAAUCAUAAUACAUCACUGAAGGAAGGAGAGCGAAGGCAUUUUUAUUUCAUUGUUGAACUUGUUUGAAAAAAAACACCCACACACAGAGAUUGAGUUAGAAAUGAAAGUGGAGAAAAGAAAAGUACUCGACGGUUUUGCAUACUGCUUGAUAGAACUCGUUAAAAUUGUUUAUAUCUCUAGCACUAAAAUACAUCUUGUAGCACUUAGCGAUCAAAGCCUGUUUUUCCUCCUUACUUCCAAUUUAGACAUGGAGAGGUGACACAAACUUUGAGAUAUUCAAUGAUUCAACAAAGCAUUCAUCAAAUACUAUAUUGUUUGCUUUGAUGGAGGGAAAAGAUGAUGAUACAAGGAGUUAGUUUCAUGAGGGAUGAUGCGCCUAUCUUUUGAAUGGUUGGAUAUGAUGAUGUUGUUGGAAAGUGUCUCAGAAAUUAUUUUUGAGUCAAUUGAAAAAUUAUAGAUAAUCUCCUAAUACAAAAUAUUUUUGUAUUUGAGUUUCCUAUUAUUAUAGUGGGGAUAUUAUAUUAUAAGAUUUUUUUUUUCUUUUUAAGGAAAAAACAUCUUUGACAAUUAUACAUUUAGUUUUCCAUAUGCAAUCUUCCUAUAUAUGUAAUAAGGAAAAUAUACAAAAAAAGACAUUUUUAAAAGAGUUAUCUAUGAAAUGUUUUUCUAGAAAACACUAUAAGUGAUUUUCCAAACACUAUAAGUGAUUUUUUUUAAAAUUUUAAAAGUGUUUUCUAACUUUUGCCAAACACCUUUAAAAAAUAAAUAAAUAAAUAAAAAACCACUUUUUAGGGUAAAAGUGUUUUUAAAAAACAUUGCCAAUUGGAUUUUAAAUAAUCUAGAUUGUCAUUUUUUUUAUUUCAAUUAUAUAUAUUAUAUCAAAUAUUUCUAAUUUUUUUUUAUACAAAGUAAAUAAAUUAUUUAAUAUAUCCAAACAUAUGGUUGAUGUCAUUCAAUCGAUCGAUAUAAAUCAAUCUUUCUUUUAAAGUAAACGUGGUGCAAAUAAUUACAUAUAAUCAAGCAAUGAACUAUCGUUUUGGGAUUUUCAUCGAGAGAUAUGCGUCCAUACUCAAACGCAUUUUUCAUUUGGAGUCUUCUUGAUGUAAACUUUUAUAUCUUUCACAUUAAUGCUUCUUAAUUUAUUCUCUUUGGUCAUUUCAUUUCUUUUUUUUUCAGCCCUUUUUCGAGGUCUUUUUAUUAUCAUUUCUAUUUCAUAUAACAAUUUCUUUACUUUUCUUUCCAUAUAACCAUGGAGGCAAAAUGAGUGUGAUAUAAUACGAUUGUCCAAUAAUAAUAUCUAGUAAUAUAAAAUAAUUAUUUUAAAUAUAUAACAACAUUUAAAAUUUUAGACAAAUAAUUUCCAUUAUUUUUAAUAUUGAUGUCAUUGUACGCACAAAUUUCGUAAUUUUGGUCCUGCAAAAUUAGCAAAACAAAAUAGGAAAAUAAUGCGAACAAAAUAUUUAUUGAAAUUAAAAAUAUUAUGGAUAGAAUCUAAAAAAAAAAAAUAAUAUUCUUUCCAAAAGAAUAUUUUCCCUAUGAUUCUUUUGCUUUGAUCACACUUUAGAAGACGAUGAUGACAUUUUCUUGAUUUCGAAUAUCAAUCGAGGGCCACAAGUGGCUUAUUCCCGAAUGACCUUGUUGAAUGGCGAAGAAUGCGUGUAGCAGUUCUUUUGUUGCUUAUCAAACUUGUAGGGAGAUUUGAUGAAGUUUUUUCUUUUGUUGUGAAGCCCCUUUUCCUGUAUGAAGUUACCUUUGGAUUUUCUCCUUAGGAUUUUCCUUUUUGGAUUUUUUUUAUUUUUUAUUUUUUUCUGAAUUUUCUUCCCUUUUCUAAAUAGAAGACACCUUUAUUUAUAGGUGAAGAUAGGGAAUUUGAAUUUCAAAUUCUCGAAUUUUAGUUGCUUAAUUCAAGGGAUUUAGUUCAUUGAUUUUAGCAAAUUUUCCUCUUUGGGAGGUUUUACCAACAAAAUAAUAAUAAUAGUAAUAAUUUUCUUAUUAUUAUUAUUAUUAUCCUUUUUAUAGUUGGAGAUUAGGGAAACUCAUCCAUAAGAGGAAUUUUUUUUAAUUUAUUCAUUUUAAAGACCAAAUUAGUGGUAAUUUAAUCCCCUAAUUUUUUUUAUGUCUACAAAUGCCCCCAUUUCAAGACGCAUCACGUACAUGCUUUGUCAUGUGGAUGGGGUGAGUCUUGAAAUAUAUUUUUUUUCAAAUAAAUAUUUUAAUAGGAAGUUUCCUAUUUUUUUCAAAAAAUAUUUCUUUCCCACUUUUUUUUUUUUCAAACUCCACUUCGUUUUCCUACUUGCUUUACACUUUGAAUCCUCUUCCAAUUCGUUUUCCUUCUUGCUUUACACUUUCAGUCCUCUUCCAAUUUGUCAUCCCUAUUUAUACUUUUUUUCUUAUAUAAAGGGGACAAUAGUUGAAAAACUUGACUUGAACCUUAUUAGAGAGCUCUUUUGAUCUUUGGGUGUUCUUCAAUCCAACUUGAGAAAUCUGACUUGAAUUCACUGCGAAAAAUCUUCACCUCUUUAAACUUGUAAGUGUUUUUUUUUUUUUUUGAAUAUAUAUAUAUAUAUAUAUAUUGAAGCUUGGUGGGAUGGAGCCACAAUGUUGGUGGAGACGUGAGCCAUGAUAGUGGUUGCCUUGGGGCGUCAUCAUUGGCAUAUAUAUACAUAUAUAUUGGUGUAAGGAUGAAGAUUUAAUAUAUGGACAUUUACGUGAUCUCCAAAAAAAGGGAAUGAAGAUUUUCUUUUAAUAUAUAAAACAUGCAUGGAAAAAGUCAAACAAUUUCCAUACAUAUUUAUAUAUAUGUUGACACGUGAAUCCACUUUCCAAUUUCCAUGUACAUACAUGUUAACACGUGUUAUUCUUAUUUAUUCAUAUAUAUAUAUAUAUAUAUAUAUGUAUAUUUAUUUUUUAAGGAAGAAAAAGACUUACAUUUUUCGAACACAUGUCCGCCUUCAUUAUUUGCUUUGAUUUUAGGUAAUUUAAUUAAUUAAUUUUUAAAUUACCUUAAUACUUGAGGGGAAUUUUUAAUAAAAUUAAAUAUCCAUAAAAAAAUAAAUAUAUAAAAUUUGACCCUCAUGUAAUCAAGGCUCUAAGGCGAAACAGUAUCAUAUUUUUGGCACUUAUGUGCUAAAGUCUUCACCCAUGCAAAUUGGCUUAACUUGAAUUCAUAGUGGUGUUCAAGUUAUAAUAUUUAAUUAAAACUUGGAAUAAUACUUGGUAUCUAUGCAAACAAGUUAUAGCCUUGAUGUUACGCGGUGUUGUAUUUUUGGCACUUAUGUGCUAAAGUCUUCACUCAUGCAAAUUGGUUUGACUUGAAUGCAUUGUGAUAUUUCAAGGGAGAAAAAGACUUUCCUUUUUUGAAUGCAUGUCGGCCUCCAUUAUUUGCAAAGGUGAAUUUGAUUUCAGGUAAUUUAAUUUAAUUUAAUUAAUUAAUUAAUAAUUUAAAAAAAUUUACCUUAAUAGGGGAAUUUUUAACAAAAUGAAUACCCAUAAAAAAAUAUGAAUAUUUAAGAUUUGACCCUCAUGUAAUCAAGUCGUAGCCCUGACGCGAAGUGGUGUCGUAUUUUCGGCACUUAUGUGCUAAAGUCUUUACUCAUGCAAAUUGACUUGACUUGAAUACAUUGUAAUAUUUUAAGGGAGGAAAAGACCUUCCUUUUUUGAAUGCGCGUCGCCUCCAUUAUUCGCAAAGGUGAACUUGAUUUCAGGUAAUUUAAUUUAAUAUAAUUAAUUAAUUAAUAAUUAAAAAAAUUGCCUUAAUAUUUGAGGUGAAUUUUUAAUAAAAUUAAAUAUCCAUAAAAAAAAAUGAAUAUUUAAGAUUUGACCCUCAUGUAAUCAAGUCAUAGCCCUGACACGAAGCGGUGUCGUAUUUUUGACACUUAUGUGCUAAAGUCUUCACACAUGCAAAUUGGCUUGACUUGAAUGCGUAGUGGUGUUCAAGUUUUAAUAUUUAAUUAAAACCUGGAAUAAUACUUGGUAUCUAUGCAAACAAGUUAUAACCUUGAUGCUACGUGGUGUUGUAUUUUUGGCACUUAUGUGUGAUUCGUGCCCAAUUGGUGUCUCAGCUGAUUCAUGUCCAGCUGGUGCUCCUUGAUUGAGGGAGUAAUCAACAAAAUUUAUAACCUAUUACACCAUAUACUAGGGUAGCAAAGACAAAGCUACUAUAGUAUAGUGGCUCUAGGAUCGUCCACUGGGAAAGAUUAACAAGCUAUCAAUGAUACCAAUUCCAAGUGAAUUGGUUUUGUUUCAUUUCAUGGUUAGCUUAAGAAGUAAAACACAAACUUUGAUUGGUAAAGGUUUAGACUUAAACUAACUAACAUAACAGAAGUUUGGAAUAAUUUAGGAAGAAAAGCAUUCCCUGGAGAGUUAUGUUCACUGGGGUGGUUCCUCAUGCAAAAGACAUAGCUCCAGUCAGAUGGUUCAUUUCCUCGCGUUAGAGAUUCAACAUAUAGUCAAUUCUCUAACCGGUGUUGUACAGAGACUCCUUCAAUUAGAUUUCACUUUAAUUCUCUCACUGAUGCAACUUGCAAUGGUUUAAGCCUCUCACUAAGCCUUAACCAUUCAAGGCGAUCUUCAACCUUGGACUUCCCUUCACAAGCUCGCAAGAGAUAACUAAUGGAUGUCUCCUUGGAGUCCAAAAGCUUACCAAGUGUUGGCAAUUCCAGAAAAUCCUACCCUAAAGUCACCUUUCAGAGGCUCGCAAGGGGUAAACUAGUGCAUUUCCAUGGUUGGAAAUCACUUGCCUUACCAAGUGUUGGCCCAGAUGACUCUAAGGUGUUUUAAGUUAACUAAAAACAUAGAAAUCACUAAAGGAUUUCACUUCCUCUUCAUUAUUAGCUAAAACCACAAAGCUCUGCAUUUUUGCACUUGGAACCUUCCCCGGCAACCUUAGCUCCAAGGAAUUAGAGGUUUAGUUACUCAUUCUCUGGGGAAAACUCCUCAGAGAAUUCAUAACUUAGAAAGAAAAUAAAAAUACAAAGUGAGAAGGUAAGGCAGUAGAAAGAACUGAACUUUACUUGCUUACCAAAAACUUUACAAAAGGAUCUCCUCUCUUGAGAACAGGCUCCCGAGAGGUAUAUAUAUGAACCUAAUAUAAAACUAAUUAUUACAUAGAUAUUUAGUCUUUUUACUAACUUAAAAGCUAAGGAAUCUUGUAAUUGGUGGUUUACAAGGAGUAUUUUGGGAUUUAGACAACAAAAAUCUGAUGUAAAAUAUCUCCCAAUGUCGGUAGCAAAUAUCGGGAUGCUCCAGGGACCAUUUCGCAAGAGAAAAUGGUGUCUGCGAGAUUUCGCAGACACUCAAGAGGGCUGCGAAAUAAUUUCGCAACACCAAGCUAUCUUCACAGGGCUGCGAAGUUGGCUUCCACCUUGAGGUUCCCAGCUUCCUUCUCACGGCAUAAAUUGGGCAUCGUCAGAAGGAGAAACAUCACACUGUUCAAAAAGGCUGCGAAAUCACUUCGCAACAAAAGGGUGAUUUCGCAGCACUUUGCAAAAUGCUUCCUUCAGCUCGGAGUGAUUGGCUUGUAACGGCUGCAACUUCUUCGUUUCAACUCCGAAUUGCGCACCGUUUGAAGCAUUGGAUUGUUGACUUCCUGAGCUUUGAAAUGGUAUAUAGAAUGCAUCAUUUGGACUUCAGAAAGUGCUCCAAAAGUGGCUGCUACGACUAUCAUCAAGAAUAGGCUUCAUGGCAGAUUCUCUUUGCUUUUUCUCCUUGCAAUACAAAUUUACUCUUGGCAAAUGACUUCUAAGCUUUGCCCAAGAUUCCUCAUAGCUCUCCUCAGUCUUGACUUGCUUUGGUGAUCAAAAUACUAACAAAAACACCAAAACUUACACAAAGUGAUUAAAAUUGCUUUAAAGGAUCCUUAACAUGCCAAUUGAGUUAAAAGGCCUAAACUACUACUCAAAAGUGUUUAAAAGGAUUAAUUAUAGGCUAUCAAAUAGCACUUUUUGAGUAGUAAUCAAUGUGCUAAAGUCUUCACUCAUGCAAAUUGGUUUGACUUGAAUGCAUUGUGAUAUUUCAAGGGAGGAAAAAACCUUCCUUUUUUGAAUGUGCGUCAGCCUCCAUUAUUCGCAAAGGUGAACUUGAUUUCAGGCAAUUUAAUUUAAUUAAAUUAACUAAUUAAUAAUUAAAAAAAUUACCUUAAUACUUGAGGGGAAUUUUUAACAAAUUAAAUAUCCAUAAAAAAAAUGAAUAUUUAAGAUUUGACCCUCAUGUAAUCAAGUCUAGCUCUGACGCGAAGCGGUGUCCUAUUUUUGGGACUUAUGUGCUAAAGUCUUUACUCAUGCAAAUUGGCUUGACUUGAAUACAAUGUGAUAUUUCAAGGGAGGAAAAAACCUUCCUUUUUUAAACGCGCGCCGGCCUACAUUAUUCGCAAAGGUGAACUUGAUUUCAGGUAAUUUAAUUUAAUUUAAUUAAUUAACUAAUAAUUAAAAAAAUUACCUUAAUACUUGAGGGGAAUUUUUAACAAAAUUAAAUAUCCAUAAAAAAAUAUGAAUAUUUAAGAUUUGACCCUCAUGUAAUCAAGUCGUAGCCUUGACGCGAAGCAGUGUCGUAUUUUCGGCACUUAUGUGCUAAAGUCUUCACACAUGCAAAUUGGCUUGACUUGAAUGCUUAGUGGUGUUCAAGUUUUAAUAUUUAAUUAAACCUGGAAUAAUACUUGGUAUCUAUGCAAACAAGUUAUGGCCCUAAUUCUAAAAAUACAAGUGAAUGUCACUUCAAAUGCCGAAAUAUUAAACCAAACCUUGUGUACUAUGAUGAGACCAACUCUCAUCCUCUUGAUGCAGAUGUCUUAUUUGCUAACGUCCCAACUUCAACUCAACCAAUAGAACUUGAUGAUGAAGAGGUAAUUUUUUUUUUUUUUAGCAUUGAUACUAACAAAAAUAAAUAUUUGCCUUAGGUGGUAGGUGACAACCAAUUUGUCAAUGAAGGGGAUGAGUCUCUCCUAAGGAUCAGUUUGAAAAUGUUGUUGCUACUAGGGAGUCGACGCCCUUUACAUUGACUAUGCAAUGAGAUAAUCACCCUAUCCUCUCAUUACCUUUGCCUCAUUCUCGUUUGGGUGAUGAUUCAUGCCCAGUCGGUGUAUUAGCUAAUUCAUGUCCAGCUGGUGUCCCUUGAUUUUGGUCCUCAGGGAGUAAUCAACAAAAUUUAUAACCUAUUACACCAUGAACUAGGGUAGCAAAGACAAAGCUACUAUAGCAUAGUGGCUCUAGGAUUGUUCACUGGGAUGGGUUUUCACUUCACAAAUGAUAUUAAUUCAAAGCUGAAUUGGUGUCUUUUCAUUUCAAGGUUAGCUUUAAAAGAAAACAUAAUCUUUAGUGGAAAAAGGUUUGGUUUUAAACUAACCAAAAAUAGUAACUGAUUUUACUUACAAAGAAAAGUGUUUCUUGGAGUUUAGAUCACUGGGUUCAGAUUCCUUGUACAAAAAGGAGAGUUCCGGUCACUUGUUUAUUUUCCUCGCAUUAGAGAAUUAACAUAUAGUUAAUUCUCUAACCAGUUUUGUACAGAUGCUUCCCAUUAAUGGGUUCAAACACUAAAUCCCUCUCACUGAUGCACCUUGCAAUGGCUCAUACCUCUCACCUAGCACUUGCCAUUCAAGGUGAUCUUUAACCUUGGAUUUACCGUCAAAAGCUCGCAAGAGAUAACUAAUGGAUGUCUCCGUGGAGUCCAAAAGCUUACCAAGUGUUGGCUAUUCUAGAAAAUCCUACCUUCAAACCACCUCCCAAAGGCUCGCAAGAGAUAAACUAGUGCAUCUCAAUGGAUAGAGAUCACUUGCCUUAUCAAGUGUUGGCCCAGGUGAUUAAAAGGCGUUUUAAGUUAACUAAAAAGAUAAAAACCAUUAACGGGUCAUACUUUCUCUUCAUUAAAAACUAAAACAACAAAACUUCCAAUUUAUGCAUGUGGAAACUUACCUAGAUUUCUUCACUCCAAGAGACAAAAAGCCUAGCCUCUCAUCCUCUGAGAAAACAUCCUCAGAGUUUGAUUGGCUAGAAAUAAAAAUAACAAGAAAAAAUAUAUAUAUCUGAAAAGCAGAGCAAGUGCUCUGUAUUUUACUUACUUCCCAGAACUGUACAAAGGAUAUAUGAUCGAUCUAUCAUCGAUCCCCCCUUUCUUUAUCAUGAUUAUUACAAACUAUAUAUAAGGGGUUAUUCACCCUUUUGUUUUUACUUAAGGACUAAGGAAUCAUAUGAUAGGUGGGUUACAAGGAGAGUUUGGGGAUUUAGACAUCAAAUAUCUAAAGCAAAAUAUCUAAAGAAAAAUAUCUAAAGAUAAAGAUCUAAAGAAAAAUAUCUAAAGAUGUCGGUUGCACAUAUCGGGAAGCUUCAGGAGAACAUCGCAGCACUGUGCAAAAUGGCUGAGAAACUCUCCGGGUGAACGCUAUCAGCACUGUGCAAAAUGACUGCGAAACUAUCCGGGUGAGCGCUAUUAGAGGAUCCGGAUAUGUAUAUCCGGAGAAGUUGAAACGCCCUCCUCUCCCAUCCAGCUCCUGAAUUCCGGAUGUCAUCCUGGUGGAAAUGGCGGCGGCAACAUAAUUCCGGAUGCCAUCCGGGUGGAAUGGCAGUAGCCGGAUGGAAAGGGGCGGCAGCCGGAUGGAAUGAGCAGGAUCCCAUACUCCUUGUAUUCUGGAUUUGCUUAUGGAUUCCAAAGAACUCUCCUCAAUCUCGGAUUGCUUUGGUGAUCAUAAAGCUAUCAAAACACCAAAACUUAACACAAUUUGAUUAGAAUUGAUUGCAAGGGUCCUUAACAUGCCAAUUGGGUUAAAAGGUAAUAACUACUACUCAAAAGUGUUUAAAAGAGUUAAUUACAAACUAUGAAAUAGCACUUUUUGAGUAGUAAUCAGGUGAUGAAGGUAUUACUAACAUCUUAAGUGAUGUUCUAAUCGAAUCUCAAGGUCAAAAUACCAUAAUUGGAGAUAUAACAUAUGAUGAAUUGAUACUUUUAAUAGUUGCAGGUUUAAUUGCUGAACAACAAUCUCCAUGCUCUACUGUGGUUGCUCUUUAUACUUCCACUCACACAUUCGAUGUCGAACAAAUCAUCCUUAAUGCUCAACACCAAGCAGCGCUUAUGAUAGGAGAAGACAUUAAGGAGAUGAUUAUCAAAACUUCUAAUGAGUGUCCCAUUAUUGAGAGGAAAACUUGAUGAGCUUUUCAAUGCUAUCACGAAGAUUGUAGUGGACCCUUCACCAUUGAAGUCUCAGAUUGAGAAGUACAUGGAAAGUGUAGAUCACCUCGAUGUAGUGCAACACACCCAUUCUAUGAAGAUAUCUCCGGAAGUACAAAGCAAACGUUUAACUAUUGUUGUGUCUCAGAUUGUGGAUGCUCUAAACUUUGAAGGUGUACAGACAAACCGUAGUCAAUCAUUAAAGUUUGACUUAGCUACUCUCGAUGCUAAAUAGGAAGCACUUAAGAAGGAAUUGGAGCAACUAGGUAUACAAAAGGAGCGCCUUCACAACUCAAUAUUGGAGAUCGAUGAGAUUAUAGCCAAUAAACAAAGUGAUGUUUCUCGCUUGAGGUGCUUAUUGAUGUCGAUGUCAAGACUUUAGAGACACUUCAAGAAGCCUUAAGGAUUCAACGUGACGAGUUUACAUGCUUGGUGUGGAUGUGAUCAUUGUAUCUUUUUACUUAGAUUUAGCUCUCAUUCUUUUCCUUCAUUCAUUAUUUUAUUUUUAUUAAGAUGUAAUAAAGUCUAGCAUUUGUUAGCCAGAUUAUUUAUUAAUAAAAAUGAGACUUUAUUUUUUGGUAGUGACUGAACUCAAGUGGUUUCCCUGAGUUGCCUACAUACCCUUCAAAGAGAGGGAAUCAAGUCAAACGUAGUUCCAAAUUUUUAUUUUUUUAUUUUUUUAUUAUUAUUUUUUUUUACGCUCUAACUUUUGCCAAGACUAAAAUAAAGAUUUAAUCUUGCGAGCAUAUGUCCUAACUUUUGCCUAAGUCGCCUUUUCAGGUUUUCAACUUGACAUUUUUUUUUUUUGCGUCGUAUGCAGUUUAUGCUCAUGCAGGCCAGGAGCACAGUGUGACUCAAGCAUAAUAACGUUUUAAGAAUUUGCCAUUGAUAGGGUCAAUUCUUAAUCCGUCUUCAGCAAUGAUCUUAUAAGCACCAUUGGUGUAAACUUCUUACACCACAUAAGGUCCAUCCAAUUUUGAUGUAAAUUUGCUCCCAGUCUUAUGUGUGAUGAUGAUGGGUCUAUGAAUGGCAAGAACUAGAUCACCGAUUUGAAAAGACCGAAGACGAAUCUUUUUGUUAAAAGCUCUUGAAAGGCGUGCUUGAUAACACUCUAAGAGUUGUUGGGCUUCAAGUCGCUUUUCAUCUAGUGUUUCUAACUCUUGAAGACGUAACUUGGCAUUAUCUUCAUUAGUUAGUCCUUCAUGUAUAGCAAUCUUUAAUGAAGGGAUCUGACGCUCAAGGGGCAAUACAACUUCUACACCAUAAACGAGGGAAUAAGGGGUUGCUUGUGUAGGUGUUCGAUAUGUUGUUUGAUAUGCUCGAAGUGCUUCUCCUACUCGUUCAGGCCAAUCCCUCUUUGACUUAUCAACAAUUUUCUUCAAUAAGUUGCAAAAGGUCUUGUUCAAUGCUUCUGCGAGACCAUUGGCCGGUGCAUUGUACAUUGAUGAAUUGUGUUGUUUGAAACUGAACCUCUCACAUAGAUUACUCAUCGAUUUUUUUAUAGAAGGGUUUCCCAUUGUUAGUGAUUAUGUAUCGUGGCACCCCAUAUCAAUAGAUAAUAUUACUUCGAAUGAAGUUCACUACAUUUUAUGUCUUCACUUCUUUAAGUGGCACAUCUUCCGCCCAUUUUAAAAAAUAAUCUGUUGCUACUAAUAUGUAAGCAUGCCCAGCGGAAGAUUUAGGAGUAAUGGGUCCGACCACGUUAAGUCCCCAUGCAUCAAAUGGCCAUGACGCAAUCGUAGGAUGGCGUGGCUCAGGGGGUUGGUGUAUAAAAUUUAAGUGGAAUUGGUACGAUUGACACUUGUUUGCAUAUUCCAUACAAUCCUUAACCAUAGUUGGCCAAUAUUAUUCCAUCAUUUUGAUUCUAAAAUGAAGUUUUAGCCCUAACUGGUGAGCCCCACAAAUCCCAGAAUGGGCUUCUUCAAUUACUUGAUUUGCCUCUUCUCCUCCUAGGCAUCGAAAAAGUACUCCAUCGAAUGAGCGUCGAUAAAGUGUUUCUUUGUAGUAAAUGAAGCGUGGAGCUCAACGUCGUAUUUUUGUUCAAUGUCUUAGUUCAUCAGAUAACUUCCCAUGCUCUAAGUAGUCAAUUAAUGGUUGUUGCCAAUCUUCGCUGUCAAUAGUGAAUACUGAUGUAGCGUUUACUUCUUCUUGUUGUAAUAUUGGCAAUGGUGGUAGUACCCACUUAUGGCAAAGAGGGACAUGUACAAUCUCAUCCUUAAGCAGUGUCAAACUUGCAACUAGAUUAGCUAGAGCAUCUGCCAUUUGGUUUUCUUUUCGUGGGAUAUGAACUAAAGAAAUUCGCUCAAACUUUUCCAUCAAUUGGGUAGCAUAUUGGAAGUAAGGAACUAAGUCAUCACUUUUAACCUCAUACAAGGCUAACAGUUGAUUGAUUACCAACUUAGAAUCACCACAUAUCUCUAAGCUUGUGAUAUUCAUUUCAAUCGCCAUUUUUAAACCUAUAAUUAAGGCUUGGUAUUCAACGACGUUGUUGGAGCAUCUCUCACUAAGAACAAAUGAAUACGGUAGUAUCUGUCUUUGUGGUGAGACAAAUACAACACCUGCACCUGUUCCAUCAUAGCGUGCUGAUCCAUUGAAGAACAUCAUCCAUGAAAGAAAAAUGUCAACAUAAAAGAUCUCCUCAUCAAGAAAGUCAUCUGAAAUUUCCCAUGUUAUAGGGAUAGGAUUAUCUGCCAAGAAGUCUGCAAGUGCUUGUCCUUUGAUUGUCUUUUAAGGGAUGUAGAUUAUUUCAUACUCAGUGAGUAACAACCUCUAUCUUGCUAAUCAUCCUAAAAGAACUGGCUUUGAUAGCACAUACUUAAUGGGAUCACGUGUGCUAUUAAGUGUACUAUGUAUGCCUGCAUGUAAUGUCUUAGCUUCUUUGUCGAGAAGAUUAAAGCAAGACAAGUUUUCCCUAUUGGGGAGUAAUUUAGUUCCGCUCCCAUUAGAGUUCGACUUAGGUAAUAUAAUGCCCUUUCUUUGUUUUCCUCAUUUUCUUGUGCAAGUAAUGCUCCAAGAGAGCAUUCUUGUGCGGCGAUGUAGAGUAUCAAUGGCUUCCCUGCCAUAGGAGCACCUAAGAUUGGUGGAUUAGCCAAAUAUUUUUUUUAUGCUCUCAAAGGCAUUAUGACAAGCUUCGUCCCAAACAAAUGGGACAUUUUUCUUCAUAAGUCGGUUGAAGGGUUGACAUCGUCCUGCAAGGUUUGAAAUAAACCGUCAAAUGAAAGCAAGAUGUCCUUGAAGACUUCUAAGUUCUUGAAGAUUCCUUGGCUCUGGCAUAUCUCGAAUGGCUGCGAUCUUAGAUUGAUCCACUUCAAUGCCAUAGUGUCGAACAAUAAACCCUAGAAACUUACUAGAAGUAACACCAAAAGCACAUUUAAGCGGGUUCAUCUUGAUUUGGUACCUUCUUAACCUGUCAAACACCAUACGGAGAUCUCACAGGUGGUCUUCUCUCUUCCUAGACUUUACAACUAGGUCAACAACAUAGCACUCAACAUUCUAAUGGAGCAUGUCAUCAAAGAUUUUCUGCAUAGCAUGUUGAUAUGUUGCACCUACAUUCUUUAGUCCAAAAGGCAUCCCUUUGUAACAGUAAAUACCCUUUGAGGUAUGAAAUACAGUAAGUUCUUCAUCCCUUGGCGCCAUUCGUAUUUGAUUAUACCCUGAUGAUCCAUCCAUGAAGGAUAAAGCUUCAUGACCAGUAGUUGCAUCAACCAUAAGCUCGAUGAUUGGUAAUGGGAAGUCAUCUUUUGGGCAAGCAUUGUUUAAAUCUCUGAAAUCCACACAAACACGGAUCUGCCCAUUCUUUUUCUUAACUAGAACGAUGUUUGCAAUCCAUGUCGGGUACUUUACCUCCCUAAUGAAACCAACUUCAAUCAAUUUGUCAAUUUUGGUUUCUAUUUUCAAAACAAGUUCUGGUCGAAAUCGUCUUUGGGCUUGCUUAAUCAGUCGGACACCAUGCUUCACUAUGAGUUGAUGUACUGCAACUUUUGGAUCAAGACUUGGCAUUUCUUUGUACGACCAUGCAAAGACAUCUUUAUAAUCAAGUAACAACUCAAAAUAACUUUUCUCUUCAGAAGAACUUAGAAACAUACUUACAUAGAUUGGCCUUGGGUUUUCAUUUGUUCCUAAAUUGAGCUCUUUUAAUUCAUCUACAUUGGCUUGCCCCCUAUCUUCAAAUACUUGAGGAGCUUUCCCUGGUUCAUCUUCUGAAAAUUUUGAAUUAAAGUCAACUUGCACUGUAAUAUGGUAGCUAGUGUGCGUCGAACUUUCUUCAACAUCUUUAGGGCAUCCCUUGUCCGACAGCUUGGUAAUCACAAUGAUACAUCAUUUUACUUUUAACGAACCAUUAGUACAAAUUUCCCAAGUUGAAUGGCGCUUCAUCCUUGAUGGGAUUAAAUUUCUUGUCUUUGCAUCCUCCUUUAGUUCAAUACACUGUUUCAUAUUGGGAUUUCAUUGCCAUGAAUUUCGAGGUAAAUUCCUAAUCCUUUGUUGUAUUGACCUUUGUGGAAUAUAUGUUAAAUUCUGUUCUACUUGGUUAAAAUCGCUCAACCUAGUGAACACUGAAAUUUGAGGAGGAGAAUUUGACCCACUACUAUCUUCCAUGUCUUCUAUAGUGAUAUGUUGUGUACUUGCCUUAGUCUUCUUGGUCUUAGCUAAAAUUUUGAUAGACUCGAAAAGUACAAACCCUAAACCUGCCCUAGAAGGUUUGACUGCAUACCCUUGUUGUUUCAACUUCUUUUGAGUUUCGUUAAGGCCAUGCAUCUUUUCACUUGUAGUCUCGGGGCUAAGUUCUCCUAAUUGUGAUGACAAAGUGAAGUCAUACCCUGCCUUGGCUAAUAACUUAUAAGCCUUAGGGUUGAACCCCUCAUCUAUUAUUUUACCAUGAAUGAAUUCUUGCUUUGUUUGAUCUUUUGAGGAUUUGACGGAUUUUUGUGACUCAUCCCUAGAGAUAAGUUGUAAGUUUGGAAGGGGAAUGGUCGCAUCUUCUUUCAAGACCUGAAGGUCCCCAUUUUCCAAUAUUCGAGGUUGUACUUCACUUUUGUCUUCUAUGAAAGGUGGUUGACCCUCACUUCGUCAAGAUCUUGGGAUGUACCUAAAAACUGGGGAAGUAGUGACAAUCGUUGAGUCUAGUGUAGAUUUUUUUUAGGAUUUCUCUUUUUCUUCAAUUCGAGUCAUCAUUGGUUGUGAAAUUUCCUCUACUAAUGUCAAAUUACAUUGCUCAACUUUUCCCUUAAAUUUAGCCUUCCCAGAUGAUUACUACCCAAAAAGUGCUAUUUUACACCUUUAAUGCAUUAUGUUUUAAGCACUUUGGUGUAGUAGUUCUCCAUCUUUAGUCCAAUUGGCAUGUUAAGGACCUAGCAAUGUCUUCUAAUCAUAUUUGUGGCUAGUUUUAGUGUUUUGACAUCUUUUUGGAUCAUUAAGACAAGCCAAUCAAAGGAGAAAAGCAAAGAGAAGCAAGGAGGAAAGCAGAGGACAGCAGCUGCAGUCUUCGUUGGCACUUUUGGAGCAAUUCCCGAAGUCCAUUUUCUACAUGCUAUAUACCAUUUCAAAGCUCAGGAAGUCAAGAAUCCAACGCUUCAAACCGUGUAUGAUUUGGAGCUGAAACGAGGAAGAUGUGGCUUUCGGAAGACAACUGCUCCAGGUGUGCGAANNNNNNNNNNNNNNNNNNNNNNNNNNNNNNNNNNNNNNNNNNNNNNNNNNNNNNNNNNNNNNNNNNNNNNNNNNNNNNNNNNNNNNNNNNNNNNNNNNNNNNNNNNNNNNNNNNNNNNNNNNNNNNNNNNNNNNNNNNNNNNNNNNNNNNNNNNNNNNNNNNNNNNNNNNNNNNNNNNNNNNNNNNNNNNNNNNNNNNNNNNNNNNNNNNNNNNNNNNNNNNNNNNNNNNNNNNNNNNNNNNNNNNNNNNNNNNNNNNNNNNNNNNNNNNNNNNNNNNNNNNNNNNNNNNNNNNNNNNNNNNNNNNNNNNNNNNNNNNNNNNNNNNNNNNNNNNNNNNNNNNNNNNNNNNNNNNNNNNNNNNNNNNNNNNNNNNNNNNNNNNNNNNNNNNNNNNNNNNNNNNNNNNNNNNNNNNNNNNNNNNNNNNNNNNNNNNNNNNNNNNNNNNNNNNNNNNNNNNNNNNNNNNNNNNNNNNNNNNNNNNNNNNNNNNNNNNNNNNNNNNNNNNNNNNNNNNNNNNNNNNNNNNNNNNNNNNNNNNNNNNNNNNNNNNNNNNNNNNNNNNNNNNNNNNNNNNNNNNNNNNNNNNNNNNNNNNNNNNNNNNNNNNNNNNNNNNNNNNNNNNNNNNNNNNNNNNNNNNNNNNNNNNNNNNNNNNNNNNNNNNNNNNNNNNNNNNNNNNNNNNNNNNNNNNNNNNNNNNNNNNNNNNNNNNNNNNNNNNNNNNNNNNNNNNNNNNNNNNNNNNNNNNNNNNNNNNNNNNNNNNNNNNNNNNNNNNNNNNNNNNNNNNNNNNNNNNNNNNNNNNNNNNNNNNNNCAAUACAUGGUAAGCUUCAAGUCUUUAUGGAUGCUUAUUGCUAGAUCCAUAUUAGUCCAUUAGUUAUCAUGUACGAGUCAUUGGAAAGCGGUUCAAGGUGAAGACCUAUAGUGUCUAAAGCCAUUAAUGGACUUUGACUACCAUUUAUAUUGAUUAUUAUGGAUUAAAUCUUCAUUGUUAAACCUAUACCGGUUCGGGAAAUAACUAUAGGUUAAAUCCCCAAUGCGAGGAGAAAAAUCCGGAAUUUUCCACUUUGCAUUCUAAACUUGAUCCUAGCAAUCCUGAGCUCCGGGAGACUUUCUUUCUUCCAUUUUUAAUUAGUUUAUGUUAGUUUAGUUUCAAACACUUUCAAAACAAAUUUUAUUUUCUUUUAAACUUUAAGUUUUUGAUUAAGGAAAUCAUUAAAUACAAUUUCUAAUUUUGAGUAUAUCACUGGUAGAAUGAAAACCCAUCCCAGAGUUCGACCCUAGAGCCACUAUACUAUAGUAGCUUUGCUAUAUUAGUAUGAGGUCAUAGGUUUUAUAAAUGUUUUUGAUUAAAUGACCCAUUUGGAGUUACACGCGAAUCAAAAUGGCGCCGUUGCCGGGGAUGGUGCCACGAUACAGUGAUACAACCUUUUAGAGGCUACUUGUGAUUUUCAUCACAAGUUUGGUGAAUUCCUUUUUCACUAACUUUAUUUCUUUUUUUUUUAUUGUAGAAUUUCUUUUGUUUUCUUUCUAACUUUAACUUUCUUCUAGUUUUCUUUUGUUUUUGUUGUGUUUGUUUUAUUUCAGGUAAGUAAUAACUUGUGCAUGCCCUAUUGGAUUCGGGACCAAGAGGGAAGAUUAGUAAGGAUUGAGAAUCCUCAAGACACAGAGUUGGAUAUCUGUGUAAACAUCAUGGACCCUCCAGAAGAGGAUCAGAAUUCUCAACAAGGUCAAGGGGGUAAUCCCAAUGCAUAUUUAUCCAUGAGGGAUAGAAUGCACCCACCAAGGAUGAGUGCACCCUCGUGCAUCCUGUCUCCUCUUGAGCAGUUGGUUAUAAGGCCCCAUAUUGUGCCCCUUCUACCAACUUUCCAUGGAAUGGAGAGUGAGAAUCCAUAUGCCCACAUCAAGGAGUUUGAGGAGGUGUGCAAUACCUUUAGAGAGGGAGGAGCUUCAAUAGACUUGAUGAGACUCAAGCUAUUCCCUUUUACUUUGAAGGACAAGGCAAAAAUAUGGCUUAAUUCUUUAAGGCCAAGGAGCAUAAGGAAUUGGGUUGAUCUUCAGGCCGAAUUUUUGAAGAAAUUUUUCCCCACCCAUAGGACCAAUGGGUUGAAGAGACAAAUCUCAAACUUUUCUGCAAAAGAAAAUGAGAAGUUCCAUGAAUGUUGGGAAAGGUAUAUGGAGGCCAUCAAUGCUUGUCCUCAUCAUGGCUUUGAUACAUGGCUCUUGGUGAGCUAUUUCUAUGAUGGGAUGUCUUCCUCCAUGAAGCAAAUUCUUGAAACCAUGUGUGGAGGAGAUUUUAUGAGUAAGAAUCCGGAAGAAGCCAUGGACUUUUUAAGUUAUGUGUCUGAGGUGUCAAGAGGAUGGGAUGAGCCCAACUCAAGAGAGAAAGGGAAGUUUCCCUCUCAACCAACCCAAAAUCCAAAAGGUGGAAUGUAUGUAUUAAGUGAAGACAUGGACAUGAAAGCUAAAGUGGCAACAAUAGCAAGGAGGUUGGAAGAACUUGAGUUGAAAAAGAUACAUGAAGUCCAAGCCAUUUCCGAGACCCAAGCCCAUGUCAUGCCAUGCACCAUUUGCCAAUCAUGUGAUCAUGUGGUAGAUGAGUGCCCAACCAUGCCAGCUGUGAGAGAGAUGUUAGGUGAUCAAGCCAAUGUUGUGGGGCAAUUUAGGCCUAACAACAAUGCACCUUAUGGAAACACCUAUAAUUCAAGCUGGAGAAACCAUCCAAAUUUUUCAUGGAAACCAAGACCACCUCCAUACCAACCAUAAGCCCAAACCCAAGCACCUCAACAAACCUCUUCAGUGGAGCAAGCCAUUGUGAACCUAAGUAAAGUCAUGGGUGACUUUGUGGGUGAACAAAAGGCAAUCAACUCCCAAUUGCAUCAAAAGAUUGAAAAUGUUGAGAGUUCUCAAAUUAAGAGAAUGGAGGGGAUGCAAAAUGAUCUAUCUCAGAAGAUAGAUAAUAUUCAAUACUCCAUCUCUAGGCUUACCAACCUCAACACUGUGAAUGAAAAGGGAAAGUUUCCCUCUCAACCAAGCUAAAAUCCCAAGGGUGUUUAUGAAGUUGAAACCCAAGAGGGGGAGUCUUCAAAGUUAAGGGAGGUUAAAGCUGUGAUCACUUUAAGGAGUGGAAAAGAGGUUGAUCAACCCCUGCCUAAGGUGAAGCAAGAUGAAGAACUCAUGUCAAAGAAAACCUUGGUCAAAGAGAGCAAUAACCAAGAAGAGAAGAGUGGGAAGAAAAGUGCAUCCAAAUCAAGCAUUGAAGAAGAGCCAAGGGUAGUGAUUAAAGAGGAUAUGAUGAAGAAACAUAUGCCUCCCCCUUUUCCUCAAGCUUUACAUGGAAAGAAGGAAAUCAAGAAUUCAUCAGAAAUUCUUGAAGUCUUGAGACAAGUGAAGGUGAAUAUACCCUUACUUGAUAUGAUCAAGCAAGUCCCCACAUAUGCAAAGUUUCUAAAGGACUUGUGCACGGUCAAGAGAGGGUUACAUGUGACAAAGAAUGCAUUCCUCACUGAGCAAGUAAGUGCUAUCAUUCAGAGUAAGUCUCCAGUUAAGUACAAAGAUCCGGGAUGCCCCACCAUUUCAGUCAACAUUGGAGGGACACAUGUGGAGAAAGCUUUACUAGACUUGGGGGCAAGUGUGAAUUUGCUCCCAUACUCUGUGUACAAGCAACUGGGACUUGGAGGAUUGAAGCCCACAGCUAUCACUCUCUCCCUAGCUGACAGGUCAGUCAAAAUCCCAAGAGGGGUGAUAGAGGAUGUUCUAGUUCAAGUGGACAAAUUCUACUAUCCUGUGGAUUUUGUUGUGCUUGAUACUGAUCCCAUUGUCAAGGAAGCAAACUAUGUACCAAUCAUCCUUGGGAGACCUUUCCUAGCUACCUCCAAUGCCAUUAUCAAUUGUAGAAAUGGGGUGAUGCAGCUCACAUUUGGGAAUAUGACCUUGGAAUUAAACAUAUUCCACCUAUGCAAGAGGCAUCUUCACCCAGAAGAAGAGGAAGGAUUGGAGGAGGUGUGCUUGAUCAACACCUUGGUUGAAGAGCAUUGUGACAAGAAUUUACAAGAGAGCUUGAAUGAAAGCCUAGAAAUGUUUGAAGAAGGGUUACCUGAACCCUCUGAUGUUCUACCUAUCAUGUCUCCUUGGAGGAGACGGGAAGAGAUCUUACCACUGUUCAAUCAAGAAGACUCACAAGAAGCAACUGUGGAGGACCCUCCAAAACUUGUUUUGAAGCCACUUCCUGUUGAUUUGAAAUAUGCAUAUUUGGAGGAAAAUGAGAAAUGUCCAGUGGUGAUUUCUUCAACUCUUACUAUUGAUCAAGAGGAUAAUCUUUUGGGAGUCCUCAGGAAAUGCAAGAAAGCCAUUGGAUGGCAAAUUUCUGAUCUGAAAGGGAUUAGCCCUUUGGUGUGCACCCACCAUAUCUAUAUGGAGGAUGAUGCAAAACCAGUGAGGCAGCCCCAGAGGAGGUUGAAUCCUCACAUGCAAGAGGUGGUGAGGGGUGAAGUUCUGAAGCUACUCCAAGCUGGGAUCAUAUAUCCCAUUUCAGACAGUUUGUGGGUGAGCCCCACCCAAGUAGUCCCAAAGAAAUCUGGAAUCACUGUGGUCCAGAAUGAGAAAGGGGAGGAAGUCUCUACACGUCCUACCUUAGGAUGGAGGGUGUGUAUAGACUAUAGGAGGUUGAAUUCAGUGACUAGGAAGGACCAUUUCCCUUUGCCUUUCAUGGACCAAGUCCUUGAGAGAGUCUCAGGACAUCCUUUCUACUGUUUUCUGGAUGGGUACUCGGGGUACUUCCAAAUAGAGAUUGAUUUGGAAGAUCAAGAAAAGACAACCUUUACUUGCCCCUUUGGUACUUUUGCGUAUAGGAGAAUGCCCUUUGGGUUAUGCAAUGCUCCUGCAACUUUCCAAAGAUGUAUGCUAAGCAUCUUCAGUGAUAUGGUGGGACGCAUCAUGGAAGUCUUCAUGGAUGACAUCACUGUUUAUGGAAGUUCUUAUGAGGAGUGUUUGUUGCAUUUAGAAGCUGUUCUCCAAAGAUGUAUUGAGAAAGACCUAGUGCUAAAUUGGGAGAAGUGCCAUUUUAUGGUACAACAGGGAAUUGUCUUAGGACAUAUCAUCUCCAAGAAGGGCAUUGAGGUAGACAAAGGCAAAGUGGAGCUAAUUGUUAAGUUGCCACCUCCCACAAAUGUUAAAGGAAUUAGCAAUUCUUAGGACAUGCCGGGUUCUAUAGAGUUCAUUAAGAUUUCUCAAAAUCUUCAAAGCUCUUNNNNNNNNNNNNNNNNNNNNNNNNNNNNNNNNNNNNNNNNNNNNNNNNNNNNNNNNNNNNNNNNNNNNNNNNNNNNNNNNNNNNNNNNNNNNNNNNNNNNNNNNNNNNNNNNNNNNNNNNNNNNNNNNNNNNNNNNNNNNNNNNNNNNNNNNNNNNNNNNNNNNNNNNNNNNNNNNNNNNNNNNNNNNNNNNNNNNNNNNNNNNNNNNNNNNNNNNNNNNNNNNNNNNNNNNNNNNNNNNNNNNNNNNNNNNNNNNNNNNNNNNNNNNNNNNNNNNNNNNNNNNNNNNNNNNNNNNNNNNNNNNNNNNNNNNNNNNNNNNNNNNNNNNNNNNNNNNNNNNNNNNNNNNNNNNNNNNNNNNNNNNNNNNNNNNNNNNNNNNNNNNNNNNNNNNNNNNNNNNNNNNNNNNNNNNNNNNNNNNNNNNNNNNNNNNNNNNNNNNNNNNNNNNNNNNNNNNNNNNNNNNNNNNNNNNNNNNNNNNNNNNNNNNNNNNNNNNNNNNNNNNNNNNNNNNNNNNNNNNNNNNNNNNNNNNNNNNNNNNNNNNNNNNNNNNNNNNNNNNNNNNNNNNNNNNNNNNNNNNNNNNNNNNNNNNNNNNNNNNNNNNNNNNNNNNNNNNNNNNNNNNNNNNNNNNNNNNNNNNNNNNNNNNNNNNNNNNNNNNNNNNNNNNNNNNNNNNNNNNNNNNNNNNNNNNNNNNNNNNNNNNNNNNNNNNNNNNNNNNNNNNNNNNNNNNNNNNNNNNNNNNNNNNNNNNNNNNNNNNNNNNNNNNNNNNNNNNNNNNNNNNNNNNNNNNNNNNNNNNNNNNNNNNNNNNNNNNNNNNNNNNNNNNNNNNNNNNNNNNNNNNNNNNNNNNNNNNNNNNNNNNNNNNNNNNNNNNNNNNNNNNNNNNNNNNNNNNNCUCAACCAAGCCCCAAUUCUUCAAACGCACGGGUGAAUAGUCCCCUGUGCGAAAAUUUCCCCCCCCCCCCCUCCCCUGUGCGAAAAUCUCGCACACCACCCCCCCCCCCGGUGCAAAAAUCUCAGCUUCUCCAUCCCUACCUUCCCUAAUCCCAAGCCUCUGCGCCUCAUUUCAUCGCUCCAUCAUGCCAAAGACCCGAGGAGGAUCUACCACAGCCCCCCAGAGCAGUCAGAGAGCUGCCCCUGUGCGGGCCCCACUAGCUGCACCCUCACAUUUACCUGAUUCUGCCCCUCAGAGCAGAUACCAUACGAGGAAAGCAUCUGCCACGUCUGUGGCCCCACCACAAGUUCCGCCUCGGAGUCCUCCUACAAAGAGAGCCAAGACUUCAGAGCCAGGAGAUUCCUCCAGAGCACCUCGGGAUUCACAGUCUCAGCCUUCUUCCGCCAGGCGCCGUAGACCCAGCUUGCCCAUUGAGGGCAAUUCAGAUUGCCGAUUGAGAGACUUUCAUGUCGAGGCAUAUUUCGAUCACUCUCUUAUGCGACAGCAGCCUGAGUUGCGGGAUUCAUACCGCCUACUUGAGAGGUACCAUCUUAUACCCUUUAUGACUCUGCCCCAGUUCUUUUAUCCUCGAGUAGCUUUAGACUUUUACCAGUCUAUGACUACUCGUGGCGUCCCGGUACCUGCCUCGAUCCUUUUUACCAUUGAUGGACGCCAGAGUAUUUUGGGGGCUAGACAGAUUGCCGAUGCCUUCCAUAUCCCUUUUGCACUAGUAGAUCCCGCUACAUUUAGACGCUGGGUCCCAUUUUCUGAGUGGGACAUGGUUCGUAUCCUAUCUCGAGGGACAUCUUCCCAGAGGACCAUUUUGAGGAGAGAGCUUCCCCCAGAGAUGCUCCUAGUUGAUGUGGUGCUUCGCGCCAAUCUUUUUCCUCUUCAGCAUAAAGUACAGAGACGAGGGGCCAUUAUGGAGGCAUUAUUUCGUAUCUCUGAGGCCUACUAUUUUGGCCCCCAUCAUUUGAUUAUGGCCGCUCUCCUCCAUUUUGAGGAGAAGGUGCAUACGCGGCAUCUUGCGAGGGCAGACUCCAUUCCUUUACUUUUCCCUCGGCUGCUAUGCCAUAUUUUGGCGCAUAUGGGUUUUCCUACAGACCCUCGUUCAGAGCCCCGCCGCCAUUGUCGAGAGAGCUUCUCUCUUGACCAAUGGACUCAGAUAUGGCUCCAUCGCCAGUCCCCAGAACUUCCCGAGCCAAGGGAAGUCCCUCCUGCUCCGUCCACUACAGACCCUCCACAGCCAGUACCGGAGGCAGCAUCAUCUGAUGCCCCACCUGUUGUUCCUCCUACAUCAGAGCCGCCCAUUACUAUCCCUGGUCCAGAGUAUCGUGCCUUGCUCACUUCUUUCCAGACUUUGACCACUACUCAGACGGCCAUUAUGGAGCGCAUGGACCACUUCCAGACUCAGCAGGACCAGCAGACUCUCAUUCUCCGUGAGAUUCAGCAGCACCUCGGUCUUGUGCCACCAGCUCCACCUGUAGCGGUGCCUUCCACAGUUGCAGCGGAGGACCCCUCCUAUCCACCAGAGGAGCCUACUACUUGAUCAUACGAUCACUCAUCUCCUUUUUUGUAUCUAUAUGCUACGUUUUGGGAUGUCUUAUAUAUUUUGGACCACUUUUAUACUGGGAUUGGAUGUAUUCCAUGUUUAUUUUGUAUAUUGUACUUUCUCAGUUUAUAUAGACAUCUUCUCUUUUAGUGUAUUUUAGCUAUUCCAUUUUAUUUCCUCUUUUCAUCACUCUUAUGAUUUUCCUUUUCUUAUGCAACAUGUGGUUUCUCCUGUUCAUUCAGAGUCCCUUACUAUCAGGAGGUAUCACUUCCUCCCUUAUUUUAUCGCUUGCUUUUGGAACAUUGCGGACAAUGUUCAUCUUAGUUGGGGGGAGAGUUGAGGAAGUAAUUUGUUGAAUUUGUUAAGUUAUUUUGCUAACAAAUUUUUUGCAAACUCUCUUUGUUUUCUCAAAGAUAAAUUCUCAAAAGUAAAUGGGAGAAAUUAAAUUCUUAUCUUAUUGCCAUAGUCUCAGAGUUUGUAUUAUGCUUAUUAAAGUUGAUAAAUUGUUGAAGCUUCUUUUGUUUUCAAGCUUAAGUCUUCCACUCUAAUCUUUUCACACACUGAACACAUUAGAUUCCAGUUAUAAGAUGGAAAACUUUCUCACCCCCCNNNNNNNNNNNNNNNNNNNNNNNNNNNNNNNNNNNNNNNNNNNNNNNNNNNNNNNNNNNNNNNNNNNNNNNNNNNNNNNNNNNNNNNNNNNNNNNNNNNNGAUAUUCAAAUUUGCAUAAUGGUCGCUCUUUUGAAUGUUGUGAUAAGUAAGUUAUUUGAUGACUCGUGUUGAUGAUUGAGUUUUAUAUCCUUGACUUGCCACGAGAGUGUUUGAUCCAAUCAUGCCACUUGGUUAUUUUUUGGAGUGAUCAGCAUGAUUUUGUAAAUUAUUAUAUUAUCUAUUUUUCUUUCUUUUUCUCUCCUUCAUUGCUCAGGGACUAGCAAUGUGUCAGUUGGGGGGAGUGAUUACUACCCAAAAAGUGCUAUUUUACACCUUUAAUGCAUUAUGUUUUAAGCACUUUGGUGUAGUAGUUCUCCAUCUUUAGUCCAAUUGGCAUGUUAAGGACCUAGCAAUGUCUUCUAAUCAUAUUUGUGGCUAGUUUUAGUGUUUUGACAUCUUUUUGGAUCAUUAAGACAAGCCAAUCAAAGGAGAAAAGCAAAGAGAAGCAAGGAGGAAAGCAGAGGACAGCAGCUGCAGUCUUCGUUGGCACUUUUGGAGCAAUUCCCGAAGUCCAUUUUCUACAUGCUAUAUACCAUUUCAAAGCUCAGGAAGUCAAGAAUCCAACGCUUCAAACCGUGUAUGAUUUGGAGCUGAAACGAGGAAGAUAUGGCUUUCGGAAGACAACUGCUCCAGGUGUGCGAAAAUUUCGCACACCCCCUUAGCUGUGCGAAUGGUGUGCGAAAUUCGCACACCUUCUUCAGGUGUGCGAAAAUUUCGCACACCCCUUGCGUGGUGCAAAUUUUGCUCUGUUUUUGCCGACUCCACUUUAGAUAUUUUCCUAUGUAUUUUUUUGAUGUAAUUUCCUUUCUUAUCCUUGUAACUAACCAAUCACAAGCUUUUGCUUUUGUAAAGACUAUAUAAGGGGUGGAAAUUACCUCUUGGAAUAUAUGGAAUACGUAUUACGUUUUUACACUUAGAAUUUUACAGAGCUCUCUCGUUCUCUUUGCUCUUUACUAUUUUCUUUUUCUUGGAAGCCCAACAACCUCUAAGGAUGUUUGNNNNNNNNNNNNNNNNNNNNNNNNNNNNNNNNNNNNNNNNNNNNNNNNNNNNNNNNNNNNNNNNNNNNNNNNNNNNNNNNNNNNNNNNNNNNNNNNNNNNGAAGCCAAACAACCUCUAAGGAUGUUUGCCCGGAGGAUGAGAGGCUAAACUUUCGGUUUCUUGGAGUGAUGGAAGCUAGGUGAAAAGUCCAGAUGCAAGGUGGAAAACGCUCGUGCAUUAAAUUCAGGUAGUUGGAAUUCAUAAAUGGCUUUUAAAUCCAAAGUUUUGCUUUAAAUCUCUUAGAAUCACUUUGAAUGACCAAUACAUGGUAAGCUUCAGGUCUUUAUGGAUGCUUAUUGCUAGAUCCAUAUUAGUCCAUUAGUUAUCAUGUACGAGUCAUUGGAAAGCGGUUCAAGGUGAAAACCUAUAGUGUCUAAAGCCAUUAAUGGACUUUGACUACCAUUUAUAUUGAUUAUUAUGGAUUAAAUCUUCAUUGUUAAACCUAUACCGGUUCGGGAAAUAACUAUAGGUUAAAUCCCCAAUGCGAGGAGAAAAAUCCGGAAUUUUCCACUUUGCAUUCUAAACUUGAUCCUAGCAAUCCUGAGCUCCGGGAGACUUUCUUUCUUCCAUUUUUAAUUAGUUUAUGUUAGUUUAGUUUCAAACACUUUCAAAACAAAUUUUAUUUUCUUUUAAACUUUAAGUUUUUGAUUAAGGAAAUCAUUAAAUACAAUUUCUAAUUUUGAGUAUAUCACUGGUAGAAUGAAAACCCAUCCCAGAGUUCGACCCUAGAGCCACUAUACUAUAGUAGCUUUGCUAUAUUAGUAUGAGGUUAUAGGUUUUAUAAAUGUUUUUUAUUAAAUGACCCAUUUGGAGUUACACGCGAAUCACCAGAUGAGGGAAUGAUAAUAAAAAAGACUUCCUCUAUAACAUCAUUUUCUAUGUAAAAUUUAGCAUCAGCAAAAUAAGACUUGACUUCUGUAAAUGGCUUAGCUUCAACCUCUGCUUUCUUUACCACUCCUAUAUAGAAUUUGAAACACUAGUGUAGUGUUGAAGGAAUUACCCCAUUCUCAUGAAGCCAUGGUCGCCUGAGUAAUAGGUUGUAAGAUGUUUUUACAUCAAUUACAUGAAACAAUGUGUUUGAACUCAAUUCACCCGUAACAAGCUCUAGGUGAAUCAUACCAAUAGCUCAUUGUCCUCCUUGAUUAAAGCCCUGGAUCAUUAGGCGACUUUGAGUUAGUUCUUUUGUAGCAAUCCCGAGUCGUUUCAUUGUUGUUUUGGGCAUGAUAUUUGCUGCAGACCCUCCAUCAAUUAAGAUGCGAGUGAUAUUUUGUUCUCGUAUGUACCCAAUAACAAACAGAGGUCGAUUAUAUGGUUUUGACCCUAAUUGAAGGUCUUCACGGUAAAGGUGAUGACUGCACAACAUUUGACACAAUUGUGGCUUUCAUCCUCAAGUCCUUUUGUCCCCUUUAUUUUGGUGGCAUAGAGUGUGGGAUUAUUAAGUACUUGAAUCAACACAUUUUGUAUCUCAUUAGGAAGUUGUAGCAUUUCGUGGCGACUAAAUAGUGAGGGUAGGUGUUGUAAGCUUGUUACUACCCCCUCUUCUUCCUUAGUUUUUCUUGACUUAACACCAAGAAUGCUUUUCUCAUCUUCACUUAACCCCUCUUCUUUUGCAGUCUCAUUGCAAGAGACCAUAUGAGUUGAUAUUGUCACCCUUUUAUAAAAGAACCCUAAGGGGAAUUAUUCCCCUAGGGUGAUAGGGGUGAUGAGUUUCUGGAUCAAAAGGUUGUCUACUUGUACAAUUGCUUGUUUUCUAUCAGGAUUCUUUUUUUCUUUCUUUUUUAGAUGUUGACAAGUAUUCCACUCAUGUCGUCCCUUCCUAGGAAGGUUAGGGUAUGAAUGCGACAUUUGCUUCUUGCGAGGUCUUCUUUGUGUCACUAAUGUCCAACCUUCUUCGUUAUAUGACAUUGAUUUUUUAUCAGAGCAAAGACGAAGAAAGCUAUCUUGACACGACACUUGUGUUUGCUUUGGUUUCAGUGACUCGCAUUGAAUAGCACUGGCACAUGCUCCCAGUUUCUUAAGCGGAACAUGUAAUGGAAUAGGAUCAAAUGACCCAAAUGUGACUGUAGCAUGAUUUGACUCUACUACUUCAUCUAGAUCUAAAUGAAUUAUUCCUUGCUUUGCAAGUUUCAUUAUGAGAUCUUUUAAAACGAAACAUUUCUCCAUAGGAUGACUGCACAUUUGAUGGUAAUGAUAGUAGUUUGGAUUAUUAACACGACCCAUUUCUUUUAGACGCUUGCACUCAAGUAACUCAAUAACUUUUUUCUGGAGCAAGUCUUCCAACAUGUUAGGCACAUCAGAGUCAAGAAAAGGAUAUUUCUUCUCCUCUAAUUCCUUCAAGGUGAAUCAAUGUCUCUCAUUUUCCUAGAUUGGUCCAGUCUCUUUUACUUCUUUCUUUUUAUCCUUUGCUGAGAUUUUGACGGGAGCCGUAUUUAUCGUCAUUGACUCCUGGAUGGGUUUCUUCGAGGUCUUGUCACUCAUUUUCCCAUUAUGUCUCUCUUUUUGCCGAUCAACGGUAAGUUCUUUCUUAGAACAAUGGUUGGCUAUGCUAAGCUUCAUGUCAUGUGCUCGGGUAGCUAAUUCUUCAAAGUUAUGGGGUCGUAUCCCUUAGAGAAUGUAUAGGAGACCCCAAUGCAUUCCUUGUAUGCACAUCUCCACGGCUGAUACCUUAGAUAAUCUAUCUUUGCAAUCAAAGCUUAAGGAACGUCAACAGUUGAUCUAGUCUACAAUUGGGUCGUCUUUCCAUUGCUUAGUGUUAAUAAGUUCCAUCAUACUUACAAUUCAUCGGGUGCUAUAGAAACGGUUAAGGAAUUCACGUUCCAUUUGGUCCCAACUAUCGAUACACUCAGGUGCAAGGUCUAUGUACCAAUCAAAAGCAUUCCCUCGGAGAAAACAAGUGAAUUAUUUAACUAAUAAGUCACCAUCUAUACCUACAUUGUUACAAGUUUCAACGAAAUGGGGAACAUGUUGUUUUGGAUUUCCUUUCCCGUCAAAUGAUUGAAAUUUUAGAGGUUGAUAACCCACAGGCAUACGUAGGUUAUCAAUCCUCUUAGUGUAAGGUUUAGAGUACAUGCACGUACUCUGUGAGGGUCCACCGUACUGCGCUCUAAUGGUGUUAGUUAUCAUAUCCUGAAGUUGUUGGACAAAUAAUGACACCACUGAGGCAGAUUCCGUCGUUUGUCUCUCACUUUGCAUUGUCCUAUACGUAUGUGGUGCAUCAUCGAGAGGAGAUGCAACAUUCGAAAAGUGGUUGAGUCCUUGACUUAACUCACACGUAUUUUGUACUUGUGCCUCAACCUUGUUUAUGAGAGAGGUUAUCUACAUAUCCUUCUCUUCAACCGUCUUGGUGAGUUUGGCGAUGGCACGAGCCAUCUCUGCUAAUUGUUCCUCUACGAAUGUAGUGUCGAUUGCCAUUACCGGCAUAGUCAUCGAGAAAGGAGAAGUAAAAGAGUCGGAACAAUUGAAGUAGUUUUCCUCCUUUGACAUUCUAGUUGGCGAUUCGGAAUGUGAGUCGGUGCUAGAGUUGGCAUUGGUAACAAAGCAAGGAGAUUUAUCCCUAAAGUCCUGUAGUGUUGAAGGGAGUUUCCCUCUGCUAUGAGGACUAUGGCUCUUUGCCCCCAGAGAAACUAAGGUGAUGAGUGGUUGGUUUUCAUCGCAUGUUCUUACCUGUUUUAGCAAACAAGCAGACUCACUUGUUUGUUUUGUUGAGAUUGAAGAUGUUGAUUUUGCUUUGCUACGAGUCAUGGGGCUCGUAGCAAUGUCAUGUGUCGAUUGUGCAAUGACAAUCUUGUCAUUGCCCUUGUUGACAUGCACAACUUAAGUUUUUUUGGGUGUCAUCAACGUAGUAGAGAUCAAUCUUCUAACAAAAGAGAUGAGAGGCAGAAAUGUCCCACCGGGCGUGCUAGAAAUUUGUCAGCACAAAUUUCAUAAAUUUUGGUCCUGCAAAAUUAGCAAAACAAAAUAGGAAAAUAAUGCGAACAAAAUAUUUAUUAAAAUUAAAAAUAUUAUGGGUACAAUCUUAAAAAAAAAAAAAAAAAUUCUUUCCAAAAGAAUAUUUUUCCUCUGAUUCUUUUGCCUUGAUCACACUUUAGAAGACAAUGAUGACCUUUUCUUGAUUUUGAAGAUCAAUCGAGGCCCACAAGUGGCUUAUUCCCGAAUGACCUUGUUGAAUGGCGAAGAACGCGUGUAGUAGUUCUUUUGCCGCUUAUCAAACUUAUAGGGAGAUUUGAUGAAACUCUUUCUUUUGUUGUGAAACUCCUUUUCUCGUACGAAGUUACCUUUGGAUUUUCUCCUUAGGAUUUUCCUUUCUGAAAUUUUUUUUUUUUUUUCUGAUUUCUGAAUUUUCUUCCCCCUUCUAAAUGAAAGACACCUCUAUUUAUAGGUGAAGAUAGGGAAUUUGAAUUUCAAAUUCCCGAAUUUUAGUUGCUUAAUUCAAGGGAUUUAGUUCCUUGAUUUUAGCAAAAUUUCCUCUCCAGGAGGUUUUACCAACAAGAUAAUAAUAAUAAUAAUAAUUUUCUUGUUAUUAUUAUUAUCCUUUUUAUAGUUGGAGAUUAGGUAAACUUAUCCAUAAGAGUUUUUUUUUAAUUUAUUCAUUUUGAAGACCAAAUUAGUGGUAAUUUAAUCCACUAAUUUUUUUUUAUGUUUACAGUCACUAAUAAAUUUCAAUUUUAUCUUCCUAACGUACAAUCCAAAUAACUCUAACACUUCACUCAAAUAUUUAUCUUUCAUUCACAUGAAUUGAAUUUUUCUCCAACAUCAUUUCCACUAAAAAUCAAUUAUUGCAAAAAAAAUAUUAAAAUGAUAACUAUACAUGUAGAAUCCCUUACAAGUAGAAUCACUUGCAAAAUAACACCAUAAUAAGUAAAUCUAAAUCCAAAAAUAAUAAUAACAAAAUUCUCAAUUAAAAUAUAUUAUAUGAAAGUUUUGGGGAAUAAACUACUCUACCAAAAAUCGAGAAUCUAAUCGUUAAUUUUGAAAUUAGACUUCAUGAUAUUUCUCACAUAAAAUAAAUAUCCUCAUAAAAUUUCAAGCAAAAAAAUCAAAUUUAUUUGCUUCAUCAAACAACCUUCUGAAGAUCUAUGAUACUCAAUGCUCUGUUUUUUUCUUUUUUGCCCUUUUAAUUCUUUCUACACCUCUUUCUCUCUCCUAAGACUAGACUUCUUCUUUCUAUUUAUUAUUAUUAUUAUUAUUAUUUCCCUUAGUUGAUUUUUAUCGUUUCCCGUUCUUUUUUUAAGAUUUCACACCACUCUCAUAUGCCACCCCAACACCCCCCUCCUUUUCUCAUUUUCCUAUACAUUUACUAAUUUAAUUAAAUUUCAUAUCAUAAUAAAACUAUAUUUUACCAUAUUCCCAUUUUAAGCUUUUAUUUUUUCAAAUAUAUCAACUUUAGCUAAUAAUAUAAUAAUCCACUAACCUUCGUUCAAUUUACAAUAAUAAGAUUCUCGACCCUUCAAAAUGACAUUAGUUUAAUCCACUUCUUUUGUUAAAUAUACUUCAAUUAAAUCAACCUUUUAAAAAUUAAAUCUACUAAAUGAUAAUAUUCAUAUUUAAUCAAUUUAUCUUUUGGUAUAAAUUCCUAAAUUUACAUAAUAUAACUUCAUUUUGAUUCAAUUUUAUUUCAUGUUUUAUAAUUUUAUAAGGUUGAAUUCCCAUUAUAAUUAAAAAUUAAAUUGUUUUGUUAUAAUAUUAAAUUUUAAAUAAAAUAUCUUUUGAAAAAUUUAUUAUAACCAUACGGCAUAAUACAGAUUUCACCAAGUUUUUCUACCAAAGGUUUUCGGAUCAUUACCUUAUAAUAAUAAAAUUAAUUUUUACCAUAUAUUUAAUAUUCAAAUUUCAAAAAUCCAACCACAAAUAGUUUAAUAGUUAAAUUCAAAUUUAAUUUUGGAAAAAAAUGUGACUCGGAAAGAAUUUAAACUUUCUAUUAACUUUGUAAAAAUUACACUCAGUUAAAUAAAACGUUGACACGUGAAUGUUCAGUAACAUCAUGGCAAUAGACUGACAAAUAUGUGAAUUUUCAGCAUUCAUUUUGGAUGAUCUCGAGGGAUAGUCAUCGGCAGUAGACCGAAGUUUAUGAAGAUGUGAAAGCUCUUAUUCAGAAACACUCCGACAAGAGAGUGAAUGCUUGGAUGGCUCGAGCCCUUCAGGACCAUUUCUGGUCUCCAUGGACUAUCAUGGCUUUUAUUACAGUUGUUGUGAUACUAUUUGUUACUGGGGUUCCGUACUACGCUCUUCCCGGUAAUUAAAUAUAAUGUGAUGUGUUGUUUUUUUUUUCUUGUUUGGUGUGUAUGAUUAGAGAAAUAAAGAUGUAUAGAUUGUUGAAGUUGUAUCACUGAAUUUCAUGCAUGCAAUAUCAUUAGUGUAGGGACCCCUCCCCCUGAUGACACGUGGCAUGCAGUGCUAUCCGGAUCAAACUCCAUCCGGACUCCCCAAAAGGAUAUGCGCUUCGCUAUCCGUAGCAACUCUAUCCGUACUUUCCCAAGAGGAACACGUGGCAUGCAUUGCUAUCCGGAUCAAACUCCAUCCGGACUCCCCAAGAGGACAUAUGACGCGCUCCCCUAUCCGGACUCCCUCAGGGAGAAGCACACGUCACUCACGAAUGUCAAGUCCGGACGAUAACAUACCCUAUCCGGAUCAUUGACUGAAGUGAGCAAGUCUUGCUACAUCAUUUCAACAGCCUGCCACAGCCCACCAUCCGCCGCCUGCAGAGCGAAAGGACAGGGAUGGUGGCAGGUUACCUCCAACGAUCCGUCGCCUACAGAGCGAAAGGACAGAAAUGAUGGCAAGUCACCUCCCGCGAUCUCUAACAGCCGUCUAUAAGGUCAUGAUGGCUCUGCCACCACCUAGAGGCAUCAUGACAAGCCAAAAAGUAUUUCCAUCAUUAAAGAGGGAGGACGAGCUUCUGACACUAUAUAAAGGAACCUUCACACAAGGAAGAAGGUAAGCUUGCUAUACCCAGUAAAAGGCCAACUGCUUAAUCUCUCUAGACAUGGCUGACAAAACCAUCGGAGGGUGUGUCCGGACACCUUGUCCAGACAUCUUUUGCAGGAACGACUGAACCAGAACUCUAUCUUGGUUGAAAGCGUGCGUCCACUUGGCAGGUACUUGGAUCAUCGGGACGCAAGGCCUCAACAUUGGCGCCGUCUGUGGGAAAAUCGCUGAUUUAGUCGCCGGCGAAGAUGUCCACUCCGUCCAGUAGCUGCUUGGGGAGAAGAAGAUAAUACCGAAUGGCGCCGAGCCAUCGAGAGAAGACAGUUGGCAAGCGAGCGACAAAUGCAAGCUCUCCUCCAGGAAACAGAGAGGUUGAGAGAUGAAAACGUCGUGUUGCGCAUCCAGGCUUCAUCGAUGAGGCCUCCUCGUGAUCAGCGCUCAAGAGGUCAGGUAGCAAACUCAAGGCCUGACCCAGAGUCGAUAUACCCUGAGACAGCAGGAGCCAUCCCCGAAACAUGCAACGUUAGGCCGCAAGAGCGACACACGCCCCUGCACCAAACUCCCCAGGAGGAAAGCUCGAACUAUACUCGUUUCUCGUCAAAGAAACAACGAGACAAAAGAACCCAGUUGUCAGGCGUGAUGUGCGCGAGACUAGGCCCAUAGGAGCCUAGGAAGCCACUCUAUGAUGCCCCUGACUAGCAUAGAGCCAAAAUAUACUCCGCGGCCCAGCCCGGACAAAAACAGGAGCCUGAAAGACCACUCUGUGAUGCCCCUGACUGGCACAGAGCGCGCCCUGACCCAAUGGUCACCCCUUUGGUGUCGAACGUUCCCCUGCACCAAGCGGUACCUGACCAUCCUGGGAGGCCACUUUGUGAUGCCCCUGACUGGCACAGAGCGCGCCCUGACCCAAUGGUCAACCCUUUGGUGCAGAACGUUCCCCCGCACCAAACGGUACGACAAGCUGGGAGAAACCUCCCAAACAAGCCACCCAGUGGCUCCAUCAGCAAAAGGCUGGACGACAUGCUCUCCAUGCCUUUUUGCUCUCAUAUUAUUCAGUACGACCCCCCAAGGGGAUUUCUCGUGCCUAAAUUCUCCACGUACGAUGGGUCCAACGACCCCUUCAACCAUAUCAUGCAUUACCGUCAACUCAUGACUCUUGAUAUAGGAAACGACGCGCUGCUAUGCAAAGUAUUCCUCGCCAGCUUACAACGGCAGGCCCUCUCAUGGUUUCACCGCCUACCUCCCAACUCUGUUGAUAAUUUCAGGGACCUGUCAGAAGCUUUCGUGGGACAAUGCUUGUGCUCCGCUUGAUUCAUGCCCAAUUGGUGUCUCAGCUGAUUUGUGUCCAACUGGUGCUCCUUGAUUGAGGGAGUAAUCAACAAAAUUUAUAACCUAUUACACCAUUUACUAGGGUAGCAAAGACAAAGCUACUAUAGCAUAGUGGCUCUAGGAUCGUUCACUGGGAUGGGUUUUCACUUUACAAAUGAUAUUAAUUCAAAGCUGAAUUUGUGCCUUUUCAUUUCAAGGUUAGCUUUAAAAGAAAACAUAAAGAUGUUUGAAUGAAAAAGGUUUAGAUUUAAACUAACCAAAAAUAGUAACUGAUUUUACUUACAAAGAAAAGUGUUUCUUGGAGUUCAGAUCACCAGGCUCAGGUUCCUCAUACAAAAAGGAGAGUUCCGGUCACUUGUUUCUUUUCCUCGCAUUAGAGAAUUAACAUAUAGUUAAUUCUCUAACCGGUGUUGUACAGAUGCUUCCCAUUAAUGGGUUCAAACACUAAAUCUCUCUCACUGAUGCACCUUGCAAUGGCUCAUGCCUCUCACCUAGCAUUUUCCAUUCAAGGUGAUCUUUAACCUUGGACUUCCCUUCAAAAGCUCGCAAGAGAUAACUAAUGGAUGUCUCCUUGGAGUCCAAAAGCUUACCAAGUGUUGGCUAUUCUAGAAAAUCCUACCUUCAAGUCACCUCCCAAAGGCUCGCAAGAGAUAAACUAGUGAAUCUCCAUGGACGAAGAUCACUUGCCUUACCAAGUGUUGGCCCAGGUGAUUUAAAGGCGUUUUAAGUUAACUAAAAAGAUAAAAACCAUUAACGGGUCACACUUUCUCUUCAUUAAAAACUAAAACAAUAAAACUUCCAAAUUAUGCAUGUGGAAACUUACCCGGAUUUCCUCACUCCAAGAGACGAAAAACCUAGCCUCUCAUCCUCUGAGGAAAAAUCCUCAGAGUUUGGUUAGCAAGAAAAUGAAAAUGAAAGAGAAGGAAAAAACAGAGCAAGGCUCUGUAUAUUCUAUAUAUUUAUAUAUCUAUAUACAUCCCGUUGGAUUACAUGAUUCCAUGAGAACAAGCUCCCGAGAGCUAUAUAUAAAGAAAAUUACAAAACAAAAUAUCUGAGGUUAUUCACCCCUUUUCCAAACUUAAUAACUAAGGAAUCCUAUAAUUGGUGGGUUACAAGGAGAAGAAUGGAAAUUUAUACAAAAAUAUCUGAAGAAAAGAUCUAAAAGAGUCGGUCACAACUAUUGGGAAACUUCAGGAGAACACCCGUGCACUGUGCAAAAUGGCUGCGAAAUUCUCGCAGCAAAAGGCUGAUUUCGCAGCUGUGCAAAAAUCUUCCUUCAGCUUGGAGUGAUCUUCUUGCAAUGGCUGUAACUCCUUCGUUUCAACUCCGAAUCGUGCACUGUUUGAAGAGUUGGAUUCUUGACUUCCUGAGCUUUGAAAUGGUAUAUAGCAUGUAGAAAAUGGACUUCGGGAAGUGCUCCGAAGUGUGAAAGAAGACUGCAGCUGCUGUCUUCUGUUUUCUUCACUCUGUUUUUCCUCUCUCCAUUGUUCUUUCCUUGCAUACUUUGAACGACUUUGGCAAAGGGCUAUGGAGCUCCAAAGCUUGGUUCUUCAUGAAUUUGAGCUUCCAAAAGCUUUGCCAUGAAAUAUAUACAGCUCUCCCUCAUUCUUGGAUUGCUUUGGUGUAGCUAAAAGCUAUCAAAAACACCAAAACUUAACAAAAUUUGAUUAAAAACGAUUGCAAGGGUCCUUAACAUGUCAAUUGAGUUAAAAGGUAAUAAUUACUACUCAAGAGUGUUUAAAAGAGUUAAUUACAAGCUACAAAAUAACACUUUUUGAGUAGUAAUCACCCCCCCAACCGACAUAUUGCUAGUCCCUUAGCAAUGAAGGAGAGAAAAAAUAAAAAUAAAAGUAAUAAAUUUACAAAACAUUGCCUCAUGCAACCACCCAUUCUAUUUACUACAUCAGCAGAGCGUUGGCGGACGUAGAAACAAGGUACUCAAAAAUGGAGCUAACGGCCUUAACUCUUCGAAGUGCUGCCCAGAAGCUACGCCCUUACUUCCAAGCCCACCCGGUGGUCGUGCUAACUGACCAGCCCCUUCGCAACAUCCUGCAUAAGCCGGACUUAACCGGAAGAAUGCUUCAAUGGGCCAUAGAGUUGAGCGAAUAUGGAAUCGAGUUCCAACCCAGGUUGUCCAUGAAAGGCCAAGUGAUGGCUGACUUCGUGCUGGAAUACUCCCGAAGGCCUAUCCAGCGCAAGGAACCAAGUGAAGAAGAGUGGUGGACUUUGCGAGUUGAUGGAGCCUCCCGGUCAUCAGGAUCCGGAAUAGGGCUCCUGCUGCAAUCCCCAACAGGAGAACAUCUGGAGCAAGCCAUCCGACUGGGGUUCCCUACGUCUAACAAUGAAGCUGAGUAUGAGGCCAUCCUAUCCGGAUUGGACCUCGCCCUGGCUCUAUCCGUUUCCAGGCUCCGGGACUAUAGUGAUUCCCAACUCGUGGUAAGGCACGUCCAGAAGGAAUACGAAGCUAAGGAUGAGCGCAUGGCGCUAUAUCUGACUAAAGUAAGGGACACCUUACAACGGUUCACCGAAUGGACGAUCAAAAAAAUUAAACAGACCGAGAAUGGGCGUGCCGACGCCCUGGCAGGCAUAGCUGCUUCCCUCCCCAUCAAAGAAGCCAUAUUAUUGCCUAUACAUGUGCAAACCAAUCUUUCCGUCGCGAAAGCCCCUACUUGCAAUACCAUUGAGGCAAACCAAACAGAAGGCCAAGAGUGGGCGAAAGACAUAAUAAGGUAUCUCCGGACAGGUACCCUACCCGAAGAGCCCAAGCAGGUGCACAAGACCCGGGUACAAGCUGCCCGUUUCACCCUGAUCGGGGGGCACUUGUACAAACGGUCCUUUACAGGUCCCUAUCUCAGGUGCCUAAACCACUCAGAGACCCUCUAUGUAUUAGCUGAGUUGCAUGAGGGGGUAUGUGGGAACCAUUCCGGAGGUCGAUCUUUGGCGCACAGAGCCCAUUCACAAGGGUAUUACUAGCCCACGAUGAAAAAGGAUGCGGCAGCCUAUGUCAAGAGAUGUGACAAGUGUCAAAGGCAUGCCCCCAUACCACAUGUGCCGUUCGAGACGUUAAAACCAAUUUGAGGCCCCUGGCCCUUCGCACAAUGGGGUAUGGACAUAGUAGGACCCCUACCAGCCGCAGCUGCCCAGAAAAAAUUCCUGCUCGUCGCCACGGAUUAUUUCAGUAAAUGGGUGGAAGCUGAAGCAUACGCUAGCAUCAAAGACAAAGAUGUCACCAAGUUCGUAUGGAAGAACAUCAUCUGCCGCUUUGGAAUUCCCCAAACCAUUAUAGCUGACAACGGUCCACUUAGCAUCACUUUUGAAAUUUCUGUUCGGAACUAAACAUCCAGAAUUCAUACUCCACACCGCGUUAUCCUCAAAGCAACGGGCAAGUAGAGGCCACAAACAAGACCCUAAUAACUGCCUUAAAGAAGAGGCUCGAGCAAGCCAAGGGGAAGUGGGUGGAGGAGCUACCCGGCGUCCUAUGAGAGUAUCGAACCACACCCGGACGUCCGACAGGCAACACUCCCUUCGCCCUCGCAUACGGUAUGGACGCAGUCAUUCCUACCGAAAUAGGGCUACCCACUAUCCGGACCGAGGCAAGAAGCCAGGAUGAUGCAAGUGCGGAGUUAGGAAGAAAUUUGGACUGGGCGGACGAAGUAAGAGAAACCGCAUCCAUCCGGAUGGCGGACUAUCAACAAAGAGCAGCCACUCACUACAAUCGCAAGGCAAGGCCCAGGAGUUUCAAAAGUGGAACGCUGGUCCUUAGAAAGGUUUUCGAAAACACUGCUGAGACAGGAGUAGGAAAGUUUCAAGCCAACUGGGAAGGCCCCUAUGUAGUGUCCAAGACAAGUGAAAGUGGAGCCUAUCAUCUACAGAGGCUAGACGGAACUCCAUUGCCUCGACCAUGGAAUGUAUCCAAUUUAAAGCAGUCUUACCAAUGAAAGAAAGAUAGAAGUACAAGGUGAAUGAGUAUGUUUUAUUAAUACUUGUGAAAAUUGUAUACAAAAGGUUCUCCGGACUACUAAUACAGAGAGAAAUAGCAGUAAAAAUUACAAAAAGAAAAGCUCUCAUUGGGAGGGCUUGCGACGCAACUUUUCUUCCUCGCUCGGGGGAAUCGAAGGGACGUCCCGUUUGAUGCCAUGCUUCUUCAUGCAGCAACGGUAACCAAAGAGAUACAUCUCGUCUACCUGCUUCUGGUAAUCCGUCUCGAGUUCCUCCCUUUCCGCAGUAAACUCAGCCUCUAGCUCUUCUUUUUGCGCUGAUAAAAGCAACUGCAAGUCCUGUCUCUGCUUUUUCUCAAUUAACACCUCUGUCCGGAGUUGCCUUACUUCCCCUCUCAGCUGGGCCGUCUCGUUUUCCGCCUCGUGCAGGCGGGCGUCCGUAGCUUCCUCCCUGCUCUUCGCCUCUGCUAGCUCUAUCCGGAGAGCCUCCUUGUCAUCCUGGGACCUCUUCAAGGCUUCAACACUCUCUUCAGAGGCUCUCCGGGCAGCGGAUAAGCUGGCUUCGGCCUGCUCCAAUCUCGAGCGCAAUUCCUCUUCACUGCUCAUACGCUGGGAGACGAAGGCCUUCAUAUGAUCGAAAAUCCGCAGCAGGUCUAUAAAAAGAUCAUGUUGUCGAACCAUGCCGCGAAUACCGCUCACCAGCUGCAGAAAAACCCACAACAAGAGGUCCAAAUUACAAGCCAUGUACAAAGCACACCAGUAUGGCAAGAAAAAUCAAAUGAGGAUAAGCUAUACCAUUUCCGCCGCUUCAAACAUCUUCGCUGAAGGCACAGCAACAUCUGAGCGGGAUGGAAUUCGUUUCAACAUCUCUCCCAACUCCGCAUAGCUGAAAGGGCUAGCGGAGGUGCAAGCUGCAUCAUCAACGUGACUCCCCCCUGACGAGACACUAGGGCGUGACUCCUACCCCGGCUCCGGGCCCCCAUCAUGCACGACCGGUUGGAUCUCUUCGGGCGAACCCUCAUCCGGGACCAACACCGGGUCGGUUAGGUUCUCUUCAGCCAUCUCCGUCUCACUUUCCUCCGGAUGAUCCUCCUGGGUGGAUGAGCAGUUGACUUCGAUGGUUUCCAGAAGAAUAUCCUGAAGCAGCCCGCUGAUGCCAGACUUUAAAUCACGGGCCGGACGAGACCUCCUUGUAGCUGGCCCCUUCACCGGUACAAGGGCAAGGGAGCUUGGUUCGCAAGGAGGCAAACCCUGACUUUCAGCCCCCGUUUCUUCCGUUAAAGGCGCCAUAGAAGGCAACGUUUCAGUACAAGAGGCCCCGGCUACAUCCGCGUUCGGAUGGGGAGAGCCGGGCUGAUUCACUGAAGUCGCUUCCUCAGCCAGAAGAGCCAGUCGUCUAGCCGCUGGCACUGAAGGCCCCGAUCCAUUUAGACAUGCGAUAUGUCCGGAGCCGCUUGAAACAGAGGACAAGACGGAAGGAUCGGGCAUUCUUAUUAUUAUUUCCUUUACGAAAGUUGGAGGUGGUAUUACAACUUCCUUUGGGGGAGUUGGGAGUCUUAUUUCUUUUCCCUUGUUGAGAACCUUCUUCUUCUUCUUUCUCACUGGGGCGCCAGCAGGAGGAGAGGGCGCGUAGCGUUUAUCACCAGGGGCCUUCCGCAAAGUCCCCUCUUGCCUUCUUUCCUCCCGUUCGUUGAGAAGUGCUUUACGUGCCUGGGCGUCUGCCUUUCGCACCGCCGUGAAGAAUGGGAGAUCUUUGAGAAUAAAAUGCUCCCCAUCCACCACCUCUUUGGGCAGCCGCCUUGGGAGUAUGUUGAGUACAUACGGCUAGGGCUCUUGGGUAACCAAGAGGAGAUUCUGCGCGGAGAGAAGCGUUUCACAGCUCUUCUCGUCCGCCGUAAUCUCAAAUAGCCUGUUCAGCCGAUCGAAUGAGACUUUUUCCACCCACUCUACCAACUUCCCCCUCCUAUCCUUGCCUGCACCCAAGAAAACAAAGCAUGUCAAACGCCUAAUAAUGCUGACCUAACUCGCAAUCGGGGGAGGACAGGGAGCAACUUAUUUCAUACCCGGGACCUUCAAUGAAUGAUUGGGAGCGAACUGCCUGUCCGGAUGCGCCGACAAACCAGCCCAUAGGCCCUUGACCAGCACGUGUCCUCUAGCGGCCCCCUUGGUCGAGUCAAGAAGGCUGGUCACCAACUGAAGAGAUGGAAGGCAGGCGACAAAGCUGUGGAUAUCAUUCUUCCCCUUCUUGAUGGAGUAGAUAAAAAGAACCUCCAGUAGUGAAAGGUCCAGGUUGAAUAGCAUGCUCAAAAUGCUGUACCCCAUCAGCACCCGGACCAUGUUCGGAUGGAUGUAAGCCGGGGGAAUCCGGGUGACGUGGAGAAAUUCUUUGAACAACGACGGGAGAGGGAACUGGAACCCAACAUUGAAUUGCUCCUUGGUGAAGUAGAUAGCGUGGUCCGUAGACUUCUCAAUCGACACGGCCUCUCCGUCCACAAAGUGAACGGACACGUCAUUUGGAAUGCAGAAGAGUUCGUAGAACUCCUUCACAUUCAGCUUAUCCACAGAUUUUUUCGCAUGGACCUCUCCGGACGCACCUUUGCCACUCUUCCCGACCGCAGUAGACGAAGCAACGUCCUUGUUUGCAGACAUCUUUGAGAGUGGGGUUGAAACAGAACCUGCAUGGCAAAAAUCCAACAGUAAAAAACAAGCACCCGGCCCCAUAACCCUAAUGGCAAAAAAGCCCAGAAAGCCUACCAUCACCAGCAUACCCAUCCCAACCCUUGGCUCUACCACAAAGAAGAAUCGGCAACCCACAAAAGUUGCAGGGGGCAACAGAAACCCUAAACGCACCCAAAACACAACAGAAUCCCCCGAAAAAGCCCUAAAGGCCAACACCAACCCCAAUCGCAAGAAGCUUGCCCAACAAGCCAGAAGCAACCGCCAAGCAAACACAACGAGAAGAAGGCAAGAAUAGAGAACGUACCGAGCGUAAACUGGGAAAAUGAAGAUGAAAUCCGCGGUACAGUCACGGUCACGACAUGAGUAUUGCUAGUAGAAAACCCUCGAGCCUGACUCACAGACGAAUAUACGCAGAAGGCUAAAGAGAAAGCACUACCAGUAGAAAAUGCAGAAGAAAAAAAUGCAAAAGUGAAGGACUCGGUCUGCUAUUUAAAACGAAAAACAGCCCCUCGGUAUUCUAACCACUCAGCCGCGCCAUUAUUAAAAAGACACGCUGCUUGGGAAAUCCCCGAGACGACGGCUCAUCAUAAAUGCUCUUAUUCCUCUUCGCCCCCGCGCACCACGUGGCCCAAUGAGCGCAAAAGGUAACCUCAGUUUCAAAAACAAUCAUUUUUAACCCGCCCAUUCUGCCCAGGCAAAAUCGGCAGGUUAAAAGGGGGGCAUUGUAGGGACCCCUCCCCCUGAUGACACGUGGCAUGUAGUGCUAUCCGGAUCAAACUCCAUCCGGACUCCCCAAAAGGAUAUGCGCUUCGCUAUCCGGAGCAACUCUAUCCGUACUUCCCCAAGAGGAACACGUGGCAUGCAUUGCUAUCCGGAUCAAACUCCAUCCGGACUCUCUCAGGGAGAAGCACACAUCACUCGCGAAUGUCACGUCCGGACGAUAACAUACCCUAUCCGGAUCAUUGACUGAAGUGAGCAAGUCUUGCUACAUCAUUCCGACAGCCUGCCACAGCCCACGAUCCGCCGCCUGCAGAGCAAAAUGACAGGGAUGGUGGCAGGUCACCUCCGACGAUCCGUCGCCUAUAGAGCGAAAGGACAGGAAUGAUGGCAAGUCACCUCCCGCGAUCUCUGACAGCCGUCUAUAGGGUCAUGAUGGCUCUGCCACCACUUAGAGGCAUCAUGACAUGCCAAAAAGUCUUUCCAUCAAUAAAGAGGGAGGACGAGCUUCUGACACUAUAUAAAGGAACCUUCACACAAGGAAGAAGGUAAGCUUGCUAUACCGAGUAAAAGGCCAAUUGCUUAAUCUCUCUAGACAUGGCUGACAAAACCAUCGGAGGGUGUGUCCAGACACCUUGUCCGGACAUCUUUUGCAGGGACGACUGAACCAGAAAUCUAUCUUGGUUGAAAGCGUGCGUCCACUUGGCAGCUGCUUGGAUCAUCGGGACGCAAUGCCUCAACAAUUAGUCUUUUCCUCCCCAUGAAUUUGCUAUCAUCUAUGAUAUCUGCUUGAACUCACAAUUUCCAACUAGCUUCUUUUUGUCUUCUUUCUCAUAGACCGGGAUCAUAGAUAACACAAUAUCCAUAGAAAAUUUUCUCUCAACGGUAUGUCUUCUUUCUAAAAUGCCUUUAUCAUCCCAGCAAUAUAUGAAUAUAAUAAGAUAAUAAAUAUUAAUAUUAUAUAAAUGAUUGAAAAUUAUAACUUGAAUAUGAAUUUAUUAUUAAUUUAUUUAUUAUAAAAAUAUAUUAAUAUUAAUUUAUUUAUUAUAAGAAAUAUAUGGAUAUGAAUUUAUUUAUUAUUCAUAAUUUAUUAAUAUUAAGAGUUAGUCAUUUAAUGAUAACUUUUUUUUAUUUAAAUUUUUUUCUUUAUAAGAUAUUAGAAAAUUAUAUUUUACAUAUAAAUUUAUUAUUAAUUUAUUAAUCUUCUUUAUAUCAAAUAAAUAUUAAUAUGAUGUAAAUAAAUAUAAUAUGAUAAUAAGUAUUAACAUUAUGCAAAGAAUAAGUAUUAUAAAUUUAAAAUAGAAUGUAUAUUAUUAACUUUUCAAUAUCUAUGAAAAUCGUUCAAGGUACAUAAAUGUAAAUUUAUUAUUAAUUUAUUUAUAAACUCUUUUAUUUAAUUUUUUUUCAUUGUAUUUUACAUAUUUUUUUCUCUUUUAUUUAAAAUUUUUCCAUUAUAUUUUAUAAAAUAUUAAAAAAUGAUUUUUUAUUACCCCACAUGUAAUGCACGUGUUUUUAGACUAAUAUAUAUAAAAGUGUCCACUUGAAUAGAAGUCGUCAAGAAAUAAAAUGAAAUCUAAUUCAAGUAAAUUUAUUAAACUUGGAUAUACUAUAUGGGUUUUUUAUUUUUUAUUUUUUAUUUUUCAAACCCAUUAUCACCCAUUCACGGGUGUAAUAAAUUUGCUAAUUAUCUCACCACCCAAGGUGAUUAUUCAAAUUUCUAUGGUAAUUUCUAUAAGAAAAUAUUCCCAAAGGUUAUUUGUAAAAUAAUAAAAUAUAGAUUAUAUUACAAUAAUCCAUAUAACUCAAAUUAAUAUAUGACAGAAAAAUUAAUAUAAAUUAAGAACAAUAAUUUGGAUUGUUCCUUCACUACUUAGGACUUUAUGGAACUCUUCCUAAUCUUGUGGUUUUUCGUCAACCAUAAAUUUGUAUCUAAUUAAAAAUUUUAGGGAAAAGUGGGUGAACAUUUUUACAUUGCUCAGUAAGACAUCUUGCACCCAAAGGAGUUAAAUAUUCCAGGUCAAUGCAAUAGAAUCCUAUGCUAAAAAUAUAAUAUUUUAUUUACAUUAUAUUACAUUAAAUGAAAUCUCCACCAUACAAAAUUAAGAGUAUGCUUGACAAUGUUUUUAUUUGAAACAUUUUUCCUUUAAGUUCUUUCUCAAAAAAAAAAAAUUUAAGAGAAUUAUCUAUCAAAUGUUUUUCUAAAAAAUAUUACAAGUGAUUUCCUAACAUUAUAAGUGAUUUUUCAAAAUUUUAAAAGUGUUUACUAACUUUUGUCAAUCAUUUUUUUUAUUAAAAAAACACUAUUCAUGCUAAAAAUGUUUUUAAAAAGAACUACCAAUCACAUUCUAAAUAAUAUGGAUUGUCACUUUUUUUAUUUCAAUUAUAUAUAUUAUAUAAAAUAUUUCUAAAAUUUUUAUAAAAAAAUAAAUUAUUUAACAUAUUCAAGCAUACGAUUGAUGUCAUUCAAUUAAUUGAUACAAAUCUUUUUUCUAAAUGUAAACAUGAUGCAAAUUAUUACACAUAAUCAAGCAAUGCACUAUUGUUUUUAGGUUUUCAUAGAAAGAUAUGCAUUCAUAUUCAAAUACGCUUCCCAUUUAGAGUCUUCUCGAGGUAAAUCUUUGUGUCUUUUACACUAUGGAUCUUAUUCUCUUCUUAAUUCAUCGUCUUCUUUUCAUUUCUCAUAUUCUUUUCUUUUUAUUUUUUUUCCAUUCUCGGACUCUUUUCAUUUUCAUUUCUAUUUCUUAUAACAAUUUCUUUACUUUUCUUUCCAUACAAUCAUGGAGGCAAAAUGAAUAUGAUAUAAUAUCAUUCUUGAAAUCUAGAACUUGUGACAUACAUACACUUCAUCAAUAAAACCCACAAAAAGUAACAUGAGGGAAAAAACCAAUAGAAUGAUAUAAUAUAAUCACAACCCAUCUUGUUUGGACAGAUAGAUAAAUCUAAGCCAUCUAGAAAAAUAAUCAAAUAUCUUUGCUUAUAAAUAUUAAUCCAUACAAAUUUCUCCUUGUCUUAUUACAAAAAAUGACAAAGACAAAUAAAUAAGGCAAGAAAAACCAAUAUAUCCAAAAAUACAAAAAAAAUAAAAAAAAUACAAAGGAAGUUAAUUCAUAUACUUAUAACUUACAAAAUAACAUUGGAAUUCAAUAUAUUAAAAUAAUUAUAAAUAAUUUGAGUAAUCUUACCAAAAAAAAAAAAAAACCCCAAAUCAUGUAAAUUAUUCAUAAAAAUUAUUAAGAAAAUCAAGUUAAUCUUAAUUAGGACUGAAAAUUUUCAAGUACAAAUAAGAUAUAAUAAUAGUAAAAUCCUCUUUUGUGCUCUAUUCUUCUUUACUCUUCCAAAGUUCUUCUAGACAUCUUCAACUAAAGCUCUUCCAAACAGCUUCAACCAAAGUUCUUUCAGACAUUUUCAACCAAAGCUUUGAUACCACCUAUUAUGCUAGUGGAAGUAUUAAUUUAAAUGUAUUAAAGGAAGAACACAUGAAUAAAUCAAACCACACACAAAGGUACAUGAGGUUUAACGUGGUUCAACCAAUCAUGCCUACCUCCACAAAUGAAAGAGAACAUUCCAUCAUAUAAUAGAAAAUAUUACAAAGGACAUAAAUAGAUACAAUUAUUGAGUCCUAAAACAUCCCACUUUUCCCUACUCUUUAUAUCUUCACCCUAAAUCAUAAGCAUUUUUGCUCCACCAAGUGUAUGUCAUGCUGGGAACCUUAGAUCUCUUUGUUCCCAAGCCCUAGAUCAUAUAGAUGCAUGCAAACGACCCUAAGUCUAAAGAUCUUAUGCAAUGGAAGCAAAAAAUAAUUUUUUUAACAUUCUAGGAUCUAGAGAAAAGUCAUUAGAAAACUUUACCUUUGAUUUAGACGUUCCCAAAUCAAUUCUACUUGGUGAAGGUGAAGCCUGAAUGGUCCCGAAGGUCUCAUGCACCUAAGAUCUUCCUCCUAAUGACUUGAAUCACGAUCUUGGCACUCCAAAGUAUGAGCCUUGGAAUGGAGGAAUCUUAGGCUCUCUCUUUGGAGGUGGAAGAUAGUUCUCGCACCAAAAGUUAUAGAAACCCUAACCUCUAAGAUGGUAUUUAUAGGAUUCCCUUAUUAGGCUUAUGUGACUUGAGUCCAAGGCUUAAAUCACUAAAUCUAGCCUAAACAAGUCCUAAUUUAUUAAUUAACCACGUAGAGUCAUCUAAUUAAUCAAUUAGUCCAACCCAAAGAACUUAUUAAUUAUCCCCUAUGCAACCUUGCAUAAUUACCAAAGCAUUUUUAUACACAAAAGUGAACCUAAAGUCGAUUCAAUCCACAUAAACUGCAUCAUCAUGCUAUAUGAGCUUAGAGUGGGGACCAUUGGGAUCCAUAGGAGUACUGGCUCUCUUAGAAUCCAAUUAUGAAGUUGAUUCAACAUUCUACUAAAAAAAAAUCAACUACAUUCCAGUACCCUAUAUAAAUAACAACAAAAUGAAGCUUGGUUCCGUGAUCUAUUAUCCACUACAUGUAGACUCCCUAUGAGUUGAUGUCCAUAAUCUGACAAAGUAGUGUUAUCACCUAUCAAGAUAACCUCUUAAUCUAUAAGUUAUAGAUCACAUUUAUUAUGUGAUCAAUUAACAUAUUCUAACUCUAAGGUGCAUAUGUCAAAUUUCCACUAAAGAAAAUGUUAUGGUCAUAGUCUUUUACAUCACAUGUCUGUUGAAUCACCCAAGGAGACACACUAUCUCAAUCCCAUGAGAUAUCAUGGUGCUUCUAUUGAGAAUAGUUAUUGCCACCAGCUUCCAUCAAUAAUGACUCAAUUUAUAAGGAUAUAUGACCACCUUAGGGUCUCACUCAUAGGUCAAAACCUUUUAUUGACUCCAUGCAGUAUUGUAGUUUGAUGAAUCAUGACAAUUGGUAGCCUUAUGUCAUAAUUUACUAUAAGUCAUGUCCAAUGUGCAUUACAUAUAUUAGUGCACUUACCAUAGGAAAACUAUACUGACAAACGAAAUAAGUCAUCCCUCUAAUUAUGAGGUAUUUCAUUAUAGUCUCAAAUAGAUUGCCCAAAUCCAUAAACCAAUUGUGGGCAACUCAUUACUUUCUAAGGAACCCACGACUUGAAUUUUCUGUACAACUCCUAAAUCACACAAGUCAUGUACAAUGCAAGUGAUGUGAGACGUGUAUUCUCAAAUAAUUUAUUAAUGCAAAUGGGAUAGAGAAAAACCAAAAAACAUGAUUAUAUUAAAUUUAUAAAUGUAUCUCAAACUGUUACAUCAUAUCAUGUUUUCUAGGACUCAAUCCCAGCAUCUCACUUUUCCUCACAUCUACACCUUGGUGAGCCCUCUUCCUCCAUCGGGAGUCUGUCACUUUUCCUCACAUCUCUAUUCGGCACCUAUGGUCAUCACAAGUCUAUCUCUCUCCCAUAAUUUUUUCCUUUCAUGACCUAAAAUGUUAAUAAAGAUAUUCCUAUUAGUUUUCCUUAUUAUAUAAGAAAUCUAAUUACAAUCAUUUAUAAACUUUGGAAAUAUUCUAUGUAAUAUCACUUUCAUCAAAAGAAUUAUAUUCCAAUUAGAAAUUCAAGACAUCUCCAAACAUGGUUUUUAAGUUUCUUCUUGUUUUUCUAAUUAUUUUUUAUGAUGGGGUUGUUGAAAUUGGAGGAAACUAAAAUGUAGUACAUUGUUAUAUGAGGGUUAGAUGGGUUUUGAAUUUUGACGAUAUUGAGAUAUUGCCGCACAUGUGUACUAAAAAGUAUUGAGAUAUUACAUGGAAGGCACGAAGACAGCCUUUCAAUGCUGCUACUCAUCAAUUCCUGAAGGGCCAACUCAAUUAGAGGGCGAUAGCUGCACAUUCUAACAUUUUCCAUGAAAAGACAAUGUUUGAACUUUCUACUCAUCUUGCCGCAUAUGUGUACAAAAAAGUAUUGAUAUAUUGCAUGGAAGGCACGAAGACAACCUUUCAAUGCUGCUACUCAUCAAUUCCCGGAGGGCCGACUCAAUUAAAGGGCGAUAGCUGCACAUCCUAUCAUUUUCCAUGAUAUCACCAUGAUAAGAGUCUGUUAGACCAUGAUGGUAGAAAGUACUAGCUUUAACCUUUUUAAUGCUUGAAAUUUUUUGGUAAAAGAUAUAUUUUCAAGUACUAGAAAAGUUUAAAACGUUUUAAAAAUUAAUUUUAAACAAGAUGAAAGAGUUUAUUCGUAGUGAUUCUAGGAAUCCCUUUUAAACUUACCGAUAUUUGAAAUUUUUUAGCAAAAUAGUUGUAACCUUUCCAACCUUCCGUUUGCUAGGAAGCGCUGGCAAUGAUUAUUAGUAUCAGUAAUAAUCACUAGACAAAGUCAUCCGUCUUGGUUGGAAGCUCUUUUAACACCUAGUCAUCGGCAGUAGACUUACAUCUUCUGGACCAACAUACUAACAGUGAUUAGGCCAAGAUGGUGAUCCAAUUCCAUGGAAGAGCAGCAAGAAAGGAGGAACGUUGGAGAGAUAGAACUAAAAGGCGGCCAACCAAACAAGAACAGUGGCCAAACUGGCCUCGAGCCUGAGAAGUAUAGGAUUGACGUUGAAAUCAGUCAUACGGUGAAAAUUUGGAUUGAGUCUCUCAAAAACGCAGAAGAAAACACUCAAUCUCAAAGUCAAUGGCCAAGGAUACCAAAGGUUCCUCACAUGCUGAGGAGGACCAAGGAUUUCAACAAAUUCUACUAACUGAGGGUAAUUUCUAUCGGUCUUCACCACCAUAGCAAGCCCCACCUUCACCCAGGGGAAAUGAUCAAGCCUCUAUGUGCCAAAAAAUUCCUGGAUGACAGUAAGCAGGACAUCAAAUCUUUGUACACAAAAAUUGAAAGUAAUAUCAAGGUAGUGAGAACUUUCUAUGAUUGGAUCAUUACAAGCAUGUAUGAUGAUGAAGAACUUGCCUGGAUUAUGCUUCUGGAUGAGUGUUUUUUACUAUAUUUCAUCCACUAUUUAGUGAGAAAAAAUAUGAGUGAGUUGCAUGGUUUGAAUGUGAAAGAUCAUAUGAUUACUUUUGUGAACCAAGACUUGAUCUUGCUUGAGAACCAACUUCCCUUUGGAGUCCUCAAGUUGAUUCUUGAGGAAGCAAAAUUCGAUGAUGGCCCAACCGUGGAAGAGAUGAUACAAAAAUUUGUCACUGACACCGCAUGGCCAAAAGGGUGGACAUAAAAAAAUACACCUGAAAGAGUCUCAUCUCCUCCACAUUUUUCGAAGUGCUUUCCUAGGCGGGUCUGAAAAGAAUAGCAAGCAAGAACCUUAGGGGUAACAAGGCGAUAGGAAGUCUUUUCGACACAUCAUGGAGCUUAAAGCAGUUGGGAUCCAUUUCAAAUGGAGUACGACUUUUUUUACAGACAUUUCUUUCAAAUCUGACUUCUUCUAGGGCUACCUAACAUUUCCCCCAAUAAUCAUUGAUGGCUCCACGAAGCUCCUGUUCUUGAACAUUGUAGCCUAUGAAAUGUGUCUAGAUGGCCCAGGUGACCAUAGGGUCACUUCUUAUAUGCGCUUCCUUGACAACCUCAUUGAUCAUGCAAACGAUGUUAAGGAGUUGAGAUCUAAGCACAUUCUCUACAACGGUCUUAGCAGUGAUGAAAAGACGGUCCAAACUUUCAACGAGAUCUACACUGACUAGGUAGAUCUCGAUGCUUAUGAAGAAGUGAGAACUAAUAUUCAGAAACACUACGACAUGAGAGUGAAAGCUUGGAUAGCUGAAGCCCUUCAUGACCAUUUCAGGUCUCCAUGGACUUUCAUGGCUCUCAUCGCAGCUAUUUAAUUCUUACUGGGCUUCAGACCUACUACGCUCAUCCUGGUUAAAGAUGUUUAAGAAACAAUGUAUAAUGACUGAAAUCCUCCUUGCCGUGUGCAGGAGAUAACAUCAAAUAUAUAUAGAAUAAAUAACAACAAUGUGAUCCUAUAAAAUAGGAAAGGUUUGAAAUAUAAAUAUUGAAAACAUAUCUACAUAUAUUUAUAGUUAUACAUUCGGAUUUUAUGGAACCGAAUUGGGAUAUAGAAAAUCUUAUGGAGAAUCAAAUUAUUCUCCUUUAUCACCCCCUGCAAGGUGAGCGUGGGAGAAGGGAUAAUGCUGAGCUUACUUCAGAAGAGAAAAAACUGAGGCUUGGUGACGCUUUUGGUCAAUGAAUCAACAAAUUGUAGAUGUGAAAGGAUAAAAUCAACUUUCAAAGUGCCAUUAGCAACAAGUUCACGAACCAAGUGGUAGUCGAUCGCAAUAUGUUUUGAGCGAGGGCGAGUAACCGGAUUGAUUGCCAUAAAAAUUGCACUUUGAUUGUAACAAAGAAUUUUAGGUGUUGUUGAGAGUGUAACAUGGAGGUCCCAAAGUAGUUGAACAAUCCAGGCAAUAUCAAUAGUGGCAACGGCUAAAAAGCGAUAUUCUGCUUCGACACUUGAUCGAGAGACAGUGCUUUGUCUCUUAGAGGACCAAGAAACCAAAUUGGUAUAAAAAAAAAAAAUAGCGUAGCCAGUAAUGGAACAACAUGUAUCAAGACAGCCUACCCAGUCUGCAUUAGAGUAAACAAGAAUAUCAUGAGUAGAUUGUUGAUGGAGUUGAAGUCCAUGAUGAGGAGUGCCUUUGACAUAACACAAAAUGCGCUUGAGAGCACGAAAGUGGUCCUCGGUGGGAGCAUGCAUGAAUUGGCAAAUAGAAUUCACACUGAAAGAGAGAUCCGACCUAGUGAUGGUCAGGUAUUGAAGAGCACCUGCAAGUGAACGAAUUAUAGUAGGAUUGAAGAACAAUUUUCCUUCAGUUGAGAGAUGUUGACCGACAACACAGGGUGUAGAAAUAGGCUUUGCAUCAAUCAUGGAAGCAUAUUGCAACAGAUCAAGGGCAUCCUUCGUUUGACUGAAAAACAAACCCUUCUCAUUAACUUGCACUUCAACGCUAAGGAAAUAAUGAAGUUCACCCAAAUUCUUCAUGGAGAAUUCCUUGGAAAGCCGAGUAAUGAGGGUUUGAACCAUAGAAGAAUUACUUCCAGUUAUGACCAUGUCAUCAACAUAAAGAAGUAAAUAAACAGUUCCAACCGAGAAGUGAUAGACAAAUAAUGAAGAAUCAACAUGAUUGGAAAGAAAUCCAAGUUUGAGCAAAAAUGAGCUAAAAUGAUGAAACCAAGCUCGAGGAGCUUGUUUCAACCCAUAAAGAGCCCUCUUUAGGCGACAAACAUGCUGAGGGAACUGUGGAUCUGUGUAACCAGGUGGUUGUUCCAUAUACACCUCUUCAUUGAGAAAACCAUGUAAAAAGGCAUUUUUAACAUCUAACUAAUGUAAACGCCAUCCAGAAGUAAUAGCCAAUGACAAAAUAAUUCGGACUGUAGUAGGGCGCACUACAGGACUAAAUGUGUCACCAAAGUCAAGACCAUGAAUCUGAGAAAAUCCUUGAGCCACAAGACGUGCCUUGUGAUGCUCAAUGGACCCAUCCGAUCGAAGUUUGGUUUUGAAAAUCCAGUGACAACCCACUACAUUGUGAUUGUUAGGACGAGGUACAAGAACCCAUGUAUCAUUUGUCUUCAAAGCUUGAAUCUCAUCAUCCAUAGCCGAGAGCCAUUCAAGGUGUUUUGUAGCAGACAUAAAACCCCGAGGUUCUUUGAGAGCAAGAAGUGCCUAAAAAUUUUGAGAAAAAGACAAAACAUUCAUAGCAUGAUAUAACCGUGGUUUGAAUAUACCAGUUUUUCCUCUGGUAAUCAUCAGGUGGCUGAAAGUGGUCACACGAGGAACGGAAGACACCGACAGUGGGAAAGUUGAGUCUGAAGCUGCAGAUCCAAGAGGUGUUCCACAGAAAUAGGACCUUGCAGAUCAGGGGAAGGAUCUAAGGACAAGUGUGGAGAAUCACUGCAAGGUAAACAUGGUGAACUCGAAAAAGAAUGAGAAGAACCAAUAUUAGAAUAACUAGACACAUAGUUCGGACAUUCAGAAAAAUGGGUAUAGUCAAUGUUGGUUUGUAAAUUUUGUACAGAAUCACCAUGAUAAGGAAAAGUAUUUUCAUAAAACUACACAUGUUGAGAAACAUAGACACGAUGUGUCGUUCGGUCAAGGCAUCGAAAUCCUUUAUGAAGUGUACUGUAACCUAAAAAGAUAUAAGAAGCAGAUUUUAGAGACAAUUUAUUUGGUGAGUAAUCUUUUAAAUGAGGACAACAAAGACACCCAAAAGUGCGAAGCAUAGAGUAAUCCAGUUGCUUACCAAACAAGAGCUCAUAAGGAGUUUUGCCAUCAAGUAAUGGUGACGGGAGUCAGUUAAUGAGAAAGACAGCAGUUGAGAAGGCCUCAGCCCACAAAGAGAGCGACACAUGUGCAUGGAACAUAAGGGUAAGACCCGUUUCUGUGACAUGGUGAUGCUUGCGUUCGGCAAUGCCGUUUUGACUAAGAGUGUAGGGGCAUGCCAAAUGGAGAACAAUGCCACAAGAUUGCAAGUGAGAUUGAAAUUUAUUAUUUGUAAAUUCGAUUCCACCAUCACAUUGAAAGGAUUUUAUUUUAGAUGAAAAUUGAGUCUCAAUAUAAUGUUGUAAAUGGAUGAAGGUAUCAAAAAAAUCAGAUUUUUGUUUUAAAGAGAAUAUCCAACUAAAUCUGGUACAAUCAUCAAUGAAUACCGCAUAGUAUCUAUAUCUAGUAAAAGAGAGAACUAGUGACGAACCCCAUAAAUCACAGUGUAAGCGAUUAAAAGGCAUGGCACAACGUUCAUCAUUUAGAGAAAAAGGUAAACGAUGGCUUUUGCCAAGUCUACAACCAACACAAAUUUUAGAAUCAAUGUUCACCAAUUUAUUACUACAAGAAAUAUAUCCUAAUCUAGAAAAAGAAGCGACAGUAUGAUAAUUGGGAUGACCAAGGCAAGCAUGCCAUAAACGAACAGAGGCUCGCGGUGAAGGAGAAGUGGUGGACAUAAGGGCAUGAUGACAACAAUCCAACACGUAGAGAACAUUUUCACAUAUUCUGACUCCCAGUACGAUUCUUAUGACAUGAUCCUGUAUGGUAAAACCAGAGGAAGAGAAGGUAACGAGACAAUUAUUGUCUGUAGUAAGUUGACUAAUCGAAAUAAGAUUUUUCUUAUUGCCGGGAACAACUAAGACAUUUGAUAAAAGAAGAGAACUAGACAGAAUAAGAGAUGAAAUGGAACCAGUAUGAGAAAUUGCUAAAGACUGACAAUUUCCAACCAUGACACAUUCAUUACCAGAGUAGAGAGCUGGUUGAUCCACAACCUCGGUGGCACUUGUCAUAUGAGAUGUUGCACCAGAAUUAGGAAACCAUUUAGAGUCAUUCAGGUCUUGAAUCGAGCAAGCUGAAAAAACUUCAACAAUAUUAGCCGACUACUUCUUCUUGAGUUUCAAGAAGCUCUAGCAAUGUUUGGCUAGGUGUCCAUCUUUGUCACACAACUGGCAGUGAACGGUGGAUGAGGACUUCGAAUUUGUAGAAGAGCUAGACGAAGUGGGAGGCCGAUUCUUCCCUUUCUUAGCCCCUACAGAUUUGGAAGUCUGCUGCACAUAAUAAGCAGAGUUAGAAGACGAGUGGGAAAUCGACCUUUCAAAAAUCUCAUGACUCAAAGCUUUUGGAACAAUCUCGACAAAGGAGAGUAGUGGAAGACCCUAAUGCUCGUAAAUACCAAUGAACUUUAUCUGUGUCGUCAAUGGGAUGACCGAUCACAACCAAUUGAUCACAAAGACCUUUGAAGGUACGGGAAAACUCAGCAAUGGACUGAGAGUCGCGUUGCAUCAGUUGGAGUUCAUCCUUAAGUUGCAGUUCAUGAGUCUUCGACCGAUGCGAGAAUGAGACUUCAAGAGCGCGCCAAGCCUCAUGAGAAUGGCGUAAACCCAAUACUUCACUCAUAGACUCCUCGGUAAGAGAAGAGUAGAGUAAACCGAGAAGCGUCUGAUUAGUAUGUAGCCAAGAAGUGUAUGCUGGAUUUGACUUGGUGGUGCCAUCAGCUGCAAGAAUUGUGGCUGAUGGAGCUCCGAUGCUACCAUCCAAAUAGCCAAACAAAUCUUGACUAGCUAACAGUGGAACAAAUUGAUUUUUCCACAAUAAGUAAGUUGAGGAAGCCAGUUUAAUGGUGAGCAUAUUCACUAUUAUGUUAAGUGGAAGAGAAGGAGAUGAAGAAGCUGAAUCGGCCAUGGUUAGAAUCAAAGAAAAAAAUCUUGCUCUGAUACCAUAAAGAUGUUUAAGAAAUGAUUACUACCAAAAAGUGCUAUUUUGUAGACCUAAUUAUAAUGGUUUUAAGCACCUUUGAGUAGUAAUCAUAUUCAUUUAACCCAAUUAAUUCAUUAAGGUCCUUAGUAAUUGGUUUUAACCAUUUUGUGGCAAGUUUACAUGUUUAUAUCAGCUUAUGAAUCAAUUCAAGCAUGCCAAAUGAUGGAGGAGCUACUUGGACAAGUUAAAGCAAGCUUUUAGCUACACCAAAGCAAGCCAACAAAAGGAGAAAAGCAAAGAGAAGCAAAAAGAAGCAAAGAGGAAAACAGAGGACAGCAGCUGUAGUCUUCUUUGGAACUUUUGGAGCACUUUCCGAAGUCCAUUUUCUACAUGCUACAUACCAUUUCAAAGCUCAGGAAGUCAAGAAUCCAACGCUUCAAACCGUGUACGAUUUGGAGCUGAAACGAGGAAGAUAUGGCCUUCGGAAGAAAACUGCUCCAGGCUUGUGCGAAACUCGCACACCCCCUCAGCCGUGCGAAUGGUGUGCGAAACUCGCACACCCCAUGCGUGGUGCGAAUUUUCCCCUGUUUCUGCCGACUCCACUUUAGAUCUUUUCUUUUAGAUAUUUUUGUAUAAAUUUCCAUUCUUCUCCUUGUAAUCCACCAAUCAUAAGAUUUAUUAGCUAGGAAGGUUGGAAAAACUUCUCUAUUUAUAUCCCCUUGCAUCCGUUGUAACAUAUAUUGAUAUAUAGAUAUAUAAUACAUAUUACGUUUUACACUCUCUCGUUUUCUCUUUUCUCUUCACUAUUUUAUUUUCUUGGUAGCCAAACAGCCUCUAAGGGCUUUUCCUCAGAGGAUGAUUGGCUAAAACUUUUAGUUUCUCAAAGUAUGGAUGUUAUGUGAUGACUUGGAUGCAAUCCCAUGGAAAUUUCUCACACCCGGAAGGUAAGGUAGUCGUUUUUCAUUAAAGGUUCAUUAAUGCAAAGUUUGGUUUUUAUUUCCUUUGGACAACUUCCAACGGCCAAUACUUGAUAAGCUUUUGGAUUUCUAUCCAUUAGUUAUCUCCUACGAGCUAUUGGAAGGUGAGGUUUUCAAUUCCAAGUUUUGUAUUAAUCCGUUAAAACCAAUUUCAAUGGCCAUUGAAAGGUGAGUUUAUCACCUGGAAUGACUUUGAGUUGCCAAUAUUUGGUAAGCUUUUGGCUUUAGACCAUUAGUUAUCUCUUACGAGCCAUUCAAAAGAAGUCUAAGGUGAAUAACCAUUGAUGAAAUUCACUACCAUCUAUUUUGCCAUUUUAAAGGAUUAAAACGUGAUUUGCUAAAUCCAUACCGGUUCGGGAAGCAAGCAUCACCAUAGUUGCAAACCCAACGCGAGGAGCCUAUCCUGAGAUUUCCAAUUUGCAUAAGAGCCAGAGCAUAGCUAUCCUAUCUUUGAGAAACUUGUUUUUACACCCUUUCAUUUUAGUCUUUAAUGUUAGCUUAGAUUAGUUUAAAUCUUUCUAAAACAUUUACAUCUUCUUUUAAAGCUAACAUCCAUAAGAAAAUCACCUAUUUUCCUAACUUGAAUAUCACUUGUGUUUGCGAAAACCCUUCCCAGUGAACGAUCCUAGAACCACUAUGCUAUAGUAGCUUGGCUACUUUAGUAAUAGUAUUCAAGGCAUAAAUUUUGUUGAUACGCCUUUAAAGCUAAGCUACCAUGAGUCGCAUCAAGAAACAAUGUAUAAUGACUGAAAUCCUCCUUGCCGUGUGCAGGAGAUAACAUCAAAUAUAUAUAGAAUAAAUAACAACAAUGUGAUCCUAUAAAAUAGGAAAGGUUUGAAAUACAAAUAUUGAAAACAUAUCUACAUAUAUUUACAACUAUACAUUCGGAUUUUAUGGAACCGAAUUGGGAUAUAGCAAAUCUUAUGGAGAAUAAAAUGAUUCUCCCUUAUCACUGGAAAACAUAUAAUACAUAUAUAUGUGGUUAUUUGGUGUUGCGAUUUUAUUUUUUCUUGUUUGGUAUAUUGUUCCGCGUCUUUGGGAUAAAUUGUUAAGUUUUAUACCGUGAUGUGUUUUUAUUCUUGUUUGGCGUGUUUAGGUUUGAGAAAUGAAAGAUUGUAUGAUUAAAGAAAUAAAGAUGUAUAGAUUGUUAAGUUGUAUGAUUGGAUUUCAUGCGUGCAAUAUUAUUCGUUUUUUCCUUCCCAUGAGUUUGCUAUCAUCUAUAAUAUAUGUUUGAAUACUCACAAUCUCCAACUAGCUUCUCUGUGUCCUUUUUCAUAGUCUAGGAACAUAGAUAACAUUGUAUCCACACACAAAAUUUUCAGCCAACAAUAUGUAAUUCCGUGGAUGGGAUGGGAUUGAAUAUUGCACACACAAUUUUUUGUGGAGCGAGAAAAUUGUGAAUAAAAUCAUAAUUUUGAUAUAUUUAUAAAUUGAGGGAACAAUCUCAAAUGUGCCCUUUGAUUUUUUAUUUUUUUUUCACAAAAGACAGAAAUAUCCUUUUUAGGCAAUUUAAUGCUAGAUUUUGGAUGAAAAGAGAUUUCAUAAAUAAAUGCUACAAUUUUUUAAUGAAGUCUUCCAAUCUUCAUCAAAAGAAUCUUCAAGUUUUUAACUUCUUUAAGAAAUUUUUCAAUAUUUUUUAACUCUUAAAAAAAAUUUAAACUUUUUAGGAUUUUUUAAGAACUCUUGGACAAUAAAGAAACAAAUUAUUUAGACACUUUCAACUCGUGAGGCAAAAUUUGUUUAACAUCAUGUGUAUGUCAUGCAAUUUAGUUCAACAAAUUAUUGAAGGAGCUUAAUUUGCCAUAAAAGGAAUUGAUAGAGAUAUACAUACACAACAAAUGAGUGAUUACAUUAUGAAAAAAAAAUCCAACUUCCAUGAUUGAAGUAAAUACAUUGAUACAAGAAAUAUAUAUAAUAUUUUAUUAGAGAGUAUUAUGAAAAAGGAAGAAUAAUUAAAAUUUAUAAAAUCUUAAAGAUCAAAUUAUAAAUAUUUUUAUCAAAUAUAUUGAUUUUAAAGAUUUUAGAAGGUUAAGAAUGCUAUCCAAAGAUAUAAAUAAGUUUUAGUUUUUAUGCUCGAGUAGUAAAGUCGUAAAAAACUAAUAUAUUUUAUUAUGAGGAAUCUCUAUUCGGCCAAGUUCAAGUAUUUAUAAAUAAGAAAUUAUGUAAUAUUCUAAUGAGAGUGACAAAAUCUAAUAAAUUUUUAAUUCUUUCCGCUUUUUAUCUCCUUUUACAUAAUUAUUUGUAUUCCACUUUCAAUCUCAUCACUUGGGCACAAAUUGGCGCUAACUAGGAGAGAAUUUUUUGUAGGAUGAGCUCUUGGACAUAAGUUCCUGAUGUGUCAGCAUCUUGGAGGUCCAUGCUUUCAAUAUCUGCACUCAUCUUGCCUCACAUAGAAGCCACGAAGGAUAGCCUUUCAAUGCUGCUACUCGUUAAUUCCUGGAGGGCCAACUUAAUUAGAGGGCGAUAGCAGCAAACCCUGACAUUUUCCUUGAAAGGACAAUAAUUGCAUCUGAUUAUAAGUAUACCUUGAAUCCAUCCUGACAUUUUCCUCGUGAAGUAAUCCUUUUUAAGGGUAUGUUUGGCUUAGGAAAAUACUAAAAAAAAAAAAUUAAUUUCUUUUUUAUAUUUAAUUUUAUCAUAAAAAAUUUGAAAUAGCGUAAAAUAUAUUUAAAAUUAUUAAAAAUUUUGUACAUUUUUUAAAUUGUUUCAUCUUUAUAUAAAAAAAAGUUAAAUACAUACAAAAAAAAGAGGUAGUAUAUAAAAAUAAUUCAUUAAUUUAAUUUUUUUUUCUUUCCUUAUACCUUUCCUCUCUAUUUUCUUUUCCUUGUAUUUUUUUUUUUUUUACUUUUUGAAACCAAACAUAACCUACUAAUUUGGUGUUUUUUUUACUUAAUCUAAAUAGAACUUAAUUUAACUUAAUUUUAAAUAUAACUUAAUAGUAUUAAGUAUUAAGUUAUUUAUUUUUUAUUAUUUUAUUUCUAUUAAGUACUAAGCAUUAAUAAGGUAAGAGUUGUGUUGAGGUUGUGUUUUGGUUAUUUUAAAAAGUUAUUUUUAGCAUUAAGUAAAAAACUAUGUGGUGUUUGUUUUUUACUUAAUUCUAAAUAGAACUUUAAUACUUAAUAAUAUUAAGUAUUAGAUUCUUUGUUUUUUUUUUAAAUAUUUUAUUGGUAUUAAACAUUAAAAAGUAGAGAAAAACUAAUAUGUUGCUUUUUCCACUUAAAAAAAAAUCAAAUAUUUUGGUUUUUUUAUUCAAAAAAAAGUUUAUAAUAAGUCAAGAAAAAAUAGAAAAAUAAACAACCUAAAGUUUAAAAGUAAAUUGUUUCUAGCAAAAAGUUUUUUUUUUUUAAAAGGCCCUCUAAAUGUUUUUGCUUUUUUAUUGAGUUAAAAUUUUUUUAAAAAUAAACAAUAAGUAAGAAAAAGUUAAAAUAAAUCAUUUAAAGUUUUAAAGCAAAUCACAUUCAACAUUAAAUGAAAAAAAAAACCAAACCCCACGUAAGAUUUAAGAUUCAAAAUGAUUAUAAAUGUGUGACACUAAGCUUAAUGCACGUACACUAAUGUUAUUCAUGGGUUUCCCAUGAUGGGAAGCUUGUAAAAACACUAAAACUCAAGCCUCCAUAUAUUCUACUUUCUCUUUUUAGACAAAAGAGCUUCUGUGGCAGUUUCAAGAUAUGAUCAUGGACUAUGUUGUGAGAAAAUCAUAUGUUUUAGGAUUAUUGUUAAUUUACUAUGAUAGUCCAAAAUGAUCCCAAAACAUAUGGUUUGUUGUAAGACAAGAUGAUUUACGUUUACUAAGUUAAGCUUUUUGAAAGGUUUGUAAUAAUAAAAUAUGACAUCAAAAAUAAAAUAAGGUAUUUAUGUAAAAUAAAGAAAAUAGGUUAAAAAAUUCAUUAAGGCUAUGUUUGGUUUAAACUUGAGGAAAGAUAUGAAGAAAAAAAAAGUGGAAGGAAAAUGAAAAAUAAAUUGAAAGUCAAUAAAUUAUUUUUAUAUGUUUGAAACCAAGGUUUGGUUAAUCUUGAUUUUGAUGAUAACAAAACAAGGUUUAGAACUAAUGAUCAUAUUUCAAGUGUGAUUAGGCAAGACGAUUUCCAAAGUGGCAAUUACAAAGACAAAUCAAGCCAAGGAGAAAUCAUGAAGAAGAAGACCACCUCAAAGAGAAGAGUUUUUCAAGACUAAAGCUUCAUAAGAUCUCUUUGUAAGGUUGUUGGUGCACUAGGACUUUCAUGCAUUUCAUUCUUUAUUUAUGCACCAAAAUCAUCCAAGAGUAAUAUUGUUUUAAAUAUCUUAAGAAUUAGAUGAUUUCAUGUUUUCAACUAAAACCUUGUGUUAAAUGAUUUUCAAACUUGUGUUAAAAGGUUUUAAGUUGAAAAAGGUUGGGUGUUGAGCCAAAAAAUGGCUCAACCGGUUCAAUCGGUCGACCGAUUGAGGGAGGCCAAAAAGUUUCUCUCUCUCCCAGUGGCCUUCUCUUCCUGAUCAAGGUUGAACCUCAACCGGUUGAGGUCAAGUCGAGGUCCGGUUGAGGCCCAACGGUCACUUGCCAAGCAUUAAAUGCUAACGGCUAGUCAACCGGUCGACCCCUAGCUUGACCAGUCGAACCCCCAACGGCUAGUUUGGCUUUUUUCUUCUAUAAAAAGGCUACAAUCUUCAUUGUUUCAUGAGCUUAACCUUCCCAAAUCUUUUUUGAUUAUAUUUAAGCCUUGGAAGAGUAUUUUUUAGUAACCAUUGUUUCAUAACUUGCAUAUCUUUAGUACACCAUUCAAUCCUAGUUUUUCUUGUAUCUUUGAGCCUAAAGUUCUAUUACUAGGAUUUUUGUGAGAUCAUUAUUUGUAUAUCUUUGUGAGGAAUUUUCUCAAGUGAGGGGUAUCACUUGAGAGGUUGUUCAAGAGAGGGAUAUCUCUUGAAGAAGAGUAAAGGGUGCUUGGAGCCAAAAGUCCAAGAGGGUGAAUUGGAACCAUAAUCCAAUUGUAAAGAGAUUGGAAGCUUGGUUGAAGCUUCAAGAUAGUGGAACCCUCACUCGGUUAGGAGGUUGAGGAGAGUGGACGUAGGCAAAGAAGUGCCGAACCACUAUAAACUCUCUUGUUUGCACUCUCUCUUCCCUAACUCUUUUAAAUUAUAUGCAAUUGUCUUUAUUUUGUUUAUUAUAUACUUACAUAUAAUUGUCUCUUAUUUUUUCAUAGUUUAAAUUUGUGAAAAAGAGACCAUCACCCUAUUUACCCCCCCCCCCCCCCCCCCCCCCCCNGGGGGACCCCCCAACUUGGGUUAACCCCNNNNNNNNNNNNNNNNNNNNNNNNNNNNNNNNNNNNNNNNNNNNNNNNNNNNNNNNNNNNNNNNNNNNNNNNNNNNNNNNNNNNNNNNNNNNNNNNNNNNUUUUUAAAAUAAAAAAAAAUUUUUUUUUUUUUUUUUUUUAAAAAUUAAAAAAAAAUUUUUUUUUUUUUUUCAUAGUUUAAAUUUGUGAAAAAGAGACCAUCACCCUAUUUACCCCCCCCCCCCCCCCCCCCCUCUAGGGUGACUACCAUAGUUUGGAUUAGCCUCAAAUUCCUAACAAUAUGUUUAUUUAAAUUCAUUUCAUUUAUUCUCCUUCAUUAUAUAAAGAUUAAAUAAUUUUAAAAUGCAUAAAUUUUUAAUUAAUUUUAAUCAUAUUUGAUUUUUUUAUUGUAUUUUUCAUAGUGAAACCAAAUAUGAGAAAACCAUUUUUCUUAAUAUUUUUUUUUCUUUUCUUAAUACUUUUUGGAAGCCAAACAUAAUAUAAUUUUUAACUGGUUUAAAUUAUAUUUGAUAUUAAAUAUAUGAUUAUGUAAAUAUUGAAAAUAAAUAAAAUCUAAAUAAUUUUAUAUUUUCCUUUUCCAAGUUUUAAUUUAUUUUAAUAGAGAUUGAAUAUGAUUUUUAAGAUUGUCUUAAUUUUUUAAUUAUGAAAAUAAGAAUUGAAAAAGAAAAAUUGGAUAGCUAAUAUUGGUAGGCAUAUGUAAUUUUGAUAGUGGGGAGAAGAGAAGACGUGAGUGGUGUGAGAAGGUCAUUUUUGCCCAAAUUUUUGUGUUUUCAAAAUCCAAAGCAUUUCCUUACCCACCUUUUUCUCCAUGUUUGAAGUAAACAUGGGAAAAGAGUUCCAAUAAGAAAUUAAUAAAAGAAAAGGAACAUAUCACUAUUACCUUUGUAGAUAUCAGGAUGGAUUCAACAUUUAAGAUACAUUUAUAAUCAAUGGUGGAAAAUGUCAAGAUGAAAAAUAUCCUUUCAUCAAGGCAAGAUGGAAAAUAUAAUUUGAUAAGUAUUACAUUUACAGUACUGAAUGAAUGGAUGAAAAAAUAUCAUCAAUCAAUCAAGUGGUGUCAAAGUAUAUAUAGAAAAGGACCAUACCACUAUUUCAUCUGUGUAUUUGUGUUCCAAGUAAAAGUGGGAAAAAACUUGCAACAAGAAAUUAAUAAAAGGAAAUGACCAUACCACUAUUUCCUUGACAGAUGUCAGGAUAGAUUUAAGAUACAUUUAUACUUAAUGGUGGAAAAUGUCAAGAUGGAAAAUAUCCUUUGAUCAAGGUAAGAUUGAAUAAAUUGUUUGGUAAGGGCUAGAUUUACAGUACUCAAAUAUGUUUUUUUCAAUAGGUAUGAGAAAGACAUCAUCAAUUAACUGGUGUCAAGUAUAUAUUUUUAAGUCUCAUUAUUGUAGCUCAAUCUCAUUUGUUUGUACUUGAUACGUUCCCAAUUAGUGUCUCAGCUGAUUCAUGUCCUCUCAAUGGUCCCUGACAGUGGUGCCAUUUGAUUCGUGUCCAGCUAGUGUCUCUUGAUUUUGGUCCUCAGGAAGUAAUCAACAAAAUUUUUAACCUAUUACACCAUGUACUAGGAUAGCCUUAGCUAGCAUAGCAUAGUGGCUCUAAGGUCGUUCACUGGGAUGGGUUUUCACUCCAUAAUUGAUAUUAAUUCAAAGCUGAAUUGGUGCCUUUUCAUUUCAAGGUUAGCUUUAAAAGGAAACAUAAAGAUGUUUGAAUGGAAAAGGUUGGUUUUAAGCUAACCAAAAAUAGUAACUGAUUUUAAUUACAAAGAAAAGUGUUUCUUGGAGUUUCAGAUCAUUAGGCUCAGAUUCCUCAUACAAAAAGGGAGUUCUGGUCACUUGUUUCUUUUCCUCGCAUUAGAGAAUUAACAUAUAGUUAAUUCUCUAACCAGUGUGGUACAGAUGCUUCCCCUUAAUGGGUUCAAACACUAAUUCCCUCUCACUGAUGCACCUUACAAUGGCUCAUGCCUCUCACCUAGCAUUUGCCAUUCAAGGUGAUCUUUAACCUUGGAUUACCCGUCAAAAGCUCGUAAGAGAUAACUAAUGGAUGUCUCCUUAGAGUCCAAAAGCUUACCAAGUGUUGGCUAUUCUAGAAAAUCCUACCUUCAAACCACCUCCCAAAGGCUCGCAAGAGAUAAAAUAGUGCAUCUCAAUGGACGGAGACCACUUGCCUUAUCAAGUGUUGGCCUAGGUGAUUUAAAGGCGUUUUAAGUUAACUAAAAAGAUAAAAACCAUUAACGGGUCACACUUUCUCUUCAUUAAAAACUAAAACAACAAAACUUCCAAUUUAUGCAUGUGGAAACUUACCCGGCUUUCUUCACUCCAAGAGACGAAGAGCCUAGCUUCUCAUCCUCUGAGGAAAAAUCCUCAGAGUUUGAUUGGCUAGAAAGAAAAAUAACGAGAAAACAAAAAUAUGAAGGAAAAACAGAGCAAGUGCUCUGUAAAAUAUAUUUCUUACUUAUGCAAAAGGUUGUCUCUGAGAACAAGCUCCCGAGAGUAUUUUUUUUUUGUAAAGAAAAUUACAACUAUAUAUAAGAGGUUAUUCACCCUUUAUUCUUGCUUAAAGACUAAGGAAUCCUAUGAUAGGUGGGUUACAAGGAGAGUUUGGGGAUUUAGACAUCAAAUAUCUAAAGCAAAAAAUCUCAAAAUGUCGGUCGCAAAUAUCGGGAAGCUUCAGGAGAACAUCGCGGCACUGUGCAAAAUGGCUGCGAAAUUUUCGCAGCAAAAGGACAACAUUUUCGCAGCCAAAGGCUGAUUUCGCAGCCGUGCAACAUUCUAUCUUCAGCUUGAAGUGAUCUACUUGCAAUGGCUGUAACUCCUUUAUUUCAACUCCGAAUCGUGCACCAUUUGAAGCAUUGGAUUGUUGACUUCCUGAGCUUCGAAAUGACAUAUAGCAUGCAUAAAUUGGACUUCAGGAAGUGCUCCAAAAGUGGCUGAAAUGACUGUCAUCAAGAAUGCUUCAUGUUAGAUUUCUCUUUGCUUCCCCUCCUUGCAUUCCAGAUUUGCUUAUGGAAAAGGACUUUAAAGCUUCAGUUCUUCAUGUUUCUGAGCUUUCCAUUUGCUUUGCCAUGGAUUCCAAAGAACUCUCCUCAAUCUCGGAUUGCUUUGGUGAUCAAUUUACUAACAAAAACACCAAAACUUACACACUUUGAUUAGAAAUGAUUGCAAAGGUCCUUAAUAUGUUAAUUGGGUUAAAAGAUGAUAACUACUACUCAAAAGUGUUUAAAAGAGUUAAUUACAAGCUAUCAAAUAGCACUUUUUGAGUAGUAAUCACUCCCCCCAACCGACAUAUUGCUAGUCCCUUAGCAAUGAAGGAGAGAACAAUAAAAAUAAACAAUACUAUAAUUUACAACAUCAUGCUGAUCAAAAAAACAAUUUUCAAGUGGCAUGAUGAUCUAACUCUCACAUGGAACAUUAAAGAAAUAAAACUCAAACUUCAACAAGAGUUAUCAAACAACUUGUCUAAUCACAAUUCUUAAAGAGAAGGCAUUAUGCAAAUUUAAGCUUUAAAAGAGUUUCCACUCCCAAAGGGUCAAACCUUAUUCUUCCACAAAAAUCUAAGUGUUAUUUAUUAGUUUCCGAAUAUAGUAUGUUGAACUAAUCUCUCCCCCCAACCUAGUUCUUUUUCAAAGCUUAGUAAGCUUAUCAACCUCCAAUAGGCUAAGAACGCACCUCUUUUCUCACAAUUUUUUUUUUUUUUUCAUUGUAGGAGUACAAGGCUUAAAGGUAUUAUUUUCUAAAUUGUCCAUGUAAUGAGGGUCCAUUGAUGACUCCCAACCAAUUAAGGUUUAGGGCAUCAAGCUUUAAGGAUCUUUCAACCACUAACUCCUCGGAUUUUACCCCGGACUUUUGAGAAUGAAUUUUAAUACCCAAGCACCUACAGUAUGUUAAACUCCACCUAUCCACCCUUGUAACGAGCAUUGAGGUCGGUGACUCCCAACCAAUGAAGGCUUAGGGCACCAGGUUUUAAAGAUUUUCACCAUAUACCCCUCACACCUUGCUCGGGUUUCAAGGCAAGCAAACAUUUUUCUUUUUCUUUUUUUUCAAAGGCUCAUUGGCCUUUUAUAAGGUGUCCCAACACUAUUAAAUGAGGUCAAAGGUACCAAGUCUAAAAUUUUCCUAAGUCAAGAGGGAAAUAGUUUUUCAUCUUAUACUCGGAACCUAUUGUGCACAGUGUGUGAAUAGCUUAAAGUGGAAGAACUAAGGUUGAAUUCAAUAGAGGUUUCAACAAUUCAUCAACUUUAGUAAGUAUAAUACAAACUCUAAGUCAAGUAAAAAGACAAAAAUUCAAUUUCUCUCUAUUUCAUUUUGAAGAAUUUUCCUUAAUAACCAUGGAAAGUAGAUUAAAAAAUUUAAAAAUCAAGCAAAAAGUAACUAAAUUACCAAAAUAACUUAGCAUUAAUAACAAUACUUACUUCCUCAACUCUCCCCCUAACCAAGCUGAACAUUGUCCUCAAUGUGACAAAAGCGAUUGAAAAAUAGGGAGGAAAUGGUACCUCCUGAGUGACAUGGAGUCUGAGUCGUAUAGGAAAAACCACAUGUUUAAAAAAAAAACAAAAGAGUUAGUGAGUAGAGGAAAUAGAAAAAUGUCAAGUUUAAACAAAAAAUGAUGUUUAUAUAUGAUGUAUCAUCAGUAAUACAUUUGUGGAGCUGAUGCAUCUGUGGUGGCCUCUUGAGUGGGUUGGAUCAGGACUUUGACCUCUGAAAAAUUUGGUAGUCUCCUUAGGUUCAUAGUGUCCUCAGCUGGAGUUCUCAAUUGAAGCUAUGGGCUUUGAUGGUUUAAGGAGGUAAGAAAUGGAGUGAGAGGCUUCGUGUGUGUGAUCUCAGUGAGAGGGCUCUCCUCUUUAGAUGCAUGGUUGCGGGGCUCUAUUGGCAUUUUUGCAACUUCCCUUGGCUUUGCAAAGUGUUUUUGUAAACCUCACUUCAUUUCACAAGUCAAUUUCGAAGCCUGGAGGUCAUUUUGUAUUUUGGAGAUCAUUUUGCAGCCAAAGGGAAAAAAGAAAAACAUUUUUGCAGCCCAUUUCGAAGUUUGGAAAUCAUUGGACAACCAUUUUGAAGUUUGGAAAAUCAUUUCGCAAUCAAAAGGCCAUUUUCACAGCAAAUGGAGGAUUUCGCAGGGGGUAGCUAUGGGGCUGCGAAAUCAUUUCACAGCCAAAGGGGAGUUUUAGUAGCCCACUUUGAAGCCUGGAGCAUUUUCGUAGCCAUUUUGAAGCUUGAAGAUCAUUUUGUAGCCAUUUCGAAGUUUAGAAAUCAUUUGGCAACAAAAUGGGAAUUUCGCAGCCCAUUUUUUAAGCUUGGAGCUCAUUUCACAGGGGGUAGCUAUGGGGUUGCGAAAACAUUUCGCAGCCAAAUGGGAAUUUCGCAGCCCAUUUUGAUGUCUGGAGCAUUAUCGUAGCCAUUUUGAAGCUUGGAGCAUUUUCGCAGCGGGGGGUGGAUUUCGCGGAGGAGGGGAAUUUUCGCAGCCCAUUUCGCAGCUGUGAAAUGGGUGGACGGCGCUGCGAAGUGGCACUCGUGUGCCAAAGGGUGGUUUCGCAGCUGCGAAACACCCUUCGAAAUGGGGUCGCGGCUGCGAAAUCCCUGCGGGUGCUUUGCGCGUUCGUCUUCAAACGACCAUAACUUCUUCAUUCCAAAUCCAAAUUGCUCACCGUUUAAAGCAUUGGACUCUUGACUUCCUGAGAUUCGAAACAAAAUAUGAUAUGCAUUAUUUGAGCUCCAGGAAGUGCUUCAAAAAUGUGUCCAACAGUAGCGAAAUGGGGGUGCGGCUGCGACAUUUCAGCUCAUUGUUUGCACACUCGUCUUCAAACGGCCAUAACUUCUUCGUUUCACCUCCAAAUCACGUACCGUUUGAAGCACUGGACUCCUGACUUCCCAAUAUUUGAAACUACAUAUGGUAUGCAUGAAAUGUACUUCAGGAAGUACUUCGAAAUGUGUCCAACAGGGGUGCAGCUGCAACAUUUCAGUUCAUGGUGUGCGCACUCAUCUUCAAACAGCUAUAACUUCUUCGUUUCAACUCCAAAUCGAGUACCGUUUGAAUCUUUGGACUCCUGGAUUCCUAAGAUUCAAAACGAGAUAUAGUAUGCAUAAUUUGAGUUCUAGGAAGUGCUUCAAAAAUGUGUCAAACAGUAGCAAAAUGCAACAUUUCCUUUCAUGGUGUGCACAGUCAUCUUCAAACGGCCAUAACUUCUUUGUUUCAACUCCAAAUAGAGCACCGUUUGAAGAUUUGGACUCCUGGCUUCCCAAGCUUUGAAAUGACAUAUGGUAUGCAUAAAAUAAACUUCAGGAAGUGAUCGAAAUAUGUCCAACAGUUGCCGAAAUGGGGGUACGGCUUCAUGGUGUGCACGCUGAAGGAUUUUAAGGCAUGGAGGAUUUCGCAACCAUUUCGCAGCUGCGAAAUGAGUGUACAGGGCUUUGAAAUGGUACUCGUGGGCCAAAGGGUGGUUUCGCAGCUACGAAACACCCUUCGAAAUGGCUCAUCGAUUGCGAAAUGGAGGAUCUCGAGGCGUGAAAAAUUCGCAGCCAUUUCGUAGCUGCGAAACGGGUGUACGGGGCUGCGAAAUGGCACUCGUGUGCCAAGGGGCCUCUUCGCAGUUGCGAAAAGUUUCGCAGAGGGUGCUAAGAGGCUGUGAAACCAUUUCGCAACGGGAAGCGAUUUUCGCAACGGGCCACUUUCGGCUGUGAAAUUUCGCAGGCCAUGCUCUCUCCUUGCUUUUUAAGCUCCUCUUGAUUCCCAACUUCCUUCUUUCACUUUUUUUUUACAUUCCUCUUGAUUUUAAUCAUCCAAAAACCUAUAUUACAUCAAAACAAAUUAAAAUUAAAGCAUUGAAAUCAAAAUUAAAGCAUUGAAAUCAAAAUUAAAACAUUGAAAUCAAAAUUAAAACAAGUAAUAAGUAAAACAAAAAGGUAUGGACUAGCUAGUCUUUAAAAAGACUAAGUCCAUCAAAAAAAUUUGAUCCUGAUUUAGCUUGCCCGGAUCCCAUAUGAAGUUUGCAUCCCUCACUUGAGACUUGCUUUGUAUGAUUUUUCCAUACAAAGCUUGGGGGAAAAGUGGAGACAUGUGCUUCAUCAUUUCUUCCUUGAUGACUAUCCUCUGUGGAUCUUCAUUUACAUUAACAUCAUAGCCAUCUUUCUCUAUACUUUUCCCAUUUUUCUUUCCUUUGAUUUCCUCCCUCUUUUCUUUCUCUGCUUCACUCUCUACCUUAUGCUCUAGCUUGCAUGUGGGCGGAUCAAUCUCUUUACUACUCCUCAAAGUGAUAACCGUUUUAACUUCCUUCACCAUUGAAGAUUCUCCCUUUUGAGCCUCCACUUCAUGGAUACCCUUGAAAUUUUGAUAAGGUUGAGAAGGAAAGUUUCCUUUUUCUUGCAUUGUGUUGAGGUUGGCAAACCUUGAGAUUGAAUAUUGGAGAUUAUCUAUCUUCUGAGAUAGAUCAUGUUGCACUUCAUCCAUCUUUUUGUUCAAUGAACUCUCUACACUGUCAAUUCUUUGAUUGAGCUGAGCAUUGAUGGAUUUUUGAGCUCCAACAAAGUCUCCCACGACCUUGCUAAGAUUCACCAUAGCUUGUUCAAGGUUCGAGGCUUGCGGAAGUGCUUGAACAUUUUGCUUGUACUGAGGUGGCUGUGGUUUCCAAGAGAAAUUUGGAUGGUUCCUCCAAAUGGAAUUGUAGGUGUUGCAAUUACCAAACAUUUCCCUCACCACUAGAAUGGUAGGACACUCUUCCACCAAGUGCUCAAAAGAUCGACAAAUGGAAUAGGGCAUAGGUUGCAAUGGUGUCUAAGAGAUGGCUUGCACUUCUUGCAUCUUCUUCAUUUCUAUCUCUUCCAAUCUCCUUGCCAUAGCUGCAAUCUUUGCCUUCAUGUCUAUGUCUUCAUUCAAAAUAUACAUCUCACCCUUAGCAUUAGGUUGAGACUUCAUUCUUCCCAUAUCUCUAGCAUUUGGUCCAUCCCAUUCUCUUGAAACUUCAGCCACAUAACUCAUGAAGUUCAUGGCUUCCUCUGCUUUCUCGUAUUCAAUAUGGAAUGCACAACUAGCAAUUUGUGAAUUAAAAACAGAGAAAACAAAAGAAAACAAAAGAAAAACAAUUCUAAGAAAAAAAGUUAAGGUAAACUAAAAACUAAAUAAAAGGUAUACUAAAAUAUGAGCAAAGAAAAAGAAACAAAUAAAAAGAGUUAGUAAAAAGAAAAGAAAAGUCACCAAACUUGUGAUGAAGAUCACAAGUACUCUAGAAAGGUGAUAUCACUGUAAAGUGGCACCAUCCCCGGCAACGGCGCCAUUUGAUACGUUCCCAAUUGGUGUCUCAGCUGAUUCAUGUCCUCUCAAUGGUCCCUGACAGUGGUGCCAUUUGAUUCGUGUCUAGCUGGUGUCCCUUGAUUUUGGUCCUCAGGGAGUAAUCAACAAAAUUUAUAACCUAUUACACCAUGUACUAGGAUAGCCUUAGCUAGCAUAGCAUAGUGGCUCUAGGGUCGUUCACUGGGAUGGGUUUUCACUCCACAAUUGAUAUUAAUUCAAAGCUGAAUUGGUGUCUUUGCAUUUCAAGGUUAGCUUUAAAAGAAAACAUAAAGAUGUUUGAAUGGAAAAGGUUGGUUUUAAGCUAACCAAAAAUAGUAACUGAUUUUAAUUACAAAGAAAAGUGUUUCUUGGAGUUUCAAAUCAUUAGGCUCAGAUUCCUCAUACAAAAAGGGAGUUCCGGUCACUUGUUUCUUUUCCUCGCAUUAGAGAAUUAACAUAUAGUUAAUUCUCUAACCGGUGUGGUACAGAUGCUUCCCCUUAAUGGGUUCAAACACUAAUUCCCUCUCACUGAUGCACUUUGCAAUGGCUCAUGCCUCUCACCUAGCAUUUGCCAUUCAAGGUGAUCUUUAACCUUGGAUUACCCGUCAAAAGCUCGCAAGAGAUAACUAAUGGAUGUCUCCUUAGAGUCCAAAAGCUUACCAAGUGUUGGCUAUUCUAGAAAAUCCUACCUUCAAACCACCUCCUAAAGGCUCGCAAGAGAUAAAAUAGUGCAUCUCAAUGGACGGAGACCACUUGCCUUAUCAAGUGUUGGCCCAGGUGAUUUAAAGGCGUUUUAAGUUAACUAAAAAGAUAAAAACCAUUAACGGGUCACACUUUCUCUUCAUUAAAAACUAAAACAACAAAACUUCCAAUUUAUGCAUGUGGAAACUUACCUGGCUUUCUUCACUCCAAGAGGCGAAGAGCCUAGCUUCUCAUCCUCUGAGGAAAAAUCCUCAGAGUUUGAUUGGCUAGAAAGAAAAAUAACGAGAAAACAAAAAUAUGAAGGAAAAACAGAGCAAGUGCUCUGUAAAAUAUAUUUCUUACUUAUGCAAAAGGUUGUCUCUGAGAACAAGCUCCCGAGAGUAUUUUUUUUUUGUAAAGAAAAUUACAACUAUAUAUAAGAGGUUAUUCACCCUUUGUUCUUGCUUAAAGACUAAGGAAUCCUAUGAUAGGUGGGUUACAAGGAGAAUUUGGGGAUUUAGACAUCAAAUAUCUAAAGCAAAAAAUCUCAAAAUGUCGGUCGCAAAUAUCGGGAAGCUUCAGGAGAACAUCGCGGCACUGUGCAAAAUGGCUGCGAAAUUUUCGCAGCAAAAGGACAACAUUUUCACAACCAAAGGCUGAUUUCGCAGCCGUGCAACAUUCUGCCUUUAGCUUGGAGUGAUCUGCUUGCAAUGGCUGUAACUCCUUUAUUUCAACUCCAAAUCGUGCAGAGUUUGAAGCAUUGAUUGUUGACUUCCUGAGCUUCGAAACGACAUAUAGCAUACACAAAUUGGACUUCAGGAAGUGCUCCAAAAGUGGCUGAAAUGACUGUCAUCAAGAAUGCUUCAUGUUAGAUUUCUCUUUGCUUCCCCUCCUUGCAUUCCAGAUUUGCUUAUGGCAAAGGACUUUAAAGCUUCGGUUCUUCAUGUUUCUGAGCUUUCCAUUUGCUUUGCCAUGGAUUCCAAAGAACUCUCCUCAAUCUCGGAUUGCUUUGGUGAUCAAUUUACUAACAAAAACAUCCAAACUUACACACUUUGAUUAGAAAUGAUUGCAAAGGUCCUUAAUAUGUUAAUUGGGUUAAAAGGUGAUAACUACUACUCAAAAGUGUUUAAAAGAGUUAAUUACAAGCUAUCAAAUAGCACUUUUUGAGUAGUAAUCAAUACUCUUAUACCUUAAUAUCAUUAAUAUGUAUCCUCAUUGUAAGUAAAAAAAAAAGGUAUUUUACUUUAGUUUUAUUUAUUUGUAUUUCAAAAUCUAAAAGAUUUCCUUAGGUUUAUAUAAGCCCUUACAAUGAGGUAUUAAUAAAAGAAAAGGAUCAUACCACUUUUUCCUUGAUGGAGGUCAGGAUAGAUUCAAGAUACAUUUAUAAUCAAACGAAAUUAUUGUGUGUUCAUGGAAAAUAUCAUGGUGGAAAAUGUCCUUUGAUCAAGGUGACCCUCUCGUAAUUGACAUCGGAUUCAAUUGUUGUCCGUCAAUGGAAAUUGAAUUCCCAACCAUAUAAAAUUAAAUUAAUAUAAAUAGUCCCUUUUUUUGUUUCAAUUAUUUAUAUUAUGUCAAAUAUUUCUAAUUUUCUUGUACAAAAUAAAUAAAUUAUUUUAUUCUCUAAUUAUAGAUUCAACCAUAUAAUUGAUAUCAUUCAUUCAAUUGAUACAUAAAUCGUUCGUCCAAAUUUAAACAUAAUGUAAAUGCAUACACACAAUUAAGCGGUGCAAUAUUGUUCCUAGGUUUUCACUAAAGAAUACACAUCUAUACCAAAAUACACUUCUCAUUUGGAGUGUUCAUGGGGUAAGUUUUUGUAUUUUAUAUUAGAGAUCUCACUCAUUUCAUAAUUCGCCCUCUUUUGGUCCUUUCAUUUCUUAUUUUCUUUUCUUUUCAUUUUUUUGCCCUCAUUCUCAUUUCCAUUUCAUAUAACAAGUUCUUUACUUUUCUUUCUAUACAACCAUGAAUGCAAAAUGAAUCCAAUAUAAUAUUAUUGUGUAAUCCAAACUCAAAUUAUAAUACCAAAUAAUAUAAAACAAUUAUUUUAAACCUAUAACAAUACUAAAAAAAUUUUACUAAUAAUUUCCCUUAUUUUUAACAUUGAUAUAUUACUAACGAGAAAUUACCUUGAUCUCAUUGGUUUGUGUUUUAGAACGUAAAAGAAAUCCUCGGGUUUAUCCAAGUUCUUACAAUAAGGAAUUAAUAAAAGUAAAGGACCAUGCCACUUUUUCCUCCAUGUUCCAAGUAAAUAUGGGAAAAGACUUAUAACAAGAAAUUAAUACAUGUUCCAAGUAAAUGUGGGAAAAGAUUUGUAACAAAAAAUUAAUAAAUGUUCCAAGUAAAUGUGGGAAAAGACUUACAACAAAAAAUUAAUAAGAGAAAAGGACGAUUGGAAAAGACUUACAACAAGAAAUUAAUAGGAGAAAAUGACCAUACCACUAUUCCAUCUGUGUAUUUGUGUUCCAAGUAAAAGUGGGAAAAAACUUAGAACAAGAAAUUAAUAAAAGGAAAGGACCAUACCACUAUUUCCUUGACAUAUGUCAGGAUGGCUUUAAGAUACAUUUAUAAUUAAUGGUGGAAAAUGUCAAGAUGCAAAAUAUCCUUUGAUCAAGGUAAGAUUGAAUAAAUCGUUUGGUAAGGGCUAGAUUUACAAUACUCAAAUAUGUUUUUUUCAAUAGGUAUGAGAAAGACAUCAUCAAUUACCUGAUGUCAAGUAUAUAUUUUUAAGUCUCAUUAUUGUACCCUAAUCUCAUUUGUUUGUACUCUUAUUCCUUAAUAUCAUUAAUAUGUAUCCUCAUAAGGUAUUUUACUUUAGUUUUAUUUAUUUGUAUUUCAAAAUCUAAAAGAUUUCCUUAGGUUUAUCUAAGCCCUUACAAUGAGGAAUUAAUAAAAGAAAAUGAUCAUACCAUUUUUUCCUUGAUGGAGGUUAGGAUAGAUUCAAGAUACAUUUAUAAUCAAACACAAUUAUUGUGUGUUGAUGGAAAAUAUCAUGACGUGGAAAGUGUCCUUUGAUCAAGGUGACCCUCUUGUAAUUGAUAUCGGAUUCAAUUGUUGUCCGUCAAUGGAAAUUGAAUUCCCAACCAUAUAAAAUUAAAUUAAUAUAAAUGGUCCCUUUUUUUGUUUCAAUUAUUUAUAUUAUAUCAAAUAUUUCUAAUUUUCUUGCACAAAAUAAAUAAAUUAUUUUAUUCUCUAAUUAUAGAUUCAAACAUAUAAUCGAUGUCAUUCAAUCAAUUGAUACAUAAAUCCUUCUUCCAAAUUUAAACAUAAUGUAAAUGCGUACACACAAUUAAGCGGUGCAAUAUUGUUCCUAGAUUUUCGUCGAAGGAUACACAUCUAUACCAAUACACUCCCCAUUCUGAGUGCUCUUGGGUUUUGUAUUUUACAUAAGACAUUUUACUCCCUUGUUAAUUCGUCCUCUUUGGUCUUUUCAUUUCCUUUUUAUUUUUUUCCCUCAUUCUCAUUUCCAUUUCAUAUAACAAGUUCUUCACUUUUCUUUCUCUAGAACCAUGGAUGUAAAAUGAAUGCGAUAUAAUAUUGUUGUGCAAUCCUAACUCAAAUGAUAAUAUCGACUAAUAUAAAAUAAUUAUUUUAAACCUAUAACAAUACUCAAAAUUUUUGAUAAAUUAUUUCCAUUAUUUUCAACAUUGAUAUAUUACUAAUAAAUUUUAAUUUUAUCUUCCUAACACAAUCCAAAUAAUUAUAACACUUCACACAAAUAUUUAUCUUUUAUUCACAUGAAUUGAAUUUUUCUCCAACAUAAUUUCCCCUAAAAAUCAAUAAAAAAUUCAUAUCAUCAUUAAAAAAAUAAAAUAACUACAUAACUAGAAUCACUUGCAAAAAAAUAUUAUAUUAAAAGUUAGUUUGAUAGUGAUUUUAAAAAAUGUUUCUAACAUUUUUAAUACUUAAAUUUUUUUAUUAAAAUAAUUAUGUUGAAAUAUUAAAAAGAUUAAAAAUGUUUGCAAAAAUCACUAUUAAACAAGCUAAAAGAAUCUGUUCUACAAUGAUUUUAGGAAUCCCUUUUAGUCAUCCCAACAUUUGAAAUUUUUUAGCAUAAUAGUUGUAACCUUUCUAUCCUUCCAUUUGGUAGGAAGCAUUGGUAGUGAUUAUUAAUAUUAAGGUCGAAUGGGAAGGUGCUGCUCAUGAUGCGCGGGUCUUUUUAGAGGCAUUAAGAAGGCCAGAAUUGGGUUUUCCUCCUCCACCUAGAGGUUUGUGAAUAACAAUAUCAACCUUGUUUAUGUGAUCGAAUAUUUAUUAUCUAAUAUAUAUUUUUGUUUUUGUUUUGUUGGUAAAUAUUAUUUGGUCGAUGUUGGUUAUCCUCAAAUGAGUGGAUAUUUAGGCCCUUAUAAAGGCGAGUGUUACUAUCUUCUAGAUUUUCGAUGAGCACCUUGAGGUAAAAAGGAAAUAUUUAAUCAUAGGCAUUCAUCAUUGAGGUGCACAAUUGAAAGAACGUUUGUCAUUUUGAAGAAUAGAUGGAGAAUGCUACGGGAAAUGCAUAGUUUUUCUCUUGAAAAACAAGUAAAGAUUGUUAUUGUUUCCAUGACUCUUAAUAACUUUAUAAGGAUUAAUGCUAGAAUGGAUAUGGAAUUUAAACCUUAUGAUAAUGAUCAAGGGUUGCUUCCACUUAAUGAAGAAGAGAGUCGAAUGGAUUCACUUGUUGAGGAAGAUGAUUCACAUCAUGCAAGAGAGAUGGAAGAAGAAUGUGAUCGAAUUGCAAAUCUUCUUAUAUCUCAUUGAUGUUUGAUUAUGACUCUAAUAUAUAAUAAUAUAAUUUUCCCUCUAUGAAAACAUUUGUCUUCCAAUUUACUUUUAAUUAGAAAAGUUUUUUUUUUUGAGAAAUUAAUAGGUAAUCAUAUAUUGUUUUACUUUGAAAAUUAUCUUUUAUUCAAUGUUCUUUUUUAUUGAUUUAGAUGUUUUUUGUAAAUAUUUUUUAAAAAUUUAUUAUCGUGAUAAAAAAUUAUUAAUUUUAAACUAAUAUAUAAUCAAAUAAUUUGUUAUAUUAUGAUUGAUAUUUAUUUAUUAAUCCGAUUCUUUUUGUAAACAUUUUUCAAAAUUUUAUUUAAUCAUAAAAAAAAUAUUUUUAGAUUUUUUUAACAAUAUAAAUGUAUAUAUAUUCUUUUAAGAUAGAUGUUUAUAUAUUUUGUUGUAAUGUAAAGUUUUUUGUUUAUCAUACUAUUUUCUUUUUGUAAUUAAAAUUAUGUCCUUUUUGGGAAUUUAUUAAUAUUAAAAGUGUUUUUAUACUUAUACAACAUAUUAUUAAAAACACUAUUAGAAUCAUUUUUUCUAUUCUUAAGAAUCACUGUCAAUCGAACUCUAUGUUUAUAUAUUCUUUUAAGAUAAAAAAAUACUAAUAGUCAAUGCAUAUUUGCAUACAUGUUGUUCUAAGAAAUUCACUGAGUUAAAAGGGGCUCAUAUAUUAUAACUUAGACUCGCAAGUAGUAAAUCGAUUUUACAACCACUCUGCUCUGGCUUUGCUGCAAGAAAUUUCAGAAAAUGUGGCUGUUUUUGCAGGCAUUUGAUGAUAAAAUUUUGAGAAAUAUUUCAAAACAAUGCAUCUCCUUGGUUUAUGGCAACUCUUUCUCUUUAUCCCAAUAGGGGCCAUCCUCAAAUUUCCUGUCAAAUUCAGUUUAUUACAGACUAAAAAAUCACCCAGAUUCUAAAGGCUUCGAAAAAGGCAGCUGCAGCUGCAAGGGAAUUUCAUAUGUAUUUGAGUUAGGUGGGUAUGUGGGUCCGUUGAGUGGAUGAUGAAAUAUCAUCUCACUUAUAUAGGGAUGGCAACGGGGCGGGUUCGGGGCGGGGCGCCCCCCUCCCAACCCCGCCCCGUUUAUUUAAAGCAAUUCUCAUCCCCGUCCCAUUUAAAAAAUUAAACGGGGCGGGACGGGUAUGCUACAUUCCCAUACCCGCCCCGUUUAACUUUUUAUUUAAUUUUAAUUUUUUUUUAAUUAAUUUUAAAUUUUUUAAUUAUAUUAAAAUAAAUAUAUUUUAUAAAUAAUUAAAUUAUUAUAUUUUUUAUAACUUAUUUUAUUAAAAAUAAUUUAUUAUUAUCUAUAUAUUAAAAAUAAUAAAAUAAAAAUUAAAUUAAAAUAAUUUUAAAUUUUAAAUUAAAUUUAAUUUUAAUUUUAAUUUUAUAUAUAAUCGGGGCGGAACGGGGAAGAGCAAUACCCGAACCUGCCCCGGGUUUCAAAAAAAAUCCCAAACCCGUCCCAUACCCGUUUAGGAAAAUAAUAUCCCACCCCAUUAGGGACGGGGCGAGGCAGGUACCCGAAAUGACCCGCCCCAUUGCCAUCCCUACACUUAUAUGCUUACAUGCGCAAUGUCUUAUCAUUAUUUUAUUUAAUUAAUUCGAAUAAUAUUUUUCUUUUUUCAAGAAAACCCUAAAACUUGAUUAAAAUCAUUAUUUUCGGAAAACAAUUAUAAUAAUUUAUUUAAAACAGUAUUAUCAACUCUCUUUUUUUCUUUCUAAGAUACCUUCAUCAUCUCGAUGAUAUAUGAAUAUAAUAAAAUAAUAAAUAUUAAUAUUAUAUAAAUCAUUGAAAAUUAUAACUUGUAUAUGAAUUUAUUAUAAAAUUAGAUUAAUAUUAAUUUAUUUAUUACACAAAAUAUAUGGAUAUGAGUUUAUUUAUUAUUUAUAAUUUAUUAAUAUUAAGAAUUACUCAAGGAUAACUUUUUUAUUUAAGAUUUUUUCUUUAUAAGAUAUUAGAAAAUUAUAAUUUACAUAUAAAUUUAUUAUUAAUUUAUUAAUCUUCUUCACAUCAAAUAAAUAUUAAUGUUACAUCAACAAAUAUAAUAUGAUAGUGAGUAUUAAUAUUAUGUACAGAAAUAAAUAUCAUAAUUUUAAAAUAGAGCAUAUAUUUUUUAACUUUUCAAUAUCUAUGAAUAUCGAUUGAGAUAUAUAAAUAUAAAUUUAUUAUUAAUUUAUUCAUAAACUCUUUUAUUCAAUUUUUUUAUUUAUAUUUUAUAUACUUUUCUCUUUUAUUUAAAUUUUUCCAUUAUAUUUUAUAAAAUAUUAAAAAAUUAUUUUAAUUACCCCACAUGCAAUGCACGUGUUUUUAGACUAGUUUUCUAUUUGACACGUGAAUGUUCAGUAACAUCACGGCCGUACACUGACAUAUAAAUGUUCACAAUUCUUUUACUUAGAACAUUCAUUUUAGAUGAUGUUGAGGACAGCCAAGGGCAGUAGACUAACAUCUUCUGAACCAAUUAACAUACCAGCAGUGAUUAGGCCAAGGUGGUGAUCCAAUUCCAUGGAAUAGCAACAAGAAAGGAGGAACGUUGGAGAGAAAGAAGGCGGUCAACCAAGCAGGAACAGUGGCCAAAGCAGCCCCGAGCCUAGGGAGCAUAGGAUUGACAUUGUUGAAAUCAGUCCUAGGGUGAAAAAUUGGAUUGAGGCUUUCAAAAAUGCAGAAGAAAGGACUCAAUCUCAAACUCAAUGGCCAAGGAUACCGAAGGUUCCUCACAUUUUGAAGGGUACCCAGGAUAUCAAGAAAUUCUACUAACCGAGGGUGAUUUUAUUCUGUCCUUACCACCAUGGCAAGUCCCACCUUCGCCUAGGGGAAAUGAUCAAGCCUCCCUGUGCCCUAAACUUCCUGGCUGAUAGUAACCAGCACAUCGAUGGUACACAAAAAUUGAAAGUAAUAUCGAGGCAGUGAGGAAGGGCUAUGAUUGGAGUAGUACAAACGAGUAUGAUGAUGAGGCACUCGCCUGGAUGAUGCUUCUGGAUGGGUGUUUUUUACUACAAUUCAUCCGCAGCACAGAAGACGGCAGCACAAUCAAUUUGAGUAACGUUCUUAGAUGUCACCAAAUUUAUUUUGUGGGGCUGGACUUGUUCUUGCUGGAGAACCAACUUCCCUUCGGAGUCCUCAAGUUGAUUUUUGAGGAAGCAAAAUUCAAGGGUGGUUCAAUAAUGCAAGAGAAGAUAAAAAAAGUUGCCAGAUGGGUUUGUAGGGACCCCCUCCCCCCUGAUGACACGUGGCACGCACCGUUGUCCGGAUCAACUCUAUCCGUACCCCCCAAGAGGACACGUGGCGCGCACCUCUAUCCGGGUUCCCCAGGGGGGGCAUACGACACUCUCAAAUAUCAUACUCGGGCGAUGCUCUAUCCUAUCCGGACCUUUUGUCCGGAUCAUUGACUGUAACGAGCAAGCCUUGCUAAGUCAUCCCCGACAGCCUACCACAACCCACGUUCCGCCGCCUGUAGAGCGAAAGGACAGGAGCGAUAGCAAGUCACCUCCUACGAUCUCUGACAGCCGCCUGCAGGGUGAUGAUGACCCUGCCACCACCUUGAGGACAUCAUGACAAGCCAAAAAGUCUUCCCACCAUUAAAGAGGGGAGCAGAGCUUCUGACAUUAUAUAAAAGGGUCUUCACACAAGGAAGAAGGUAAGUCUGAGACCCUAAAAAAGCCAAUAGUCUGAUAUCUUAAGCCAUGACUAACAAAACCAUCGGAGGGUGUGUCUGGACAUCCUGUCCGGACAUCUUUUGCAGGAUCGACUGAGCCAGAACUCCUUCUUGGUUGAUAGCACGCGUCCACUUGGCAGCAGCAGGGAUCCUUGGGACACGAGGUAUCAACAUUGGCGCCGUCUGUGGGAACUCUCUGAUUCAGUCGACGGCAAAGAUGUCCACACCUUCCAGAAGCCGCUCGUCGGCUAGGGGAGACGAAGAUUAUUUCGAAUGGCGCGAAGCCAUCGAAAGGAGACAGUUGGAGAGCGAGCGACAAAUGCAGGCUCUCCUCCAGGAAACAGCGAGACUGAGAAAAGAAAACGCUAUGUUACGCAUCCAGGCUUCAUCGACGGGACCUUCUAUUGGUCAGUGCUCAAGAGGCCAAGGAGCAAACUCAAGGCCUGACCUAGAGUUAAUAUACCCUGGGACUGCGGGGGUCAUCCCCGAGACGGGCAAUGUUAGACCACAAGAACGGCACACGCCCAUGCACCAAGCCCCCUAGGAGGAAAGCUUAGACUCUACUCGUCUCUCAUCAAAGAGACAACGCGACAAAAGACCCUAAUUGUCGGACGCGAUGCGCGCGAGGCUAGGCCCACAGGGACCUGGGAAGACAAGGCCGCCAGUAGCCACAACCUGGGGAACGCAACCUGACCCCUUGGUCACACCCAUGGUGCAAAACGUCCUCCCGCACCAAGCGGUACGACAAGUUGGGAGAAACCCCCCAAACGAGCCACCCACUGGCUCCAUCAGCAAAAGGCUAGACGACAUGCUCUCCACACCUUUUUGCCCGCAUAUUAUUCAUUACGACCCCCCGAGGGGAUUUCUCGUGCCUAAAUUUUCCACGUACAAUGGGUCCAGCGACCCCUUCGACCAUAUCAUGCAUUAUCGACAGCUCAUGACUCUCGAUAUAGGAAACGAUGCGCUGCUAUGCAAAGUAUUCCUAGCCAGCCUACAAGGGCAGGCUCUCUCAUGGUUUCAUCGCCUACCCCCCAACUCUGUUGAUAAUUUCAGGGACCUGUCGGAAGCUUUUGUGGGACAAUACUUAUACUCCGCUCGGCAUAAACAGAACAUUAGCACUCUGCAAAACAUAAAAAUGCAAGAGAAUGAGUCUUUAAGAGAGUUCGUGAAGCGGUAUGGUCAGGUCGUCUUACAAGUAGAGGCUUACAGUAUGGAUGCUGUCCUUCAGAUCUUCAAACGAAGCAUUUGUCCAAGUACCCCAUUCUUCGAGUCGCUCGCUAAGAAACCUCCUACGACGAUGGACGACUUGUUCCAACGCACGAGCAAAUACUCAAUGCUGGAGGACGAUGUGCGCGUAGCCACCCAGCAAAUCUUGGUUGCCGGUCAAACAUCCAGAAGUGGUGCGGAAAGAAGUUCCAAACUUCCGGACCGGCCAAGGCUGUCCGACCGAAAGCAGGAAGAACAAAGCCGCCCAGAACGACCGCCCCUCACACCCCUUUCCAUAUCCUACAAGAAGCUCCUCCCUAUGAUCCAAGAUCUGUCCGACUUCAGGUGGCCCGAACCCCUCAGAACGGACCCAACCCAAAGGGAUCAUAGUAAGAAGUGUGCCUACCAUAAGGAGCACGGUCACACUACGGAGACAUACAGGAGCCUCCAUUAUUUGGUGGAAAGGCUCAUAAAGGCGGGACAUUUGAAGCAAUACCUCCGCUCCGACGCCAGAGUUAGAGACACUUCCCAAAAUCAUAACUCAGAAACCCCCAGGAUCCCAGCCGCCCCCAAAGCCAUUAUAAACUAUAUCCACGGAGGACCACUGGAUGAGGAGUACGACUCCAAACGAAAGAGACAGGGGCUGUUGCGGGCAGCAUCGGUACGUGAGCGCGUCAACUCCAUACAACCUGGGAUAACUGGUGGGGGCCCCUGGCCCAUAGAUGGGACAAUCAUUUUCCCCCUAGUAGACCCCACAAGGAUAUUACAGCCUCACUACGACGCCCUCAUCCUAUCCCUAGGGAUGGGAGACUUUGACGUGAGACGCAUCCUAAUUGACCUGGGCAGCUCGGCCGAUCUUUUACAAGCGUCGGUAAUCAGCCACAUGGGAUGCGAUCUAUCCGACCUCGAAAACCCUAGGUGAAUCUUGUCCUGAUUCAACAGAGUGGUGACUACCUCCUUGGGAGAUAUUGUGCUGUCAGUCCAAGUAGGCCCAGUCACUCUCAACAUACAAUUUUCGGUGGUACAAGAUUUAUCACCCUUCAAUGUUAUCUUGGGGCGCAUAUGGCUGCACUACAUGAAAGUCAUCCCCUCUACGUACCAUCAAAUGGUAAGCUUUCUCACUGAGGACGGGCAAAUCGACCUAUACGGCAGCCAGUUAGCCGCUCGCCAAUGCUAUCAGAUAGCGCGAGAAGUAGGGACCAGUCAGGAGGAUAAACCCCUUCCUGAGCCCACCCACACACUUGACCAUUAUCAAUUACUGAGUCCGGCGGACAAAGAUCCCCCGGCAGCGGAUCCCUUGCGGACGAUCCAGAUUUCGGAAGAAAGUACUCACCUCACACAUAUCAGUUCCCUCUUGACACCGGAAGAGGCCAAAAGCAUCCAAGAUGCUCUCCAACAAAGCUAUGACAUUUUUGCAUGGGCGCAUUCUGAUAUGAAGGGAAUUCACCCCUCCAUCGUCUCUCAUAGGCUUAACGUCUUGCCAAUAGCAAGACCCGUCCGACAGAGGAUCAAACGUUUCCACCCAGACAGACAAAAGAUUAUCAGGGAUGAGAUUGACAAAUUGCUGGAAGCUGGAUUCAUUAGAGAGGUGGAAUAUCCAGACUGGUUGGAAAAUGUGGUAGUGGUCCCCAAAAAGGAAGGCAAGUGGCGGGUGUGCGUCGAUUACACCAACCUCAAUAAUGCAUGCCCAAAAGACAGUUUCCCUCUGCCGCGGAUAGACCAAAUUGUAGACUCCACCGUCGGACAAGGAAUGCUCUCCUUCUUGGAUGCCUUCUCACGAUACCACCAAAUCCCUAUGGCCCCGGCCGACGAAGAAAAGACGGCCUUCAUAACGCCGCAUGGGCUUUAUUGCUACAAAGUCAUGCCAUUCGGACUCAAAAAUGCUGGCGCCACUUAUCAAAGACUGAUGACGAAAAUCGUCAAACCUCUAGUCGGCCGCACAGUGGAAGUGUACAUCGAUGAUAUCGUGGUUAAAAGCAAAACCCGAGGAGAACAUGUCCUCCACUUAUAAGAAGUCUUCCACCUCUUAAGGAAGUAUGGCAUGAAGUUGAAUCCAUCCAAAUGCGCUUUUGGUGUAAGUGCUGGCAAAUUCCUGAGAUUUAUGGUCAGCCAAAUGGGGAUAAAGGUUAGCUUGGAUCAAGUUAAGGCAGUCAUGGAAACACCACCCCCCAGGAGCAAAAAGGAAUUACAGCGCCUCAUAGGCAAGCUCGUCGCGCUAAGACGCUUUAUAGCCCACUUCACUGAUGAAUAGCGACCUUUCUUCCUGGCAAUACGAAAAGCCGGUGCAAACGGGUGGACGGACGGCUGCCAGAGCGCUUUCGAAAAAUUGUAUAUGUAUCUGGCUGUAUCAGAGUGGGCAAUCAGUGCUGUUCUAUUCCGCUGCCCCUCGCACAAUGAGCAGAAACCUAUUUACUACGUCAGCAGAGCGUUGGCGGACGUAGAAAUAAGGUACUCAAAGAUGGAGCUAACGGUUUUGGCCCUUCGAAGUGCCGCCCAGAAGCUCCGCCCUUACUUCCAAGCCCACCCGGUGGUCAUGCUGACCAACCAACCCCUUCACAACAUCCUGCACAAGCCGGACCUGACCGGAAGAAUGCUUCAAUGGGCCAUAGAGUUGAGCGAGUAUGGAAUUGAAUUCCAACCCAGGUUGUCCAUGAAAGGGCAGGUAAUGGCCGACUUUGUGCUGGAAUACCCCCAAAGACCUGCCCAACACAAGGAACCACGCGGGGAAGAGUGGUGGACUUUGCAGGUUGAUGGAGCCUCCCGGUCAUCAGGAUCCGGAGUAAGGCUCCUGCUGCAAUCCCCAAUAGGAGAACAGCUGAAGCAAGUUAUCCGAUUGGGAUUCCCCGCGUCUAACAAGCAGAGUAUGAGGCCAUCCUAUCCGAGUUGGACCUCGCCUUGGCCCUGUCUAUUUCCAGGCUCCGAGUCUACAGUGAUUCCCAACUCGUGGUAAGGCACGUCCAGAAAGAAUACGAAGCUAAGGAUGAGCGCAUGGCGCGAUAUCUGACUAAAGUAAGAGACACCCUACAACGGUUCGCCGAGUGGACGAUCGAAAAAAUUAAAUGAACUGAAAAUGGACGUGUCGACGCCCUGGCAGGCAUAGCUGCUUUCCUCCCCAUCAAAGAAGCCAUAUUAUUGCCUAUACAUGCGCAAACCAACCCCUCCGUCGCAGAAGCCUCCACUUGCAAUACCAUUGAGGCAAACCAAGCAGAUGGUCAAGACUAGACGGAAGCCAUAAUAAGGUAUCUCCGGACAGACACUUUGCCCGAAGAGCCCAAGCAGGCACAUAAGACCCGAGUACAAGCCGCCCAUUUCACCCCGAUCGGGGGGCACCUAUACAAGCGGUCCUUUACAGGCCCCUACCUCAAGUGCCUAGACCACUUAGAAGCCCUGUAUGUGUUGGCUGAGUUACAUGAGAGGGUGUGUGGAAAUCAUUCCGAAGGUCGAUCUCUAGCGCACCGGGCUCACUCGCAAGGAUAUUAUUGGCCCACGAUGAAAAAAAAUGUUGCAGCUUAUGUCAAAAGGUGUGACAAAUGCCAAAGGCAUGCCCCCAUACCGCAUGCGCCGUCGGAGACAUUAAAACCAACUUCUGGCCCUUGGCCCUUCGCGGAGUGGGGCAUGGACAUAGUAGGACCCCUACCAGCCGCAGCUGCUUAGAAGAAAUUCUUGCUUGUCGCCACAGAUUACUUCAGUAAAUGGGUGGAAGUUGAAGCAUACGCUAGCAUCAAGGACAAAGAUGUCACCAAGUUUGUAUGGAAGAACAUCAUCUGCUGUUUUGGAAUCCCUCAAACCAUUAUAGCUGACAACGGCCCACAGUUUGAUAGCAUCACUUUCUGGAAUUUUUGUUCGGAACACAACAUCCGGAAUUUAUACUCCGCACCGCCACGUGGCCCAAUAAGCGCAAAAAAAGUAACCUAAGUUUCAAAACCAUCAUUUUUUAACCGUCCAUUUUGCCCGGGCAAAAUCGCCAAGUUAAAAGAGGGGCAUUGUAGGGACCCCCCCCCCCCUCUCCCCGAUGACACGUGGCACGCACCGCUGUCCGGAUCAACUCUAUCUGUACCCCCCAAGAGGACACGUGGCGCGCACCUCUAUUCGGGUCCCCCAGGGGGGGCAUACGACACUCUCAAAUAUCAUACCCGGGCGAUGCUCUAUCCUAUCCGAACCUAUUGUCCGGAUCAUUGACUGUAACGAGCAAGCCUUGUUGAGUCAUCCCCGACAGCCUGCCACAGCCCACGUUCCGCCGCCUGUAGAGCGAAAGGAUAGGAACGAUGGCAAGUCACCUCCCACGAUCUCUGAUAACCGCCUGUAGGGUGAUGAUGACCCUGCCACCACCUCGAGGACAUCAUGACAAGCCAAAAAGUCUUCCCACCAUUAAAGAGGGGAGCAGAGAUUCUGACAUUUUAUAAAAGGGCCUUCACACAAGGAAGAAGGUAGGCCUGAGACCCUAAAAAAGCCAAUAGUCUGAUCUCUUAAGCCAUGACUAACAAAACCAUCGGAGGGUGUGUCUGGACAUCCUGUCCAGACAUUUUUUGCAGGAUCAACUAAGCCAGAACUCCUUCUUGGUUGAUAGCACGCGUCCACUUGGCAGCAGUAGAGAUCCCUGGGACACGAGGUAUCAACAGGGUCCACAUAAAAAAGUAAUGAAUUAUUGCGUACAAGGCACGAAGACAACCUUUCAAUGCUGCUGCUACUCAUCAAUUCCUGGAGGGCCAACUUAAGGAGUUGAAGGGCAGUAACUGCACAUCCUGACAUUUUCCAUGAAAGAAUGUAAUUGCAUAUGUAUUUUGGAAUCUAGAAAAUUUCCAAAAUUAAAAUGAUAAAAAAAAAAUUUUAAAAGUGAAAUGAUAGUAAUUUUUAAAAAUAGAAUUAAUGAGAUAAAUGAUAACAUCACAUUUAACAUUUAAACUAUAAUUUAUUUAAUUCAAAUGUAUUUAAUAAUUAAUGUAAAAUAAAUGGUGAUGAACUUUUUAAUAUUUAAUUAUCAUAUAAAUGAUAUUAAAAAAUAUUUGUUAAGAAAUUAUAAUAAUGGUUUUUAUACAUUUAUCAAUUAAUUAAAUAAAUUUUAAAAUAAAAUACUUCAAAUUUAUUUAUUUAUUUUUUAAUAAUAAACUUUAAUAUAUUUAUUAUUAUCAUAUAUUAACAAAUGAGAACUUGGUCCAAACACAUUCGUCCAGGGAGAUUCUGAAAUUGCGGAAGCUUUGUUUGAUCAAGUCGUUGAGUAUUGGAAACAAGCUAUAGCAAGCCGCUAAGUAUUGGAAACAAGCUAUAGCACUUACUCUUGGUAAUUAUAUUGAAGCGCAUAAUUGGUUGAAGAUCACGAGACGUUUCGAAUAAAAACACUCUGUUUAUUAUUUAGAAUUUUUUAUAUUUCUUAUUAUUUGUUGGACCGAUCAGUCAAAUAAAAUGGAUCAUUCCUAUGCCUAUGGGAAGAACCAAUCAAAGAAUUUCAUUAUAUCCCUUCUAAGAUCGUUCUAUUUCAUUUAGUAUCUCAUAGGGAUAAACGAUACAUUAGAGAAUAUAUUUCUUUAUUUUAUGCUAUUAACGAUAAUUGCUAUUAAUAAAAGUAAUUAAAACUACUAUUCUAGCCAACCUUCAUGCAAAAGAUAUUUUUUUAACAUCAAGCGUGUACAAUCAAACUUGAACCCAAGCCUUUUGGUGUGGUUCGAAUGAUUCCCCUUUGCAAGCCACUUUAAUUUAAAGUGGUGGAUUGACAACCACCUUAAAUUUGAAAUUUGAAACAUGACAGCAUGGGCAGUGUUAAUUUGAAGCGCGGGCAGUGUUGACCGAUUAUCCGUGGUGGAUUUCAUAUUAGCCAUCCUCGAUAAAUGAUUUUUUAUCGAUAUUUUGGUGAAAAAUCCUGAUUUUUCAAACACCCAUGGUCUUGCACUUCAAAAGGAUUGAACAAUAAAUAAUGGGUACGGAGAAAUGGGUGAAAUACAAAGUAACAUGACACUAUAAUGAUAAAAUAAUAAUAAUAAUAAUAAUAAUAAUAAUAAUAAUAAUGUUAGAUGUUAAGCUAAUAAAUGAAAUAAAAUUAUAGUUUAAUUAAAUUAGCUAUAUAUUCUUAGAAACAUUAUAAAUUAGAAACUUAUUAAUUUUACUUAAAUAAGGAAUAAAUGAAUUAAAUUAAUAUUAAUAAUUAGGAAAAAUAAUAUUAAUAAAUAAAAUUAUUAGGAUCAUCAAAUCUAUAUAAUUUUAGUUAAUUGUCUAUUACAAGAAACUUAUUGAUUUUAAUUAAAUAAGAAAUAAAUUAAUUGAACUAAUAUUGAUAAUUAAGAAUAAUAAUAUUAAUAAAUAAAAUUAUUAAGAUCGUGGAAUCUAUAAUUUUAGUUAAGCUUCUAUCUUUUUUUCAAAUAUAUUAACUUUAGAUAAUAAGCUAUCCACUAACCAUUUAUUAUUUAAUCCAAUGUUUUCAGAACCGGACCGGUCAUCGAACCGGAAAAAUUACCGGUUCACGGUUCACUGGUCGGACCGGCGGUCGAACCGGUUGAACCGGUGAUGUAAUAAAUAUAUAAUUUAUAUAUUAUAUAAAAUUAAAAAUAAUUAUAAAAAUUAAAAAUAUAUAAAAUUAUAAGUUUUAAUAAUGCUUGGUUUUUAUAUUUGGUAUAUUAAAUUAAAUGAUAAAGUUUAAUAUUUUAAAUUUUAUUAAAUAGAAAUAUGUAAUAUUUAAGAAUGAAGAUAUAUUUAAGAUAAAAAAUUUUAUAAUAUUUAAUUUUAUCUUUCUUUUUUGUAUUUUAUUGUUUUAAAAUUAUUCUAUUAAUUAGUUUAUAUUAUUUUUUAUAAUUAUUAUUAUAAAAAUAAAUAGGAAUUUAAAUAUUUACAUUUCUUUAAAGAUUUUAUAUGAUAAAAAUUUGAAAUGAAAACAUUAAUCUUAAGUCUUAUUAUAUAUAUAUUUUAACAACAUUGCAAAAGUCCAGCCCUCAUGCAGUCAUGCCAUGCUUCCAAUCGGACCAGCCCUCAAAGAGGCCAUGUACUAUUCCAGUCCCACAUCGGAAGCACAUGAAUUCCAUGUGCUUCAAGUGCUCUAUAAAUAGAGACCUUGCAGCAUGCUUUUCAAGCCAAGUAAGCCAGCAAAUUGGGCUUGGAGGCAUGGCCCAAGAGAAGGAUAUAUAAGUUAUAAUUUUAUUGGAUUGGGCCCGGUGGCUUGAACCAAUUAUGGGUUUAUAAUUUGUUAAGUUUUAAAAGUAUUGGGCAAGGAAUUGGGCUCGUUAAUGGGCCUCAUAAUAGUAACAAAUAUUUGUAGAAUAGGGAAAAAAAAAAAGCUUGGCCGGUUCGUAAAAAACCGGAUGGUUUGACCGGUUUGGCGGUUCAACCGGUGGUUUGACCGGUUUAAUACCGGUUUGAUUAUUAAACGGUUCAUUGGGCUGGACCGAACCGGAAAGGUCACCGGUCGACGGUUCGACCGGCCGGUCCGGUCCGGUUUUUAAAACAUUGAUUUAAUCAUGCAACUUACAAUAAUGAGAUUCUCAAUCCUUCAAAAUGACAUUAAUUUAACCCACUUCCUUAAUCAAUUAUACCUCGAUUAAAUUAAUCUUUCAAAAAUUAAAUCUACUGAAUGAUAAUAUUCAUAUCUAAUCGAUUUACCUUUUUGUAUAAAUUGUUAAAUUCAUAUUUAAUUUCAUUUCGAUUCAAUUUUAUUUCAUAUUUUAUAAUUUUAUAAGGGUUAUAAAAAUUAAAUUGAUUCAUACGGUAACAUUAAAUUAAAUAUCUUUUGAAAAUUUUAUUAUAACCAUUUGAUAUAAUACAAAUUUUAUCAAGUUUUUUUAAUUAUGGUUUUCGGAUAAUUACCUUAUAAUAAUAAAAUUAAUUCUUGUAAUACAUAUAAUAUUCAAAUUUCAAAAAUCCAAUCUCAAAUAAUUUAAUUGCUAAAUUUAUAUUUAAUUUUUGAAGUUCCUAAAUGUGACUUGGCAAGAAUUUAAACUAUUAACCUUCCACCAAGUCACUAACUUCUCAAAAGUUUCGCCUAAUUAAAUAAAAUAUCUGACACGUCAAUGUUCACUAACAUCUUUCAUUUAUUUAGACCAUUCAUUAUGGUUGAUUUUGAAGAUAGUCAACGGUAGACCUACAUCUUCUGGACCGACAGUGAUUAGGCUAAGGUGGUGAACCAAUUCCAUGGAAGAGGAGCAAGAAAGGAGGAACGUUGGAGAGAUAGAACUAGAAGGCGGCCAACCGAGCAGGAACAGUGGCCACACUGGCCUCGAGCCUGAGGAGCAUAGGAUUGACAUUGUUGAAAUCAGUCAUAGGGAUUGGAUUGAGUCUCUCAGAACGGCAGAAGAAAGCACUCGAUCUCAGAGUCAAUGGCCAAGGAUACCAAAGGUUCCUCAGAUGCUGAGGGGGACCCAGGAUUUCAAGAAAUUCUACGAACCGAGGUUAAUUUCAAUCGGUCCUUAUCACCAUGGCAAGCCCUACCUUCACGCAGGGGAAAUAAUCAAGCGUCUAUGAGCCCGAAAAUUCCUUGCUGAUAGUGAGCAGGACAUCGACGCUUUGUACACAAAAAUUCAAAGUAAUAUCGAGGCAGUGAAGACGUGCUAUGAUAUGAUACCGACGAACAAGUAUGAUGAUGAGAAACUCGCCCGGAUGAUGCUUCUGGAUGGGUGUUUUUUACUACAAUUCGUCUGCGGGCAAGGUAAUGAAAAGUUUCUUAGAUGUCACCAAAUAAGUUUUGUGGAGGAGGACUUGUUCUUGCUGGAGAAACAACUUCCCUAUAGAGUCCUCAAGUUGAUUUUUGAGGGAGCAAAUUUCAAGGUUGAUCUACCAAUGGAAAAGAAUAUAAUAAAAUUCGUCACUGACAUCGGAAUGCCAGAAGGGUUGUCAUCAGAAAUACCGCUGAAAGAGGUGAACGAAGAGCCCUCUCAUCUCCUCGACCUUUUGCGAAGUGAUCUCCUAGGCAGGUUCCACAUGAUUAGGAGUCAGCCCGAAAAAGAGCAGCAACCUAAGAAAAAAGGAAAGUCGUCGUCGUCUCAAGGAGGAAAGUGGGG
Molecule: long non-coding RNA, 270673 nt
Filed under: Vitis vinifera (wine grape)
Lineage: Eukaryota; Viridiplantae; Streptophyta; Magnoliopsida; Vitales; Vitaceae
Description: long non-coding RNA (VVIN_LNC004442)
Rfam family: Plant small nucleolar RNA R71 (bases 119627-119733)
Source: RNAcentral